GUUUACUUUCACUCAAUCUCAUAAUAAAUUUUUUUUAUUUUUCCUCCGUUUUAUUAACUCCCUUUUUUUGGGGCCCUUUCCUCUAAAGACCACAUCCCCCCCAUCGGCGAUCCACCGGCAUCUCCCGGUCCGCGCCGCCGAUCGCCGGAGCUGCUCCGCCGCGCCGCCCCCGAAGCUCGCCGCCCUCAGCCACCGUGCACGGUGAGUCCUCCAUUCGCGGCCCCCGUCUCUGUGCUGCGGCCGCCUUGAAAAGCGGUUCCUUCAGUGUGUUUUGUGUGCGCGUGGGCGUGCGUGCGUGCUUUUGGUGGUGCGUAACCCCACCGAGAUUCGCGAGCUCAACUCGACCUCGAUUCGCUCGAGCUCCGGAUCGCAGCGCCGCGAUCCGAGGCCCCCCGAGCUCGAGUCUCAGCUGGAGUCACUGUGAGUGUUGAUUAUCUGCUUAAUCUCUCCCGUAAUCUUCUCGGUUAAUCGCUCGCCGAUUCGCAGUUGGGCGGGAUACGGCGGAAUUCGCCGUUGUCCGGCUUCCAUCAGGUGAUUCUGUGCCAGGAUCUUGGUGAUUUGGCGCCCUAGUUGAUUUUGAACUGCGAAAUGAUGCUUUUUGCUGUUGAUUACAGUCGUUCGGGUCGAUUUGUCCGGCUUCCAUCCGCUAGGGUUUUGUGUUACUUCGCCUUUGCUCGGUGCUAGUGGAGUAUUGGUGUAAUUGAGGUCAAGUACAAGUCGUGGACACUCGGGCUUUUGGUGUUUUGACUUUCGAGGUAGGGUAGAGAAGUACUAGGCGAGUCUUUCUAGGGUUUUGAGCUGGUGCUGCUCACUCUGUAGUCUGUACGGUUUAAAUGUUUUCUGGUUCUGUCUCUGUGACUUUAGGCUUUACGUCAUAGCCCGCUGACUCGUCCUUGGUCCUUUGCGACGUUGAGAUUAUCUGGAUGCGAUGCAUGAUUAGUCGGUUUGAUUGCAUGGGGAAAUGAUAAAGCAACUCAAUUAGAGUUUUGUAGCCGUAUUUAUUGCUUAGUAUACUGUGCUGGAACAGUUGGCUCGAGUUAGCAUUAUCGUUUGCAUUUGGAGAUUGAUUAGAUAAGAACCGUGACAAAUAAUUCUCAUGAAAAAUAUACAUACCAGUCUUGCUUUUCAGAUCUUCAUUUAUGUUUGUGCUGUAGGAAAUCAAAUUCUCUCUCAUAAAGCAGCAUAUUAUGCUGAGAACCAAAAUAGCAGUUGAAUUUCCUAAAGUUUUUACGAUGCUUGCCAGUCAUGUUCUUGGUUAAUGUCACUUGAUUUAUCCAUUUAAUUUUUCUUUUUUUCUCAAAGAAGGAUCAUUUGAUAUGGUGAGUUAUUGUUGACACCUGAAAUUUUGCCGACAAAUCAAGUUUCCAUCUUUUUAAAACCAAGAAAAAUAAUAAUAAAUCUAUAAACAAGAGAGUCCAAUUUGGACAUUUAUGCAAGGAUCUAAACCCAUAGUCUAACUCGCUCACUUUGGCCCGGUCUACCAACCCAGCCCCUAGCCAAGCCCAUCAGGAAUUGGGCCGGCCCAUCAUCCUAGCCCAUGAAGCCCAAAUUUAAAGUCGGAUUAAGCAACUUCUGUACAGGCCCAGAUUUACAAUUUUAAGUCGGAGCCCAUAAAGCCCGGGAGAGUUUGGCCCAUAAAGCGCGCACGUGCAGGGAAUGAGAAGAAAGAACGAAUUCUGGCAAGGGACACGUAACAAAGGACCACAUUACACCAGAUAGCACUUCACGGACUGACAAAAUUUCCUUCUCUCUACUUACAAUUCCAGAGAAUUCGUAGUCCAUUCUUGUUCUCCGGACAUCGCUCGCAGUUGCCGUGGUUGAUCGUCACUUCAAUCUAUCUCCACCGCCGAAGAGGUGGUUGAGAAUCACCUGUAUGAAAAUUGAUAGAAUAAUUGUAUAUUAAACCGCAUCUUCAUCUAAAAACUUAAGUUUUUAAAACAGCGGUUUUACAAAAUCUUGAAAUUAAUCAUGGUGUGUUCUUUCAAGUGUUCUUCUUCUUUUUUCUUCUUUUUUUUCUUUUUUUUUUUUUAAUGUUCGUAGGAUCCAGUUUAGAUACGUUUGAAUCCUUUCUGCUGUUCUACUUGAUUUCGCCGAGGAUAAUGUUCUGCCUACGGAAGUUGAACAGGAAUGAAAGUGAGAACGAUGGAGGCUCGAAGAAGUGAGAGUUUUGUGAUCUGCGAUUGAGUAAUAGUUUAUGCAUGUUUGCGAAACAGAAGAAAAGAAGUGGAACGGUAGCAGAUUCAUGACGAAGAAGAAGAACUCGUGCCUUGUGGUGUAACGGCGUUGGACUAAGAAAGAAACGAAAGGAAAUAAAAAAAAAAAACAAUAAGUAAAAUUAAUAAAUUAAACAUAAUAAAUAAAAAAACUAAAAAUAAAAUGCGGAAUAAAAAUGAUUGGAAAGUGUGAGUCCUAGCUAGACAGUUGCAGCUUGGAAAUAAUUUUAAUCGAAUUUCAUUUGAUUCGAAUUCAUCUAGUUUAAGAGUAAUUAUAUUUGGAUUUCGAAAUAAUUUGAUUUUUUAGUUUUUAUUUUCUUUUAGACGAAAUGGAUAAGCAGACAAAAAAAAAACAAUAACAAAGAAAAGGAUAAAAAAAAAAAUCUCAUUUGCUUCAUAUUAGAAUUACUUUUACGGGUCAUUUUAUUGAUUUCCGUCUUUAAUAUCGUUAGUGUAAUUCUCUUUAGUUGAAAUUAGACUUUGACUUUGAUUUUGAAAAUUAGCUCACGGUGGUCAUGCCUGGCUCAAUAAUAAGGCAAUAAAUAUACUUUACUCCAUUCGUACCGGAUUAUUUUACUGCACUCUACUUUUUGUUGUCAAUUUUUAUACCGCAUUUGAGUAUAGUGAGGUAUUAGCUCAUGGGAAUCAUAGCUAGGGACUUAAUAACAAGACCAUUUUUUUUCUAACUCAUAUUGGAUUAAUGUCACAAAAAACCCCAAACCAGUAUAUCUAUAAUAAAUUUAUCUAAAACAAUUUUUUUGAAAAAUAGCCUAGUUAAAUAAAUGCACGAGGCAAAUAAGUAGCUAAUAUUUUCGUUGUUGUUAGGAGCAAGAAGUACCUUAAAGAAUGGCCCAACCUUUUGGCCAUGAUGUUUGUGGACUCGAUAAGUAAGAUUAAAGACCACGAAUUAGACUCCUCCGCUAACUUAUUUGUCCAUCAAUCAAGAAAAGCACCAUAAAUUCCUAAUGAGACCUUUCGUGGGGUGGGGUUUGUACGGGAUGAUAUUACACCAGGCCGAUUCCCACGACACCAGAGAAUGGAAAAGACCUCAGGCGACGGAAAUGCCCGUCGCUAAAUUGUAAAAUCUCGUUCCCGUCUCUCGCUAGGGACGGAAAAGGGGCUGAAUGGAACCGCUCCAGAGCAUGAGCAAGUUUUCUUUUGUCAUUUAAAUAGUAAUAAGAGCAUCUUUAUCUAAUAGUUACCGUAUCGAUUGAAGUAGUGCAAGAAUUCAUGAUCUAUUGUUCACUCUCAAAAUGUUUAAAUUGUGCCAAGAAUUCAUGUUUUAGAAUGAAUAACGAGAAAUAUUUUGAAAAGGUUUGGAGAUAGAGAAAUGACCCAUCCACUUAUUUUGAUGUGUAUAUGUCUACACAAUGAGUGAAGAAUUUUUUUGUUGUCUGUGAGAUCUUGUCUUGAAUGGUCCCAGUAACAUGGGAUAUACAUGGUGCAAUGUUGUACCGAGCAAAUUUUUCUCAAAGGUUAAUUUCCUCACUCGGAAAUAACGAAACGUGAGUAGAGUCAAGAAGAAGACAAAUUGCUUCACCUUUUAUGCUUAGUUAAGACAAAACUUUGUGUAAUUGCACGAUAAAAUGGGGUACCGCAUACACAAUAGCAAACAGUUUGCUCUGUUUUUACUUAACUAGACAAUAUGAACAGAACGACCAAGCCCAGGGAAAAGUAGAUGCGUCAUUGAAUGACUAAGUGCGGGUUAUGUUAGAUGAUGUUCGGCAAGUACUAAAAAUUUGCUCUGCCGUGCAACGACAUAAUAUUCUUAUGAGUAGAAAUUAUCUUCAACUGGUCUCCUUGAGCACAUAAUUUAUCUCGAUGUGAAGUUAAGACUGAUAGAACAAGAAGAAAUGCAUGACUGGCUAUUUUACUCCUAGAAUUGCGUUCAAAUGAUUCAAAACGUCAAGUUUUGUUCCUUUGGUCACAGCAAUGCAAGCUCGGUUGUGCCUUUGUCGACAUGCCGCGAUUUCAUUAGUUUCCUAUAACAAGCGAACUUCUAUAAUAUUUGCAAAAUACAACCAAUCGUACUUUGAAAUUAAGAUCUUUUCAUAGAUAUCAAUGGUGCCCACAACAGUAUAUUCUGGUCUCUGGUUUCUAUCCGUUUUGUCAUAAACAAACCAAGCAGUAGAAAAAUAGUAGACAACAAUGUUGGGCUAAUGCACAAUCCAAACAACUAUAAUUGUGUGGGAGUAACAAUCUGCACAAGACAAUGGCCAAUUCCACCUCUACCUCCCGUCAAUAAGGGAGACUAAUCAAAAUUCUAAACAAUCUUAAUUUCUCUUAAUGGAUUACACAAUAGAAAUUACAUUCAUCAUAAGUGACCAAAGAAAAUGUUCACCAAUCGUAAUUCUAAAUGAAAAUAGCACUAAUAUCACAAACAAAAAGGACCCACAUAGUGCAAUCAUCGAAAGGGGUCAGAUGGGCACCCAAAGUCUUCAAUUUCAACCCUAUAAUCACACCAUUUCAUAGACUUUUUUGCCACUAUCCUUUCAUAGACUUUUUUGCUACCAUCCUAAUGAGUAACCAAAGUCUUCAAUUUCGACCCUCAAAUCACACCAUUUCAUAGACUCUUUUGCGAUUAUCCUUUCAUUGACUCUUUUGUCAUUGUCCUAAUGAGUAAUCAAAGUCUUCAAUUUCGACCCUCAAAUUGCAGCAUUUCAUACUCUUUUGUCAAUAUCUUAACGAGUAACCAAAGUCUUCAAUUUCGACCAUGAAAUCGUACCAUUUCAUAGACUUUUUUACCGCUGUCCUAACAAGCAACCAAAGUCUUCAAUUUUCACUCUCCAAUUGUACUGUUUCAUGGACUUUUUUUGCCGCUGUCGCAUCCUGUUGUUAUAUGACCCAUUGGUUUGCCAACUACCAGGCAAAUAAAGAUCUAUGGGUUGAAUUUUCAGUCAAUCAUUUGUCAAUUCGGCCCCGAAGGUUUUUAUUAUGUUCCCUAGUAGCUACACAUUAGGCCGAUUCCCACCACCACCAGAAAAUGGAAAAGACCUCAGGCGACGGAAAUGCCCAUCGCUAAAGUGUAAAAUCUCGUUCCCGUCUCUCGCUAGGGACGGAAAAGGGACUGAAUGGAACUGCUCCAGAGCAUGAGCAAGUUUUUUUGUCAUUUAAAUAGUAAUAAGAGCAUCUUUAUCUUAUAGUUACUGUAUCGAUCGAAAUAGUGCAAGAAUUCAUGAUCUAUUAUUCACUCUCAAAAUGUUUAAAUUGCUCCAAGAAUUCACGUAUUAGAAUAUAUGACAAGAAAUAUUUUGAAAAGGUUUGGAGAUAGAGAAAAGACCCAUCCACUUAUUUUGAUGUGUAUAUGUCUAUACAAUGAGUGAAAAAAAAAAUUUGUUGUUUGUGAGAUCUUGUCUUGAAUGGUCCCAGUAAUAUGGGAUAUGCAUGGUGCAAUGUUGUACUGAGCAAUUUUUUCUUAAAAAUUAAUUUCUUCACUUGGAAAUAACGUCGGUAGAGUCAAGAACAAGAUGAAUUGCUGCACCUUUUAUGCUUAGUUAAGACAGAACUUUGUGUAAUUGCACAAUAAAAUGGGGUACCGCAUACGCAAUAGCAAACAGUUUGCUGUGUUUUUACUUAAGUAGGCAAUAUGAACAGAACGACCAAGCCCAAGGAGAAGUAGAUGCGUUGUUGAACGAUUGAGUGCGGGUUAUGUUAGAUGAUGUGCGGCAAGUACUAAAAAUUGGCUCUGCCGUGCGACAACAAAUCUUCUUAUGAGUAAAAAUUAUCUUCAACUGGUCUCCUUGAGCACAUAAUUUAUCUCGACAUGAAGUUAAGACUGAUGGAACAGAAGAAAUGCAUGACUGGCUAUUUUACUCCUAGAAUUGCGUUCAAUGAUUCAAACAUCAAGUUUUGUUCCUUUGGUCACAGCAAUGCAAGCUUGGUUGUGCCUUUGUCGACAUGCCAGGAUUUCAUUAAUUUCCUAUAACAAACGGAAUUCUAUAAUAUUUGCAAAAUACAACCAAUCGUACUUUGAAAUUAAGUUAUUUUCCUAGAUACCGAUGGUGCCGACAACUGUAUAUUUUUGUCUCUAAUUUCUAUCCAUUUUGGCAUAAACAAACCAAGCGAUAGGAAAAUAGGAGACAGCAAUGUUAGGCUAAUGCACAAUCCAAACAACUAUAAUUAUGUGGGAGUAAGAGUAACAAUCAGCACAAAACAAGGGCCAAUUCCACCUCUAUCUCCCUCUCAAUAAGGGAGACUGAUCAACAUUCUAAACACUCUUAAUUUCUCUGAAUGCAUUACACAAAAGAAGUUAUAUUCGUCAUAAGUGACCAAACAAAAUGUUCACCAAUCGUAAUUCUAAAUGAAAAUAGCACUAAUAUCACAAACAAAAAUGACCCACAUAGCGCAAUCAUCAGGUGAACGAAAGGGUUCAAAUGGGCUCCCAAAGUCUUCAAUUUCGACCCUAAAAUCACACCAUUUCAUAGACUUUUUUGCCACUAUCCUUUCAUAGACUUUUUUGCUACAAUCCUAGCAAGUAACCAAAAUCUUCAAUUUUGACCCUCAAUUCACACUAUUUCAUAGACUCAUUUCCCAUUGUCCUUUCAUAGACUCUUUUGCCAUUGCCCUAACGAGUAAUCAAAGUUUUCAAUUUCGACCCUCAAAUUGCACCAUUUCACACCAUUUCAUUGACUUUUUUGCCACUGUCCUUUCAUAGACUUUUUUGCUAGACUCCUAACAAGUAAACCAAAAUCUUCAAUUCACACUAUUUCAUAGACUCUUUUCCCAUUGUCCUUUCAUAGAUUCUUUUGCCUUUGUCCUAACGAGUAACCAAAGUCUUCAAUUUCAACCCUUGCCAUUUCAUAGACUCUUUUACCAUUGUCCUAACAAGCAACCAAAGUCUUCAAUUUUGGCUCUCAAAUCGUACCAUUUCAUAUGGACUUUUUUAGCCGGCUGUCGCAUCCAUUUGUUACAUGACCCGUUGGUCUACCAACUACCAGGCAUAUAAAGAUCUAUGGGCUGAAUUUUCUGUCAAUCAAUCAUCUGUCAAUUCGCCCUGCAGCUACACAUUAUGGCAUAGCACAAAGUCAUGCUAUCAUGCACCUAGAGAUUCAUCAGCAUUGCCCAAAUUUUGCAUUUUAUCACCAAAAUAUGCAUAAGAAUAGAAGAUUUGAUAGGAUUUGAUUAUAGAAAUAUAUGUAAAUAUAUUAUUUCUUGCAUAGCGGUUAGAGAAUUGUUAAUGAAAUAAGCAUAAAAAAAUAGAUGUUAGGAUAAGAGCUUUUAUAAAGUGACCUAAAAUUAAAUUGUUACCCAAAACUCACAUGAGAGCGCCAUGUGGUACGUGGCUUUUGUGUAUCGUUCUUUUUAAUAUAUAUAUAUAGUUACAUAGAUGGAAAAAUUGUCCAAAAUCCUAAACCUAUUGUAUUUGUUAAUUUAAUCAUAAAUUUUUCAAUUUAACUAAUUUAGUCAUAAAUCUUUUCAUAUUUUGCCAAUUGAGUCAUCCAGUCAAUUCUGAUCAAAAAUCGCUAAAGUGGACAUUAGACGUUCCAAUGACUUGACCAGCACUAAAGUAAAUAAUUUUAAAUAAUAUUUUAAUAUUUUUCGAUUUUUUAUUUCUUUUCUUUUUAUUUUCUUCCCUUUUGCCUCUAAUUGAUCAUCAAGCUGGACGAUCGGCUAGAAGAACCGGUGAGGUUGACCUCACCAACCUCAAGCGAGCCUCGCCCACAUAUGGCAAGGCUCGACUUGGCCAUUCACAUCCAUUUUCUCCUUUCGUUGACUAGUCAAGCUUUCUCAUUUUUUCUUUUGUUGUCAUCAUGUUUGACUUUUUAACCAAUCCAAUAAUCAAAUAUGCUCAAAUGUUAGACAAUCUCCUUUAUUCUACAUAACAUAGAUCAUAUUCCUUCAUUGAUAAACGUGUUUUGAUAUGUGUCUGUUCUCUUCCUUGCUAUUAGCGUCGAUGAUUUUUACAUUAUGUUAUAUGGGGUUGUUAUUCAUGGAAUGUGAGAAAUGCCAAGUAAAAGUAUUUGUCCAUUCGGACACAAAAGAUGUUGCCUUAAAGAUUAAGCUUAAAAUUUUGAUAAAAUAGAUGGGAAAUAGAAAUUUUUUUUUGAGAUUCGUAUGAUAAAAAAUAAGUAACACUGUUCAAAAACACUAUGAACCAUCUUAAUUUCCCGAAGACAUUACACAACGUAAAUCACAUUCCUCAUCAGUGACCCAAGGACGCACACAUUCAUAUCACAAGGCACCAAGCACCACCUAUAAAAUGUGCUUCACUCUCUCAUACUCGUUGUGUUUUUAUGUUUGUGAUAAUUACUUGUAGUAUUAUAAAAUGAGCCUCAUUGAUAGUGAUAAGUAAUUAUCGUAUAAUAAACCUUGAUGUAGGACUUUACUCUCACUUUAAUAAUAAGAUUUUUCAUGUAAUAUAACUUAAAUUGAGAAAAAGGGAUAUGAGAAUAAAAUAACAUUUAACCUGCCUUGGAUCUUUGAUAUAUACAUGGUCGACUAGUUUCAAAUGUUAAUUACCACAAUAAUAUGUGUGAAUCUUUUUUUUUGGCAUCGAUUAAAUCACAAAAAUAUGUAUAAGAAUUAGAGAUUUUCUAGCAUUAGAGAUUUUUAAGUCCAUAAAAAUUGAAUUUAUAGGCAAAAUUCACAUGUGAGAGUGCCUCGGUUGACCCAGUCUCCACGGAUGAACGUCAAUUAUUUGCGUCUACUUUCUCCUUUUGUUGACUAGUCAAACUUUCUCAUUUUUUCUUUUAUUGUUACCAUGUCUGACUUUUUAACCAAUCCAAUGGUCAAAUAUAACCAUUUCACAUACGCUUUUGCUGCUUUCUCCACGAUUGACCCGAGUCUUCCAUGCAGCUACACGUUAAGGCACUGCACAAGGUAAUGCGCACGCACCUGAAUAUUCGUAGGUACUGCACAUGUGUUUCAUCACUUUAAAAGUCAUUGGUUCGAUGCAUCCUAGCAUAAGAUGAGCCGUGUUCAUCUGCUUCACUCUCUCGUACUCUGCUCAUCAAAACAAAGGAGUCUUUGUUUCGAACAAAAUGGCUUCCUCAUCGUGCUUCUACAUGUCCAUACACUUUCUUUUCUUGUAUUUGUCAUCUCAGCCGAUUGGCGCGCACAAUCUCUCUCGUUCCACGACACCUCUGUGUCACGAGGACGAAAUGUCUGCCUUGCUGCAAUUUAAAGAGAGAUACAAAAUCAGAAAUGUUUCCGAUGAUCCUCUUGCUCGUCCUAAGACUCUGUCCUGGAAAAACAGUCGAGAUUGCUGCUCUUGGGAUGGGAUCGAGUGCGAUGAGAAUACGGGCCAUGUAAUUGUUCUCGACUUGGGAAGUAGUUUUCUCUAUGGUUCUAUCGACAACAACAGUACCCUCUUCCAGCUUGCUCAUCUUGAAAGGCUCAAUCUCAGCAACAAUCACUUCAACUACUCUCAAAUACCGUCCCGAGUUGGAUAUCUCUCGAGAUUGACUCAUCUCGAUCUCUCUGCUUCCGUUUAUUCCGGCCAAGUCCCCACAGAAAUCUUUGAGCUAACGAGGUUGGUGUACCUCAACCUGGGUUGGAAUUUGGAUCCACGUGAUGAAAGAAAUUUGUUGCAGAUGAAAGCGCCGGGCCUGAGAAGCCUAGCUCAAAAUCUGACCAGCCUGGAAGAACUUCUCCUUGGUUUCGUCAAUAUGUCGUCCCAAGUGCCCAACCCUCUGGCGAAUCUGUCUUCACUGAGAAGGCUGGACAUGAGUCAUUGCGACCUGCACGGUGUAUUUCCGUCUGUCAUUUUUCAUUUACCGAAGCUGCGAUAUCUAGAUGUGGGUUACAAUGAAGUCACGGGCCGCUUGUCUAAGUUCAACUCGAGUAGUCCUCUUGAAGAUCUGCGACUGGGAGACACGAGCUUUUCUGGGGAGCUACCCGCUUCAAUUGGAAUCCUUCCAUCCUUGAGCUAUCUCGGCGUAGGUUAUUGCAGAUUCUCAGGAUCCAUCCCGGCUUCACUUGCUAACCUUAGCAACCUCAAAGACCUGGAUGUCUCAGGGAACACAUUCACUGCCCAGUCCAUUUCCUCUAUUUCUUGGGUUUGGACGAAGAAGAAGCUCGCAACUUUGGCACUCGGAUCGAACAAUCUAUAUGGCGAGAUUCCACCCUCAAUCGGAAACUUGUCUCAGCUUGAAUAUUUAUGGUUAGCGAACAACCAAUUAAGCGGUGCCAUCCCAUCUCAGCUCAUGAACCUCACUCGACUGACUGUUUUAAACCUCGGAAGCAAUCGACUGUCGGGUUCUAUACCGUCUUGGCUUAUGAACAUGACUCAACUGGUUGACCUUGACCUUUCAGUCAAUAAAUUCCACGGUGAGAUACCUUCAUCAAUCUCUCAACUUCAAAAUCUAGAGUACCUUCCCCUUUACGAAAACAACUUCAGCGGUACUAUUGAGCUAGACAACUUUCACAAGUUCAAACAUUUGGGAACGCUGCAAUUAUCAUUUAACAGGCUAUCAGGCUGCAUGAGUAGCGCAAAUCUUAUUAUUCCUCAGCUUACUACCCUAGGAUUGGCUUCAUGCAAUUGAGUGAGUUUCGGGCAUUCUUACAACCAAGAGGAUAUUGAGUGGUUGGACUUGUCCGAUAACAACAUUACGGGAGAAGUGCCCUUUUGGGUGUGGGACGGAAGAUUUAAAUACAUGCAGCACCUGAAUCUCUCCCAUAACUUCUUAACUGGUCUUGAUCGAUAUUACCCGAUGCACGCUUUAGAUAUGUACACGAUAGACCUCUCUCAUAACAUGUUGAAAGGACCACCCCCUGAAGCACCGUCAUCGACAGUGACCUAUAUAGUAUCCAACAACAGCCUGACGGGAGCGUUGCCAGCAUGGAUAUGCAAUUUAAGUUCAGCAAUCACACUAGACUUGUCUUUUAACAAUUUGACCGGUGUGCUUCCCAUUUGUUUGGGCAAUAUCAGCAAAUCACUCGUGGUAUUGAACCUAAAAGGCAACAAUUUCCAAGGAAGCAUUCCAGAGCUCUCGAUGAGGGGGACACAAUUGACGAUGAUUGAUUUGAGUGACAACCAGUUGCGAGGCAAUUUACCGAGGUCCUUGGCCGAUUGCAAAAAGCUCGAGUUCAUUAACUUUGCAAACAAUCUUAUCAUGGACACCUUCCCAUCAUGGUUGGGAUCACUACCGGAGCUUCAUGUCCUUAUUUUGCGAUCCAAUAAAUUCCACGGUGUCAUAGAGAGGCCUAAAUCUAGUCAUGCAUUCCUUAAGUUGCGGAUACUUGACCUCUCUUCUAAUGCAUUCAUCGGUAAGUUGCCCAUGGAAUUCUUUCAGUCUUGGAAUGCCAUGAAAUUCGAGAUGCGAAACUUUACAUACAUGUAUAAAGAUCUAAAUCCGCCAUUAUUCAACCCAUUCGGCUACUAUGGCCACUAUGAUUUUUCUAUGAUAGUGAUUUACAAAGGGCUUAAACGGUAUUACCCAAAGAUACCAGACGUCUUCACAUUCAUCGACCUCUCCAACAAUUUGUUAAAAGGAGAGAUCCCUAGCACCAUAGGUGAUUUCAAAGGACUGCAAGGCUUGAACCUUGCCAAUAAUUCCCUCACUGGUCACAUCCCAUCAUCGUUAGGGAAUCUCACAGCGCUUGAGUCAUUGGACCUUUCUCAAAACAAACUCACUGGACAAAUCCCCCAGAAGCUAACAGAACUCGGGUUCCUUUCUUUCUUGAACGUCUCUUACAACAAUCUAACCGGGUCCGUGCCUAGAGGGAAACAGCUCGAUACGUUUUCGAACGAUUCUUUUGAGGGAAACUCAGGACUGUGUGGGGAAUUCAUAUCCACGAAAUGUCGAGAUUCAUCGGAUAAGUCAAGACAACCUUCAACCUACCAAGAAGAUGACUUGGGAUCACCAAUUGAACUCAAUUGGAAGAUUGUUCUUAUGGGGUAUGGGAGCGGCUUAGUGAUUGGAGUGGUCAUCGGAAAUGCAUUCAUCUCUUGGAAACAUGAUUGGUUUGAAGGAAAUGCCAAGAGAAGGCGACGGCCUAGUCGGAGGCAGCCUAGGAGAGGUAGGAACUCCUGGUCAGGCAAGUUUCUCAAUAUAUGCAGAUAUUAGAACUGACUUAAAAACUGAGCUGGGUAUUUCCUUCUUUUUCUCAAAUGUACUUGUUUCUUCGUAGUAUCUUUAUAGUUAUUUAUGUCAAACUUUGUUUUCUUCAACUAAUCUCUCGUCAUGUCUAUUUAUAAAGUCAUUGUCAACUUGUAAACCUAGCUCAUGUGCACCUUUUCCUAUCAAUGUUCUAGCAUGAGUACUACAAUCGAAACCUAGCUCAUGUGCACCUUUUCCUAUCAAUGUUCUAGCAUGAGUACUACAAUCGAACACUAUCCGUUUACGGGUUCUAGUAAAACAAUCGAUACUAGUGGUACACUGUUCUCAUAACUUUAUGCAAACUAGACUCUUAUCCGCACCUCAAUCAUCUGCUUUAGUUAUUUGUCACCUCACAAAUUAUACAAACAACAGUUGUAUUGACAUUUGAAACAAAAUCCGCAUUUGGAGAUUGAUUGGAUAAGAACCAUGACAAAUGAUUCUCGUGAAAAAUAUACAUAUUACUUUUUCUUAUCGGAUCUUCUUUUAUGUUUGUGUGGUAAAAAAAUUCUCUCUCAUAAAGCAGCAUAUCAUGCGGAGAAGCAACAUGGCGUAGGAGAAUUUCCUAAAGUUCUUACCAUGCUUGCUAAUCAUGUACUUGGUAAAUGUCAUUUGAUUUAUCUAGUUAAACUUUUCUUUUUUUCUCAAAGAAUGAUCAUUUGAUAUGUUGAACUAUUGUUGACACCUGAAUUUUUGCCGAAAAGUCAAGUUUCAGUCUUUGUAAAACCAAGAAAAAUAAUAAUAAAGCAACAAACGACAGAGUCCAAUUCGGCCGUUUAUGCGAGGACCUAAACCCAUUUGCCUGAGCCCAUCUAUUAAGUCUAAGUCGCUCACUUCAGCCCGGUCCACUAACCCAGACCACUAGCCAAGCCCAUCAGGAAUUUGGCUACCCACCAGCCUAGCCCAUGAAGCCCAAAUUUAAAGUCGCAUUAAGCAACUUCUGCACAGGCCCUGAUUUGCAAGUUUAAGUCGGAGCCCACAAAGCCCGUGAGAGUUUGGCCCAUAAAGCGCGCGCGUACAGGAACUGAGAAGAGCGAAGGAAUUCUGGCAAGGGGACGUUGGCAAAAGAACCGACUCUCCCUCUAGCUUCCUCUCUCAUCCAACUGACUUUGGUGAAUCCUUCUCUCUAGAAUUCAAUUCCAGAGAAUUCGUACUCGAUUCUUCUUCUCUGGACAUCGCUCGCAGUUGCCGCCUUCAAUGGUCGCUUCAAUCCAUAGCCACUGCCAUGAGAAAAAGGCUCUGUUCGCCUUGUUCUCAGUCAUUGUCGCUGAAGAGCUUGAGCCGCGGUUCGCCAUUUACUCUUUCGUUGAUUCCCCCCUUCAAAUUUUUUUUCUGUCACUGUUUUUCUCUGGUUCAAUCGAUAAUUAUUGCAGGUAAACAUCCCUACUUAAGGAACCAUAUCUGCUCUGUUUAUGCUUAAAAACAGAGGCCGCGAAUCCUGCAUACUGCUUGUGUACAGAUCUUAUGUAGCCGAGCUUCCGCUAGCGAUUUGAACUCAUCGUGUUUUGGUGAUGAUAUGGAGACAAAUUCUUGGCAUGUUCCUGCGUUUAGAUCAUUAGAUUAAAUUGUCUACCAUGUGUUCGACAAUUUUUUAGUGAAACCUGCGUGUGAAGUUGAUUCAAAUCCUUGCGUAUUGACGUUUGGUUGAUUCUUACGUGUUCAGACUGAGACGUCUGUGUUUGAUCCUCUCAUUGCACCAUCGAAUUGACCUGCUGUGAUGCUCCGCCCGAGACGUUGCCUGCUCUGUCUUUGCUAAUUUUCAACCUCCGCUUCAGUCCAUUUCGUUAGUCUUAUUGUCAAACGUGAACAUAUGCCGAUUGAACUUUAGAGGUGGCUAGGAAUCACCUAUAUGAAAAUUGAUAGAAUAAUUAAAUAUUAAACAUUGCCGUCGUCUAAAAGCUUAAUAUUUAGAAUAAUGAGCAAUGAUCUCACAAAAUCUCAUAAAAAAAAAAAUUGAUUGGCUAGGAAGUUGAACGGAAACAAAGAGGGAACGAUGGAGGCUUGAAGAAGUGGAGAGUUUUGUAAUUCUGCAAUUGAGUAAUAGUUUCUUAAUGUUUGCAAAACAAAAGAAAAGAAGUGGAACGGUAGCAGAUUCAUGACGAAGAAGAAGAAGAACUCGUGCUUUGUGGCGUGACGGCGCUGAACUAAGCAAGAAACGAAAGGAAAUAAAAUAAUAUAUUAAAAUUAAUAAAUAAAAACGAAAAAUAAAAUGCGGAAGGAAAACGAUUGGAAAGUGUGAUUCCUAGCUAGACGGUUGCAUCUUAGAAAUAGUUUUGGCUGAAUUUCAUUUGAUUUGAAUUCAUCUAGUUUAAGAGUCAUUGUCUUCAGAUUUCAAAACAAUUUGAAUUUUUAGCUUGUAUUUUCUUUUAGAUUAACAGACAAAAAAACAAUAACAAAGAAAAGGAUCAAAUGAAAAAUCUCAUUUAGCGGUCAUUUUGUCGAUUUCCGUCUUUAAUAUUGUCAGUGUAAUUCUCUUUAGUUGAAAUUAGACUUUGAUUCUGAUUUUGAAAAUUAGCUCACGGUGGUCAUGCCCGGAUCAAUAAUAAGAUAAUAUAUAUUCUUUACCCCACUCAUAUCAAGUUAUUUUACCGCACUUCACCUUUUUUGUCAAUUCUUUUACCGCAUUUGAGUAAAGUGAGGUAUUAGCUCAUGGCGAUCAUGUUUAGGGACUUAAUAACAAGGCCAUGUAAUUUUUUUGUCAAACUAAUAUUAGAUUGAGUUGAUAUCACAAAAAAAUCCAAAAUCGAUACAUUUGUAAUAAAUUUAUUCAAAAUUAAUUUUUUUAAAAACACCCUAGUCAAAUAAAAGCGCUAGGCAAAUAAACAAUUAAUAUUUUCGUUGUUUGAAGCUAGAAGUAUCUUAAAGAAUGGCCCACCUUUUGGCAAUGAUUUUUAUGGACUCGAUGACCCUCAAAUCGUACCAUAUGCCGCUGUCCACUGUCCGCUUUCCUAACGAGCAACCAAAAUCUUCAAUUUCGACCCUCGAGUCGUACAAUUUGCCACUAUCCAUUGUUCUUACGAGCAACCAAAGUCUUCAAUUUCGACUUUCAAAUUGUAUCAUUUCAUAGACUUUUUUGUCAUUGCCUUAAAGAGCAACCAAAGUCUUCAAUUUUGACCCUCAAAUCGUUCCAUUUCAUGACUUUUUUUACCAUUUCUUAAAAGUUAAUAUAUAAGGCCAUUAUUAACUUGUAAAACAAGCUUAUGUGCACCUUUUCUCUUUAUAUCAAUGUCCAAGCAAAAGUGCUCCUACUGAACACUUGAUUCUACCACAGAGAUUCAUCUUCACCCAGGGUUCACAUCACGAGCUGAUACCCGAUUACAAAUUCCAGUAAAACGAUCAAUAACAAGAUUACGGUGCUCUCAUGACUUAACCCAAUUUAGUAGGCUCUAAUCCGACCUUUGAGGUGACAUUUAAGACACAAUUCGCAUACCAGAACUGUACCAAACGAUUCCCAUGGAAAAACAUUUUGCCGGCAUAAUCUCCGCCUCUCUCCUCCUUGUUUAUGGGGGUGAUUUCCCAUCUCUAUCGUCAUCUGCCGCUCCACAUAGCUUCGAGCUCCAAGCCUGCGACGCCAUGAUCGCUUGGGAUCGAGAGUCAGUUGAGGAAGUCGACGAGAAGCUCCUGGUUGCACAAUUCCCUCCCCACCGCUGGCGUUAACAGAGCAGAAGCAGAGCCUGCAACAACCCAACAAAACCCUCGCAACCACAGUCACAAGAGCAGCCAUGGCUGAUUUCUCCUACCUUUCCGACACCGGCAACUCCGCGGUGAGGUGACUCCGCGGUGGAAGACCUCAUUUCCCAGAGCAAGGACCUCUUCAUCCUCGAGCCAAAUCGCUGCCAUCAACUGCUCCUCGGAGAACGCAAUUUCCCCGCCCCCAAAGCGGAAUCCGGACGAGAAAUCGCGUUGGAAGUCCACCACGAAGUUACGAUCCAGACUCUUCGCCGAUGGAUUAUUCCGAUUCGUGGAGGAGGACGAGGUACUGUCGGAUUUGGGGGCUUUCUCCGCUAAAGAGCAGAAGAAAAGUUGCUGAAUAAGGCAACGGAGGAACGGAGAAGAUCGCGAGGAUGACGAAUCAAAUGGAGGCGUAGGCUUUAAUUUAUUCUUACUCAGAUCUCUUCGUUUGUUCGCGCUUCCGCGUUAGUCGUAACAUGAUUUGUUACUUUCUUGGCAGACGUGCCCUUAAAUAUCUAUUUACUUCAUUACUAAAUAGUAGUGAUUACAAUCUCGGCAAAUGUUUUGGGUUUCAAUAUAAGAAGUAACUUUUUCACAUAACCGUGAUUGGGAAACAAAAAUCAAACCAUAGAUGCUGGCAAAUUGCUUGGCUACGGCCUAACUAGGUCGAUUUCGAAUUUCUCGUCGAAAUCUUUAAAUGCCAUUACUUCUAUGUUUUGAAAGAGGAAAUGAGGGUGAACUGUCAUUAGGAGGAAAUGAGUAGUUUGGCAAAACCACUGCUAAAUCGAAUGAUCUGGUUGAAAUUCAGGCUGAGCUGAGUGGAACUUUAAUGCCUCUCUCAAAUCUCAACUAGGUAGAGUGGUCUUCUUAGGCUCUAAACCUGGUGAUUUUACUCAUGAUAAUGCUUGGAGCUUAACUAGGGAGAAAAAGGCCAAGGUAACUCGGCAUAGGCUAAUUUGGUUUAAUCCAAAUGUGCCGAGAUUCGGCUUUAUAUCUUGGCUUGCUAUCCUUGCCACGUUGCAGCAGACUAGUGAUAGAUUAUGCAAAUGGCAGAACGGGAAUGGUAUUUGUGUCCUCUGUGGAUUGCAGCCCGAAUCAAGGAGACAUUUGUUCUUUGAUUGUUCUUUCUCCUCUGAAAAAUGAAGUAGGCUUUUGCGGCUAUGUGGUAUAAGAGGUUUUGUGGGAGAUUGGGACGCUGAGUUUAUGUGGGUGUUGCAGACAUCAAAGGGAGAUCUCUGGAAAGUCUUAUUAAAGGUGGCAAGGAAUGGUGUCAUUUAUUUCUCAUGGAAGGACAGAAAUACUAUAGUUCACAAUAGGAGAGUUGCAUGUGCUGAAAAGGUUUACGAGAGUAUCUUGUUUGUGGUAAGGUUGCCGAGCAAAUUCUUUUUUUUUUUUUUUUUUUGUUAAAGGUACUUUUUUCACUGAGACGUAACAAAACGUCAUAUAGCCAAGAAAGAAAUCACAUUACACCGUGUUUUUGUGCUUAGUUAAAAGAUAAAACGUAGUAUAACGGCAAUAGAUUGCCGUACCAAAGAGACAAUCACAAACAAUGUGCUUUGUUUCUAUUCAAAUAGGCAAUAUGGAUAUAAAGAUUGAGCCCAAAGCAAAGUGGAUCCAUCAUUGAAUUGCCUAUGGAUGCUUGAUGGGCUACAAAAGAUUGGAAAAAGUGUCCAAAAAGUAACAAACCUUUUGUACUUUUGUCGAUUCAUUAUUAAAUUUUGCAAUUUUACCAAUUAAAUCUUAAAUAAUUUUACGUUUUAUCAAUCAAAGUGCAUUAAGCCAAUUUUGGAUUAAUAUCGCUGAUGUAGAUAUUGACCAUCCUACGUGACAUGGUCAAUGCUGGGAUGGACUUUUUUUUUUUUAUAAUAUUUGAAUAUUUUUCAUCUUUUUUUUUUCCUCUUUUCUCUUUUUUUUUUUCUCUCUUUUCUUUCUUUUACUUUUCCUUUCUCUCUCUCUAUCUUUUUCUUUUCUUUUUCCUUCUUUCCUUUUUCCUUUUUCCCUCCACCGGCCACUACCAAGACUCAUUGAUGGUUUGUCAAAGUCACUAGCCUCAGGCUAGGGCCGCCCUCAUCAACCCUUGGCGAAGGUCAACCUCGCCAAGGCAGGCGAGGACUUGAGGCACACCAAAGGCUAGCGACCUCCAUUGGCUUGGCGAAGAGAGAAAAGGAAAAUGAAAAAGUGAAGGAUAGAAAAAAAAAAAUAUAUAUAUAUAUAUAUGUAUAUAUUAUUUAAAAUUGUCAAUGUCAAUGUCAAUCGUACUACAUAGGAAUGGUCGGUGUGCCAACACUCACUUAAGCAAUUUACAGCCAAAAUUUGCCAGAUUAACUCAAUAAGCAAAAUAUGAAAAAUGUUUAGAUUGGCGUGCCAACACCAACUUAAGCAAUUUGCAACCAAAAUUGACCUGAUUAACUCAAUGAGCAAAAUAUGAAAAAUAUUUAAAACUCAAUUGGUAAAAUUAAAAUAUUUAUGACUAAAUUAGCAAAAUCGUAAUAGAUUUAAGAUUUUUUUAACAAUUUUCCACCCAUAGAUUUCAUGCUUUCUUACUUCAGCAAAUGAGGACCUUGUUUGUUACAUUGUAAUGCGUGGAGAUGUCGAGAAGGUUAAAAUAGAGGAUCUCAAGAAGGUUAAGCGUGUGUCGGUCCAUGUUCCCAAGAAGUUUGUUCCCACGGCUAGGCCCGAGACUAGUGCUCAGACUCUAGUUGUACUCAAGACUUAUUCCCUAAUGUCUAUUUCGUAAUUUUCUUAUAAUAAAUGAUUUUCCUAUUGAUUGGUAGAUACAAACCAACAUGCCUUUAAAAUAAGCUCCUUUCGAAAAAUUUCUAGCAAAGUUCAUUUUUUGAGAAAUAAAUUAAACUUGAGUUUAAACAAACUGCCUUGAUUGAAUAUGGGACUAAAUGUAAUAAAUUUGUUGUUUCUUGUGAACCGAUAAGUAUUGUUUGCGCAAUGAACAAAGGAGCUUGAUGUUGCCAACAACACAAUUUAGUUUUCUUUUGUUUUCUAUUUAUUUCAAAGACAGAAACAAGACUGUUCCAAACUCUAAUUAAUCUUAAUUUCUCCAAAUGCAUUACAUGGCAUAAAUUACAUUCCUAAUUAGUGACUCAAGGAAAUGUAUACAGAUCAUGAAUCCAAAGUCGAAACAGCACUAACAUUGCAAACAAAGAAGUCCAACACAGCACAACCCAAGUCUUCAGCUACCCUUUAUUAUUUUUUAUUACAUGUACUUUUUUGCUGCUUUCAGUAUGGUUGACCCAAGUCUUCCAUGCAAAAUGCACAUAUAUAUGUGCCUUUUGCUGCUUUCUCCACGGUUGACUCGAGUCUUCCACACAAACGGAGAUCGAUUGGCUAAGUUCAGAAUAUGUGCCCAGCAGCUACCUACUACGGCACUACGGAAAGUAAUGCGCACGCGCAUAAAAUAUUCAUAGGUGCUGCGCGCGCGCGCACAUUUAUAUAUAUAUAUAUAUAUCUGCGUUCUCCAUGGUUGACCCAAGUCUUGCACGCAAAUGUAGAUCAUUGGCUGAGUUCAGAGGAGGUGCCCGGCAGCUACCCGUUACGACGCUGCGGAAAGUAAUGCGCAUGCACAUAAAAUAUUCAUAAGUACUGCACAUUGUGCGUUUCAUCAUACGAAGAGUCAUUGAUUCAAUGCAUCGUAACACGAGAUGAAGCCUGUUUAUAUCCCCAGGCACCCAGCGCCACCUAUAAAAUCUGCUUUACGCCCUCAUACUCUGCUCAUCAAAACAAAUUUCUCUCUAUUUCGAACAAAAUGGCUUGCUCGCCGUGCUUCUACAUGUCCAUACACUUUCUUUUCUUGUACUUGUCCUGCCAGCCUAUUGACGCGCACAUCCUCUCUCGUUCUGUGAAACCUCUUUGUCUCGAGGAUGAAAUGUCUGCACUGCUACAGUUUAAAGAGAGGUAUGAAAUCGCCAAUGUUUCGGGUGGUCCUCUUGCUCAUCCCAAGACUCUAUCCUGGAAAAAUAGUCAGGAUUGUUGCUCUUGGGAUGGGAUCGAGUUCGAUGAGAACACAGGCCACGUAAUUGUUCUCGAUAUGGGAAGUAGUUUUCUCUAUGGUUCUAUCGACAACAACAGUACCAUCUUCCAGCUUGCUUAUCUUGAAAAGCUCAAUCUUGGCAACAAUCACUUCAACUACUCUCAAAUACCAUCUCGAGUUGGAGACCUGUCAAGAUUGACUCAUCUCAAUCUCUCUGCUUCCUUUUUUUCUGGCCAAGUUCCAUCAGAAAUCUUCAAACUUACAAGGUUGGUGUACCUCAACCUGUGUUGCAAUCUAGAUCCACAUCAUGAUAGAUCUUUGUUGGAGAUGAAAGCGCCGGGCUUGAGAAGGCUAUCUCAAAAUCUGACCGGCCUAGAAGAACUUCUCCUUAGUCUCGUCAACAUGUCAUCCCCAGUGCCCAACAAACUGGCGAAUCUGUCUUCACUAAGAAGGCUGAACAUGGAUGAGUGUGACCUGCACGGUAUAUUUCCGCCUGCCAUUUUUCAUUUACCGAAGCUGCAAUAUCUUAGUGUGGAUGACAAUGAGGAUCUCAUGGGCCGCUUGCCUAACUUCAACUCGAGUAGUCCUCUUAAAGAACUGCAACUGGGAGGCACAAGCUUUUAUGGGGAGCUACCGGCUUCAAUCGGUAAUCUCCGCUCCUUGGAGAUAUUGAAUCUUGAAUUCUGCAAUUUGACAGGGUCCCUACCCCUGUCAAUCGGAAACCUUUCUUUGUUGAGUCAUCUUGGCAUAUGUGGUAACAACUUCUCAGGAUCCAUCCCGACUUCAUUUGCUAACCUUAGCAACCUUGAAUACCUAGAUGUCGGAAAGAAUCCAUUCAUCGCCCAGCCCACUUCCUCUUUAUCUUGGGGUUUGGAAGAUAAAAAAGCUUGCCACUUUGAACCUCUGGAGGAUCAAAUUAUAUGGCGAAAUUCCCCCUUCAAUCGGAAACUUGUCUCAACUUGUGGAGUUAAACUUUCUUGGCAACCAAUUAAAAGGUACCAUCCCAUCUCAACUCAUGAACCUCACUCAGCUAGCUGUUUUGAAACUCGGAACCAAUCAACUAUCAGGUUCUUUACCUUCUGGGCUUGUGAACAUGACUCAACUAGUUGUGCUUGACCUUUCACGCAAUAAAUUCCACGGCCAGAUACCUUCAUCAAUCUAUCAACUCCAAAAUCUCCAAGUGCUCCGCCUUUUCGAAAACAACUUUAGCGGUACUAUUGAACUAGACAACUUUCUCAAGCUUAAACGGUUGUUGGUGCUCCAACUAUCAUCUAACCAGCUAUCAUGCCGCUCGAGUAGCACAAAUGUUAUUCUUCCUCAACUUGGGGUCCUAGGACUGGCGUCAUGCAAUUUGAGAGAGUUUCCAGCAUUCUUGCAAACCCAAAAGGAUAUGAAUUUGUUGGACCUGUCGGAUAACAACAUUACGGGAGAAGUGCCCUUUUGGGUAUGGGAUGGAAGAUUUGAAAGCCUGCAGUACCUGAAUCUCUCCCAUAACUUCUUAACUGGCCUUGAUCGAUAUUACCCGAUCAAUCCUUUAUAUAUGUACACGAUAGACCUAUCUCAUAACAUGUUAAAAGGAACACCCCCUGAAGCACCAGUGUCCAUAUUACACUACAUAAUAUCCAACAACGGGCUAACGGGAGCAUUGCCACCAUGGAUCUGCAAUUUGAGUUCAGCAAUCACACUAGACCUGUCUUCUAAUAAUAUGACUGGUGUGCUUCCGGUUUGUUUGGGCAAUAUCAGUGAAUCUCUUGCGAUAUUGAACCUAAAAGGCAACAAUUUCCACGGGAGCAUUGCCAAAGUUUUGUUGACGGGAACGCAACUAACAAUGAUCGAUUUGAGUGACAACCAGUUGCAAGGCAAGUUACCGAGGUCCUUGGCCAAUUGCAAAAUGCUCAAGUUCAUCAACUUUGCAAACAAUCUUAUUGCGGACACUUUUCCAUCAUGGUUGGGAUCUUUACCAGAGCUUCAUGUCCUUAUUUUGCGAUCCAAUAAAUUCUACGGUGUCAUAGAGAGGCCUAAAUCUAGUUCCACAUUCCUUAAGUUAAGGAUACUCGACCUCUCUAUUAAUGCAUUUACCGGUAAGUUGCCUAUGGAAUUCUUUCAGUGUUGGAAUGCCAUGAAAUCCAAGACGGGAAACUUUGCAUACAUGCAAAGAAACGUACAGCAAUCAGAUUACCUUAUGUACAUCGGCAAUGGCAUUUACAAUUUCUCCAUGACAGUGAUUUACAAAGGGCAUAAAACCAUUUACCCAAAGAUAUUAAAAGUCUUCACGAUCAUUGACCUAUCUAGAAAUUUUUUCAAAGGAGAGAUCCCUAAUGUCAUAGGUGAUCUCAAAGGAUUGCAAGGACUGAACCUUUCCAACAAUUUCUUCAGUGGUCACAUCCCAUCAUCGUUGGGAAAUCUCACAGCACUCGAGUCAUUGGACCUUUCUCUGAACAAACUGUCAGGACAGAUCCCCCAAAAACUAUUAGAACUCAAUUUCCUUUCUUUCCUGAACAUCUCUUACAACAAUUUGACUAGGUUUGUGCCAAGAGGGAAACAAUUCAAUACGUUUUCAAACAAUUCUUUUGAAGGGAACUCAGGACUCUGUGGAGAAUUCAUAUCCAAGAAAUGUCAAGAUUCAGGGGAUAAGUUGGGAAAACCUUCAACCCACCAAGAAGAAGACUUGGGAUCAGCAAUUGAACUCGAUUGGAAAGUUGUUCUUAUGGGGUAUGCGAGCGGCUUAGUGAUUGGAACAGUCAUUGGAAACACAUUUAUCUCUUGGAAACAUUUUUGGUUUGAAGGAAAUGCCAAGAGAAGGCGACCGCCUAGUCGGAGGCAGCCUGGGAGGGGUAGGAACUAUUGGUCAAGCAAAUUUUUCAAUUCAGGUAGAUGUUAGAACUUACUGGAAGAAUAAGCUAAGUAUUUCCUUCUUUUUCUUAGAUGUACUUGUUUCUUCAUAGCAUCUUUACAAAAAUUUAUGUCAAACCCUCGCUUUCUUCAAUUAAUCUCUCAUCACAUAUGUUCCCCACCUCUCUAACGUAAAAUUACACUUUUUAUUCUUUUUUACAAAGCCAUUGUUAGCUUGCAAACCAAAGCUCAUAUGCGCCUUUUUUCUAUCAUUGUUGAAGCAAAGUACUCCUAUGUAACAAGCAAAUCUAAAUUGUCACAUGGAUUCUUCUUUAUCCAAGGUUCACAUUACAACGUGAAACCCUUUUACAGAUUCGAGUAAAACGAUCAAUAGCAAGACCAAAGUGUCCUCAUAACUUUAUGUAAAUCUAGGCUCUCAUCCGCACUUCAAUCAUUUGCUUUUUUUGUUUCUUUGUCAUCACACAAAUUAUGCAGACACUGUUGUAUUAACAUUGGAAACAAAAUCCACAGUUGGAGGUUGAGUGGACAAGAAUCGUAACAAAUUAUUCUCUCGGAUCUUCUUUUACGUUUUUGCGGUUGGAAAUAGGGAUUCUCUCUCAUAGAGCAGUAUAUUAUGCAGAGAACCAACGGGGCAUGGUUGAAGUUCUUAAAGCUCUAAGUCUGCUUGCUAGUCAUGUACUCUGGAAUUUACACAGUAAAUCUAUUUGAUUUUUUGGGUUAAUACCCUGAAAAACCCCAAAAUGGUACAUCUGUGACAAAUUUACCCCAAACUAUUUUUUUUACCAUAAAAAACCCAAAACUGGUACACCGGUGACAAAUUUAUCCCGACUAACCAUAAAAAAACCCUAAACUUGUACAUUUAUGACAAAUUUACCCCAAAAUUAAUUUAUUCAACCUCCAAAAACCCCAAACUAGUAUAUCAUAUAGCCUAGAUUAAAUUGGAUUAAUACUACGAAAAAAUCAAAUAAAUUGUAAACUGUGACAAAUGGAGAGUAAAAUCCUAAACUGAUAUAUCAGCCAACCGUCACGUGUCAUUCAACUUAAUAAUUUGACAAUAAAAUUUAACAAAAACUAACAUAGGGUAAUUUUGUCACAAGUGCACCAGUUUGGGGUAAAUUUGUCAAAAGUCUAUCAGUUUGGGGUUUUUGAUAGUUAAAAAAUUAGUUUUGGGUAAAUUUGUCACAUGUAUACCAUUUUUGGAUUUUUUAGGGUAUUAACCCUUAUUUUUCUGUACAUCCAUUUCUUUUUCCCGUGAAAGGAUAGUUUGGUAGGAUGGCUUCUCUACAGCUAAUUUAAUCACUUGGAAUGGUUCUCAAGAUAGUGAUUGGUUGAUUAUGGCUCAAAGUUAACGUUGAUCGAUCCAAAAUCCGACACGUUCAUUUUUUAUUUUAUUUUUUUGGCUCAAAGACACGUAAUUGAAUCUUAAGGAAAUAUGGCUAACGAUAGGAAAGUCCGAAUUGAACUCUUGCCAAUAAGAUCGUGGGUGAUGGAAAAAAGAAAAUCCCAUUUCCUGUAGCCUUCGUUUCCUUAUUGAAGUAUAUGUUGACGUCGGAGAAGGGCUCAUAGUAUUUAUGUAUAAAAUUAUUCUGUUGUUUUCAUCUCUGGUGCACAGUAGGUGCGCUAAAGCACGCUAAAAUGUGCGGAAUUUGCGAGAGUCACAGAGCAUCGAGUGCGUUCUAACAAGAGAACUGAGAUUUUGAGAAAACUAAUUCGUUGGGAUUGAUUCUUUUAAGUUCGGGUGCUAUUUAAGACUUGGAGACACUUGAGAUUAGAGUGUUCAAAGGAUUGUAAUCUUCUUUUUGCUGAUCAUAGCGAAAUCAUGUCAUCGAUCUCUUCGUGAGGUAUGCCCACCUUCGAACCACGUAAAUCCAUUGGGUUUUAGAUUGAACUUCUGUAACAUAUUUCUCGCUUGAAUUGUUUCCUUAAUUCGCGGUCCCGCAUUCGUCGUAUCGUGAUUUGCGUUUCUUUCUUCGCAGUUAUGCCCUUAAAUAUUCGUGUACUUCAUUAUUAAGUAGACCGCCACUUGUUUUGGUUUCAAGAUAAGGAAGCAACUUUUUCCGUAGCCCCAAUUCAGAAACAAAAAUUAAACCAUAGGUGCCUGGGAACUGCUUGGGUGCAGCGUAACUAGAGGGUUCAUUACUGAAUUUCUCGCCAAAACUUGUUAAUGUCAUUACUUAUAUAGCGAUAAGUGAUUAUCGUGUAACAAAACCAAAACUUGGGACUUUAUUCUCAUUUCAGUAAUGUAUAAUUUCAUGUACAAACUAAAUUUAGAAAAAGAUAUUCGAGGGCAGAAUAUAAUUUACCCUGCCAUGGAUCUUUGAUCAUUCAUCUAAUUUGAAUCUAUAUAUACAUCAAUUAAAAUUUUAAAAUGUCUCAUUGCCAGAAUCUGCAGAAGUCUAUUGCUUUUUGCACAUCGAUUAGAUUAUCAAAAUAUGCAUAAGAAUUUAAGACUUUCUAAAAUUGGAGAUAUUCUAAAGUCCAUAAAAACUAAAUUUCUAGGCAAACCUCACACAUGAGAAUGGGGAAAAUUAUUUAAAAACUUCUAAACUUAUUAUACGGUGGUCAAUUCAAUUCUAAAUCUUUCAAUUCUGCCAAUUUAGUCCUAAACAUUUUAACGAUUUACCAAUUUAAUCAUAAACUUUUCAAUUGUGCCAAUUUAAUUCUAAACAUUUUCAUGAUUUGCCAAUUUAGUCAUAAACAGUUGACAAUUUGUCAAUAUAGCCCUUUCAACUAAUUAUCCACAAAAUUUGUUUAUAACUAAAUUGGCAAAAUUUUGAAACAAAACUUCAAAAGGUUUAGGUGCCCAUAUCCAAGUACCCAAGACCUAUGCCAAUUCACCAAUGCCCUAGCCUAAGUCCACGGCCAAAUUCCAUGGAGGUGGGCUCGUGACCCCAGUGCUUGUGCCUAGAUCCCCAAUGAUGAUUCCCAAGUGCUUGUCUUCCAGGCCCGAGUCCAAAGAAGUCGAACUGAAGACCCAAGUGCUUGCACCCAAGUCGUCAAUAGCCAUGCCCAAGUACUUAGCUCACACACUGGAGACACUAAUGCUUAGGCUCUGGCCCACAACGACCGAGCUCAAGGCCACGAUGCCUAUGCCCAAGUCCCUAACUCCUACGUCCAAGUCAUCGAUGAUGCCCAUGACUAAUUUCUCAUCAGCUAGGCCAAUCGGGCCUAAGACCUCGACACUCGUACUCAGGUCCCUAAUGGCCUUCCCCUACUCUUGUGCCCAAGUCAUCAACAAACAAGUCCACAAAGGUUGGGCCUAAGAAUUCAAUGUCUUUGUUGGAGUCCCUAGCGGCCAUGCUCAAGACAAGACCCCAUUGAAGUGCCUAAUUCUCCGAUAGCCUUACUUGGAUAAUUGACCACUAUCCCCACGUUACUAGUCUAGGGCUCAAUUCCUUGAUGGGCAAGCCCAAAUCUGUAGAGACUAGGCCUACCUCCCUCGAGAUUGGGACUAAGCCCCGGUGCCUAUUCCCAGGUCCUUGAUACCCAUGCCCAGAAACUUGGGUCCUACACCCAAGUCACCAAUGUCUUGGCCUAGGUCCAUAAAAGUCAGGGUUCUUAGUGGUUGGGCUUGAGAACUCUGCUCCCUUAAUCGAGAUUCCGACAGCUAGGUAUCUCUUACAUAACACGUCUAGCGCUUGUCUUUUUAGGAAAAUAAAAUCAAAUUUGCAUUUCUAAACUAUAAAAAAAAAUUUUCAAUCCAUUUUCAAAGUUCAGACAAACACCUGAGAAUAUUCUUAUUUUCUUAAAAAAUGACUUCCUAAAAAAUAUUUCCCAAAAAUGUGAAAUUUUUUGCAAAACAAACGGAACCUUAAUGUCUUUCUAUACAAUCUCUUCUUCGUUUUCCCUUAAAGAAAGAUCAUUUCAUGAGGUUGCUUUUUUACAGCUAAUAUAAUCACUCGGAAGGGUUCCCAGAUGGUGAUUUGUGGAUUAUGGGUCGAAGUAAAUGUCGUUUGAUUAGAAAGCUUGCGCAUAAUUGAAUUGUCAGGGAACUGGCCCAUGUCAAGAAAGUCUAAAUUGAACUCUUGCUAACGGGCCCCCAAGACGUCCUUUCCUUAUUGAAGUUGAGGUCCACGUUGACGUCGGUGAAGGGUUUGUGGCUUUCUAUGCAUAUAAAUUUUCUAGAGUUCGGUCUGGUAAUUUUCUAGAGUUCGGUCUGGAUACUAAGGACGUGUUUCAUAACGUUUCUGUUCAAAAAUUAUUCUAGGAUUCGGGGAACAAUUUUUGAACAGAAAAAAGUGUCUGGUAACUACACAAAAUUUAUGUUUUUGGAAUAGAAAAAGAACAGAAACACAUUUAGUAAACUUAUAUAAUUUUUUAUUUUUUAAAAUUUUUUAAUAUUUUUAUUUUCUUUUUUCUUUUUUCUUUUUUUUUCUUUUGGCCGGUCGCCGGCCUCAGCCAUGGCCGAUGACCAACCGACGAGGGCCAGCGGCCUCGCUCAGCCACAACAAGGCUCAGCAACCCCCGGCGAGCCUCGCCGAUGGCUGGGCGAGCUCAGUCUUGCCAGAUUUGGGCGAGCUCGAGCUCGCCCAGAUCCGGCAAGGUCGUCGGCCCUCGAUGGCCGGUCGCUAGCCGAUCACCGGCCAUGGUUGAGGCCGACGACCAGCCAAAGAGAAAAGAAGAAGAAAAGAAAGAGAAGGAAAAAAUAUUAGAGAAAAAAAUAGUUUGUCGGAAGUGUUCCGGAAAAAAAAAGUAAGUUUUUAUUGUUUCUUGUUUAUGUUCCAAAUUUGUUCCCAAAAACAAAAAAAUAUAUUUGGAACAAAAAGGUAAACAAACGCAUUUCUGUUCUUUUUUUGUUCCUUGGAACAAAAAAACAGAAAUUGUGUUCAUGAACACAAAAAAAAAGAACACAAACAAACCGGGCCUAAGUGAGUGCGCUUGAUAUAUGUGGAACUUGCGAGAGACAGAAAGCAUUGAAAGCCUUCCAGCAAGAAAUUUAAGAGUGAGAGAACUCAUUUGCGGUGAUUGAUUCUUGCGAGUUCAGGUGCUAUCUAAAAUUGAGAAACGGUUGAGAUCGAGCGUUCAAGCAAUGGGAAUCUUCUCCUUACCAUUUAUGAUGGAACCAACUUGUUGAUCUCUCCUUGUAGAGUAGGCACACCGCUGAACCGUGUUCAGGUUUUAUUUUUACAAUUUAUUUCUUACUUGAAUCGCUUUGUUUGUUCAUGCUUCCACAUUAGUUGUAACGAAGUGACAUUAGAAACAAGUUCAUUGUUGAUUGGUUGUUCUAGGAAUUUUGUCAGCCACGAUAAUCAUUAUGGGCUCUGUGAUCUUUGAGUUAGAGAAAUCCACAAUUUUAAUUUUGUGCGCAUUAAGAUGCUGGAGACACAGGAUUUGGAUUGAGCAUUUAAGGGAGAUGAUAAAUUUCCCCAAACUAUGAAAGCUGCUAAAAAGGAGAUAUUUUGAAAAGAGUUCCAGGUUUUAUUCUGCUGAAUUUAGGGAACAAUGUUUUGGCUUCAGCGGCAUAUGAGAGGAAUGUAGCCGCAGUUUCGGCGAAACUUGAAAGCAUUAUACAUGUUUAAAUCACUCUCAAAGGUACCUUUCGCGUUUUUUAACUUUUCAGUUUAUUGAAGGAACAUCAAUCCAGGAUCACCUGUAUAAGUUCAAUAUAGGGUGAGUUUGUUUGUGUUUCUAUUUAAAAAUUGUUCCAGGGAACAGAAAUAGAAAAAAGUGUUUCUGUUCCGGGGAACAAUUUUUGAACAAAAAUAAGCGUUUGGUAAACUUGUUCCGGGAAUAAAAAAUAAACAUAAACAUGUUUGGUAAAUUUGGAUAAUUUUUUUAUUUCUUUUAUUUUUUCUAUUUUUUUCUAUUUUUUCCUUUUUUUUCUUUUUUCUUUUUCCUUUUUUAUUUUUUUUCUUUUGGCCGGUCGCACUCUACGCGAUCCUAGAGAUUACCAUGACCACAAAACAAGUCUCUCGGGAUUGGCUUUGUCAUAGGAUCUACUACGGUUCUAUGCGUAGUAUCUACGGUAAGUUCACAUCCUUUCGAGAACCAUAUCUUUACAAAGUAACUUUGUAUCUAGUGUGGGGUCUUGCCGUGAUACUUNNNNNNNNNNNNNNNNNNNNNNNNNNNNNNNNNNNNNNNNNNNNNNNNNNNNNNNNNNNNNNNNNNNNNNNNNNNNNNNNNNNNNNNNNNNNNNNNNNNNNNNNNNNNNNNNNNNNNNNNNNNNNNNNNNNNNNNNNNNNNNNNNNNNNNNNNNNNNNNNNNNNNNNNNNNNNNNNNNNNNNNNNNNNNNCAAGACCAUGUAAAUAGUCGACAAACUUUUACACAAAUUUUUUAAAGACACUGAGUUCCAGGCCGUAUGUUUUUGUUUCACAUGUGCAUGAUCACAACCAAUCGGGUUCCCGAAAAGCUUUCGGGAUGGAAAUACUAAGUCAGCGAGUCUGAAGCGGAAGUCGUUAUUCUCGUAGUUUUGGAGUAUGACCAAUGGUAUCUACCCAUGUUGGGUGGACAAUAUUCAAACUUGCAAGUUAAUGUUACAUGAAAUGUAUCUUUCAGGUCAUCCGGGUUAAGCUGAGGUUGGAUUCACUUAUCUAAGAGGUCUUUCCAAAGAUUGUACUGUGGGCUUCAUUGCAAUUUCAACAAUGGAUUUGGACCCGGCCAAAAGAAAAAAGAACAAGAAAAUAAGAGAAAAAAGAAAAAAAAAGUGUUUCUCAAAAGUGUUUCAAAAACAAGAAACACAAAAUUUGUGUUUCUUGUUUCUGUUCCUUUUUUGUUCCCAGGAACAAAAAAACAGAAAAAGUGUUUAAAAACAGAAAAAAGAAACAUAAACAAACGGGCCCAUAGUCAUCAAUGAUAUGAAGAAUGUGGAUGAGAACCUGUUGACCAACAGGUGGAGGAAGCGUGAACUGGUGAACCUGCUAAUUUACUCAAGACUGCGAGCAUUUGGGUGCCCCGCAUAUGGCCACGUUAGGGAUGCUAAGCUAGAACCGAGGAUGAAGAAUUGCAUAUUUCUAUGCUACGCAGUACGCACUAGGGAUGGAAGGUUACAGGCCGUCGUGUUCAGAUCCUAAAAUCACCCAGAUUCAUCAACAGCAGAGAUGUUGCAAGGAAACUCAGUAAGUACAGACUGGUGCCACGAGACAAGCGGAGCUUCGGUUGGAGGCUUAGCGGAAAACGCAGAUAGGAAGUGAGGAUAGAGGCCCCAAGCCGGCCGUCAGUGAGGGCACUAGUCAGUAGGGGUGUAAACGGUUCGGUUCGGUUCGGUUUUUUUGAAAAAGUGUAUUUGCCUAUGCACUAGGGAUGAAAGGUUACAGGCCGUGGCGUUGGGUUCCUCAGAUCGCCCGGAUUUCAUCACCAGCAAAGAUGUUGCAAGGAGACAUGGUCGCCAGUAGUAUUCUUCAAAAGCGAUGUCAGGUGUACAGCUUCAGCGAUGGAUUGGUGCAACGAGAGAGGAGAUUGGAGUCGCUUGAGUGGAAUCAAACACGGUAAUCAGUGGUAUCUGGCAGAAGAUAGGGUGCAAGUGGGCGUUCAGAAAAGCGCAUGAUAGUUUUGAUUCACGAGCGACCAGAUACAAGACCCGCUUGACGAAGGGGUUCGCUGCACGAGAUAUUCUCACUUGUGAUGAAGCAUAGUUCAAUCAGGGUGGCGUUGGGACUAGUUGCGGCGGACGACUUGGAGUUGGAGUAGCUCGAUGUUAAGACGGAGUUUCUAGACAAGGAAUUAGAGGAGCGGAUAUUCAAGCAAUAGCCAGCAGGCUUUGUCAUUUCGGUACAUUAAGGCAAUGCAUGCUUGCUCAAAUGAUCUGUUUAUGGCUUUAAGCAAUCUUAUAGUGGUACAAACAAUAUGAUUCCAUUCAACAUUAUAUAAGAGUGCUCAUGAUCAUUGCAUGUACUCUAGGAGGUUAUACGAUGGUAGCUACAUUUGUUUAAUGUUAUAUGCUAAUGAUAUAUUGACAGUAACUACAAACAAUUGAGACACCAAUUGAGGAGUAAUUUCGAGAUGAAAGAUUUUGGUGCACCAAGAAAGAUAGUCGGUAUGAAGAUCUAGAGAUAUAGGUUUGUAGUGACGCUUUUGGCUAUAACAAGGUGAUUACAUAUGUAAAGUUCUUAGGCGACUUACUAUGCAAAAUAUCGAACCGUUGAUUGUCUCACUAGUUGCAUACUUCACGGUUUCACCUUACCUUAGACCAAAAUCGGAGGAUGAGAUGGAAUAUAAGGCCCACUCGAGCCAAAGGGGUCUCAAAAGCAUUUCUCGGCAGGCUAUGUAAGACUAUUUAGUUAGAAAGCUCAAGUAUGUCUGUGACAUCCCGAUUUUCCAAUUUUGGUUUCAAUUAAAUAAGUCGGGCAUUUCAUCUUCGCGUCUAUAGCUUUCUUCUCUGAGUUGGCCACUCACGAGAUAACUAGUCUAUCAGGUGAAGCCGUUAAGGAAUCAAAACGCAAUAGACUUGAGAAUUCGACCAUGAAUCGGCUACUCGACCGUAUUAAUCUGCAAGGAUCAUUACGACACUGUCAGAAUCGAACAGAGAUCAGUAAUAGGUCGAUUCGACUGAGAUAUGUGAUUAGAGUGUGGGUGAUUCCACCUGAUCGCAAUAUCCUCAUCGACCGGCACUAGACCGAUUCUUCUGUCGUUUUGGGUACCCUGUGUCCGUAAUCGAAACCUCGAGAUUUCUACGACAAUCGAGAGUCGCCAAGGUGUCGAAGAUGCACUUUGUGGCUUGAAAAUAAUCAACCACAGGUCAAUUGCACAGAAAAUUCCUUCUGGCUACCCGGUAGAUUAGGACGUGCUAAAGUCACGCCAGAUUGAAAUUAACCGUGAAAUUGAACCCGAUUAUAGAAAUUGGAAGUUCUGUCAAGUCACAAUUCAUUUUAGGAAUGUCGACUCAUCUCCAGAAGAUUUUUCUACAAACCGAGAUUUUUGGCGGAAAAGCAAAGUAAUGCCGUUUUUGUUCGGGAUUGUCAGAGGGCCGUUUUUAAUCGAAUCUUCGGGAUGCAAGUUGGAUCAUUUGACGGGGAAAUGUCAUGAGAAGGCUGAGGACACAUGGGUUGAUUUAAUUGAGCUUCAAUUGGAUGGAACUGAGUGAGAAUUGAUUGAAUUUGAUGCACAAAUGUCUAAAAUUCGUAUGCCAUGGGGCUAGGGACAUUUUGCACCUAUUAACAAGCUUGUGGAGGAAGCUUGAGGAGAGAGAGUGGCUGAGGUCAUGUGAUGUCAUGGUGGGGGCAAAGCCAAUGAGAGAAUGCCAAGUGUUGAGCUCUAAAGAGCCUAAGGAAACCCCCCUUGCUAAGCAGCCUCCUUCUCCCUUAAUUUGUGGCUUUCUCCAUUAUUGUUGAAGGAGAGAAGCUCAGCAAAAACCAGAGGAACCAAGCAGCACCAGCCCCUCCAUCGUCGCACGCCCGGAAGGCCAUCGUCGGCCGUUUUCCUCCUCUGUUUUCCCCUCGUUCCAGUUUCUGCUCCAGCUGACCUUUCGCCAAAGAUCCGAGUAAAAAGUUAACUUCCCGGUUGAAUCAGCGAACGAGCCACCCAUCGCCACGAAGAAGACAUCCAGACCGUUCCAGAGCACCUCGCCGCUCGCCGGAACGAUUCUCCGGUCGUCCCGUACGGCCGCCCGAAGCUGCCGCUCGCCGGACCGUCUGGUUCCGCCCUGCUCCGCCUGUUCCGCGUUUUCUUGCUGUUUCGCCCCUUUCCGACCCUUCCUUUGCCCAUCCCAACCUCCUACAAGAUCCCCAAGACCCCCGGGAGCCAUUGGUUGCCAACCACCCGCUUGCCGGAGCUCCGAUCGGCCCGUUUUCGCCGUUGAAGUUGCUGGUUUCUUCUCUGCAGUUCAGCCUAGAUCAGAAGCAGAAAACCAGAAAGCUGUGAGGUCUUCGAGGCCCAUUUUAGGUGUCUUCCCGGCCUUGGUUGGUGUCGCCGCCUUGAGGUUUAUCGCCCGCCUUGGCGUCGCCUUCGCCGUGGACUCGCCGGAAUGUUAAUCCGGUGAGUUUAUCCUCUAAUUCUUGCUUAGUGAGUUAAUGACGCUUAGGGGUGUUUAGAUUAGUCUAAUUAGGUUUAUGUGAUUAAAUUAGAUUAUUUUAGUGUAAAUUAGAUUAGUUGUAUGAUUAGUUUAAUGGAUGUUUAAUUAGGGCUAAUUAUAUGAUUAAAUUAGUGUAAUCUUGUUUAAGCCCUAAUUAAUUAUUUCGAAUUUUUAAAUAUUAUUUUAUUAUUUUAUAUUAUUAUAAUAUAAUAUUUAAUUAUUUAAUUUUCGGAAUUAAUUUUAAUUAUUUAAUAAUUUCGAAAAUUAUGCCGGGAUGGCCGGUCGUUAGAAUUUCGCGCUGAUCGCAGCAGUGCGGUCGGUUUGUGUUAAUUGUAUGUUUAAAUUGAGAAAUUGAGUGAUUGAUGAUUAUGGUUAAUAAUUCCAAAAGUAUGGAAUUGAGUGAUAUUGAUGAAGUUGUGGUAUUUAACUUGAAAAUACCCGGUGUUAGCUUUUAGCACCGUAAUUGGUUUGUGUGACCAGUUUGAAUCGAUUGGAUUGAUUGAUUGAUUGAAUUGAGAUAUGAAUUGGUUUAUAUAUAUGUAUCAGCUUGGGCGAGCAAUUAUGAUAUACACAUAUACAUAUAUAUAUGGCAGCUUCUAGUGAGCUAAGAUUGUUUUAUCAGCUUGUGCGAGCACGAUCUAUAUAUAUAUCAGCUUGUGAGAGCAAUGAUCGUUUAUCAGCUUGUGAGAGCAACGAUCCAUAUAUCAGCUUGUGCGAGCUAUCAUCUAUGUAUAUAUCAGCUUGUGCGAGCUACCAUCUAUAUCAGCUUGUGAGAGCAUUGCAUCCAUUUCAGCUUGUGCGAGCCGUAAUUGUAUUGAUGGAUGAAUAGAUGGUAUGGUUUAAUAGAUGAUAUGAAUUGAUAGACAUGUGGAUCGUAUGAUAUCAAUUGGAUUGACUGAAUUGAUAGACCGAUGGGUAUGUCGGUAGAUUCAGCUUGUGCGAGCAUUGUUUGAAUAUGAAUUGUACUGACGUGCAGGAAAGGGAUUGAGGCGAGGUAAGCCCUCUAUCCUAUUUGUGUGGCUAGAGCGCCCUGAGGCGUAUUUUCUUCCUAAUUGAGUUUUAGAUGGUAGGACUCGCUGAGACGUAGUCUCAUCCCGGUUGUGGGAUAAUAUUUCAGGUCCCUAGAUGACGGUCGUGGAGGACCGGAAGUCCUGGAGUUCGGAAGGUGGAGGUUGAAGAAUCGGCGAACGUGUCUGACAAGUUGGUCAUAGGACAGUUCCCUAGUUGUUGAGCCUGUCUAUUUUGUAGUCAAUCCAUUGUUGUAUAUAAACCUAUGUGUUUAUAAGAAAGCUUGUUUGGUUGUGAUUGAUUGCCUGCUUUUCUAUCCCAAGUUAGAUGUUGUCAGGGGAUUUGUUUCGCUUCCGCAUGUGCAAUAAAAAUGAAUGGGUCGGCGACGUGUCCUGGGAAGUCGCAUUUCUAUCGACCGCAGAGGGAUGUGCGCGCGCUCGAAGGAUCGGGGCGUGACAAUGUCCGAGGGGAGGCCUAAACAACAAGUUAGGUUCAACGUAAAUACCUAACUAAGCCUAGUCCCGCCCAUUGAUCGCUUAUGUUGGCAAGUCGAAAGGUACCCUUCUCUGUAGUGGAAAAUCUACAUGUAAUUAGUGAUUUUUAUGUUAUCUUCAUUGUAUCCAUAACUUUUCAUAUAAAAGAAAUAAUUAAGAACGUAUUGAAAUUCACUAAUGUCAUAACUAAAGAUUUGUUUGGACAUCCCAAUAACUAGUGGCCAGUUUUGACUGAGCACCUUCACAAAUAAUACAUUAAUCGGCCGAACAAGUCAUUUGUUUUUUUCCCUCGAUCCAACGGUGCAUACUCCUUCAUCAACAAUGAACGGUCCAGAAUGACCUCGGACGAAUAUUCAUUUUCAAGCCAACCAAACCAUCGGAAAAGGCCCAACCUCAUAUUAUCAUAUGACCAUUUUUGAAAUAAUUUUAAAAGAUGGAUUAUUAUAUAUACCAUGCCUGCACCAAAGAAAAAGCAAAAACAAAAAAAACACGUAACCCUCUUUGCUUGUACUCUUUAUUCUUCUUUUUCUCUUCUUUUUCGAAUGAAUCUGCUUUAGUAUCCUUACUUAAAUAUUGUGCAUGGAGUUAAAUAAUAUAUAUAACAAGAAAUCAAUGUACAAUAAGAUUAAUUACAGGAUUAAUUUAAAACCUUCGAAAAUGUUCCCAAAGCAAAUAUCAAUAUGGAAUUGAAGGCACUUCUUAAUAAAAUGGAUCAUUUCAAUUUACAAACCAUCUUUCUCGUCAUUAUCACUAGGGGAGUGUAGUUCUGAAAUUGGUCCAACUUCCAUCUGGUAUCUACCCUUUAGAACCGAUUCCCAAAUUUUUGAAAUAUAGAACUAUUAUACAUACUUUGAAACUCAGAACCUUAUCUGUUACAAAUUUCAAUGUCAAUUAUAAAGUCUAUCUAGGUUUCCCAUGCAUCAUUAAUUAAAUAUUGCAGUAAACACCUCUAAUAAUCACUAUUUGUUAUUAUAAUUAACUAACUAUAACUCAUAUUUAGACACACAAAAAUAUGAAAACAUUAAUAAAGUAAAAGUUCUAAUCAUACACAUGUUGGAAAUGGAAACUCAUACUAGAGUAGUGGUUUUAGAUUACGUAGGAAUUUCACAAAAUUGCUCGAAGACUUGGAACAAGAAAAACACAAAAAUAAAAUACAAAAAAGUACACAUCUACCUCAUCAUCAUCACCUUCCCCUCUCUCUCUCUCUCUCUCUCUCUCUCUACCAAACCCAGCCCUAACCAACAGCAAAUGCACCCCACGCACAUUUUCAAACACCCCCCUCACUUUCCGAUUUAAUUAAAUUUAAUUAAAUUAAAAUCAAAAUUAAAAUCAAAAUGUUAUAUAUAAAUAAACUUUAUAUUAACGCCCGCCCCUCCCCGUUUACUUUCACUCAAUCUCAUAAUAAUUUUUUUUAUUUUUCCUCCGUUUUAUUAACUCCCUUUUUUUGGGGCCCUUUUCCUCUAAAGACCACAUCCCCCCACCCAUCGGCGAUCCACCGGCAUCUCCCGGUCCGCGCCGCCGAUCGCCGGAGCUGCUCCGCCGCGCCGCCCUGAAGCUCGCCGCCCUCCCCCCACCGUGCACGGUGAGUCCUCCAUUCGCGGCCCCCGUCUCUGUGCUGCGGCCGCCUUGAAAGGUGGUUCCUUCAGUGUGUUUUGUGUGCACGUGGGCGUGCGUGCGUGCUUUUGGUGGUGCGUAACCCCACCGAGAUUCGCGAGCUCAACUCGACCUCGAUUCGCUCGAGCUCCGGAUCGCAGCGCCGCGAUCCGAGGCCCCCCGAGCUCGAGUCUCAGCUGGAGUCACUGUGAGUGUUGAUUAUCUGCCUAAUCCCUCCCGUAAUCUUCCCGGUUAAUCGCUCGCCGAUUCGCGGUUGGGCCGGAUACGGCGGAAUUCGCCGUUGUCCGGCUUCCGUCCGGUGAUUCUGUGCCGGGAUCUUGGUGAUUUGGCGCCCUAGUUGAUUUUGAACUGCGAAAUGGUGCUUUUUGCUGUUGAUUACAGUCGUUCGGGUCGAUUUUCGAGUGAAAUGCUCGGUUCCGCUAGGGUUUUGUGUUACUUCGCCUUUGCUCGGUGCUAGUGGAGUAUCGGUGUAAUUGAGGUCAAGUAUAAGUCGUGGACGCUCGGGCUUUUGGUGUUUUGACUUUCGAGGUAGGGUAGAGAAGUACUAGGCGAGUCUUUCUAGGGUUUUGAGCUGGUGCUGCUCACUGCUCUGUACGGUUUUAAUGUUUUCCGGUUCUGUCUCUGUGACUUCAGGUUUUACGUCAUAGCCCGCUGACUCGUCCUUGGUCUUUUGCGACGUUGAGAUUAUCUGGAUGCGAUGCAUGAUUAGUCGGUUUGAUUGCAUGGGGAAAUGAUAAAGCAACUCAAUUAGAGUUUUGUAGCUGUAUUUAUUGCGCAGUAUGCUGUGCCAGAAUGAGAAAGCAACUCAAUUAGAGUACCGUAGCCGUAUUUACUGUGCAGUAUGCUGUGCCGGAAUGAGAAAGCAACUCAAUUAGAGUUUUGUAGCCAUAUUAAUUGCACAGCAUGCUGUGCAGUAACAGUUGGCUCGAGUUGGCGUUAUAGUCCGCAUUUGGAGAUUGAUUAGACAAGAACAAAUGAUUUUCAUGAAAAAUAUACAUACCAGUCUUGCUUUUCGGAUCUUCGUUUAUGUUUGUGCUGUAGAAAUCGAAUUCUCUCCCAUAAAGCAGCAUAUUAUGCGGAGAACCAACAUAGCACAAUUGAAUUUCCUACAGUUCUUACUUUGCUUGCUAGUCAUGUUCUUGGUUAAUGUCACUUGAUUUAUCUGUUUGAUUUUUUCUUUUUUUCUCAAAACAGGAUCAUUUGAUAUGGUGGCUUAUUGUUGACACCUGAAAUUUUGGAGAUAAGUCAAGCUUCCAUCUUUGUAAAACCAAGAAUAAUAAUAAUAAAUCUAUAAAUGAGAAGAGUCCAAUUUGGACAUUUAUGCAAGGAUCUAAACCCAUAGUCUAACUCGCUCACUUUGGCCCGGUCUACCAACCCAGCCACUAGCCAAGCUCAUCAGGAAUUAGGCCGGCCCAUCAUCCUAGCCCAUGAAGCCCAAAUUUAAAGUCGGAUUAAGCAACUUUUGCAUAGGCCCAGAUUUACAAUUUUAAGUCGGAGCCCAUAAAGCCCGGGAGAAUUUGGCCCAUAAAGCGAGCACGUGCAGGGACUCAGAAGGGCGAAGGAAUUCUGGCAAGGGAUACGUAAUAAAGGACCAUAUUACACCAGAUAGCACUUCACGGACUGACAAAAUUUCCUUCUCUCUGGUUACAAUUCCAGAAAAUUCGUAGUCCAUUCUUGUUCUCCGGACAUCGCUUGCAGUUGCCGCGGUUGAUCAUCACUUCAAUCUAUCUCCACCACCGAAGAGGUGGCUGAGAAUCACCUGUUUGAAAAUUGAUAAAAUAAUUGCAUGUUAAACGGCAUCUUCAUCUAAAAACUUAAGUUUUUAAAUAGCUGAUAGCAGUUUCACAAAAUUUUGAAAUUAAUUUCUUUCAAGUGUUUUUUUUUCUUUGUUUAUAUGUUCGUAGGAUCCGGUUUAGAUACAUUCGAAUCCUUUCUGCUGUUCUAAUUGAUUUCGUCAAGGAUAAUGUUCUGCGUAUGGAAGUUGAACAGGAAUGAAAGUGAGAACAAUGGAGGCUCGAAGAAGUGAGUUUUGAGAUCUGCAAUUGAGUAAUAGUUUAUGCAUGUUUGCAAAACAGAAGAAAAGAAGUGGAACGGUAGCAGAUUCACGACGAAGAAGAACUCGUGCCUUGUGGUGUCACGGCGUUGGACUAAGAAAGAAACGAAAGGAAAUAAAAAGACAAUAAGCAAAAUUAAUAUAUUGAACAUAAUAAAUAAAAAACGAAAAAUAAAAUGCGGAAUAAAAAUGAUUGGAAAGUGUGAGUCCUAGCUAGACAGUUGCAGCUUGGAAAUAGUUUUAAUCGAAUUUCAUUUGAUUCGAAUUCAUCUAGUUUAAGAGUAAUUAUAAUUUCGAAAUAAUUUUCUUUCUUUUAGAUGAAAUGGAUAAACAGACAAAAAAAAAACAAUUAACAGAGAAAAGGAUAAAAGGAAAAAAAUCUCAUUUGCAUUUAUAUUAGAAUUACUGUUAUGGGUCAUUUUAUUGAUUUCCGUCUUUAAUAUCGUUAGUGUAAUUCUCUUUAGUUGAAAUUAGACUUUGACUUUGAUUUUGAAAAUUAGCUCACGGUGGUCAUGCCCAGCUCAAUAAUAAGACAAUAAAUAUACUUUACUCGAUUUGUACCGGAUUAUUUUACCGCACUCUACUUUUUGUUGUCAAUUCUUUUACCGCAUUUGAGUAACGUGAGGUAUUAGCUCAUGGGGAUCAUGUCUAGGGACUUAAUAACAAGACCGUAUAAUUUUUUUUGUUUGACUCAUGUUGGAUUAAUAUCACAAAAAAUCCCAAAUAGGUAUAUCUGUAAUAAAUUUAUCUAAAACAAUUUUUUCCUAAAAUAGCCUAGUUAAAUAAAUGCAUGAGGCAAAUAAAAGGAUAAUAUUUUCAUUGUUUGGAGCUAGAAGUACGUUAAAGAAUGGCCCAACCUUUUGGCCAUGAUGUUUAUGGACAUGAUAAGUAAGAUUAAAGACCACGAAUUAGACUCCUCCCCUAACUUAUUUGUCCAUCAAUCAAGAAAAGCACCAUAAAUUCCUAAUGAGACCUUUUGUGGGAUGGGGGUUCGUACGGGUUGAUAUUACAUCAGACCGAUUCCCACGACACCAGAAAAUGCAAAAGACCUCAGGCGACGGAAAUGCCCGUCGCUAAAGCAUAAAAUCUCGUUCCCGUCUCUCGCUAGGUACGGAAAAGGGACUAAAUGGAACCGCUCCAGAGCAUGAGCAAGCUUUUUUUGUCAUUUAAAUAGUAAUAAGAGCAUCUUUAUCUUAUAGUUACCGUAUCGAUCGAAGUAGUGCAAGAAUUCAUGAUCUAUUAUUCACUCUCAAAAUGUUUAAAUUGCACCAGGAAUUCACGUUUUAGAACGAAUAACGAGAGAUAUUUUGAAAAGGUUUGGAGAUAGAGAAAUGACCCAUCCAUUUAUUUUGAUGUGCAUAUGUCCACACAAUGAGUGAAGAAUUUUUUUGUUGUCUGUGAGAUCUUGUCUUGCAUGGUCCCAGUAACAUGGGAUAUGCAUGGUGCAACGUUGUACCUAGCAAUUUUUUCUCAAAGGUUAAUUUUUUCACUCGGAAAUAACGAAACAUCAGUAGAGUCAAGAAGAAGACAAAUUGCUUCACCUUUUAUGCUUAGUUAAGACAGAACUUUGUGUAAUUGCAUGCUAAAAUGGGGUACCGCAUACACAAUGGCAAAGAGUUUGCUAUGUUUUUACUUAACUAGGCAAUAUGAACAGAACGACCAAGCCCAAGGAAAAGUAGAUGCGUCAUUGAAUGAUUGAGUGCGCGUUAUGUUAGAUGAUGUGCGGCAAGUAGUAAAAAUUGGCUCUGCCGUGCGACAACAUAAUCUUCUUAUGAGUAAAAAUUAUCUUCAACUGGUCUCCUUGAGCACAUCAUUUAUCUCGACAUGAAGUUAAGACUGAUGGAACAAGAAGAAAUGCAUGACUGGCUAUUUUACUCCUAGAAUUGCGUUCAAAUGAUUCAAAACGUCAAGUUUUGUUCCUUUGGUCACAGCAAUGCAAGCUUGGUUGUGCCUUUGUCGACGUGCCGGAUUUCAUUAGUUUCCUAUAACAAACGGAAUUCUGUAAUAUUUGCAAAAUACAACCAAUCGUACUUUGAAAUUAAGUUAUUUUCCUAGAUACCAAAGGUGCCGACAACUGUAUAUUUUUGUCUUUGGUUUCUAUCCGUUUUGGCAUAAACAAACCAAGCGGUAGGAAAAUAGUAGACAGCAAUGUUAAGCUAAUGCACAAUCCAAACAACUAUAAUUGUGUGGGAGUAAGAGUAACAAUCAGCACAAAACAAGGGCCAAUUCCACCUCUAUUUCCCUCUCAAUAAGGGAGACUAAUCAAAAUUCUAAACACUCUUAAUUUCUCUUAAUGCAUUACACAAAAGAAGUUAUAUUUGUCAUAAGUGACCAAAGAAAAUGUUCACCAAUCGUAAUUCUAAAUUAAAAUAGCACUAAUAUCACAAACAAAAAGGACCCACAUAGCGCAAUCGUCAGGUGAACAAAAGGGUUCAAAUGGGCUCCCAAAGUCUUCAAUUUUGACCCUAAAGUCUUCAAUUUCAAUCCUAAAAUCACACCAUUUCAUAGACUUUUUUGCCACUAUCCUUUCAUAGACUUUUUUGCUACAGUCCUAGCAAGUAACCAAAAUCUUCAAUUUUGACCCUCAAUUCACACUAUUUCAUAGACUCUUUUCCCAUUGUCCUUUCAUAGACUCUUUUGCCAUUGCCAUAACGAGUAAUCAAAGUUUUCAAUUUCGACCCUCAAAUUGCACCAUUUCACACCAUUUCAUUGACUUUUUUGCCACUGUCCUUUCAUAGACUUUUUUGCUAGACUCCUAACAAGUAAACCAAAAUCUUCAAUUCACACUAUUUCAUAGACUCUUUUCCCAUUGUCCUUUCAUAGAUUCUUUUGCCAUUGUCCUAACGAGUAACCAAAGUCUUCAAUUUCAACCCUUGCCAUUUCAUAGACUCUUUUACCAUUGUCCUAACAAGCAACCAAAGUCUUCAAUUUUGGCUCUCAAAUCGUACCAUUUCAUAUGGACUUUUUUAGCCGGCUGACCCAUUGGUCUGCCAACUGCCAGGCAAAUAAAGAUCUAUUGGCUGAAUUUUCUAUCAAUCAAUCAUCUGUCAAUUCGCCCUGUAGCUACACAUUAUGGCAUAGCACAAAGUCAUGCUGUCAUGCACCUAGAGAUUCAUCAGCAUUGCCCAAAUUUUGCAUUUUAUCACCAAAAUAUGCAUAACAAUAGAAGAUUUGAUAGGAUUUGAUUAUAGAAAUAUAUGCAAACAUAUUUUAUCUUGCAUAGCGGUUAGAGAAUUGUUAAUGAAAUAAGCAUAAAAAAUAGAUGUUAGGAUAAGAGCUUUUAUAAAGUGACCUAAAAUUAAAUUGUUACCCAAAACUCACAUGAGAGCGCCAUGUGGUACGUGGCUUUUGUGUAUCGUUCUUUUUAAUAUAUAUAUAGUUACAUAGAUGGAAAAAUUGUCCAAAAUCCUAAACCUAUUGUAUUUGUUAAUUUAAUCUAAUCCUAAACUUUUCAAUUUAACUAAUUUAGUCAUAAAUCUUUUCAUAUUUUGCCAAUUGAGUCAUCCAGUCAAUUCUGAUCAAAAAUCGCUAACGUGGACAUUAGACGUUCCAGUGACUUGACCAGCACUGAAGUAAAUAAUUUUAAAUAAUAUUUUAAUAUUUUUCAAUUUUUUAUUUCUUUUCUUUUUAUUUUCUUCCCUUUUGCCUCUAGUUGAUCAUCAAGCUUGGACGAUCGGCUAGAAGAACCGGUGAGGUUGACCUCACCGACCUCAAGCGAGCCUCGCCCACGUAUGGCAAGGCUCGACUUGGCCAUUCACAUCCAUUUUCUCCUUUCGUUGACUAGUCAAGCUUUCUCAUUUUUUCUUUUGUUGUCAUCAUGUUUGACUUUUUAACCAAUCCAAUAAUCAAAUAUGCUCAAAUGUUAGACAAUCUCCUUUGUUCUACGUAACAUAAAUCAUAUUCCUUCAUUGAUAAACGUGUUUUGAUAUGUGUCUAUUCUCUUCCUUGCUAUAGCGUCGAUGAUUUUUACAUUAUGUUAUAUGGGGUUGUUAUUCAUGGAAUGUGAGAAAUGCCAAGUAAAAGUAUUUGUCCAUUCGGACACAAAAGAUGUUGCCUUAAAGAUUAAGCUUAAAAUUUUGAUAAAAUAGAUGGGAAAUAGAAAUUUUUUUUGAGAUUCGUAUGAUAGAAAAUGAGUAACACUGUUCAAAAACACUAUGAACCGUCUUAAUUUCCCGAAGACAUUACACAACGUAAAUCACAUUCCUCAUCAGUGACCCAAGGACGCACACAUUCAUAUCACAAGGCACCAAGCACCACCUAUAAAAUGUGCUUCACUCUCUCAUACUCGUUGUGUUUUUAUGUUUGUGAUAAUUACUUGUAGUGUUAUAAAAUGAGCCUCAUUGAUAGUGAUAAGUAAUUAUCGUAUAAUGAACCUUGAUGUAGGACUUUACUCUCACUUUAAUAAUAAGAUUUUUCAUGUAAUAUAACUUAAAUUGAGAAAAAGGGAUAUGAGAAUAAAAUAACAUUUAACCUACCUUGGAUCUUUGAUAUAUACAUGGUCGACUAGUUUCAAAUGUUAAUUACCACAAUAAUAUGCGUGAAUCUUUCUUCUUCUUUUUUUUUUUUUGCAUCGAUUAAAUCACCAAAAUAUGUAUAAGAAUUAGAGAUUUUCUAGCAUUAGAGAUCCCAUAAAAAUUGAAUUUAUAGGCAAAAUUCACAUGUGAGAGUGCCUCGGUUGACCCAGUCUCCACGGAUGAACGUCAAUUAUUUGCGUCUACUUUCUCCUUUUGUUGACUAGUCAAACUUUCUCAUUUUUUCUUUUAUUGUUACCAUGUCUGACUUUUUAACCAAUCCAAUGGUCAAAUAUAACCAUUUCACAUACGCUUUUGCUGCUUUCUCCACGAUUGACCCGAGUCUUCCAUGCAGCUACACGUUAAGGCACUGCACAAGGUAAUGCGCACGCACCUGAAUAUUCGUAGGUACUGCACAUGUGUUUCAUCCCUUAAAACGUCAUUGGUUCGAUGCAUCCUAGCAUAAGAUGAGCCGUGUUCAUCUGCUUCACUCUCUCGUACUCUGCUCAUCUAAACAAAGGAGUCUUUGUUUCGAACAAAAUGGCUUCCUCUUCGUGCUUCUACAUGUCCAUACACUUUCUUUUCUUGUAUUUGUCAUCUCAGCCGAUUGGCGCACACAAUCUCUCUCGUUCUGCGAAACCUCUAUGUCUCGAGGAUGAAAUGUCUGCACUGCUACAGUUUAAAGAGAGUUAUGAAAUCUCCACUGUUUCGGGUGGUCCUCUCGCUCGUCCCAAGACUCUAUCCUGGAAAAAUAGUCGGGAUUGUUGCUCUUGGGAUGGGAUCGAGUGCGAUGAGAACACAGGCCACGUAAUUGUUCUCGAUCUGGGAAGUAGUUUUCUCUAUGGUUCUAUCGACAACAACAGUACCAUCUUCCAGCUUGCUCAUCUUGAAAAGCUCAAUCUCGGCGACAAUCACUUCAAAUACUCUCAAAUACCGUCUCGAGUUGGAGAUCUAUCAAGAUUGACUCAUCUCAAUCUCUCUGCUUCCGUUUUUUCUGGCCAAGUUCCAUCAGAAAUCUUCAAACUUACAAGGUUGGUGUACCUCAACCUGUAUUGGAAUGUGGAUCCACAUGAUGGAAGACAUUUGUUGCGAAUGAAAGCACCGGGCCUGAGAAGCCUAGCUCAAAAUCUGACCAGCCUGGAAGAACUCCUCCUUGGUGACGUCGAUAUGUCGUCCCAAGUGCCCACCACUCUGGCGAAUCUGUCUUCACUGAGAAGGCUGGACAUGAGUUAUUGCGACCUGCACGGUGUAUUUCCGUCUGCCAUUUUUCAUUUACCGAAGCUACGAUAUCUAGAUGUGGGUCAGAAUGAAGUCACGGGCCGCUUGCCUAAGUUCAACUCGAGUAGUCCUCUUGAAGAGCUGCGACUGACAGAGACGAGCUUUUCUGGGGAGCUACGCGCUUCAAAUGGAAUCCUUCCAUCCUUGAGCUAUCUCGACGUAAGUGGUUGCGAAUUCUCAGGAUCCAUCCUGACUUCACUUGCUAAUCUUAGCAACCUCAAAGACCUGGAUGUCUCAGGGAACCCAUUCACUGCCCAGUCCUUUUCCUCUAUUUCUUGGGUUUGGACGAAGAAGAAGCUCACAUCUUUGACACUCGGAAGCAUCAAUCUAUAUGGUGAGAUUCCACCCUCAAUCGGAAACUUGUCUCAGCUUGAUUUUUUAUGGUUAACAGACAACCAAUUAAGCGGUGCCAUCCCAUCUCAGCUCAUGAACCUCACUCGACUGACUUGUUUAAACCUCGGAAGCAAUCGACUGUUGGGUUCUAUACCGUCUUGGCUUAUGAACAUGACUCAACUGGUUUACCUUGACCUUUCAGUCAAUAAAUUCCACGGUGAGAUACCUUCAUCAAUCUCUCAACUUCAAAAUCUAGAGGACCUCUGCCUUUUCGAAAACAACUUCAGCGGUACUAUUGAGCUAGACAACUUUCACAAGUUCAAACAUUUGAAUACGCUGCAAGUAUCAUUUAACAGGCUAUCAGGUUGCAUGAGUAGCGCAAAUCUUAUUAUUCCUCAGCUUAAUAUCCUAGGAUUGGCUUCAUGCAAUUUGAGUGAGUUUCCGGCAUUCUUACAAAACCAAGAGGAUAUUGGGUGGUUGGACUUGUCCGAUAACAACAUUACGGGAGAAGUGCCCUUUUGGGUGUGGGACGGAAGAUUUAAAUACAUGCAGCACCUGAAUCUCUCCCAUAACUUCUUAACUGGUCUUGAUCGAUAUUACCCGAUGCACACUUUAGAUACGUACACGAUAGACCUCUCUCAUAACAUGUUGAAAGGACCACCCCCUGAAGCACCGUCAUCGACAGUGACCUAUAUAGUAUCCAACAACAACCUGACGGGAGCGUUGCCAGCAUGGAUAUGCAAUUUAAGUUCAGCAAUCACCCUAGACUUGUCUUUUAACAAUUUGACCGGUGUGCUUCCCAUUUGUUUGGGCAAUAUCAGCAAAUCACUCGUGGUAUUGAACCUAAAAGGCAACAAUUUCCAAGGAAGCAUUCCAGAGCUCUCGAUGAGGGGGACACAAUUGACGAUGAUUGAUUUGAGUGACAACCAAUUGCAUGGCAAAUUACCGAGAUCCUUGGCUGAUUGCGAAAAGCUCAAGUUCAUAAAUUUUGCAAACAAUCUUAUCAUGGACACCUUCCCAUCAUGGUUGGGAUCACUACCAGAGCUUCAUAUCCUUAUUUUGCGAUCCAAUAAAUUCCACGGUGUCAUAGAAAGGCCUAAAUCUAGUCAUGCAUUCCUUAAGGUACGGAUACUCGACCUCUCUUCUAAUGCAUUCAUCGGUAAGUUGCCUGUGGAAUUCUCUUGGUCUUGGAAUGCCAUGAAAUCCGAGAUGCAGGACUUUACAUACAUGAGCAAUAAUCUAUCUCCGCCAGAAUUCCUUGUGUUCUCCUACUAUGGCUAUUAUGAAUUUUCCAUGACAGUGAUUUACAAAGGGCUUAAACUAUAUUACCCAAAGAUAGUAGAAGCCUUCACGAUCAUUGACCUCUCCAGCAAUUUGUUCAAAGGAGAGAUCCCCAAUGCCAUAGGUGAUCUCAGAGGAUUGCAAGGGCUGAACCUUUCCAACAAUCUCCUCACUGGUCACAUCCCAUCAUCGUUAGGGAAUCUCACAGCACUUGAGUCAUUGGACCUUUCUCAAAACAAACUCACUGGACAAAUCCCCCAGAAGCUAAUAGAACUUGGGUUCCUUUCUUUCUUGAACGUCUCUUACAACAAUCUGACAGGGUCCGUGCCUAGAGGGAAACAGUUCGAUACAUUUUCAGACGAUUCUUUUGAAGGAAACUCAAGACUGUGUGGGGAAUUCAUAUCCACGAAAUGUCGAGAUCCAGCGGAUAAGUCAGGACAACCUUCAACCUACCAAGAAGAAGACUUGGGAUCACCAAUUGAACUCAAUUGGAAGAUUGUCCUUAUGGGGUAUGGGAGCGGCUUAGUGAUUGGAGUGGUCAUCGGAAAUGCAUUCAUCUCUUGGAAACAUGAUUGGUUUGAAGGAAACGCCAAGAGAAGGUGACGACCUAAUCAGAGGCAGCCUAGGAGAGGUAGGAACUCUUGGUCAGUCAAGCUUCUCAAUUUAUGCAGAUAUUAGAACUUCCUUAAAAACUGAGUUGGGUAUAUCCUUUAUUUUCCUAAAUGUACUUGCUUCGUAUUAUCUUUAUAGUUAUUUAUGUCAAACUUCAUUUUCUUCAGCUAAUCUCUCGUCACAUCUAUUUAUAAAGCCAUUGUCAACUUGUAAACCUAGCUCAUGUGCGUCUUUUCCUAUCAAUGUUCUGGCAACAGUACUACAAUCGAACACUAUCCGAAUUGCCACAAGGAUUUUUUUUUCUGUCUGGGGUUCACAUCACUUGCUGAAACCUGUUUACAGGUUCUAGUAAAACAAUCAAGGGUACACUGUUCUCAUAACUUUAUGCAAACUAGACUCUUAUCCACACCUCGAUCAUUUGCUUUAGUUGUUUGUCACCUCACAAAUUAUACAAACAACAGUUGUAUUGACAUUUGAAACAAAAUCCGCAUUUGAAGAUUGAUUGGACAAGAACCAUGACAAAUGAUUCUCGUGAAAAAUAUACAUAUCAGAUUUGCUUUUUGGAUAUUCUUUUAUGUUUGUGCGGUAAAAAAUCGAAUUCUCUCUCGUAAAGCAGCAUAUCAUGUUGAGAACCAACAUGGCGCAGGAGAAUUUCCUAAAGUUCUUACCAUGCUUGCUAAUCAUGUACUUGGUAAAUGUCAUUUGAUUUAUCUAUUUAAACUUUUCUUUUUUUCUCAAAGAAUGAUCAUUUGAUAUGUUGAACUAUUGUUGACACCUGAAUUUUUGCCGAAAAGUCAAGUUUCAGUCUUUGUAAAACCAAGAAAAAUAAUAAUAAAUCAACAAACGAAAGAGUCCAAUUCGGCCGUUUACGCGAGGACCUAAACCCAUUUGCCUGAGCCCAUCUAUUAAGUAUAAGUCGCUCGCUUCAGCCCGGUCCACUAACCCGGACCACUAGCCAAGCCCAUCAGGAAUUUGGCUACCCACCAGUCUAGCCCAUGAAGCCCAAAUUUAAAGUCGCAUUAAGCAACUUCUGCACAGGCCCAGAUUUGCAAGUUUAAGUCGGAGCCCACAAAGCCCGUGAGAGUUUGGCCCAUAAAGCGCGCGCGUACAGGAACCGAGAAGAGCGAAGGAAUUCUGGCAAGGGGACGUUGGCAAAAGAACCGGCUCUCCCUCCAGCUUCCUCUCUCAUCCAACUGACUUUGGCGAUUCCUUCUCUCUAGAAUCCAAUUCCAGAGAAUUCGUACUCGAUUCUUCUUCUCUGGACAUUGCUCGCAGUUGCCGCCUUCGAUGGUCGCUUCAAUCCAUCUCCACUGCCAUGAGAAAAAGGCUCUGUUCGUCUUGUUCUCAGUCAUUGUCACUGAAGAGCUUGAGCCGCGGUUCGCCAUUUACUCUUUCGCCGAUUCCCGCCUUCAAAUUUUGCUUCUGUGACUGUUUUUCUCUGGUUCAAUCGAUAAUUAUUGCAGGUAAACAUCCCUACUUAACGAACCAUAUCUGCUCUGUUUAUGCUUAAAAACAGAGGCCGCGAAUCCUACGUACUGCUUGUGUAUAGAUCUUAUGUAGCCGAGCUUCCGCUAGCGAUUUGAACUCAUCGUGUUUUGGUGAUGAUAUGGAGACAAAUUCUUGGCAUGUUCCUGCGUUUAGAUCAUUAGAUUAAAUUGUCUACCAUGUGUUCGACAAUUUUUGAGUGAAACCUGCGUGUGAAAUUGAUUAAAAUCCUUGCGUAUUGAUGUUUGGUUGAUUCUUACGUGUUCAGACUGAGACGUCUGUGUUUGAUCCUCUCAUUGCACCAUUGAAUUGACCUGCUGUGAUGCUCCGCCCGAGACUUUGCCUGCUGUGUCUCUUCUUAUUUCCAACCUCUGUUUCAGUCCAUUUCAUUAGUCUUGUUGUCAAACCUGAAUUUAUGCCGAUCGAUCUUUAGAGGUGGCUAGUAAUCAGCUAUAUGAAAAUUGAUACAAUAAUUAAAUAUUAAACAUCGCCAUCGUCUAAAAGCUUAAUAUUUAGAAUAAUAGGCAGUGAUCUCACAAAAUCUCGUGAAAAAUAAAAUUGAUUGGCUAGGAAGUUGAACAGAAAUGAAAGAGGGAACGAUGGAGGCUUGAAGAAGUGGAGAGUUUUGUGAUUCUGCAAUUGAGUAAUAGUUUGUGAAUGUUUGCAAAACAAAAGAAAAGAAGUGGAACGGUAGCAGAUUCAUGACGAAGAAGAAGACGAACUCGUGCUUUGUGGCGUGACGGCGCGGAACUAAGCAAGAAACGAAAGGAAAUAAAAUAGUAUAUUAAAAUUAAUAAAUAAAAACGAAAAAUAAAAUGCGGAAGGAAAACGAUUGGAAAGUGUGAUUCCUAGCUAGACGGUUGCAUCUUAGAAAUAGUUUUGGCUGAAUUUCAUUUGAUUUGAAUUCAUCUAGUUUAAGAGUCAUUGUCUUCAGAUUUCAAAACAAUUUGAAUUUUUAGCUUGUAUUUUCUUUUAGAUUAACAGACAAAAAAAUAAUAACAAAGAAAAGGAUAAAAUGAAAAAUCUCAUUUAGCGGUCAUUUUGUCGAUUUCCGUCUUUAAUAUUGUCAGUGUAAUUCUCUUUAGUUGAAAUUAGACUUUGAUUCUGAUUUUGAAAAUUAGCUCAUGGUGGUCAUGCCCGGAUCAAUAAUAAGAUAAUAUAUAUUCUUUACCCGACUCAUAUCAAGUUAUUUUACCGCACUUCACCUUUUUUGUCAAUUAUUUUACCGCAUUUGAGUAAAGUGAGGUAUUAGUUCAUGGCGAUCACGUUUAGGGACUUAAUAACAAGGCCAUGUAAUUUUUUUGUCAGACUAAUAUUAGAUUGAGUUGAUAUCACAAAAAAACUCAAAAUCGGUACAUUUAUAAUAAAUUUAUUUGAAAUUAAUUUUUUUAAAAACACCCUAGUCAAAUAAAAGCGCUAGGCAAAUAAACGGCUAAUAUUUUCGUUGUUUGAAGCUAGAAGUAUCUUAAAGAAUGGCCCACCUUUUGGCAAUGAUUUUUAUGGACUCGAUGAGUAAGAUUAAAGACGACGAAUUAAACUACUCCGCUAACUUAUUUGUCCAUCAAUUAAGAAAAGCACCAUAACUCCCCAAUGAGACCUGGGGGAAAAAUUGACAUUCCACCAGGCCGAUUCCCACCACCACCGGAAAAUGAAAAAGAUCUCAGGCGACGGAAAUGCCCAUCUCUAAAGUGUGAAAUCUCGUUCUCGUCUCUCACUAGGGAGGGGAAAGGGACUAAAUGGAACCGCUCCGGAGCAUGAGCAUGCUUUUUUGUCAUAUGGAUAGUAAAAAGAGCAUCUUUAUCUUAUAGUUGCCGUAUCCAUUGAAAUAGUGCGAAGAUUCAUGAUCUAUUAUUCACUCUCAAAGCAUUUUAAUUGCGCCAAGAAUUCACAUUUUAGAAUGAAUAACGAGAAAAUUUUUGAAAAGGUUUGGACAUAGAGAAAUGACCCAUCCAGUCGUUUCGAUGUGUAUAUUUCUACACAACGAGUGAAUAAUUUUUUGUUGUUUGUGAGAUCUUGUCUUGAAUGGUCCCAGUAACUAGGGAUAUGCAUGGUGCAACGUUGUACCAUGCAAUCUUUUCUUAAAAGUUAAUUUCUUCAAUCGAAAAUAACGGAACGUCCUAAAGUCAAAAAGAAGUCGAAUUGCUUCACCUUUUAUGCUUUGUUAAGACAGAACUUUGUGUAAUUGUAUGAUAAAAUGGGGUACUGAAUACACAAUAGCAAACAAUUUGCUCUGGUUUUACUUAACUAGGCAAUAUGAACAAAAUGACCAAGCCUAAGGAAAAGUAGAUGCGUCAUUGAAUUGCCUAUGGAUGACUGAGUGCCGGUUAUGAUAGAUGAUGUGCGGCAAGUACUAAAAAUUUGCUCUGGCGUGCAACGAUAUAAUAUUCUUAUGAGUAGAAAUUAUCUUCAACGGGUCUCCUUGAGCACAUAAUUUAUCUCGACACAAAGUUGAGACCGAUAGAACAAGAAGAAAUGCAUGACUGGCUAUUUAUUCCUUAAAUUGCGUUCAAAUGAUUCAAAACAUCUCAAGUUUUGUUCCUUUGGUCACAGCAAUGAAAGCUUGGUUGUGCCUUUGUCGACAUGCUGGGACUUCAUUUGGGACUUCAUUAGUUUCUUGUAACAAACGAACUUCCGUAAUAUUGCAAAAUACAACCAAUUGUACUUUUUUUUUUUUUGAUGAGAAACAAAGCUGAUAUUAUUACAUACUAGGUAAAGAUAAUACAGCAUGAGCAUCAGUACAAAGAAGAUCCAAAAGAGCAGAGGGGGGACUGGACACCCAGUUGAUAGGAAGGAAAUCAAAACACCGGGCUUUAGCAACCCAGUCAGCAACCCGAUUAGAAUUCUACUGCAGUGGGCUAAAGAGAGUCCCAAAAUAGACUCCAAUUUGUGCUUUGCCCUGUCCACAAGGGGUUGCACUGACCAAUUAAAAGUAGAGGACGACAAUAGACUAUCCACUAGCAACCGACAAUCAAAUAGAAUAAGAAAUUAUUUUUCUGGGGAAUUAGGGAUAAGGGUUGAAGAGAUAAAAUCUAGGGUUUCAACCAAAGCGACGGCCUCCGCUUGCUCAGUCGAACCUACCUCAAUAUGCUUUGCAAACCCAUUUCGAAUCCUCCCAAAAGAAUCUCUGCAGACACAAGCAAUAGCAGCCCGAGGUCUUGCGCUUGGAUGGUGAGGACGAAACGGAGCAGAUCUGGUCUGCGAAUAGUCGAAGAGAACUGACGCCGUCUCUCUGGUCUUCUCUCUGGGUGAGGCAUGGCCCAAUGCCGAAGGUAGAAGUCUGCUAGCAGAUUGAUGGGUACGCUGAGGUCCUGGAUGUGGGGCUUCGCUUGCUUCAACAACACAGGUGCGUGGGUUAUUCGUGCCGUCUUCCUCCGCUUCCGGUUCAUACUGCUUUCCAUGGUGUGCGUCGGCAAUGCUAUUGUGAUUUUGCUGCUGUGGUGGGUAUUCAGAUCUGGUAGAUCUGAGAUUUCCUUCUUCGGAUGUAGAGGCAGCAGACAUAGCUUCGAUUAUACUGGUGCCGAGACGCAGAGGAAGGUUUUCUGUUUCUUCCAAACCGCGAGACUUGCCAUGGGCGUCAUCCCUGGAUCUGAGAUUUCCUUCUUCGGAUGCGUAGGCAGCAGACAUAGCUUCGAUUAUACUGGCGCCAAGACGCAGAGGAAGGUUUUCUGUUUCUUCUGAACCGCGAGACUUGCCAUGGGCGUCAUCUGUGGGUCUUCUGAGCUGCGAUCUGGGUCUUCCGAGCUGCGAUCUUGUUAGAUGUGUAGAUUCGGUGGCUUUGAGAGGCUGGGCGUCAGUUGCAGGGGUGAGAUCGACUGUAGCAAUUGUUCCGCUGGUCAGGGGGGAGUGCCCGGUGAGGUCUGGUCUGAGUCGCAGGCGUUCUUCCACAGCACAGGUGAGUUUGUUCAAUACUUCUUCUUCCCUUUCAUCCGGUUCGUAAUGCGAGCUUCGCUGAGCCGCGACAUUCACUCUAAGCUGCUACUGUGGUGAUGGAUAAUCACAUCCAGUAAAUCUGAGGGAUGAUUCCUUGAUUGCAGAGGCAGAGGAACGUCUUUCUCUACGAUUUGAAGCACGAAUCAUGCUAUAUUGAGCAUCUUUCAUUGGUCUUUUAUCUUGCAAUGGUGAUGGUAGUCUGGGUUCUUGAUCUUUGGUUAAAAACGAGGAACUCUCGAGUCGAUGAUCUUCGGUUGCAAAGGCGUCGGGUUCGGAAGCGAUGAUUCCACGGGUCUCUUCCACAUCUCCUACAAUAUAUAGCACAGGCGGGAACCUGCUGAUGCCAGGAUGGGGAUCAAUCAGUAUUUCCGCUUCAGUUCUAUGUCUGCAUAUCCCGAGAGGGCUAAGGUCUUCAUGAGGCUGUACAGACGGUAAGGGAGCCACUAUAUUUAGGCUUCUACAUAGAGAUGGACUAUUUUUUUGCAUCACUUUGUAUAUGUUCUGCAUCGUGGGUGUUCCUGCGGGGGUUGUCACGCCCCGAUCCUCCGAGCGCGCGAACAUCCCACUCUGGUCAAUAAAAAUGCGACUUCCCAGGACACGUCGCCGACCCAUUCAUUUUUAUUGCACAUGCGGAAGCGAAACAAAUCCCCUGACAACAUUUAACUUGGGAUAGAAAAGCAGGCAAUCAAUCACAACCAAACAAGCUUCAUUAUAAACACAUAAGUUUAUAUACAACACUUGAUUGUCUACAAAAUAGACAGGCUCAACAAAAAGGGAACUGUCCUAUGACCAACUUGUCAGACACGUUCGCCGAUUCUUCAGCCUCCACCUUCCGAACUCCAGGACUUCCGGUCCUCCACGACCGUCAUCUAAGGACCUGAAAUAUUAUCUCACAACCGGGAUAAGACUACGUCUCAGCGAGUCCUACCCUCUAAAACUCAAUUAGGAAGAAAAUACGCCUCAGGGCGCUCUAGCCACACAAAUAGGAUAGAGGACUUACCUCGCCUUAGUCCCUUUCCUGCACGUCAGUACAAUUCAUAUUCAAACAAUGCUCGCACAAGCUGAAACUACCGACACUUACAUCGGUCUAUCAAUUCAAUCAAUCCAAUCAUUCGCAAUGAUUCAAUUCCAUCAUACUAUCUAUCUUUCCAUUUCAAUCCGUACUAUCUAUCAACCAUUACUAUCUAUCAUUCAAUACCGUCUAUCAAACCAGUCGUUAAUACGACACAUGCUCUCCAAAGCUGUAAUAUAUAGACGGUAGCUCGCUCAAGCUGCAUAGAUAGAUAGCUCACCAAAGCUGUAACUGAUAGAUAGCUCGCACAAGCUGUAUAGAUAGAUAGCUCACCAAAGCUGUAACUGAUAGAUAGCUCGCACAAGCUGUAUAGAUAGAUAGCUCACCAAAGCUGUAACUGAUAGAUAGCUCGCACAAGCUGUAUAGAUAGAUAGCUCACCAAAGCUGUAACUGAUAGAUAAUAUAAUAGCUCGCCAUAGCUGUAGCUGAUAGAUAAUAUAAUAGCUCGCCAAAGCUGUAGCUGAUAUAAUAGCUCUCAAAAGCUGUAGCUCAUAUAAUAGCUCACUGAAGCUGUAGCAUAUAGAUAGCUCACUGAAGCUGUAGCAUAUAUGUAUAUAAUAUUUGCUCGACCAAGCUGAUACAUAUAUAAACAACUGCUUGCCAAAGCUAUCAAUUCAACAAUAAACCAUAGAACUGGAUAUUCAAUCCAAUAACAACCAACGAUUCAAACUAGUCAUACAAAUUAAUUACGGUGCUAAAAGCCAACACCGGGUAUUUUCAAGUUAAAUACCACAACUUCAUCAAUUUCACACAAUUCCACACUUUUGGAAUUAUUAACCAUAAUCAUCAAUCACUCAAUUUCUCAAUUUAAACAUACAAUUAACACAAACCGACCGCACUGCUGCGAUCAGCGCGAAAUUCUAACGACCGGCCAUCCCGGCAUAAUUUUCGAAAUUAUUAAAUAAUUAAAUUUAAUUCCGAAAAUUAAAUAAUUAAAUAUUAUAUUAUAAUAAUAUAAUUUAAUAAAAUAAUUUUUAUAAAUUCGAAAUAAUUAAUUAAUUAAAAAAUAAUUAAUUAUGGCUUAAACAAGAUUACACUAAUUUAAUCAUACAAUUAGCCUAAUUAAACAUCCAUUAAACUAAGCAUACAACUAAUCUAAUUUACAUUAAAAUAAUCUAAUUUAAUUACAUAAACCUAAUUAGACUAAUCUAAACCCCUUAAGCGUCAUUAACUCACUAAGCAAGAAUUAGAGGAUAAACUCACCUGAUUAACGAUCCGAACGGCUCAAAACGACAAGGACGACGCGAGGGUCGAUAGUCUCCAAGGCGGGCCUAGCUUCCGGGGUCGGGAAGCCGGCCAAAACGGGCCAAAUAGCCGCUGCCAUACCCAUUUUUCCAACUCUCUAUCCGCUGCUGGUUGAGGCCGAAAAUGAGCAGAUCCGAGGCUGGUUGGGGUCGAGAAUGGGCGGAGGAGCUGCAGCGGUGCCGUGCGGCCAACGGCGGGGCCUCACGGUGGUCGGAGGUGGCUGAUCCGAGGCUAGUGCUGUCCGAACAACCUCCUGGAUGCAUGAGCAGAGAUCGACAAAGACGGUCGGGCGUGCAACAGGCGAACGGCGACCAGCGGACUUGGCGGGCUGUUCCGGAAGCUAGACGACGGUAGCAACUACUCAGGCGACUUCAACAACAUUCAGGGGAGCUCGGGAAAUGGCGAAGAGGCCAGGGCGACUGGCGCGAAUGGCUAGGACGCGCGAAUGGCUAGGACGGCGGGCGCGGGAGCUCGCGGGUGGACGGACGGCGGGCAAGCGGUGCGCGACGGCGGUUCGACUGGACUGCUGGCUGCUCCGGCGUCUUCCCAGAUCUGCUGGGACACGAGCAGCAACUGGAGAUGGAGAAGAGAGGGCUUCGACUACGGCUGAAGAGGGAGAGGGAGACGGUUGCGCGCGGUUGGACGAGCGACGGUCUCCGGUGGCUUGCGGUGGCGUUCUGGCGUGAGGCGUGCGACGAUGGGGCUGCUCGGCGGUUCUUCUGGUCUGCUGAGGUCUCGCACAGCAGGGAGAGAAGGAGAGAAGCGACGAAAGAGAGAAUGGGAGGAAGAAGAAGACCGGUUCUCUCUCUCUCUCUCUCUCUCUCUCUCUCUCUUUUUCUCUUUCUCUUUCUCUCUCUCUUUGGCCCCACCAUGACCUCAUGGAUGAUGUCACAAUCCACUCACCCAAUCCUCCACAACCUCUUCCAAUGAUUGCAAUUUCAUUUUCCGCCGGGGUCCAAUUCUUGUACACUUAAUUUAAUCAAUUCUCAACCAAUUCCAUUCAAUUGAAGCUCAAUUAAAUUAACCCAUAUGUCCUCGGCCUUCUCAUGACAUUUCCCCGUCAAAUGAUCCAACUUGCAUCCCGAAGAUUCGAUUAAAAACGGCCCUCUGACAGUCCCGAACAUAAACGGCCUUACUUUGCUUUUCUGCCAAAAAUAUUCCUAAAAUGAAUUGUGACUUGACAGAACUUCCAAUUUCUGUAAUCGGGUUCAAUUUCAAGGUUAAAUUCAAUAUGGUGCGACUUUAGCGCGACCUAAUCUACCGGGUAGCUUUUAGGAAUUUUCUGUGCAAUUGACCUGUGGUUGAUUAUUUUCAAGCCACAAAGUGCAUCUUCGACACAUUGGCGACUCUUGAUUGUCGCAGAAAUCUCGAGGUUUCAAAUACGGACACAGGGUACCAAAACGAUAGAGAAAUCAAUCUAGUGCCGAUCAACAAGAAUUGUGCAAUUAGAUGGAAUCACCCAUACUGAAUUACAUGGUUAUGUUGAAUCGACCUAUCUCCGGUCUCUAAUCGGUCUGUGCCGUAAUGAUCCUUGCAGAUUAGUACGGUCGAGCAGUUGUUUCCUGGUCGAAUUCUCAAGUCUAUUGCGUUUAGAUUCUUUAACGGCUUCACCUGAUAGACUAGUUAUCUCGUGAGUGAUCAGCUCAGAGAAGAAAGCUAUAGACGCGAAGAUGAAAUGCCCGACUUAUUUAAUUGAAACCAGAAUUGGAAAAUCGGGAUGUCACAGGGUUAAUACUUGGACUCGGGAUGGCCUGAUCUGGACUUGUAAUUCUGUUCUGAACAGGUGCACACUGUGUCAAGGCUAGACUUCUUGACUUUGAACAAGAUGAUAUAGGCUGGACUUGUACCUCCAGCGACCUGUUGGUAUCGCCAAGCAGAGAAACAGUCCUUUGAUGUGGUGGCGUUGAACAAGGUUCGGUGCGGAUUUAAGGUAUGAUGGUUAAAGAUAAAUUGGUUGCGAUCCUUCCAUAUGCACCAAAGAACUGUGGCAACCAUUUCAAACUUAUUUGAGUCACCUUGCCUCACAAAAUAUCGACAUAACCAAUCGUCAAAUCUUGUUAAGCCAACUCGAUCUGUGCAUGUUUGCAGGGAUGAGUCAUUCCACACUUGGGUCGUCUAGGGGCAGAGCAGUAAAGUGUGCUCAAUCGUCUCGGGUUCCAACUUGCAUAUUAGGCAUAACGGUUCAGGUACCAUCUUUCUCCUAUAAAGAUUAUCCAAGGUAGGAAGCGCAUUCUGGCAUGCACUCCAUAGAAAUAAUUUAAUUUUCGGUUGUACCACAGAGUUCCAAAUAAGCUUCCAAAUGAGUGGGUCAAAAUGGUGUGAUGAUGUUGGUAUAGAUCUACUAGGAAUGUCUGGUUUCCUAUUUGAAAAGUAGCCGCUCUUUACUGUAUAGGUUCCUGAUUUAUUAUUUGGCCAAACCAACUUGUCUUCGGUAGUUGGGAGUCCGAAGGGUGUUUCCUUAAUUGCUGUUGUUAGGGGUUCAUCAAAUAAGGAUAGCAGUAGAUCUUCCUUCCAAAUUCCAGCUUCAAAAUCGAUCAAAUCAGCAACUUUGGGCGGUUCAUUCGGGCUUGCCAUUCCUCCAAUUCUUCCUAAUUUCAGCCACUGAUCCUCUUUAAUGGAGAUUUUAUGUCCAUUACCCAUAGCCCAAAUAAGUUGGGGAGCAAUUGCAUUUCUUCCAGCCAAUAAACUCUGCCAUCCCCACGACGGAUAAGAGCCUUUUCCUGCUUGCCAAAAGUUACAAUUUGGGAAAUAAAGGCCUUUCAUGAAUUGGGAUAAUAGUGUAUUCGGACCCUGAGACAUCCUCCAAGCUUGUUUCCCUAACAUAGCCGUGUUAAAAGCUUGUAGAUCCUUAAAGCCAAGGCCGCCUUCAUCCUUUCGUUGUUUUAGAGUCUCCCAUUUACGCCAAUGUAGAGCAGAAUUCUUGUUAGAGCUUCGCCACCAGAAAUUAGAGAUUUUCCUCUCAAUUGCUUUGAUAAUGGAAGUUGGGAUUCUGAAAAUUGACAUAGCAUAUUGAGGUAUCGCCUGAACCACUACUUUGAGAAGAAUCUCCUUUCCAGCUCUUGAAAGUAAGUUAUCCUUCCAACUUUCCAAUUUCGAGUUGACCUUGGCCAAUAUCCAUGCGAACAUAUCUUUUUUUGAGGACCCCCAGUCUGAAGGAAUUCCUAAGUAUUUCCCAGUUUUUGUAAUUUCUGGAAUCCGCAUCAUCGAUACCAUGUUACUUAUAAGGCUAUCUGGACACCCUUUGCUGAAAAACAUUCCUGAUUUGUUGAGGUUUAGGGCUUGACCAGAUGCAUAACAGUAGUGGUGGAGUACAGUUGAUAAGUUCUGACAUUCUCGUAUUGUGCCAUCUAUGAAGAAAAUAAAGUCAUCCGCAAAUAAUAGGUGGGACAGGGUUGGACAGGUCCGGUUUAGCUUGAUGCUGUGAAUGUUAUUCUUUGCUAUUGCUUUCUUCAUCAUAUAAGAUAAGACGUUAGCAACAAUAAUGAACAGAUAUGGUGAUAACGGAUCCCCCUGUCGAAUACCUCUAGAUGGCUUGAAAUAGGGUAAAGAUUCACCAUUGAGAUUGAUGCUAUAUGAUAUAGUGGUAACGCAUUGCAUAACCCACUUCACCCAAUCAGCACUAAAUCUCAUUUUAUGUAAACAUGCAUGCAGGAAGUCCCAUUCGAUUCUAUCAUAAGCUUUCUGCAUGUCGAGUUUAAGAAUAGCCUGAAAUUUUUUCCUCCUGUCUUGAGUUCGUAACCGGUGGAUAACUUCUUGAACAAUUAGGAUGUUGUCCUGAAUUUGCCGACUCCCGACGAAAGUGCUUUGCUCCUCAGCAAUGAUGUCUGGUAAGAAAGGUUUGAGUCUAUUUGCGAGUAUUUUAGAGAUGAUUUUGUAGAUAAAGUUACACAGACUAAUGGGCCGAAAUUGAUCUAAACUUUCUGGGUUUGAAUUUUUAGGAAUAAGAGUAAUUCGGGUUCUAUUGAUGUCUGGGUUUAUGAUUCCAGACUCAAAGAAACGCUGAACCUCCCUGAAAACAUCCGCACCUAUGUCUUGCCAAUGCUGAUGGAAAAAUAGGCCAUUCAGACCAUCCGGUCCAAGAGCUUUGGAAGCCCCCAUUUGGUGAGUAGCUGCAUAUACUUCUUCCAUUGUCACCGUUUCUGUUAGUUUCGAGUUCAUAGCUGCAUUAGCUGGUGUUGGGAUAUGGUCAAGAAUAGGCUGGAAAUUUUGCAGUCCGACCGAAGUAUAUAAGUUAUUGAAGUAAUCCACCGUCAUAUUUGUGAGGUUCUCAGAAUUUCUCACCCAAUCUCCUUCAACAUUCAGUAGCAUCGAGAUACGAUUCCUGUUUCUUCGUUGUAUAGUGGCUGCAUGAAAAAAUUUGCUAUUCCGAUCCCCCCAUUUCAGCCACUUAACCCGAGAUCUGAUACCCCAAAACAUUUCUUCCUGACGCCAUAGCGAGUCGAUUUCUUUAUGAAUAUGCCGAAUUCUGCUCUGAUCAUACUCCAAAUUAGAGUUAUUCAUGUGGAACAUAAGUUCAUUUUUCAGCCCCUCAAUUUGUUUGGAAGCAUUAUGAAAACGCUUUUUGCUCCAGGCCGUUAAACGCAUCGCUGCAUUAGAUAAUUUGACAACCAUGUUCUUCCUAUGGGACGCCUCCCAUGUCCGCUUGACAAUUUCCUUACAUUCGUCAUCCUCCACCCAAAAUGGUUCGUAUCUAAACUGUCGCUUCUUGCGUGUUAGAGCAAGUAGAGUUGACAAGAUAAGAGGACUGUGAUCUGAACCAAUGGCUGGUAAAGUUGUAACUUCAGCAUUCGGGUAAGCUAUUCUCCAUUCCAUGGUACAUAAUGCUCUGUCCAGCCUUUCUUUGACAUUUUCUUCACCCUCUCUUCUGUUCGUCCAGGUAAAAGCGCACCUUUUGGCUUCCAAGUCCAUCAGUGAACAUGCAUAUAAGAAGUCCCUAAAUGCGGUAAGGCAACAAUGUUCAGCCAUCCUUUUUCCUACCUUUUCCCAAUGGUAUAAUAUUUCAUUAAAGUCCCUAAUGCAUAUCCAAGGGCAGUGAUUGGAGAGAUUGAUUCUUUGUAGAUCAUCCCAUAGGAUAAGGCGUUCAUGAAAUACAUUAGGAGCAUGGAGGAAGGUAAUUUGCAUAUUCUGGUUAUUUUCAUGCAGAAAACAUUGCACAUGUAUAUAGAAGUUAGAGUGAGAUUCGAUUGAAAGAGAAACCUGGUCAUCCCAAAAGAGAGCCAAACCCCCCGAUAAACCUUCUGGAUUCACAAUAAAGUUGUGUGUAGUCUUAAGCCUUCUUUUCAAACGCUGAACUUUCUCUUGAUUCUUUGUUUCCAUAAGAAAAAUAAUGCUUGGUCUUUCUUGAGUCGCAAGGACUCUUAAGAGCUUGAAUUGUCAGGGGAGACCACAAUCCCUGACAAUUCCAACUCAGGAGUUUCAUGGCUGCACCGGUGGCUUAUUAGGGCCAGCCACCAAAGCCCAUUGAAUAGAUUUCUCUUCCUCCGUGAUCGGGAUUUCUAUGAGUUGUGAGUUGUCAACAUCAAUUGAUAUUGUGGACUGAGCACCAUAGGGGCAGAAUCUUUUUCCUUUCUUGGAUGUAGGACAUUUAGUAGAUUUUGCUUUACCUUUCGCUGAGUUUCUUAUUGUUGCUAACAGGGCUGCUUCUCUCUUGCAGCUUCUUUGAGUUUUCAUCAUGAAGGGUGAGCAUAGAUUCAGCAUCCAAGCAGCUGCUAUCACGUUUUGAGGAGAUUUGCCUUCCAUUAUAGUCAAGGCUCGGGAAGAUACAAGUUGUGCAGCUUGUUGUUCUUCCUCAUAAGAGUGCAGUGAUCGGGGAGGCAAAAGGGCCUGCUUUCCUGCAUUUGAUGGUUCUUGAGUUUCAUGGAUUUCCGCUUGAAGAGGAGUCUCCGGCACCAUUUCUUCUUCUUCAAUGAGCGGGGAUUGUUUUCCAUAGAAGAUUUUUCCAUAUGGGCUUAGUAUCCGUGCUUCCGCUCGCAACCAAUUCCCAAAAUUACCCGGUAUGUCUUCUUCCAAUCUUGUAGAUUCAUAAGGAAUUUCCUUGCAAGCCGAGGCAUAGUGGCCAAUUCUACCACAAGAGUAGCAAUAGUGUGGUAGCCUCUCGUACUUGAACUCGAUCCACAGCUUUUUGCAUCCUAAAUUAACCACUAUCCUUGUCUUGAGAGGUGUAGCUAGGUUGAGCUUAAUCCUGGCCUUCCCAAUCUUAAAUAUGCCGUUUCCUUUGGCUUCCAGCUUCACCUCAAAAACUUCGCCGAUCCUUGAAGCAAUUUCUCUAACUACCUCCGUCGUAACACUGCCAAAGGGGAGGCCAAAUAGAUGCACCCAAAAUGGGCAUUGGGAGAAAUCAUAGCAAAUAUCGGGAAUAUCCGGGUCACACUGUUGAAGCACAAGGAGGUUACUGGAAAAAGACCAAGGGACAACAUCAAGGAUUCUCUGUUUUUCAGCUUCCGAUUUAAAUGUGAAUGAGAAAAUUCCAGGUUCUAAAGUGGUACAGGAAACAUUAUCUGUCUUCCAAGCCCAUGUUAAUAAAUGCCGGGAAAUUAACAUUUGGACGGGAAUAAAGCUUUCCAAAUAAGGUACGUCUACCUUCCGCAAGUUUUUCAGCCGAUAUUCCUUAUGUAACAGUUAUCACAUCAUCCUCAGACCAUAAGUUACCAAGGCUUUUACAGAGCGCCUCUAAUCGGCUCGAUUCUGUACUAGAAUCAACCAUAUGCUCGACUAUAAUAGCACAAGGAGACCUGGGGAAAGCUUAAGAAGCGACAAGGACCUACAAGAGAACCUGUGCAUACUUAACUUAUCUGUUUGGGGUGCAAGCGAACAUCUUCCAGCAUUUGACCAGCAACUAAACAACAGAGGAAGCCCACUUCCGAGCAAGACAUGGAAAUCAUCCGUCGCAAGGGAGAUAGUGGGGUUGAGGCUUGGGUAAAUGGGCGAUGGUGCCGGCCGAAGGAAAUGGAAGGGAAGGGAAAUGAAAAGCGAAGGGAAACCCGAGAAAAGAGAAUCGAGGAAACCCAGAAGAAAAAUCGGACGAAGAGCCCAAAUUAGGGUUCCCGAAUGGAGGAUCGGAAACCAGAGGACAUAGUGGGCGGUCGGUGGAUGUCGAUCAUAGAAACAAAAGAUGGAGGACUUCACCGCGAAGGAGCUGGGUCCAUUAAACGGAAUGAACACAAUCGAAGACCUCCAUGUGGGGAGAUUGAAGCUACCAGACGGUAGAGGAGAACCCGGAUAUUUUGGGAGCUUUUCUAACCAAUUGUACUUUGAAAUUAAGUUAUUUUCCUAGAUAUCAAUGGUGCCAACAACAGUAUACUUUUGUCUGUGGUUUCUAUCCGUUUCAACAUAAACAAACUCAGCAAUAGGAAAAUAGUAGGCAGCAAUGUUAGGCUAAUGCACAAUCCAGACGGCUGUGAUUGUCUAGGAGCAACAAUCUGCACAAGACAAGGGCCAAUUCCAUCUCUAUCUCCCUCUCAAUAAGGGAGACUUCUCAAAAUUCUAAACAAUCUUAAUUUCUUUGAAUGCAUUACACAACGGAAAUUACAUUUGUUAUAAGUGACCAAAGAAAAUGUACAUUUAUCGUAAUUCUAAGGGAAAACAGCAUUAAUAUGACAAACAAAAAGGUCCCACACAGCACAACGGUCGAGUGAAUGAAAGGGGCUAGAUGGGCAACCAAAGUCUUCAAUUUCAACCCUCAAAUCGUAUCAUUUGCCACUGUCCUAUCAAGCAACCAAAGUCUUCAAUUUCGAUCCUCAAAUCGUACCAUAUGCCAUUGUCCACUAUCCACUUUCCUAAUGAGCAACCAAAAUCUUCAAUUUCGACCCUCAAAUUGUACAAUUUGCCACUAUCCACUGUCCUUACGAGCAACGAAAGUCUUCAAUUUCAACCCUCAAAUCGUAUCAUUUGCCACUGUCCACUGUCCUAAGUGUCCUAACGAGCAACUAGAGUCUUCAAUUUCGAUCAUCAAACCGUACCAUUUGCCAUUGUCAACUGUCCUAAAGAGCAAUCAAAGUCUUCAAUUUCGACUCUCAAAUCGUACCAUUUGCCACUGUCCAUUGUCCUAACGAACAACUAAAGUCUUCAAUUUCGACUCUCAAAUCAUACCAUUUCAUAGACUUUUUUUGCCAUUGCCUUAAUAAGCAACCAAAGUCUUCAAUUUUGACCCUCAAAUUGUUCCAUUUCAUGGACUAUAUAUAUAUAUAUAUAUAUAUAUAUAUAUAUAUAUAUAAGGCCAUNNNNNNNNNNNNNNNNNNNNNNNNNNNNNNNNNNNNNNNNNNNNNNNNNNNNNNNNNNNNNNNNNNNNNNNNNNNNNNNNNNNNNNNNNNNNNNNNNNNNNNNNNNNNNNNNNNNNNNNNNNNNNNNNNNNNNNNNNNNNNNNNNNNNNNNNNNNNNNNNNNNNNNNNNNNNNNNNNNNNNNNNNNNNNNNNNNNNNNNNNNNNNNNNNNNNNNNNNNNNNNNNNNNNNNNNNNNNNNNNNNNNNNNNNNNNNNNNNNNNNNNNNNNNNNNNNNNNNNNNNNNNNNNNNNNNNNNNNNNNNNNNNNNNNNNNNNNNNNNNNNNNNNNNNNNNNNNNNNNNNNNNNNNNNNNNNNNNNNNNUUAAAACUAAAUCUGUCAGAAGCAGAUAUGUCAGACUCAGAUGCAAGUCUAUCGCACUCAGACUCAGAUUGUAAAGUCUAUUGCUCUCAGACUUUACAUCCAGAUUCGACAGAACGUAACUCAAGCCCAAUCAUAUAACGGCUAGUGAUCUGGUUUGGAUUCCACAUCAAGAUUGAUUUGAUUGGUUCAAUCUAAUUGAUUGACGAUUGGAUUUUGAAGACAAAAACUUUCUAUACGAAGAAGCUUUACUUAUGGAAACCAAGAUUUCGUUUGUAUGGGCAAUCAGAAUCAAUUUGGGAUUCUACAUUUGUCACUCAACGGCUACCAAAUCUUCUAGAUACAGAGCUGUCCAAUGGGUAUAUUGGAAGACGAUUCUUCGGGAUGCUGUCCAACGGCUAUUUUGGAAGUAGAGGAGUAUUUAAGGAGAUCAUGGACCGAUGAACAAGUAAGAGACGGAGCGUAGAAUUUAUAAUUCCAAAAUCUGAGCGACCUUCGAUCAUAUACUUGUCUCUUGAGAGCUUAAACGUUUGUAAUCAUGAGAGAAAUACCAAAAGAGUUAUUUAGUGAGAUAGUGUGAUCUACUACUAAGUGUUUGCACUCGAAGUUGUAAUCUCUUGUUGAUUGCAUAGUGGAAUCCAGCCAAGAAGGCUGUUAGCGUGGGAGAGUGGACGUAGGCUUGAAUUAAGCCGAACCACUAUAAAUCUUGUGUUCUUAUUCUCUUCCCUAACUCCUUUAUUUUGUUCAUACUAGCACUCACAAUUGGUAUCAGAGCCAAGUGCUCGGUUUAUAAAAGUGUUUUUACUUUUGAGCUAAAGAUUCUUUAUGGCUAGUAUGUUGGCACUAGGACUUAUGGAAGGGCAAAGCAACACAAGGCCACCAUAUUUUGAUGGAAAGGAAUAUGACGUAUGGAAGAACAAAAUGAAAGCAUUCCUAAGAUCCAGAUAUCUCUUACAAUGGGAUGUUGUGGAAAGAGGAAUCAACCCCACUGCUGCGUCUACAUCAAAUAAGAAUGGCAAAGACAAAGAAAGCAAACCCCCGCUCCUAUGUCUCGGAUGGAGAUGUCCAAAAGAGAAGCACUUGAUGCGAAAGCAAUUUAUUUUUUAUAUUGCGCUUUGUCUCCUACUGAAUAUAAUAGAAUCUCUUCAUGUUACAUAUGAAGGGACCGAUCGUGUAAAAGAGACAAAAGUAAACUUCCUGCUCAAUAAAUAUGAAUCCUUCAAGAUGAAGCAAGGAGAGUCAAUUGGAGAUAUGUUCAGCCGUUUUACAGAAAUUGUAAAUGGUUUAGCAUAUCAAGGUCAGCAAAUUUCUACCUCGAUGAAGGUCAACAAACUCUUGCGAGGUCUCUCAAAAGAUUGGAACCAUGUCAAGACCUCAAUCCGGGAGACUCAAAGGAUUAUGACACUCUCCGUUGAUGAAUUGAUCAGCACUCUUCAAUCCUAUGAAGUGGAGCAACUUAACGAUGAAGAUCCCGAAGGUAAGAAGUCCAUCGCUUUAAUAUCUAAUGCUGUUUUUGAUGAAACAGACUCAGAAAAUGACAUGGACGAUGAAGAACUUGCUUUUAUGAUCGAGAAAUUCAAAAAGCUGAGUAGAAAAGAAAAUUUAUGCUUGAUGGCACAUUCAGAAUCUGAGUCUGACUCAGACAUAGACUCAGAAUCAGAGUUUGACUUAGACACAGACUCAGAAUCCGAUGAGGAAAUCGAGGAAAUAAAAGAAAAGAAGAAGUUGGUAAGGAAUGUUUUUGGGCACAUAAUUCUCAUUAUGCUUGAAAUUCGAUAUAUCAUUGAUUGAUUCAGAUUUUAUAAUGAUCAUAUUUUGUUUUAUUGAAGAAAGAAUCGCAUGAUUUAUUUUUGUGAUUCGAAAUUUAAUUUGAUACGUUUGAUCAUUUGUGAUAUCAUGCUUAAAGACAAAAUAAUUUAUUUGGUUUAAUUUUAUACUCUCAGAUUUAUUCAUAUUUUGCAAAGUGAAAAUUUGUUUUACGUGAUAUUAAUUUAUGAUGCAAGAUAUUAUUGUGCAUAAUAUUCUUUCUUUGAAUACUUUGUUAUGAUGAAUUAAGAAAGAAUAUUUGAUUAUGGAGAUUUCAUAUUUUACUCUAACGUCAAGGAAGGAUCCAAAUUGAUGGAUACCAAAAAGGGAAAUGAGUUGAUUGCAGGAAAUUCUUUAAGGGAAGGAUGAUUGCGAAUCUACGCAAAUUUUGGUGCAAUCAGAAAAUAUCUCCUGCGACAAUUGGUAAUGAUUUUUUUUUAAUCAAUGGUAUAUUUGAAACAUAUACCAUGGGUAAGAGAAUAUUUUUCAUCCUACCUUGCAAAUCUCUAUGUGCAUUUAUCAUGAUUUUGGAUGAUUGUUUAUUAUAUUGCGAAUAUCUUUUGUCAUAAAUAUAAGGUAUUGCAAUUUUGGCAAGUGACAGAAAUAUCUAUUUUCCUUUUGCAAAAUGCAUAUCUGAAAUUUAUGCUCAAGGAAAUCUCUUUGAUCUCGAAAUAUAUUAUUGCAUAUUCAUGGAUAUUCUUGCUAUAUUCUUAGAAGAUAUAUUAUAUCUAGCAAGGUUGAUCUGCAAAUCAAAGAAAGAUAUUAUGUGACAUUUUUGCAGAGAUGAUUAUCUAUUAUACAAGAUUUUGCAGGUGACAAUAGAAUCUUCCAUAUGAAUUUUGGAAAGCUCAAUCUGAAAAUUAUGAAUAUUCCAUACUAUCUUUUGGAAGAUCGAAAAUUCCCUUCCUUGUGCAAAAUUUUUGCUUAUUGAGGAAAUCCCUUAUGUACGGAAGGUUGAAUAGUUUUGAAUUUUAAUAUUUGAUAAUUUUAUAUAUGCUAUUCAAUUUAUCCACUUGAAGAAAAGGGUAUUAUAUAUCACGUGAAUAUUAUUAUAGCUUAUUUGUGGAAAAAGUUUGUUAAGUUGAUGCAGGUUGAAUUCGAGAUGAGCUUGGUUAAAGAAAAUAAAAUUUUUGCAUCGAAUUUCAAAAUGCAAGUGAUCGUUGCGGAUGUUGUUGCUACAAAGGAAAUACUGGAAAUAUAUUUUGUUCAACGUGCACAAGCAACAAUUAUUUCUAUUCACAAAUGUUGUCAUGAUGACAGGGGGAGAAAGCAAAUCCAAAAGAUAAGGAAAAGAAUCAUGAUCAUCUCAAAAAGACAACAAAUUGAGGGGGAGCAUUGAUCAAUUAUGGAAAAAUCUUUUUGGAUUGAUCGUGAUCUUAUUAUGGAUGGAAGGAAAGGUAAAUGUGUCAGAAUUUAUUCUAAAAAAUCCUGUUAGUGCAUCUUUUAUUACCUUUUGUCAUUAACAAAUCUCUUAUUGAUAUUAUCAUUUUAUUAUGACAAAAAGGGCACGUGAAUUUCAUGAUGCAUCCGUGAUUUUUAUUGGAUAUUUGCUGAGAUAUAUGAUCGAAGUGAGCUAUAUUGCAUAUCUUUAAUAUUCGAUUUACUUUAUAAAAGCUGAUUUUUGGAAAUUGUGAUUCAUGCAAGAUAUUUGUUAUCAUUCUCUACGUGAAUCCAUUAUUAUCACUUUUUGAUUAUGACAAAAAGGGGGAGAAUAUAUGAAUAUGCAUAUGUGUUAAUUAGUUGAUAUUAUCUAUGGCAUAAUAUUGAGCUGUGAUUAUUAGUCUAUAUAUUGUUAUGCUCAAUUUAUUUACUAUAUUCUGAUAUCCUUUGAUUUAAAUUAAUAUCUUUAAAAGCAUGUUUACAAAUCUGUAUAUUCAGAGAUUGUUUUGUCAUCAUCAAAAAGGGGGAGAUUGUUAGGGAAAUCCCUUAUGAUGUUUUGAAGAUGACAAAAUAAAUCAAAGGUACUAACAUGUUUAAUGGUUAAGUAAUAGACCAUGCAGAUGAUAGAACAUGUAGAGGAUAUUAUCAAAGUCAGAAGACGGCCAGAAGACUGAACGUAACAUAUGUCCAAAGUAUAUUCUGAAGACUGCCAAACUCAAGACUCAAAGUCUGAAGACUGCCAGACUUUAGUGUCAAAGUCUGUUCUACAUCAGAAGUCUGCUCACUCUGACUAAUUCCAGACUGAACGUGAAUGAUGAACCAGAAGACAGACUCUAUGCUGAAGCUAAACUGGGUACAGACCUUAAAGCUAAAUCUGUUCAGAAGCAGAAUAUGUUCAGACUCAGAUUGCAAAGUCUAUCGCACUCAGACUCAGAUUGUAAAGUCUAUUGCUCUCAGACUUUACAUCCAGAUUCGACAGAACGUAACUCAAGCCCAAUCAUAUAACGGCUAGUGAUCUCGUUUGGAUUCCAUAUCAAGAUUGAUUUGAUUGGUUCAAUCUAAUUGAUUGACGAUUGGAUUUUGAAGACAAAAACUUUCUAUACGAAAAAGCUUUACUUAUGGAAACCAAGAUUUCAUUUCUAUGGACAAUCGGAAUCAAUUUGGGAUUCUACCUUUGUCACUCAAUGGCUACCAAAUCUUCUAGAUACAGAGCUAUCCAAUGGGUAUAUUGGAAGACGAUUCUCCGGGAUGCUGUCCAACGGCUAUUUUGGAAGUGGAGGAGUAUUUAAGGAGAUCAUGGACCGAUGAGCAAGUAAGAGACGGAGCGUAGAAUUUAUAAUUCCAAAGUCUGAGCGACCUUUGAUCAUAUACUUGUCUCUUGAGAGCUUAAACGUUUGUAAUCGUGAGAGAAAUACCAAAAGAGUUAUUUAGUGAGAUAGUGUGAUCUACUACUAAGUGUUUGCACUCAAAGUUGUAAUCUCUUGUUGAUUGCAUAGUGGAAUCUAGCCAAGAAGGCUGUUAGCGUGGGAGAGUGGACGUAAGCUUGAAUUAAGCCGAACCACUAUAAAUCUUUUGUUCUUAUUCUCUUCCCUAACUUCUUUAUUUUGUUCAUACUAGCACUCACAAUGCGCACAUUUUCUCUUUAUGUCAAUGUCCAAGCAAAAGUACUCCUACUGAACACUUGAUUCUAAAUUGCCACAGAGAUUCAUCUUCGCCCAGGGUUCACAUCACGAGCUGAUACCCGAUUACAAAUUCCAGUUAAACGAUCAAUAACAAGAUUACGGUGCUCUCAUGACUUAACGCAAUUUAGUAGGCUCUAAUCCGACCUUUGAGGUGACAUUUAAGACACAAUUCGCAUACCGGAACUGUACCAAACGAUUCCCAUGGAAAAACAUUUUGCCGGCAUAAUCUCCGCCUCUCCUCCUUGUUUAUGGGGGUGAUUUCCCAUCUCUAUCGUCAUCUGCCGCUCCGCAUAGCUUCGAGCUCCAAGCCUGCGACGCCAUGAUCACUUGGGAUCGAGAGUCGUUUGAGGAAGUCGACGAGAAGCUCUCGGUUGAGCACAAUUCCCUCCCCACCGCUCGCGUUAACAUAGCAGAAGCAGAGUCCGCAAGAACCCAACAAAACCCUCGCAACCACAAUCACAAGAGCAGCCAUGCCUGAUUUCUCCUACCUUUCCGACACCGACGAUUACCCGGUGAGUUGACUUCGCAGUGGAAGACCUCAUUUCCCAGACCAAGGACCUCGUCGUCCUCGAGCCAAAUCGCUGCCAUCAACUGCUCCUCGGAGGACGCAAUUGCCCCGUUGCCAAAGCGGAAUCCGGACGAGAAAUCGCGUUAGAAGUCCACCACGAAGUUACGAUCCAGACUCUUCGCCGAUGGAUUAUUUCGAUUCGUGGAGGAGGACGAGGUACUGUCGGAUUUGGGGGCUUUCUCCCCUAAAGAGCAGAAGAAACGUUGCUGAAGUAGGCAACGAAGGAGCGGAGAAGAUCGCCAGGAUGGCGAAGCAAAUGGAGGGGUAGGCUGUAACUUAUUCUUACUCAAAUCUUUUCGUUUGUUCGCGCUUCCGCGCUAUUCGUGUGACAUGAUUUGUUGCUUUCUUGGCAGAUGUGCUCUUACAUAUCAGUAAACUUCAUUACUGACUAGUAGUGAUUACAAUCUGGGCCAUAUGUUUUGGUUUCAAUAUAAGGAGCAACUUUUCACAUAACCACGAUUUGGAAACGAAAAUCAAACCAUAGAUGCCGGCAAACUGCUUGGGUACAGCCUAACUAGGUCGAUUUCAAAUUUCUUGUUGAAGUCUUUAAAUGUCAUUGCUUCUAUGCUUUGAAAGAGGGAAUCAGUAGUUUGGCAAAACCACUGCUAGAUCAGAUGAUCUGGUUGAAAUUAAGGUUGAGCUGUGUGGAACUUUAAUGCCUCUCUCAAGUCUCAACUAGGUAGAGUGGUCUUCUUAGGCUCAAAAUCUGGUGACUUCACUCAGGCUGAUGGUUGGAGCUUAACUAGGGAGAAGAAGGCCGAGUUAACUUGGCAUAGGCUAAUUUGGUUUAAUCCAAAUGUGCCGACAUUUUGCUUUGUAUCUUGGCUUGCUAUCCUUACCAAGUUGCAGCAGACUGGUGAUAGAUUUUGCAAAUGGCAGAAUGUGAAUGAUAUUUGUGUCCUCUGUGGAUUGAAGCCCGAAUCAAGGAGACAUUUGUUCUUUGAAUGCUCUUUCUCCUCUGAAAAAUGAAGUAGGCUUUUGCAGCUAUGUGGUGUGGGAGGUUUUGUUGGCGAUUGUGAUGCUGAGUUUAUGUGGGUGUUGCAGACAUCAAAGGGGAGGUCUCUGGAAAGUCUUAUUAAAGAUGGCAUGGAAUGGUGUCAUUUAUUACUCAUGGAAGGAAAGAAAUACUAUAGUUCACAUUUGUAGAGUUCCCUGCGCUGAGAAGGUUUUCGAGAGUAUGUUGUUUGUGCUGAUAAUAAUUCGUGUGGUUUUUUGGGGCAUAUAAAUACCUGAGAUUGGGCAGGAGAAGGAUUAUUCUCUUGUUUCAUAUAAAUACCUGAGCUUGGGCAGGAGAAGGAUUAUUCUCUUGUUUCAUCGUGCUAUAAUGCUUUAGUUGUGUUAGUUUGGUAGCAGGGGAAGUGAAAUUCUUGGGCUUGAUGUUUUUGCUUGACAUCUUGUAUUGAGAUUUAGACCUUAUUGAAGUUGUAGUGGGAAGUGGAUGUCCAAUGGUUUGAUGAUUCAUUGGCGAUGUUGUUACCAUGUCUUAAAUUCCAGAAAUCGUCAGGGAUAUUUUUGUCUGAUGAUUCAUUGGCUACGUUGUUACCUCAUUGUCAAGGUAGUUACCAUGGUGGUCGACGACCGUCCCGGAGCAUGAGCGUGUUGUUUUUUUGUCAUUUAAAUAGUGAUAAGAGCAUUUUCAUUUUACAGUUACCUUGUCAGAAUGAAAUAGUGGAAAUUUUUUGGUUAAAGGUACUAUUUCACUCAAACAUAAUGAAACGUCAUAUAGCCGAGAAGGAAAUCACAUUGCACGUGUCUUUGUGCUUAGUUAAGAUGAAACGUUGUGUAAUUGCACAAUAAAAUGCCGUACCAAAUAGACAAUCGCAAACAUUAUGCUUUGUUUCUACUCAAAUAGGCAAUAUGGAUAUAACAAUCGAGCCCAGACCAAAGUAGAUCCAUCAUUGAAUUGCCUAUGAUGGAUGAUUGAUGAUGGGUUACGAAAAUUUAAGAAAAGUGUCCAAAAAGUCAUAAACUAUUUGUAUUAUUAUCAAUUUAGUCAUAAAUUUUUCAAUUUUAAUAAGCAUUUUCACGUUUUAUUAAUUGAGUACAUUCGUCCAAUUUUGACCAGAAAUGACUAAUGUAAAUACCAACUAUCCUAUGUGAUAUAAUUGGCGAUGAUGCAAAUAUUUUUUAAUAAUAUUUUCAAAUUUUCAAAAUUUUUAUUAAUUUUUUUGUUUUUUUUUUCUCUUUUAUCUUUUUUUCAUGGGCAACAAAGAUCACCAACCUUAGGCAAGGACCACCCUUAUCGACCCCUGGCAAUGGUCGCCCUCACCUAGGUAGGCCGAGGCUUGAGGUCAUGCCUAAGACAACUACCUAUGCUAACUAUCGACGAGGCCUUGUGAAGGGAAAAAGAAAAAAAAAAAGAAUGAAAAGAGAAGAAAAAAAAGUAAAAAAUAUAUAACCCAUGCAUGAUUGCGCUGGUGGAAGCUUGCCCCUGAAUUUGGCCACCACGUCAGGGUUCAACUCCCAGGUAUGGUUUCAUGAUUUAAGCAAGGGGGCCUCGGCAGUAGGUUGCUAGGCCAAUUUUUCCCGAGGUAUAGUCGGUGUUGUACUCCCAUAAGAUAAGUUAGGCCAAAUCCUUGAUAUCAAAAUAAAUAAAUGAAUAAAUAAUAUAUAUUAUUAAAAAUUAUCUACGUCAACGUCGGUCAUACCAUGUAGGACGGCUGGCGUGCCGACACCCACUUCAACAAUUUCCAACCAAAUUUGAUCAGAUGGUUCAAUUGACAAAAUGUGAAAAUAUUUAAAAUUUAAUUAGCAAAAUUAAUAAAUUUAUAACUGAAUUGGCAAAAGUGUAAUAGGUUUAGGAUUUUUUGAAUAACUUUUCCUCCCAUAAAUUUCACCUUUUUUCACUUCGGCAAAUGGGGACCUUGUUUGUUGCAUUGUAAUGCCUGGGGAUGCCAAGAAGGUUAGAACGGAGGAUCUCAAGAAGGUCAAGCGUCUAUGGGUCCAUGUUACCCGGAUUGUUCCCCAUGGCUGGGCCUGGAACUUGCGCUUGAACCUAGGUCUCCGACGCCCAAACUUGGGACUCCGGUUGCACUUGAGACUUGUUCUCAAACGUCUAUUUCCUAAUUUUCCCGUAACUAAUAUCAGCAAAUGGUUUUCCUAUUGUUCAGCAAAUACAGACCAACGUGCCUUUAAAGUAAGUUCCUUCGGAAAAAUUUCUAGCAAAGUUCCUCUUUUUUUUUUUUUUAAAAAAAAAACGGAACUUGAGAUUUGGACAAACUCCCUUGAUUGAAUUUGGGAGUGAAUGUAAUAAAUUUACUGUUCCCUUGUGAACCGAUAAGCAUUGUUUGCACAAUGAAUGAAGGAUCUUGAUGGUGCCAACAACAUAGUUUAGGUUUUCUCUGUUUUCUAUUUAUUUCAGAGACAGAGACAAAACAAACAAGCAAAUGAAAAGUAAAUGCAUUUUUCUGUGAGCAACCAAAGUCUUUAUUUCUCCCCUCGAUUUGUCCCAUUGCAUAGACUUGUUUGCUGUUAUCACGACUUAUAAAAUGCAUACUCUGUCUAGAACAGUGGGGAAAACUUAGUUCUACUUUUGAUUUACUUACAUGUCAAAACAUCCAUUUGGGGUGAAGGUAAAGUGAGCCUAAUUCUGCUUUUAGAUUGCAAAAAUUAUUACAUAUCUAACAUCUAACGUACUCUCACAUCCAGAUCUUAGCUUUCCUCAAAUAGCGUCCCUUCGUUACCGACUCUCGAUGAUGAAACUCAUUGGGAAAGGUUAUCUUUUGCUUUUUUGCUUCUAUUUUCUAGAUCUUAAUGGUGUCAACGACAAUAUAUUUUUUGCCUUCGGUUUCUAUUCAUUUUGGCAUAAACAAAACAAGCACUAGGAAAAUCUUAGGCAACAAUGUUAGGCUAUUGCACCAUCCAAACGUCCGUGAUUAUCUGAUCCCAACAAUUUGCACAAGACAAGGGCCAAUUCCACCUCCAUUGUCCCUCUCAAUAAGUGAAGACUGUUCAAAUUUUUGAACAGUUUUAAUCUCUUCAAAGCAUUACAUCAUGAAAAUUACAUUCAUCAGCAAUGACCAAAUGAAAACAUUGCAAAUCAUGCAAUCAAAUUGAAAAUAACGCUAAUAUCACAAACAAAUGGGUCCAACCCAAAGUCAUUAUUGGGCAAAAGAGAGGGGAUAAAUGAGCAUUCAAAGUCUUUGAUUUCAACCCCCAAUUCAUAACAUUUCAUCAACUUGUUUGCCGCUGUCACAACUUAUGAAUGUGAUACAUUUGUUUAGAAUGGAGGGAAUAAUUUCAAACCUUCUUAUUAACCACACAAGCCCUUCAUCUUAUUUUUCCACGGAGAGACUUUUUGUGAAUGGGACCAUCACAUGUUGCUGUAUGACACCUUCUGGUUUGGAAAUUUUUGAACUAAUCUAUGGCUGACCCAAAGUCUUCCAUGCAAAUACAAACCUAUUUGUCAAUUUGGGCACGAAGCUUUUCCUCGUGUUACCCGGUAGCUAGCCCCACACGGCACUACGCAAGGUCAUCCUCAUGCACCUAAACAUUCAUAUACAUUGCCCGUAUUUUGAGUGUUUUAUCACUGACAAAGUCAUUGAUUUUGAUGCAUCGUAACGUGCGAUGCGGCAUGCUCGCUUACCCCUACGCACCAAGCACCCCGCUUCCUCGGUAGCAUUGCUCUGAACACAGUCAGAAAAACAGCUUUGAGAACAAAAUAGAAUUUCCAACUAAAAAAAAAGAACAAAAUAGAAUUUAACCCACCCAAUAACUUUGGUCAUACAACUAACUAAAAUCUCUAUACACAUAAAGAGCUACGUUUCAAAGUUAAUCAAGUCUUUUAUUUCUAUACAUCCGUUAGAGAUUUAUUGCCAAAUAUGCAUGAGAAUAAGAGAUUUGCUAGGAUUUAAUUAAAAAAAAUACUAAAACUAUUAUUUCUUGCAGAGCGAUUAGAGAACCGUUACCAAAAUAAACAUAAAAAUUAGAGAGUUGCCAAGAUAAGAGAUUUUAUAAAUUGAACAUUAAAAUAAUUGCUACACAAAACUCACAUUUGAAAGUGCCUUGUGGUAUAUGGCUUUUGUGUAUUUUUCUUAUUCUUUUUUGUAUAUUAAUAGUUAUUUAGCCGGAAAAAAAAAAGAAUAGCGACUUCUAAUUUCCAAUUUUCGGUGAUGAACAUUGUUUAGAGAGGUAUUUUAUUUAUAAAUGUUUUGCUUUUAUUCACUAAACUUGUUUUGGAUCUUGAUGGUGCCAACAAUGUAGCUUGUCUCCAAUUGCCAUUCAUUUUGGCAAUAUACUAGAACGAGCGGCAAGAAAAUAUUAGGUGGCGAUACAAAUGUCUAAUUGCUCACAGACAAUCACCUUCAUUCUACCUCUAUUCUCACUCUCAAUGAGAAAGACUGAUCAUAACUCUUAACAGUCAUAAUUUUUUUAAAGGCACUGCAUAAAGUAAGUCACAUUCCUCAUCAGUGACCAAAGGAAGUGUUCACAGAUCAUAAAUUCAAAGUGGAAACAGCACUAACAUCGCAAACAGAAAGGUUCAACGUAGAGUGAUCGUUGAGCGAACGAAAAGGGCUUGACUUAGCAAGCAAAGUCGUCAAUAUGGACCCUCGAUUUGUGCUAUUUCAUGGACUUGUUUGCUGCUGUUGCGACUUACGAAUGGAUUGGUCUAGAAUGGAGGGAAUAACCUUCAACCAUUUCUUAAUCAUACAAGCUCUUUACCUUAUCUCCCCGCAAAGAAGGAUUUUUGUGAAGUGGACCAUGAUGCUGUUGCUAUAUUACUCCUCGCGUACGCAAUUUUUGGACUAAUCGUUCGGCCCAAGUCUUACAUGCAAAUGACAGAUCGAUUGGCUGAAUUUCUAGUUAAUCAAUCAAUUGUCGAUUUGGGCCUGAGGUUUUUCCUUAUGUUCCCAGGUAGGUACACGUUACGGCACUGCACAAAGUCAUGCUCGUGCACCUGAAGAUUCAUAUGUAUUUUCACAAACUUCUGCGUGUUACAUCACGAACAAAGUCAUCGACUUGAUGCAUCAUAGCAGAGAUGAGGCAUGUUUAUGCCCCUAGGCACCAAGCACCGCUAUAAAUCUACUUCACUCUCUCAUACUCUACUCAUCAAAACAAAGUUGUCUUUGUUUGAAACAAAAUGGCUUGCUCGUCAUGCUUCUACAUGUCCAUACACUUGCUUUUCUUGUACUUGUGGUCACAUUCUAUUGGUGCACACAAUCUCUCUCCUUCUCCGAAACCUUUGUGUAUCAAGGACGAAAUGUCUGCCCUACUACAAUAUUAAGAGAUAUACAAAGGGACUCGUUUGGUUUGGCUUUUGGGGAGUGCAUUUGCAAAAACGCAAAUACCUUUGGGUGAAGGGGGUUUUCCGAAAUGCAAAUAUUGUUUGGUAAAAUUUGCAUUGAAAAACAACUUUGGCCAAAAUACUUUUGGCAAAAUUUGCAUUUGUAAUUGACUUUUUUUUUUUUUGGUAAAGGUAAUAAAUAUAAAAAUAAAGUUAAGGCAAUAUACAAAAGAUCGGCACCAAAAACCUACACUCAUUCCUCAAAAAGAGACAAAGUGUAGGGGAGCCAAUGUAAGAGGCCUCAAAGGCAAACAAGGCAGCCACAAGGGCACAGCAACAAAACAAAAAAGCGGGAAAGAGAUAACAACAAGGCUGACCAACCCUCAGCCCCCUAAGGAAGUAGCUAAGAACGGAGAGCCAAGAAAGAUAGGAGCAACUCGUGCAAAGCAGCAACUAAGGAGCACUAGUCAGCCGAGAGAACACUGCAGGGUCGAACCCCCAACCACACUGAAGCCUCUUAUUCCUCGGGGUAGGAGGAACAUCUUUGAAUGUUAUAACUUUAUCCCUCACAACCUUAAUAAGGUGGUUUUUUUAGAGCCGAGACCACUAAGGAUUUGCCCUGAAAUAUAAUCGCAUUCCUCUUUUUCCAAAUAAGGUGACACAUAGCUCCAAACGAGAACCACGCAAUGCAAUGGAAGAAGUCCUUACCAGACAAGAACUUUAAGGCCCAACUGAGGAUAUCUUUCCAACAUCUAUUCCGCCAUGGGAGGUUACACCUGGCGGCCCAAAAGUAGGCCAGAGAAGCCGAGAUGCGACACCCGAAGAAUAAGUGUUCAACAGAAUUUGGAACAUCAUUGCAGAAGGCACAAACAUUAUAGUCGAUCCUACCAUGAGAAAGAAGCAGCAUCUGGGUCGGCAGGCGAUUUUUGGUUAUAAGCCAUAAAUUAAACUGGAACUGCGGGGCUACAGCAUUGUCCCAAACAAAGGACGCCCAAUCAACACGAUCCUUCUUGCCUCUAAUGGAAUUCCAUGCUAAAGUUACAGAGAAUGAUCCAGAAGCGUCACAGCACCAGGUAAACCUGUCACGAGCCGAAGAGAGGACCGGAAGGGAGAUCCCCCAUCUUUCCAAAAAAGAUUUAAAUAAACAACCCAUAGAGGUAAACAGAUCCGCAACAACAGCAUUGUCAGGAAGACACAAGCCUUCACGGAAUGAGCAAGGAAUAAAGGCAUCAAGCGGGCCACAAGAAAGCCAGUGAUCAUGCCAAAGAGACACUGAUAGUCCAUUUGUAAUUGACUUUUAUUAAAUUAAAAAAGCAAAAAUAUAUUUGUAUUUUUUUUUUUGAAGUUCAGCCAUCAGACCGCCGGACCCGGCGUCUGGAUGGCUGGAUCUGGCCCCCGGACGAUCGCCGGGGUCGGGCGACCCCAGGCGAUGGUCGCUCGAGGUCGCGUGACCCCAGGUGGUCGUUGCUUGGGUCGCGCGAACCUAGGCGACAGUCCCCUAGGUCGCGACCCCAGGCGAUUGCGCAACCCAAGUAGCCUUCGCCUAGGGUCGUGAGAUUCAAGCCAUCAGUCAUCUAGGUUACGUGACUCAGGAGUUGCCUGAGGUCCCGCGAUGGUCACCGGGGUCGGGCGACCCUUAGGCUGCGAUCGCUGGCGCGCGCGACCCUUGGCCGGCGGUCGUUGGCCUCUGAUCAGCUUCUCCACCGGCUGCAUGAACAGUGAUGAACAAUAUAACUUGCAUUCUGAAACCUCUACCCCUCCAUUCCCCCAAAGACCUUUGAAGCCCCUUGGAGAUGCAAUUGCAUCUCCCCAAAGUCCUCAAAAAAUUGAACUAAACACCAUAGCAUUCGGCUAAACCCCUUUAGAGCUCGAAAAAGCAUUCCAAAUGCUGAACCAACCGGGGCCAAAAUCGCCAAUGUUUCAAAUGAUCCUCACGCUCAUCCCAAGACUCAAUCUUGGAAAAACAAUCAGGAUUGCUUCUCCUGGGAUGGGAUCGAGUGCGACAAGAACAUUGGCCAUGUAAUUGUUCUCGAUCUAGGAAGCAGUUUUCUCUAUGGCUCUAUCAACAACAACAGUACCCUCUUCCAACUUGCUCGUCUUGUAAAGCUCAAUCUCAGCAACGAUCACUUCAGGUACUCUCAAAUACCGUCCCAAAUUGGAGAUCUAUCGAGAUUGACUCAUCUUGAUGUCUCUUUUCCUUUUUUUUGGGUCGAGUCCCAUCGGAAAUCUUCAAGCUGACAAGGUUGGUGUACCUUAACCUGUGUUGCAAUCUGGAUCCAUUUGGCUCUACGAGGUUGUUGGAAAUGCAACCACUAGGCUUGAGAAGUCUAGCUCAAAAUCUGACCAGCUUGGAAGUACUUUUCCUUGGUGUCGUCAGCAUGUCGUCCAAAGUGCCAAACACUAUGGCGAAUUUGUCUUCCCUAAGAAGGCUGAACAUGGAUGUGUGCGACCUGCAUGGUGUAUUUCCAUCUGCCAUUUUUCAUUUGCCGAAGCUACGAAUCCUCGGGGUGGGUUACAAUGAUCUCACGGGCCAAUUGCCUGACUUUAACUCGAGUAGUCUUCUUGAAUAUCUACGACUGCCUAAAACGAGUUUUUCUGGGCAGCUGCCCGCUUCAAUCGGUAAUCUCCACUCCUUGCAAACAUUGAAUCUUGAUUCCAAGACGUGCAAUUUGACCGGGUCCCUACCCCCGUCAAUAGGAAACCUUCCUUCCUUGAGUUUCCUCGACAUAGGUGGUUGCAAAUUCUCAGGAUCCAUCCCAGCUUCAUUUGCUAAUCUUAGCAACCUCGAAUAGCUGGGUGUCAGCAUGAGCCCAUUCACUGCCCAGACCAUUUCCUCUUUGUCUUGGAUUUGGAAGAUUAAGAAGCUUGCCACUUUCUAUCUCGAGAAAAUCAAUUUAUAUGGCGAGAUUCCACCUUCAAUUUGAAACUUGUCUCAACUAGUGGAGUUAAGCUUUCUUGGCAACCAAUUAAGCGGUACUAUCCCAUCUCAGCUCAAGAACCUCACUCGGCUGACGAGAUUGUGCCUCCGAACUAAUCAACUAUCGGGGUCCAUACUGUCUUGGUUUAUGAGCAUGACUCAAUUGGUCGCACUUGACCUUGCAGUCAAUAACUUCCAUGGCAAGAUACCUUCGUCAAUCUCUCAACUCCAAAAUCUCCAAGUCCUCAUACUUGCGAAAAACAACUUUAGCGGUACUGUUGAACUAGACAACUUUCUCAAGCUCAAAGAAUUGACAGUGCUGCAACUAUCAUCUAAUAGGCUAUCAUGCCGCAGGGUUAGCGCGAAUGUUACUCCUCCUCAACUUCUUGUCUUAGAACUGGCAUCAUGCAAUUUGAACCAGUUUCCUACAUUCUUACAAGACUGCUUUCUUGGCAGAUGUGCUCUUACAUAUUAGUAAACUUCAUUACUGAAUAGUAGUGAUUACAAUCUUGGCCGUAUGUUUUGGUUUCAAUAUAAGGAGCAACUUUUUCACAUAACCACGAUUCGGAAACGAAAAUCAAACCACAGAUGCCAGCAAACUACUUGGGUACAGCCUAACUAGGUCGAUUUCGAAUUUCUCGUCAAAGUCUUUAAAUGUCAUUCCUUCUAUGCUUUGAAAGAGGGAAUCAGUAGUUUGGCAAAACCACUGCUAGAUCAGAUGAUCUGGUUGAAAUUAAGGUUGAGCUGUGUGGAACUUUAAUGCCUCUCUCAAGUCUCAACUAGAUAGAGUGGUCUUCUUAGGCGCUAAACCUGGUGAUUUCACUCAUGCUAAUGCUUGGAGCUUAACUAGAAAGAAAAAGGCCAAGGCAACUUGGCAUAGGCUACUUGUCAAAAAAAAAAAAAAACUUGGCAUAGGCUAAUUUGGUUUAAUCCAAAUGUGCCGACAUUUUGCUUUGUAUCUUGGCUUGCUAUCCUUACCAAGCUGCAGCAGACUGGUGAUAGAUUGUGCAAAUGGUAGAAUGUGAAUGGUAUUUGUGUCCUCUGUGGAUUGAAGCCCGAAUCAAGGAGACAUUUGUUCUUUGAUUGCUCUUUCUCCUCUGAAAAAUGAAGUAGGUUUUUGCAGAUAUGUGGUAUAAGAGGUUUUGCUUGGGAUUCGGACGCUGAGUUUAUGUGGUUGUUGCAGACAUCAAAGGGCAGAUCUCUGGAAAGUCUUGUUAAAGGUGGCAAGGAAUGGUGUCAUUUAUUUCUCAUGGAAAGAAAGGAAUACUAUGUUCACAAUGGUAGAGUUCCAUGUGCUGAGAAGGUUUUCAAGAGUGUCUUGUUUGUGGUAAGGUUGCUGGUUUGCCGCAAGGAGAAAGGAGAAAUGAGCUGCUUUGGCGAGAGCUGAUAACGAUUUGUGUGCUUUUUUGGGGCAUAUAAAUACCUGAGAUUGAGCAGGAGAAGGAUUUAGUCUCUCUUUUGUCUGUUUCAUCGUGCUAUAAUGCCUUAGUUGUAUUAGUUUAGUUGCGGGGGAAGUGAAAUUCUUGGGCUUGAUGUUUUUGCUUGGCAUCUUGUUUCGAGAUUAAGACCUUACAUUGAAGUUGUGGGAAGUAGAUGUACAAUGGUUUGAUGAUUCAUUGGCGAUGUUGUUGAGAUAGCUAGUAUAAACACCUAGAGGGGGGGUGAAUAGGCGCACAAACAAUUUGUCGAAGUACAGAAGCGAUUCUUAACAAACGAUAGAAAGAAAAUUGUCUCUUGAUUAACAAAAUGAAAUACGAUCGAGGUAGAGAGAGAGAGAGAGAAUUGAACNNNNNNNNNNNNNNNNNNNNNNNNNNNNNNNNNNNNNNNNNNNNNNNNNNNNNNNNNNNNNNNNNNNNNNNNNNNNNNNNNNNNNNNNNNNNNNNNNNNNNNNNNNNNNNNNNNNNNNNNNNNNNNNNNNNNNNNNNNNNNNNNNNNNNNNNNNNNNNNNNNNNNNNNNNNNNNNNNNNNNNNNNNNNNNNNNNNNNNNNNNNNNNNNNNNNNNNNNNNNNNNNNNNNNNNNNNNNNNNNNNNNNNNNNNNNNNNNNNNNNNNNNNNNNNNNNNNNNNNNNNNNNNNNNNNNNNNNNNNNNNNNNNNNNNNNNNNNNNNNNNNNNNNNNNNNNNNNNNNNNNNNNNNNNNNNNNNNNNNNNNNNNNNNNNNNNNNNNNNNNNNNNNNNNNNNNNNNNNNNNNNNNNNNNNNNNNNNNNNNNNNNNNNAAUCAGGAUCUCGGUUUCCAUAAGUAGAACCUUCCAAUAAUAUUUAGACAAUCAUCGAAUCUUCAAUCAUUGAAUCAAUCUUGAUCAAUCAAAGGAUUCUGUUACGUCUUCUCCAGCCACGAGAUCUUCUCCAGAUGAUAAGAUUAAAUCCUUAACGGAACAUCCAGUUCUGGAUAACCUUUCUUCAACAGAUUAGAGACUGUCGAUGAGGAUAGACUUUGAGUCUUGAGUCUGGCUGUCCGGAAGUCUUCAGACUUUAAAUAACAGAGUCUGCAGACCUUUAGACUAGACUGAUGGAAACGUUUUGUCAACUUCAAAACACUUCACGAGGAUUUCUCCAACAAUCUCCCCCUUUUUGAUGGUGACAAAACCUUCCUGCAGAUUUGGAUAACUUUGACCUGCAAAACAUUUCUCAAACAGAUAUGCAUAUCUUAUAGAGAUAAAUGGCUAAAAGAAUAACACUAGAAUCUGCAACCACAGAAAAUAGGUUAGUCUAGUAUGUGAUAAAGCCAUCCAUAAGAUAUCAAUACUAGUUUAAUAGAAGCAGUCAAGUCCAAGUCUAGUUCAGUUUUUCAUCCAGACACAAAACAAAGUCAGAGUUUAAAACAACAAACAAUCCAACAAACAGUUAAAAGUUUAAUGAUAAAGUUUGAUCAAAUCAUGCAUCUCUCCCCCUUUUUGUCAUCAUUAAAAAAAUGAGAUGAAGUCAAGAUUGCUUGGGAACGCGGACAAGCUGGAAAUCUUCCAUAGACUGAACGAUGCCUUCCAGCCUUUUAAAGUCUUCAUUCAGCUGUGCAACCUCCUCACUCUUGGCAUUGGCCUGAUUCUGAACAGAGAUGGCUUGCAUUUUAUCAUUCAAUGAACAGGAAGAAGCUUGACUUUCAUUCUUCAAGCUUUGAACUUCGCAUCCCAAGGCAUAAAUUUGACCUCUCAUUUCCAAGAGAAUAUCCAUGAUUCUGCGAAAAUCUGCUCCAUUAUCAGUUUGAGUACUUGCUUCGGCUCGAUCUGAUGGAGUAAAUGCAGAUGACGGUAGAUCAGCAUAAUCUCGCAGGUUUGGCGAUGAAGCUUCAUGACCUUCCUCUAGAAAUUGAGAUGCAUAAACGUCCUCUGGGUCUGCAGGCGAGCGACUGACUCCUUCACUUGCAUCAGGAUGUGAAGACGUCACUCCUUUCUCCUUAUCUCCCCCUGUUUCCAUGCCUACAGGUGGAGAAGAGAUUUCCUCAAGUUCUCCUUCUUCUCUUCUUUCUUCUUCAGGUCUUUCUUCCUCUGCUUCUUGCUCUGCUUCUCUUUCUUCUUCUUCCUUCUCCUAUGCUUCUUUCGUCAUUUGUUCCGAUUCUUUCUGUGGAACAGGACGACUUAAAUUCUUCAAAGCCAUUGCAGAGAUGGUGAUGUCUUCGUCAUCAUCUUCAUCCUCAACGAGGAGAGCUCUUCUUCUCUUUGAUGGAGCAAUCAUGGGCUCCUUCCCUUUUCUCUUAGAUGCAGAAGAGAUUUGAUGAGAUUUUGCAGGAGUCUUCUCCUUGAAUUUUUCCAACUCCUUGCUCAGUUCUUUCAGACGCAUUUUGGUCACCAUUUUCAGUCCUACCACCAUAUGAUCGCAUGGUCGAACACAAAAGAUUUGUGGAGGCUGAAUAUUCAAAUGUCUAAAUAACUUCGUAACAAGGCUUGGGUAAGGGAGUUGACCUCUAUCCUUCAUCACUGCUCUAUACAUGUGAAACAUAACAGUAUGAGGGAGAGAAAACUUCUUUCCACAGAGGAUGGCAUACAUCAACUUUGCCUCAGAGCUUGAAACAUCAGUUUUGGAAGUCGAUUUCGGCCGAAGGCAAUUAAUCACAAUCUUGUGAAGCAAGAUGUUGAAUGCAUUCAUCCUUGAGUAGGUGAUCUUCUCAUCUGUUCUCUUGUCCUUUACCAGUUCAAGUGUGGCCUGAGUAAUGGAAACUUUGAUUGGUUGAUAUCUGCCUCUCUCAACUUCUAACACAUCUGCCAGCAUAUUCAUAUCCACAACAAAGUCUUGUUCUUUAACGCUAAAGGAGAAUCUAUUCGCAUCCAAAAAGCUAAGAUUUGAAUAGAAAUAUGCAGUCAAUUCAGCAUAAGCCUCAGUUGAGUCAGAGCAGAACUUUUCAAGUUGAAGAUAAUUGAACUUUUCCCUCAAGUUCACUUUCACAGCAUCCAGAAAAUCAAAUUCCACACUCCUAGGAUUUAUUACCCCACGCUUCAGCAAUUUUGAGUACAGAUCCUUUUGUUCCUUUGAUCUGAACAAAUCUCCCCUUUUUCCUUGAAUUUCAGCCGCAAUACCCAUUUUCGGUUGAAAUAGAUUGAACAGAUUGUCAUUGUCAUUCCCAUCUACAGGAUUCGGCCCCCAGUCACGAGGAUCACUUGGGAUAUUCGCAAGGGUUUCCUCAGCCACCCCUUUACGAGCGAUUCCCAAACUUUCCAUUUUUCGCAAAAAGAUAUAUUCGUUCUUAUAUCCUUUGUCUUUAAGAAAAUCAUCAACAUAGUUCAAAGGAGUAUGAAUUCCUUUUAAGGCACGAUAUAGCUUGUAAAUAAAAGCGGGCUUUUGAACUCUUACGGGAUUUGCAUCCUCGAUGAUUUCUUCUUGAUGCUGAUGAACAACGCCUUGAGGACUAGAUGGUGGAGAAUAACGCUGCUGAGAAUGUUGUGGGCUUGUUUGCUGUUCUGGAAUCUCUUCCUCCUCAGUAAGAUCGAAGUGCGUAGGCCCCUCACUUAUUUGCCGUGGACCCCUGCUUGCGAUUCUCGAAGAUUUUCUCGAAGAUGACAUCUUUCUCAGUUUUUGGAAGAUUCCUUGCUUGAUUUUCCCAGUAAAGAUGAUAACUUUUUGAAGAUUAAUCAAAGAAGACAAAUGGAAAUGGAGGAUCGAUGCUUCCUAGGGUUUUCAAGAGUGAAGUGAAAAGGAAUCGACAGAGCACGAUCGGUUAAAAAGAGAAAUAAACGAACCGUCACAAAGGAAAUAAAAAAUGCCUUUUCAAAAUAACUGUCUUCUUCCGCAAAAAUAGCUAUUUAAAAAAUAACUUCCUUUUUGAAAAUGAAACGAUGCUAUAUUUGCGUCGAUUAAAUAUAGCAAUAAUUAAAACACAGUCUGACAAUCGUACCUUUUCAAGAUUAAAUUAGAGAGAGAAAGACUUACAGUCUGACGGUCGAGCCAAGACUGUAGAUAAAGUCUUGUAAGCCUGAGUCUGAAAGUUUUUAGACUUUGAUAUCCUCAUACCUCAAAAUGUUGAGUCUGGAACGGAUAGACUCAAAUUGAUUUUUCUCCAAAGGCUUUGUGAAUAUAUCCGCCAGUUGAUUCUUUGAGUCAGCAAACUGAAUUGAAAUCUCUCCAUUUUGAACAUGAUCUCUAAUAAAGUGAUGUCGAAUCUCUAUAUGCUUUGCUCUUGAGUGGAGAAUUGGAUUUUUGGUGAGGUUGAUAGCGUUGGUGUUGUCGCAAUUAAUCUCCGUGCAUGAGUCUUCAAUUUCAAAGUCUCUUAGCUGUUGUUUUAUCCAUAGAAUUUGCGAACAGCAGCUUCCAAGAGCUACAUACUCUGCUUCUGUUGUUGAAAGAGACACAGUGCUUUGUUUCCUUGAAAACCAAGACACUGUCCUGCUUCCAAGCAACUGGCAAGUUCCUAAAGUGCUCUUUCUAUCAACUCUGCAACCGGCCAGAUCUGCGUCUGAAUAUCCCAGAAGAUUAAAGUCUCCCUUCUUAGGAUACCAAAGACCGAUGCUUGAUGAUGAGGCAACGUAUUUAAUGAUGCGUUUUGCAGCACUGAGAUGAGAUUCUCUAGGGUCUGAUUGAAACCUAGCACAGAUGCAAACACUCAACAAAAUAUUAGGUCUAGAGGCAGUAAGAUAAAGAAGUGAUCCAAUGAUGCUCCUGUACAGCUUUUGAUCAACUUUCUUCCCUUCUUCAUCUUUGUCUAUCUUUAAAGAACUUGACAUUGGUAUGUCGGUCUUUUUGCACUUUUCCAGUCCAAACCUUUUGACAAGAUCAUUAACAUAUUUUUCUUGAUAAAUAAAAGUUCCUUCCUUCAAUUGUUUUACUUGAAGACCAAGAAAGAAUGUUAAUUCUCCCAUCAUACUCAUUUCAAACUCAUCCUGCAUAGACUUAGAAAAUUUCUUGCACAGACUUUCAUUAGAGGAUCCAAAAAUAAUAUCAUCCACAUAUAUUUGAACAAGUAAGAAACUUUUGUUUUCCUUCUUGAUAAAUAAAGUCGUAUCUACUUUACCUUUGACAAAACCAUUUUGUAUUAAGAACUUACUUAAUCUGUCGUACCAAGCCCGAGGUGCUUGCUUUAGACCAUACAAAGCCUUUUUCAGUCUGAAGACUGAGUCUGGCUUCUUUGGGUCUUCAAACCCUGGUGGUUGUUCCACAUAAACUUCCUCAUGGAUAAAUCCAUUUAGAAAGGCGCUUUUGACGUCCAUUUGGAAUAACCUGAAAUUCUUAUAACAAGCAAACACAAGUAAUAGUCGAAUAGCUUCUAACCUUGCCACUGGAGCGUAAGUCUCAUCAUAGUCUAUUCCUUCUUCUUGCGUAUAUCCCUUGGCCACGAGUCUUGCUUUAUUUCAUACGACUUUUCCUUUCUCAUUCAUCUUGUUUCUGAACACCCAUUUAGCUCCAAUAACAGCUUUACCUUUUGGUUUGGAUGUCAAUUCCCAGACAUCAUUAAUGCUUAACUAUCUGAGCUCUUCUUGCAUAGCUUCAAUCCAGCUUUCAUCAGAUAAAGCUUCUUCUAUGCUCUUUGGUUCAAUUUCAGAAACGAGUGCCACAGCACUAGACUCUUCUCGCCUUUUGGAUCUGGUGCGAAUUCCUUCAUUAAUUUCGCCAAUUAUAAGAUCUUUGGGAUGACUGGACUUAUGCUUCCAGUUACUUGUUGAUUUGUCUGAUUGAUGAUCUCUUUCUUUAUUUGGAUCUUCACUAACAACCUGAUGCUGGUCUUCCAGAGUCUGAGAUGCUUCUUGAGUUGUAAGCUUUGAAAGGUCUGGAGCAGGUACAGACUCUUCUUGAUGAGUCUGACUUGAUUCAUCUUGCGUUGAGUCUUGAAAUUUGACAUUCAUUGACUCCUCCACAGAUUGGCUCUUCUUGUUAUAGACUCUGUAAGCUUUGCUUGAUGUAGAAUAUCCAAGGAAGAUACCUUCAUCUGAUCUUUCUUCAAACUUACCAACUCGAUCUUUUGCAUUUUUCAAUAUAAAACAUUUGCAACCAAAUACAUGAAAGUAUGAAACAAUAGGCUUCUUAUCUUUGAAUAACUCAUAAGGGGUUUUCUGUAGAAUAGGUCUUAAGAAAACUCUAUUGAUGAUAUAGCAAGCUGUUGAAACAGCUUCAACCCAAAAUCGUGAAGAAAUCUUACUUUCAAUUAAAAGAGUUCUAGCCAUUUCUUGAAGAGAUCUGUUCUUUCUUUCCACAACUCCAUUUUGCUGAGGAGUAUAUGGAGAGGAGAACACAUGCUUAAAGCCAGAUUCAUCACAGAAUUUUGUAAAAUCUUGAUUUUCAAAUUCACCUCCAUGAUCUGUUCUUAUACUAGAGAUAACACAUCCUUUUUCAUUUUGAACCUUUUUAGUAAAUUUUUCAAAAUACGAAAAGGUUUCGGACUUACUUGCAAGGAAAUAUACCCAAGUAAAACGGGAGUAAUCAUCAACAAUUACUAGGCAAUACUUCUUACCCCCAAUACUCUGAGUUCUGGUUGGUCCGAAGAGAUCCAUAUGCAGCAACUGUAGUACAUGAUUAGUAGAGACAUGAUUUAUUGGUUUAAAUGAAUUCCUUACCUGCUUUCCCAGGAUACAUGGAGUGCAUGAAUCAGUCUUUUGGUAUGGCAAUUUGGGUAGACCUCGAACAAGCUGUUUUGAUGAGAUUUUGGCUAAUUGCUUCAUGUUGACAUGACCAAGCUUUUUGUGCCAUAAGCUUGCUUCGUCUUGAAUUGAGAUAAGACAUUGCGAUUCAUUUGGUUUCACAUCCAGAAGAUAGAUAUUUCCAUGUCUUCGACCCAUGAAAGACUGAGUAGAGUCUUUAUUGAUCCCAGAACAUGUUCCUUCUUGAAAGAAGAUCUUGAAACCAGUAUCACACAAUUGACUAAUGCUCCCCAAGCCCUGUAAUUGAGUCCUUCCACUAAGGAAACAUUACUUAUUGUGAGAGUUCUGAUUUUCACGGUUCCAAAUCCCACAAUAUUUCAUUUGCUGUUUCCUCCAAAUGAAACUUUUCCACCAUUUACUUGAGCAAGCUUUAUAAAACAAUUUGAGUCUCCUGUCAUGUGUCUUGAACAUCCGCUGUCAAGAUACCACUUUACCUGUUUCUUGACGGAGACCUGCAUUUAAAAUAAAGUCUCAAGCUUUCUUUGGUACCCAAACUUUCUUGGGUCCUUUGGUGUUAGUAAUAUAAACAGUAUUAGCCCAUACUUUCUUAACAGGUUUCCAUACCAUAGGACACUCUUUUUCAAAGUGAUCCGGACUGUUGCACUUUGAACAUCUGAGAGCAUUUCUACCUACAGGUUUUACAAAAACUUUCUUGAAAUGAUUUUUGUAAGCCUCUUUCGAGGGUCUUUUCUUAAUUCUUUCUUUUACUUUAGGAAAAUCAAUCAAGGGAAUUGAUUCUGCUGACAUACCUAGACUAGACUUAUUGAAGUAAGGUCUUUGAGCUGAAAGAAUUUUUUCAAGUUUCUCAGACCCUAUUGAAAAUUUCUUUGAAAUAUUUGAUAAGUCUGUUUUUAAAAGAGCAUUUUCUUUUAAAAGAUUAUCUUCAUUUUCUUUAAGACUGGAAACAGUCAAGUCUAGACUUUUAACUCUUUCUACUAAAACAUUUUCCUUUUGUUUUAGAGCUGAGUUUUCCUUUUUCAAUUCGGAAAUUCUUUUAAGAGAAGUCUUAAGACUAAAACACAGUUCAUCAAUGUAUUUAGAAACUUUGACAGGAAUUUUAAAAUUACUUGCCUCAAAUUCAUUGUCUGAGUCUGAUCCAGAGUCUGAGUCUGAUUGUGCCAUCAUACAUAGAUUGGCAUAUUCAUUAUCACUUUCUUCACACUCAAUAUCACUCCAGGUUUCAGCUUUGAGAGCUUUUCGGAAUUUUUUAGCUUUUCCUCUCUUCUUCUUUAGAAGAGGACAGUUGGGUCUGAUGUGUCCCUUCUUCUUGCAUUCAAAGCAGACUACAUCUUUAUUUGGUUCCUCAUCAUCAACAAACUUGGUCUGUUGUCUUUGAAAGUUUGUUCUUUGAGUUGAACUUCCUUUUCUAUUCAGUUUUCUGAAUCUCCUUAUCAUGAGAGCAAGCUGCUCAUCGUCCAUAUCAUCUUCAGAAUCUGUAUCAUCAUUUGAUUUUAAUGCAAUGGAUUUCUUACCUUUUGGAUCUUCAUCUUCAUUGAUCCUUUCCACUUCAUAAGACUGAAGAGUUCCAAUCAGCUCGUCGACAGAUAGUGGCAUAAUUCUCUACGUCUCUCUUAUCGAAGUCUUUAUGUGAUUCCAAUCCUUGGAGAGUCCACGCAGUAGCUUGUUUACCUUCAUAGGAUCAAAAAAAAAUUUGUCCUUGAUUCUCAAGACCAUUGACAAUAUCUGUAAAACGGCUAAACAUGUCAUUUAUAGAUUCUCCUGGUUUCAUUUUGAAGGCUUCAUAUUGACCGAGAAGAAUGUUAAUUCUGGUUUCCUUCACUCGAUCUGUUCCUUCAUAGGUGAUAUGUAAUCUGUCCCAGACUUCUUUUGCUGUAACACAAGAAGAUAUUCUAUUAUAUUCAGUUGGUGACAAAGCAUAAUAUAAAGAGUAAAUUGCUUUUGCAUCGAGUGCUUGUCUCUUGUUUAUCUCUUCCUGAGUCAUUCCGCUAGUCUCAACAGUUUCUUUCCCUCUUUCAGAGACUGAUGCAGCUGUAGGAGUAAUUCCUUUUUCUACAACGUCCCAUUCCAGAGGAUCCUUUGAUCGUAGGAAAACUUUCAUCUUGUUUUUCCAGAUGUUGUAAUCCUUUCCAUCAAAGUAGGGUGGUCUGGUAUUGCUUUGCCCUUCCAUCAGCCCUGGUGCUAGCAUACUAGCCAUGGAUCUUUAACUCUGAAGUAAAACACUUCAAACAAAGUGAGUACACAGGCUCUGAUACCAAUUGAGAUAGCUAGUAUAAACACCUAGAGGGGGGGUGAAUAGGCGCACAAACAAUUUGUCAAAGUACAGAAGCGAUUCUUAACAAACGAUAGAAAGAAAAUUGUCUCUUGAUUAACAAAAUGAAAUACGAUCGAGGUAGAGAGAGAGAGAGAAUUGAACACAGGAUUUAUAGUGGUUCGGCUUAUUCCAAGCCUACGUCCACUCUUCCGCACUGACAGCCCACCGGCUGGAUUUCACUAUGAUCAAAAGAGAAGUUACAGCACAGCUUUGCCUUGAUUCCACAGUGUAGAUGUUCUACCACACCUUCUCAAGGUUUCUCACAAAUAUAGACUCUCUUUUGUAUAUAAGUAUUCGCUCAAAAGAAUUGUCUAAACAAAAAAAAGAGCUUCAGACUUUGGAAUUUAUCUAUCGCGCACACCUCGAACAACCAAGAACGUCUUCCUUAUAUACUCCUUUAUGCCAUUAUACCCGUUGGCACUUACCAAAGGAAUUCCUCCAAUCUACCCGUUGGACGGAAUCAAUUAGGAAGAUUGUUCGAGCUAUUAAAGGAACGUGUUGAUAGCCUAUAAAUCCUGUUCGCCCAUACAAUCAGGAUCUCGGUUUCCAUAAGUAGAACCUUCCAAUAAUAUUUAGACAAUCAUCGAAUCUUCAAUCAUUGAAUCAAUCUUGAUCAAUCAAAGGAUUCUGUUACGUCUUCUCUAGCCACGAGAUCUUCUCCAGAUGAUAAGAUUAAAUCCUUAACGGAACAUCCAGUUCUGGAUAACCUUUCUUCAACGGAUUAGAGACUGUCGAUGAGGAUAGACUUUGAGUCUUGAGUCUGGCUGUCCAGAAGUCUUCAGACUUUAAAUAAUAGAGUCUGCAGACCUUUAGACUAGACUGAUGGAAACGUUUUGUCAACUUCAAAACACUUCACGAGGAUUUCUCCAACAGUUGUUACCAUGUCUUAAUUUCCAGAAAUCAUCAGGGAUAUUUUUGUCUGAUGAUUCAUUGGCUACGUCGUUACCUAUAUUCCAGGUGGUUACCACAGUGGUCGACGAACGUCCUAGAGCAUGAGCAUGCUUUUUUGUCAUUUAAAUAGUGAUAAGAGCAUUUCAUUUCGUAGUUACCAUGUUGAAUGAAACAGUGCAAAUUUUCUUCACUUUUGAACCAUUUUAAUUGCAACAAGAAACCAUGUUUUAGAAUCAAAAACAAGAAAAGUUUGAAGAAGGUUUGGAGAUAGAGAAGUGACCCAUCCAGUCCUUUCGAUGUUUAUUAGUCUACACAACGAGUGAAGGAAUUUCUUCUGCGAGAUCUUGUAUCGAAUGGUGCUCACAACACGGGAUAUGUAUGGCACAAUGUUGUGCCGUGCGAUUUAUUUUUGUUAAAGAUACUUUUUUCACUCAAACAUGACGAAACGUUAUAAAGUCAAGAUAAAAAUCAUAUUUCACCUUGUUUUGUGCUUUGUUAAGAUGAAACGUCGUGUUACGUUGACAGUCCCAAACAUCAUGCUUUAUUUCUACUCAAAUGGGUGAGACGGAUACAAGGAUCGAGCCAAAUGCAAAGUGGAUCCAUCAUUGAAUUGCCUACGGAGGAUUGAUGGCCUACAAAAAAUUAGGAAAAUUGUCCAAUAAAUCAUAAACAUUUUGCAUUCUUGUUAAUUCGGUCUUAAAUCUUUCAAUUUUACCGAGUUCUAAGCAUUUUCAUGUUUUGCUAAUCGAACACAUUUGGUCAAUUUUGGCCAAAAAUUGCUAACGUAGAUGAUGCCGACUAUCAUACAUGACAUAAUUGGUGCCAAUGUGGACAUUUUAAUAAUAUUUUAUUUUUUUUGAAUUAUUAUUUUUCCCUCAUUUUUUUCUCUUUUCCUUCUUUUCUUUUUUCCCUUUUCUCUUGUCUUUUUUUUUCUUCUUUCUUUUUUUCUUUUUCCCUUCUUCAACACCACCAAGCCUCGUCAAUGGCCUGCAAAGGUUGCCAACCUAAGGCGUGGUCCGUCCUCAUCAACCCAUAACAAGGGUCACCCUCACUCAAGCAAGCAAGGGCUUGAGGCUGUGCCUGAGGCUAAUGACCUCUACUGGCCAUCAAUGAGGCUUGGCAAAGGGAAAAAAGGGAAAAAAAUGAAAAGAGAAAAAAGAAAAUAUUUUUAAAAAAUAUUAUUAAAAAUUAUUUACGUUAACAUUGGCCAUUCCACAUAGGAUAACCGGGUGUGCUGACACCCACUUCAACAAUUUUCAAUUGAAAUUGAUCAUAUUGACUCAAUUGGUAAAAUUGAAAGAUUUAAGAUUAAAUUGGUAAAAGCGUAAUAAGUUUAGGAUUUUUUGAACAAUUUUAUCCCCAUACAUUUCACUUUAAAAAAAAAAAUUCAGCAAAUGGAGACAUUGUUUGUUGCAUUCUAAUGCGUGAAGAUGCCAAGAAGAUUAAACAAAGGAUCUCAAGAACGCUGACCAUGUAUGGGUCUAUGAUACCCGGAUUGCUCCCCAUGGCCGAGCCUGGAACUAGCACUCAAGCCUAUGUUCCCAAAGCCCAAACUUGGGACUCUGAUUGCACUCAAGACUUAUUAUCAAACGUCUAUUUCAUAAUUUUCCCAUAACAAAUAUCAACAAAACAACUUUCCUAUUGUUUGGCAAAAACAGACCAACAUGCCUUGAAAACAAGUUCCUUUGGAAAAAUUUCUAGGAAAGUUCAUUUUCCAUGAACUAACGAAGCUUGAGGUUUAGACAAACUCCCUUGAUUGAAUUUGGGAGUGAAUGCAAUUAAUUCAUUGUUCCCUUGUGAACUGAUAAGUGUUGUUUGCACAAUGAAUGGAGGAUCUUGAUGGUGCUAUCAACAUAGUUUAGGUUUUCUUUGUUUUCUAUUUAUUUCGGAGACAUAGACUAAACAAACAAGCAAUUGAAAAGUAAAUGCAUUUCUCUAUGAGCAACCGAAGUCUUCAUUUCUCCCCUCAAUUCGGCCCAUUACAUAGACUUGUUUGCUAUUGUCACAACUUAUAAAAUGAGUACUCUAUCUAGAGUGGAGGGGAAAACUUAGUGCCCUUUUUUAUUGCUUACAUCCUGAAAGGGCUAGUAAGAUCACCUAGAGGGGGGUGAAUAGGUGAUAAUGAAACUUUUAUGAAACUUCAAAAUAAUUUGCUAGCAACAUGAACAGCAAUGAACAUUUAUAUAAAGCUGUAAAUUAAAGUAUACAAUGUUUAUAGUGGUUCGGCUUAGAUCAAGCCUAUGUCCACUUUCCCGUGCUGACAACCCACUGGCUGGAUUUUACUAGGAAUCAAAAGAUAUGUUACAGUCUCACGUCCUAGACUUUAUAGUGUAGAGACUCUACUACACUUUCUCAAAAUCUCACAAGUAUUUUAUCUCUCUUUUAAGUACAAAGUAAAGCUUAACAAUUGAUAUAGCAAAGAACUAAGAAGCUUCAGACUUUGAAAUUUUUCUCUAACACACUCACGAACAACCAAUAAGUCAUCCUUAAAUACUCCUCCAUGACUUUACGACCAUUGGCACUUACCAAAGGAGUUCUUCCAAUCUUCCAUUUGGACAUAAUCAAUUAAGGAUAUCUUGAGUCGUUUAAGAAAUAUGAUGAUAGCAAGGUAGGCUCAAGGGAAUCAUCUCGAGCCUCUUCUUCCUCUUCUUCACCUCUUCCUUCUUCUUCCUCUUCUUCUCUUAUUUCUUCCUCUUCCUCUUCUUCUCUUCUUCCUUCCUCUUCUUCUUCCUCUAUUCUCUUUUCUUCUUUACUUCUACUUCCUUCGUCUCUUUUCUCUGUCUCUUCUUUGGUCUCUUAUUCUUCUGCCUCUUGAAAGCUAACAAAACUCUGUAAAUUGUGAAGGGCAAAGGCAAAGAUGGUAACGUCAUCCUCAUCUUCUUCAUCUUGUAGGAUGAAUGCUCUCAUCUUCUUGAUAGGUUCAUUCAUGGGUUCUUUGCCUUUCCAUUUUGAUGCUGCAGAGGUUUGCUUUGCCUUGAUAGGGAAUUUCUCCUUCAUUCACUCUAAUGCCUUGUUGAGCUCCUUCAGACGCAUCUUGGUGACCAUUUUCAAUCCAAUUACCAUAGGAGCAACGCUUCGCAAGCACAAAGGAGCAGGUAAAUGAAUGUUGAAGUGUCUGAAGAUUCUUGUGAUAAGAGCAGAGUAUGGGAGUUGUCUCUUGUCUUUCACCACUGUCCUAUACAUGUGCAUCAGGAUGGCAUGAGGCAGAGAGAACUUGUAUCCAGUAUUGAUGGCAUGCAUCAAUUUCGCUUCAGAAUGAGACACAUUAGUCUUGGAUGUUGAUUUUGGACGAAUGCAAUUGAUCACAAUUUUAUGCAGCAAGAUGUUAGAGGCAUUCAUCCUAGAGUAGGAGAUCUUGCCUUUAGCAAUCCUGUCUCGUACCAAAUUCAGAGUAGCAUGCGCAACGGACACACUAAUUGGUUGAAAACACGCUCUUUCCACCCCCAAUCAAGUCAGCCAAAAUGUCCACAUCGACAAAAAAUUCCUCAUCCUUAACAGUAAAAGAGAAUCUAUUCGCAUCCAAAAAUGAUAGAUUCGAAUAGAAAUAGGCUAUGAGUUCUAGAUAAGCUACUGUUGUCUCAAAACAAAAAUGCUCCAAUUGUAGAAGUGUAAACUUCUCCCUCAGAUUCACUUGCACAUAAUCAAGAAAAUCAAAAUCAACGCUUCUUGUGACACCCCGAACCCUUCGCAGGUCGUCACCAGCGCCGAUGUUACACUUUAUUACCUUUCUUUCUUUCAAACAGGCGUCCUAAUUUACGGACACAUUUUUUUUUUUAAAACGAUCGGUCCCAAUGCGACUCAUAGUGGAAGCAUAUUAAACAUCACCGUCUAUCCCCCUACCAAUCCAUGAUACAAAUACACACCAACUAAACAUCAUGAUUUUAUAAACAACUUCGACACUUUGCUUACAUAUAUAUAUAUAUAUAUAUAUAUAUAUAUAUAUAUAUAUAUAUAUAUAGCAAGAUGAGAUUUCCUUUGGGUUGGUACAAAACAAGGAAAAGCUAGGACUCAGCCACGUCCAGCCUAAAACCUCAAAAAGAAACUCUCGACCCUCAACAUCACACGAGUACGAACCCCCAUCGAAAGUGUCGACUAUCUAUCCCCAAAAAGAAACAGCUCCUACUCGUCACGUGCAGGUCUCACACCCAACCCGGUGCAUCAGGCGGUGGCGGCGGCAACAUCCCUCGCAUAGCUCCAUCCUAACGAACGUGCACAGAAAUGAACUCCUGAAUGACAGGACCCCUAGCCAGGCCCACGUCAUACAUCACUAGACAUCGUACUCGGAUAAAAGUUAGUCCGGGAACAGAAGGACAGUCUAUCUCAACACACUCGACCUCUACAUCGGAUGGUAUCCCGUAAAAUGUACCACGCGUGACGACAGGUAGCGGCAUACUUGCUAAUCUGAAAUGUUAUCCCCAAAAGGGGUGAGUACAACCACUCAGCAGAUAGGGAAAUCCAAUAACAUUCCAAUGCAUCAUGCAUAUCAUUACACGUUGCAAGCAUCACUUACCUUGAAGUCAUGCGUAUCAUGCAUCAUCACAUCAUAUAUAUCAUCAUCAUCAUGGCAUAUCAUACAUCAUUAUCAUCAUCAUGCAUUUCAUCAUGCAUAUCAUACCUUGGAUGAUCAUCAUAUCACGUCACAUGCCAUCAUCAUCAUGCAUCAUCAUGCAUAUAUUAUCAUAGGUGAUCAUCAUAUCACAUCACAUGCCAUCAUCAUCAUGCAUCAUCAUGCAUAUAUUAUCAUAGGUGAUCAUCAUAUCACAUCACAUGCCAUCAUCAUCAUGCAUCAUCAUGCAUAUAUUAUCAUAGGUGAUCAUCAUAUCACAUCACAUGCCAUCAUCAUCAUGCAUCAUCAUGUCAUGAGUUAAUUUUCAUCUUUAUCUUUCAAUUUUGAUCACCAUAUCACCAUCAUCUCUCAAAUCAUCAAUCUCAUCAUCAACCCUUCGGGCAGAAACCUCCGACAGGGCUCCCGGCAAACUCAGCCAUCCCAUGGCCACCGGGCUUCCGGCCCCCCACAUUCCGGGCAUCUCGCAUCUCAACUAGCAUCACGAGGCAUUCCCUUCGGGCAGAAACCUCCGACAGGGCUUCCGGCCUUUACCCUUCUAGCCAGGCAUCCCGCACCCCAAUCCCGGUGUCGCGAGGAACCUCCGGGCAUGUAUCCGAGAUACAACCGGACUUCCGGCCCCCCACAUUCCAGGCAUCCUGAAACUCCCAGGCAAUCUCUGGAAUUACGCCACCAGGCCACCAGACAACAUCCUCCACCACAACCUCUUUCUUAUCCACAUUUAUCCUUUUAUCUCAAUUUAACAUGGCAAUUGGCAUGGCAUCAAACAAAUCACACUUGCAUUUCAAUUCACGUGUCAUAUACAUGCCAAAGCUUAAUCACAUAUGCAUUUCAAUUCACCUGUCAUACACAUGCCAAAGCUUAAUCACAUAUGCAUUUCAACUUAAUACAUGUACAAAGACCUCAUCACACAAGUGCCACACAAAUGAAGUUGAAUCCAUGGCCAAAUACAAAUCUAUUUUAUUAUUAUUUUAUUAUUUAUUAUUUAUUAUUUAUUAUUAUUAUUUUUUCUUUUUUUCUUUUUUUUUUAUCAAUAAUUUCCAAAAUUAUCAAAAUUCAGGAAAUUACUAAAUCAACCCAUAAGAUGACAAUCACUUGGAAAAUUCAUGGCCAAAUUGAAAUUUUUACUUAAUCUCACAAUUUCUUCCAAAAACAUCCUAAAAUUUUCGGAUUUAAACCCAAUGCACAGUUUUCGAAUAAAUUCGAUUAAAAUACUCAUAUGACCUUCAAAAAUUACGAAAUUUUACAGGGUGAUAGACAACACAUUUUCGUGCAUUUCUCAUUAAGAAUUCUAAGACAAAUUAUUUUUAGAUUAAUUUAUACAACCCCACGAAACUUCUGGAACCACUACCGUGACGUCCAGAACACACUCCUCCUAAAUUCUUAGUUUUCACCCAUCUAUUCUCUUUCGUUUCUUCUGAAAUUUGAGUAUGUUAUGUACCAAGAUAUCCUUUACAAGUUUCGUGAAGAGAUCUAGGCCAAAUAACCAGAUUAUGGUCACCAUUUUAGUCCAUGAAGUCUCGGGUGUCUCGAGAUACUUCACCAGAAUCAUCAUUUUCAAGAUCUAACCGAUUCACCGAGCUAUACUUGUUCUUUAUGCUUCAAAUUUGAGUAUGUUGUAGUUUAAGGUGUUUCCUUCAACUUUAAAGAAGACAACAAAGUGAGAUCUCCAACAGAAAUCAACAUGCAAUCAAGAAAUCAACAAGAGGUCAGUGAAAAUUUCGCAGAUCUAAAGUCUCCGUACAAGAGAACUUUUGACCCCUCAAAUCUCCAUAGUUUUCUACUAAUGUUUAGUAUGUCAUAGUAAAAGACGUUAGAUUCAACUUUCAUGAAGACACCGAAGCCAAAAUCAAACUCCAAACACACAUGAAAACUCAAACAAGCUACUGACUCCAACAAACCGAACAAGAACAGUCACACGGUUUACAAAUAACCAACUCUUACCUCGGUUUUUCGCAAGAAUCAUACCUAAAAUCUAACAUGCAAACACCACAACAAACAUGCAAGAGAAGUUAUGGACUCCACUUGCCUUAAAGGUGAACAAGCAACGACGAACGGCGACGGGACACGGUGAUCGGACGGCGAACGAACGGCACACCCCUCCGGCUCCGCCUCCUCUCCUCUCGGUUUCUCCCUUUCUCUCGAGCUCUCUCUCGCACACCCUCUCUUUGGAUGAAAUGAAGCAAAGAACCGGCCAUCUCUCUCUCCUCAUCCCUUUUAUAUCCCCUUAAUCCCAUGAUUAGCAAUGAUUACUUUGCCUACAAACCCACCAAUGCAUGCCAUUCCUUCAUGCCACUUGUCACACUAAUUUUGAAUUGAUUUGGGCUUGGGCUUAGGCCCAUCCGGCCACUCCCUUGGGCUGGUCGAAAUCCUCCUCUUCUUGGGCUCUAAUGGGCCGACAAGCUUGGCCCACCAAGCUUUAGGCUAAUGGGUCCAAGGCCCAUUCCAAUUUAACCUCUUUUUCCCUUCUUUUUUUUUUUUUUUUUGAAAUUUCUUCUAUAAAUAUUUCCAAAUUCAAAUUUCAUCUUGGCCAAAGUCUUGGGACACUUUUUUUAUUAAGAUUUAAAUUUAUAAUCUCAUGGCCAAUUAUUAAUCUAUAAAUUUAAAUACACAAAUCAUCAAAUUAAAAGACAAAUUGGCUAAGGCAUAAGCCAAAAGAAAUUCUAUCACCUAAUUAGGAACUUCAACUCACCUUAUGGCUUGUCAUUAAAUUUGGGAUGCCACACUUCUAGGGUUCAUAACCCCUCUCUUCAUUAGUUUUGAAUAACUUUCUUAUGAUCCUUUGACCGGAAUAGACUCACUCUAUCACUACUCACAUUUGCAGCCACUCCCAUCCUAGGCUAGAAAUGUGUGAACAUUCUUUCACCAUCGUCCUUUCCUUCUGGCUAAUUAAAAGUGCCAAAACGAGGGUCACUAGGAAAGUUGGCAAAGGCCUUUUCAGCCAUGCCCAACUUCUCCAUAUUGCGGAAAAAUAGAGUUUCAUUCUUGUAGCUUCUCUCUCUUAAAAACGCAUCGAUCAAAGACAUAGUAGUCCCUCCUUCUUUUAACUUAGAAUAAAGUUUAAAAGCAACUUGAGGUCUCACCGUUCUUACAGGUUCAAUUUCUUCAAUUAUUUCUUUUUUUGGUUAAGUCGGUGGAGGAGACUGACGCUGUUGAGAAGAUUGUUGUUAACUUGGUCGCGGCUGAUGAAAAGAAUCUUCUUCCUCAAUCAAGUUGAAGUGCAUAGGACCCUCAGGCAUGUGCUAUGAUCUCCUGCUUACGAUUUGGAAGACUUUCUUGAAGACAUUGUCACUUUAUGGGAGAAAUCUCGAACUUGAUCGCCAAAAAGGUGAGAACUUUUUUAUAUAAAUUAGAGAGAAAGUGAGAGCAAGUGGGAUUUUUUUAUUCUAGGGUUUGAGAGUGAGAACGAAGAAGACGAAUCUCGACAGUAUAUAAAGCAAAUGAAGCAGGAUAAACGAAUCGUCAUAAAGGAAAAAGUAAAAACUUCAUUUUAAAAAUGAAAAACUACCCCUUUUGGAAAAUGAAUAACUGCCUUUUCGAAAAUGAAAAAACUGCCUUAAAUUAAAAGCUUGAAAAGACAAUUUCUAAAAAUACAACAAUCAAUUAGCGAUUGAAAAGUAACCGUACCAUUUCAAAAAUAUUAUCCUCAAAUUUAAAUUACUUGUAAAGAAAAAUAACAAUCUUACAGUCGUAACUUGGUUGCUCUAAGUUUGAACACUUUCAGAUUUUACCUUUGAGUCUGAGAUAAGCUUUUCUCCAGUGGCUUUGUAAAUAUGUCUGCUAGCCGAUUCUUCGAGUCAAUGAACUGUAUUAACACUUCUCCAUUCUAAACAUGAUCUCUAAUAAAAUGAUGUCGGAUUUCUAUGUGUUUUGCUCUUGAAAGAAGAAUUGGAUUCUUUGUGAGAUUGAUGGCACUGGUGUUGUUGCAUUUGAUCUUGGUACAUGAUUUUUCAAUUCCAAAGUCUCUUAGCUGUUGCAUUAUCCAUAAGAUUUGAGAGCAACAGCUUCUAAGAGCUACAUAUUCUGCUUCAACUAUUGAAAGAGUUACGAUACUCUGUUUUUUUGAAAACCAGGAUACUAGCUUGUUUCCAAGCAAUUGACAUGUACCAGAAGUACUCUUUCUGUCCACUUUGCAUCCUGCUAAAUCUACGUCUGAAUAUCCAAUGAGAGUAAAAUCUCCUUCUUUGGGAUACCACAGUCAUUACUUCAGAGUUGUUGCAACGUAUUUGAUAAUGCGCUUUGCAACAGUUAAGUGAGAUUCUUUGGGAUUUGAUUAGAAUCUAGCACAAACGCAAACACUAAACAAAAUGUCAGGUCUAGAUGCGGUAAGGUAAAGAAGUGAACCAAGUAUACUCAUGUAUAGCUUUUGGUCUACACUCUUUCGUUCUUUAUCUUUAUCCAGCUUUGAAGAACUUGAUAUAGGUAUUUCAGCUUUUUUUGCAAUUUUCCAAUCAAAACUUCUUGAUGAGAUCUUUCGCAUAUUUCUCUUGGUGAAUAAAAAUUCCUUCAAUUGUUUGACUUGUAAUCCGAGAAAGAAGGUUAAUCCACCCAUCAUGCUCAUCUUGAAUUCAUUCUGCAUAGACUUAGAAAACUUCUUGCAUAGAUUUUCAUUAAGUGAUCCAAAAAUAAUAUCAUCAACAUAGAUUUGAACGAGUAAAAUUUUUUUACCUUCUCUUUUAAUGAACAAGGUAAUGUCUACUUUACCUUUAUUAAAACCAUUUUGAAUUAGGAUUUUACUUAACCUAUUAUACAAAGCUCGAGGUGCCUGCUUUAAUCCAUAAAAGGCCUUUUUUCAAUCUAAAAACUGAGUCUGGCUUUCUUAGAUCUUCAAAACCAGGUGGCUGUUCCACAAAAACUUCUUCUUGGAUAAAUCCAUUUAAGAAUGCACUUUUUACAUCCAUUUAGAAUAACCUAAACAUUUUAUAGCAAGUAAAAGAAAGUAAUACUCUAAUUACUUCUAACCUCGCUACUUGUGCAUGCGUCUCGUCAUAAUCUAUCAUUUCUUCUUGUGUAUAUCCUUUGGCUACAAGUCUUGCUUUGUUCCUAACCACUUUUCCUUUCUCGCCCAUCUUGUUCUUGAAAUCCCAUUUAAUUCCACUAAUAGACUUACCUUUGGGUUUAGGAAUAAGUUCUCAAACAUCAUUAAUGCUGAACUGUCUGAGCUCUUCUUGCAUGGCUUCAAUCUAGCUUUCAUCAACUAAGGCUUCUUCUAUACUUUUAGGUUCUAUUUCAUAAACAAGUGCUAAAGCACUAGACUCUUCACACCUUUUGGAUCUGGUACAAAUUCUUUCAUCAAUGUUGCCAAUGAUAAGUUCCUUGGGAUGACUUGACUUAUGCUUCCAAUUGCUGGUUGAUUUGUGAGUAUGCUAUUCCUCUGUUUUAGUUGAAUCUUCUGGUUCAUCUUCUUGUUGAACUUCUAAACCACUUCAAGAGAAGUAGACUUUGUAGAAUUUGGAGUAGGUUCAGAUUCUUCAAGUUGAGCCUGAUUCAGUUGAUUCUGCAUUGAGUCUUGGAACUUGACGUUCAUAUAUUCUUCCACAAACUUACUAUUCUUAUUGAAUACUCUGUAGGCUUUGCUUGAAGUUGAGUAGCCAAGAAAAAGUCAUUCGCUCGAUCUUUCUUCAAACUUACCAGUUCGAUCAUUUGCAUUCUUUAAAAUAAAACACUUGAACCAAACACAUGGAAAUAAGAAACAAUUGGCUUCUUUCCUUUGAAUAACUCAUAAAAAGUUUUCUCUAAAAUAAGCCUUAAGAAUACUCUAUUAAUGAUAUAACAAGCUGUAGAAACUACUUCAACCCAAAAACGACGUGAAAUGUUAUUUUCAAUUAAAAGAAUUCUAACAAUUUCUUGCAAAGAUCUAUUUUUUCUUUCCACAACCCCAUUUUUUUUUUUUGGUAAAGGUAAGAAUAGAUUCGCUCGAACCAAAACUAUACAAAAGACCGGGACCAAACAAUCACUCAAGGAGCAUAAAGGUCAAAGAGUGAGAGGGCACCGGUGCAAAAGAAACAACAAAGGAAGAAAAGGCACAACCGCCAACAACAAGGAGGACAAAAAAAACACCAAAGCAGCAACCCUCCAAGACCCCAUCAGCAAGCAGAACGAGAGAAUGGUUGGAGCAUAACAAAUGUAGAGACACUUAGAUAAGGCAUACAACACUAAGAAGAAGAAGCAUCCUCGAAGAUAGAAGGGUCAAACCCCCAGGAUCUUUGGAGUCUUCUAUUCCUUGCGUUGUCCGGCACAUUGUGAAACAAGAGAGCUUUGUCUUUAACCACCCUGAUGAUGUGGUUUUUGAUAGCUGAGAUUACCAAGGCUUCAUCCCGAAAUAUAAUGUUGUUCCUUUUCUUCUAGAUGAGAUGGCAGAUAGCAGCAAACAAAAACCGAGCAACACUAUGGAAGAAAUCCUUACCCAAAAGGAACUUCUUCGCCCAAGAGAGGUUGUCUAGCCAAGGCUUAUUCUGCCAAGGGAGGUUACAUCUAGUGGCCCAAAAAAAAAAAAAAACAAUCGUCGCAGAGACAUGGCAAUCAAAAAACAAGUGGUCAACCGAAUCUGGAACCGUAUUGUAGAAGGCACAAAGGCCAUGAUCAUUUAUUCCAUAAGAAAGAAGAGCUGCCUGAGUGGGUAAACGAUUUUUCAUUAUAAGCCAAAGAUGAAAUUGAAAUCUGGGAGCGAGAGAUCUAUCCCAUAUAAAGGAUGCCCAAUCCACCUGGCACUUUUUAGUACGAAUGAUCUCCCAUGCAGAGCCUACCGCAAAGAUACCAGAAGAGUUACCAUGCCAAUAAAACUUAUCCGGGCUAGAAGAAAGAAUCGGUAAAGCAAGGUGCCACUCCUGCAAUAAAAUCCUUGCAACUUGACCCGCAGGUGACAAAAACUCUGCAACAGAAGCAUGUCUGGAGAGACCAAAUCUUUCAAUAAUGGACUCCAGCAAGAACAGGUUCAAAGGGCCUAGAGGAUUCCACCAGUCGAACCACACGGAGAUAGAAACACCAUUCCCCACUUUCCACCUGAAAAGGGACUGAAAUUCCCUCCUCACUUGAAGGAUCUUUUUCCACCCCCACGAGCAAACUACUGGCUUAGGGGCAACCCAAAAGUUAUCUCUUUUUAAGAAAUUGUUAUGAAUCCACCAACACCAGAGCGAUUCUUUAUCAGUAAACAACACCCAAAUGUAUUUCAACAUUGCCGCCCUGUUGCAAUCACGAAGUUUACGAAUACCAAGACCACCUUCUACUUUAGGUUGGCACACAUCGUCCCAUGAGAAUUCUGCCCCACCCCAAGUAAGAGAUGAGCCUUUCCAUAGAAAUUGUCUUAAAAUAUGCUAUAUUUUUUCUAGUACUAAAACAGGUAAAGUGAAUACACUAGCCCAAUAGGCUUGAAUGGAAUGUAGGACUGACCUUAUUAACUGAAGACGCCCUGCGAAAGAAAGAAAACGAUGUGUCCAUGAUUGGACUCUUGCAGUAAUACGGUCUACCAAAAUUAUACAGUCCGCUUUACCCAACUUAGAAGAGAUAAUCGGCACACUUAGAUAUCGAACCGGUAAAUGUCCCUCCUAGAAACCGAAGGCCCAUAGGAUGUUCCUCCUAAGAGAAGGGGAACUACCGGAAAGAAAGACUUCACUCUUGCUCUUAUUAGGAAACAAACCACUCCAGGAGGAAAAGAUAUCUAGUGAUCUCUUGAGCAUCGACACCGAAGGCCAAUCCGCCUGGCUAAACAAGAAUACAUCAUCGGCGAAAAACAAAUGUGAUAGCUUAACCGGUUUGCAUCUCCAGUAAAACUUAAACUCCACGUAUGAAGUGCGGGCAUCCAAAUGCCAGAGAAUAUUUCCAUUACCAACGUAAAUAAGUAAGGGGACAUAGGGUCCCCCUGUCGAAUCCCCCGAGCGGAGGGGAAGAAACCAUGCAAUUCACCAUUAAUAGAAAUAGAGAACUUAGGUGUUCGUACACAAAUCAUAAUCCUACUAAUGAUCCAAGGAGGAAAACCAAAAGCACCAAGGGUGAGCUCCAAAAAGUCCCAAUCGACUCCACAACCCCAGUAAAUGGAGAAAAGAAAAUAUGCUGAAAACCAAAGUCAUCACAAAAUUUUGCAAAGUCUUGAUUUUCAAACUUACCUCAAUGGUCUAUCUUAAUACUUGAAAUAAUAUAUCCUUUUUCAUUCUGAACUUUCUUUGCAAAUUUUGAAAAAUAAGAAAAUGUUUCAAACUUACUUGCCAAGAAGUAUAUUCAUAUAAAACGAGAAUAAUCAUCCACGAUUACUAGACGAUAUCUCUUUCCACCAAUAUUUUGAGUUCUAGUUGGUCCAAAGAGAUCCAAAUGCAUAAGCUGCAAAACUCGAUUAGUAGAAACUUUAUUUAUUGGUUUAGAAGAACUUCUAGCAUGUUUUCCCAAAACACAUGGUGUAUCAGGCUUUUGAUACGUCAAGUUGGGCAAUCCACAAACAAGCUUCUUAGUGGAGAUCUUGGCGAUUUGCUUCAUAUUGACAUGGCCAAGUUUUCUAUGCCAGAGAUUUGCUUCAUCUUGAAUAGAUAUUAAACAUCGAGAACUUUCUGAUUUUAUAUCCAGAAGAUAAAUAUUCCCUUGUCUUCGUCCAGUAAAAGAUUGAGACAAAUCUUUACUAGUUCCCGAACAAAUGCCUUCUUGGAAGUUAAUUUUGAAUCCAGUGUCACACAAUUGACUGAUGCUGAGUAGAUUAUAAUUCAAUCCUUCCACCAAAGAGACAUUGUUGAUUGUAAGACUUCCGAUUUUCAUAGUUUAAUAUCCAACAAUUCUUCAUUUACUGUUUCCACUAUAAGAAAUUUUUCCUCCAUUAAUUUGCAUGAGUUUUAUAAAACAACUUGAAUCUCAUGUUAUGUGUCUCGAGCAACCACUAUCCAUAUACCACUUAAUCUUUUUCUUGAUAGUAACUUGAUUUUAUAAAAAGAACUCAAGUUUUUUUUGGUACCCACAUUUUCUUGGGUCCAAGGGAGUUGGUACGAAAUAAAAUCUUUGCCCAUUCCUUCUUAACAGGUCUCCAAACCAUAGGACUUUAUUUCUCAAAAUGUUCUGAGCUAUUACACUUUGAACAUAUGAGAGUACUUUGGCCAACGGGUUUUACAAAAACUCUUUGAAAAUGAUUUUUGUAAAAUGUUUUUGUAGGUUUUUGUUUAAUUCUUUCAUUUACUUUUAGAAAAUCAAUUAAAGAAAUAGUUUAUGGUGUCACACCCAGACCAGAUUUGUUGAAAUACGGUUUUUGAAUUGAAAGAAUCUUUUCCAACUUUUUAGAUCAUAUUGAAAACCUUUUUGUAAUAUUUGAAAUAUCAUCUUUCAAUAAUGUGUUUUCCUUUGAAAUAGAGUAUGCAUUUUCUUUUAAAACAACAAAAAAUUUAUCUAGAUUUUCAAACUUUUCUUUUAAAAAGAUUUAUUUUUAGUUCAGUUUAGAAUUUUCCCUUUUUAGCUCAGAGAUACUUUUAAGAGAGGUUUUGAGACUAAGACAAAGUUCAUCUAUGUACUUCAAAAUUUUAGCAGGAAUUUUUAAAUUAGGGCAGGUUUGGCAACGUGCCAAAUAGUGCCUGAUUCUGAUUUUUUGUUCCAAGAAUUAGUUUGGGAUGAGAAUCGCGUUUGGUAAAAUUUUUGUUCCUGGGAAUAGAUUGGGAAGAGAAUUAAGAAAAAAAAAAUGUGAUUCUCCGUCCAAGAAUCAAAAAAAGAAUCAAAACAGUGAAAGUCUCAUUCUUCCCUUUCGACAUCCCGCGAUUGCCAUCCACCGCCGCCCGCCGCUGCCGUCCGCUGCCGCUGCCGUCCAUCGCCGAUCGCCAUUCGCCGAUCCGGCAAGCUCGCCGGAGGCUCGCUAGGCCAGGGCGAGGUCCAGUGAGCUCACCAGAGGUAAGCCUAGCCAUCGGCGGGGCUCGGCCUCCCCUAGCCCCCUAGCCCCACCGAGGCUUGCCUGGCCACCGGUGAGGCUCGCACAACCUCAUCAGUGGCCAAGCCGGCCUCGCCCAGCCCCGACGAGGCUAGCUUGGCCACCGGCGAGCCUCGCCGGGGCUUAGCCUCACCAGAUCUGGCAAGGCUGAGCCUCGACGGGGCUGGGCAAGCCUCUCCGAGUUGCCGGUGACGCUCUAGUGAGCAUCGCCAGACCGGUGACCGACCACAUGAAGAAGAAGAAGAAUAGGAAAAAAUGGAGAAAAAAAAGGAAAAAAGAAAAAAAAAAGUAAAAUAGUAAAAAAAUUAUUUAACAAUUAAAAGAAAUUAAUUUGGAAGCACGGUAUCAAACGCAAUUCUAUUCCAGAAUCAAAAAUUUUGGACAGUUACUAAACACGUUUUUUUACUCAAAAUCAGUUAUCGGGAACAUAAUAAAAAAUAAUCAUUUCUAGUCAAAAUUAGCUCCCGAGAACAAUAGUUGGCCAUUAAAUAGUUGGCCAUUAAAUAUAUGCUUCCUUACUAACCUUGAUUUCACCGUCUAAGUCUAAGUCUGAAUCUGUUCCAAAAUUUGAGUCUGAUUCUGAGUUUGCCAUUAAAUAUAUGUUGGCAUACUUUUCAUCACUUUCCUCACAUUUUGUAUCACUCCAUGUCUCUGCUUUGAGAGCCUUCUUGAAUUUCUCAAUUCUUGCUUUCUUUUUCUUCAACAUAGGGCAGUUAGGUCUGACGUGUCAUUUUUUCUUACAUUCAAAACAGACCACAUUUAUGUUAACCUUGUCAUCUUUAGUUGAUUUAUUCUAAAAUUUUUGAGUGCCUUGCUUUUUCCAAUUAAAUCUUCUUCCCUUUUUGUUCAGUUUCCUGAAUCUCCUUAUCAUGAGUGCUAGUAGGGGUGAGCGGUUCCCGAUUCCGGUUCGGUUCCGUCUGGAACCUAGAACCUACCCUCGGGUACAGGUUCCUCAAUUUUUGGAACCUAGAAUCUACUCAUCAAAACCGAGAACCUGGAACCUACCCUGUCACAGGUUUCGGAAUCAGUUCCAAGUUCCAACAGGUUUUUUAUUUUAUUUUGGUUUCAUUUUCGUAGUGAGCGCGAAUAUCCAAAAGCUGAAAUAAUUCAAUAGUUGGCCCUCCAUUUUCGGUACCUGCCAAUACACAGCAAUGUGAAUUUUUUACAUUUAGACGGUCAGCUCUACUUCCAAUUUGCUCCACACUCUAAUACAAAAUCAAAGAGAUUCCUCAGAAGGGGAAAAGGUAGAUUUUAAGAGUGAUAUGACAAUGACACAUACACGUUGGCCAGAAAAAAAAAGAUAAGCAACACAUACAGCACAUGCCUAUCAGAGAAAAUCUAUAUCCUCAUUUCUAUCAAGACUCCUUGAGUAAAAUUGUCUCGUGGCUAAUUCUUAAGAUACAAGCCAGAGAAAUCCUAAGACAGAAAAUGCACAAGAGCCUAUGUUUACAAACAAGAAAAACCGUCCGAAAGCAAUAACAAAUUUGAUCUGGCAAUAAGAAUGAAUAUGCAUGAUAGCAAAGCCCAGUAGAAGGCUAACAUGAAAAAUCCAUUUACCUCUUCCCCAGAGACAUAUACUACUGGAGCCGAUCUCCCAAGAUCAUGCCCUUUAGCAAUCAUUGCAGCCAUCUUCCAGUAUUAAUAUAUGAGAUGGACAAGGUAGGGCACAAUGGUUAGACAGGGAGGUAGAUAUAUACAGAACUUAAAAUAUUUUAUGAAUUUCUAUUGUAUCAUGUAAGUACAUUACCUGCAGCAACAGGGUACUCUUGCCAACACUAGGAUCACCUCCCACCAAAAUUAAGGAACCUUUAGAGCCACAAUGCAGCAAAAUCAAUAGCUUUGAUAAAAUUAAAAUCUUCAAACUUCCAUACAUCUCAAGUGAAAGUUCAAGUAAUGCAGUAGAUUCGUGCGGACCAUACAGCAAAAAAAUAGGUCAAACCUGGCACAAGACCACCGCUUAGCACUCUCGAAACCUCCUCUCCAAAGGGUCCAUACCUAAACAUCAAGCACCCAAAGAGAUCAUUUACUUUAAGGAAUUAGGGCGACAUGCCAUCUGAUUUAUCGAGCCGCGAGCAAGGUUCGCGAAGCCCGGCCACCGGCACUUCGCCAUCGAAUCGUUCGUGGCCAGAUCGAUCUUCGAGGGAAGGUCCGGCAACGGGGGCCAAAAACACGAGUCUCACGGCACCAACGGUGGCACAAAAAAGUGCGGUGAAGACGGGGGGCAGUCGCGGCUCAACCCCCCGGCCCAGGGGGGGAAAAGCUUUGUUUCUUGGGGGAGGCGGUGGGGGUGGGGGGUUCGAAAGCCAACCACAGCCCCGGAAGGCAAAACAAGGCGGGGGCAAAAGGUGGUGAAGGGGGGUUGGAAAACAAUGGNNNNNNNNNNNNNNNNNNNNNNNNNNNNNNNNNNNNNNNNNNNNNNNNNNNNNNNNNNNNNNNNNNNNNNNNNNNNNNNNNNNNNNNNNNNNNNNNNNNNGAAUUAUGACCGGAACCGAGAACCCUGGUUCCUAGAAAAAUGGAACCGGUGUCUUCGGAACCGGGAACCAAACCUAACCCUCUGGUUCGGUUCCCCGGUUCCGGGUUCUACCCGGGAACCGUGCUCACCCCUCAGCGCUAGCUCUUUAUCAUCCAUGUCAUCAUCAGAAUUUGUAUCAUCAGAAUGAUCGUUAGAUUUUAAAGUAAUUGACUUCUGACCUUUGAGAUCUUCUUCUUCAGGAGUUGCUCCACUUCGUCAGAUUGAAGUGUGCCUACAAGAUCAUCAACUAUAAGAGGCAUGAUCCUUUGGGUUUCUCUUGUGGAAGUUUUCACAUGAUUCCAAUCUUUGAAGAGUCAACGCAACAGUUUAUUGACCUUCAUUGGUCCUGAGAUUGGAUGUCCCUGAUAUGAUAGACCAUUCACAAUUUCUGUGAAACGACUAAAUAUUUCAGUAAUAAAUAGUUUCAUCUUGAAGACUUCGUACUAUCUGAACAAGAUAUUAAUUUUUGUUUCUUUAACUCGAUCAGUUCCUUCAUAGGUAACAUGCAACCUAUCCCAAAAUUCUUUGGCUAUUUCAUAAGAUGAAAUUCUGUUAUACUCAGUAGGAGAUAAAGCACAGUAAAAAGAGUAGAUUGCUUUAGCAUCAAGAGCUUAUCUCUUGGUUAUUUCUUCUUGUGCCAUUUCGCCAGCUUCUACAACUUAUUUUCCUCUUUCUGACACUGAUGUAGCUUUAGAAAUAAUUCAUUUUUCUACCGCAUCUCAUUCCAUGGAAUCUUUCGAUCUUAGGAAUGCAUUCAUCUUAUUUUUCCAAACAUUGUGUUCCUUUCCAUUAAAGUAAGGAGGUCUGGUGUUGCUUUGACCUCCAACCAAACCUAGAACCAAAAUACUAGCCAUAGAUUUAUAGCUCAUAAGUAAAAACACUUCAAUAAAAUGGGCACACAAUCUCUGAUGCCAAUUGAAAGAGUUAGUAAGAUCACCUAGAUGGGGUGAAUAGGUGAUAAUGUAAUUUUUACGAAACUUCAAAAUAAUUUGCAAGCAACAUGGACAGCAAUGAACAAUUAUAUGAAGUUGUAAAUUAAAGUAAGGAGUUUAGGGAUAAGAGAACGAAAACAUAAUGUUUAUAGUGGUUCGGCUUAGAUCAAGCCUACGUCCACUUUCCCGUGCUGACAACCCACUGGCCGGAUUUCACUAGGAAUCAAAAGAGAUGUUACAGUCACACGUCUUGGACUUUAUAGUGUAGAGACUCUACUGCACUUUCUCAAAGUCUCACAAGUAUUUUAUCUCUCUUUUGAGUACAAGUAAAGCUCAAUGAUUGAUAUAUCAAAGAACUAAGAAGUUUCAGAUUUUGAAAUUUUUCUCACACUCAUGAAUAACCAAAGAGUCGUCCUUAAAUACUCCUCAAUGCCUUUACGACCGUUGACACUUACCAAAGGAGUUCUUUCAAUCUUCUCGUUGGACAUAAUCAAUUAAUGAUAUCUUGAGUCGUUUAAGGAAUGUGAUGAUAGCCCAUUAAUCAUGUUCACCCAUACAAUCAGGAUCUUAGUUUCCAUAAGUAGAACUUUUCAAGUAUACUUCGCCAUUCAAAAGAUUUGCGUAUCGAAAUUGAUCCAACAAAUAUAAGUAGAUGCUAUAUCCAGCCAUAAGGUCUUUCCAAAAUCAUACAAACCGAAUCCCUUGAAGAUAAAUUCGCAUUUGAUUAAGUCUUCAAUCUUCGGUUUGGAAACUAUCAAUGAGGGCAGACUUUGAGUCUUGAGUCUGGCGGUCUUCAGACUUUGACGACGGAGUCUUGAAAUCUUCAAACUAGACUGAUGAAAACGUUUUGUCAACUUCAAAACAAUAAAGGAGUUUUCUCCAACACAUCCCAAACAUCCAUUAGGAUUGAUGGUAAAGUGAGCCUAAUUCUACUUGUAGAUUGCAAGAUUAAUAUGUAUCUGUCGUACUCUCACAUCUAGAUCUUAGCUUACUCAAACAUCUCUUUGUUACCAGUUCUCAAUGAUGAAACUUGGGUUUUUUUUUUUUUUGCUUUUCUGUACUUAUUUUUUCGAUCUCGAUGGUGCCAACAAAGGUAUAAUUUUUGUCUUUGGCAUAAACAAAACGAGCACUAGGAAAAUAUUAGGCAACAACGUAGGCUAUUAAGCAAUACAAACACUUUAUAACACAAACAAUCACCCCAUGAGCAACAAUCUGAAGAAUGACAAGGGCCAAUUCCACCUUUAUUCUCCCUCUCACUAAAUGAGACUGUUCAAAACUCCGAACAAUCUUACUUUUGAGAUAAGUGGUCUAUAAAUUUUGAACCUAUGUGUAAUGUCCUACCAAUACUUUUAGGGUGAGUUUGGUUCAGUAUUCCUAAUGAACUUUUAGCCUCCAAAGCCCCUUAGGGAAAUAUUGGACCAUUUGAUAACCAUUUUGAACAAGCUUUCAAGUGAAAGUCAGUAUUGGGAAAACUGAAAACCCAAUACUAGUGAGGACUAGUAUUGAGCUUUCAACAUUUGGUCAAAUGCUUAAACUUAUUUCUUUUUCCAAAACUAUCAUCACUCAUUUUUCAAGUUCUUUAUUUUGCCCUUGUUAUUAUUUUUUGUUUAAUAUCCAAAUAAUGCUAAAAAAUUAAAUUUACAUAAAUGCUAAAAAAAUUAAAUAUAUUUUGGUCUUUUUAAAAAAAUAUUUUAUAUAUUUGAUUUUUUAGCAUUAUUGUCGAAAUUUAUAUUUAAAAAGUUGCAUACAUUAUUUUUUUCAAUUUUAAAAAAAUAAAAAUUAAAAAAUUCCGAAGAUGGGUUUGUUUUUUUUUUUAAAAAAAUUAUAUAUAUAUUUGAUUUUUUAGCAUUAUUUUCAAAUUUAUAUUUAAAAAUUUACAUAUAUUAUUUUUUCAAAUUAAAAAAAUAAAAAUUAAAAAAUUUUGACGACGGAUUUGAUUUUUUUAGCAUUUUUGUCAAAAUUUAUAUUUAAAAAGUUGUAUACAUUAUUUUUUUCAAUUUUAAAAAAUAAAAAUUAAAAAAUUACAAUGAAGGGUUUGGUCCUUUUUUUAAUAUAUAUAUAUAUAUGUAUGUAUUUGAUUUUUUAGCAUUAUUGUCGAAAUUUAUAUUUAAAAAGUUGCAUACAUUAUUUGUUCAAUUUUAAACAAAGAAAAAUUAAAAAAUUUCGACGAAGGAUUUGAUCUUUUAAACAAAAGUUAUAUAUUUGUAUUUGAUUUUUUUAUAGCAUUAUUGUCAAAAUUUAUAUUUAAAAAGUUACAUACAUUAUUUUUUUUUCAAUUUUAAGCAAAUAAAAAUUGAAAAAUUCUGAUGAAGUGCUUGGUCUUUAAAAAAAUAUUAUAUAUGUAUUUAAUUUUUUGACUAUUAUUGUCAAAAUUUAUAUUUAAAAAGUUGCAUAAAUUAUUUUUUUCAAUUUUAAACAAAUGGAAUUUAAAAAAUAAUAUUAUUCACCUAAAGGGCUUUUCAAAUGUGUUUUCUAUCAAACGGUAUUUCUUUCAAAGUUGCUUCUCAAAGCAUAGUUUACCAAACAACAUUUAUAUUUGCCUAAAGUCCUUUAGGCUAACCUACUUUGCAUUUUCUCAAUGGGUUUUCAAAAUGCUGAACCAAACGCACAUUUAAUUUGUUCAAUGUAAUUCAUGAACUUUAACCUAGUGUGUACUAUCAUCCCUAAACUUUUAAAUUAAUUCAAUGUGAUUCAUGAACUUUUAAUACACAUUCAAUCUAGUCCAUAAAUUAUAUAAAAAAAUUUUAAUAUUGUCAUUCCGUUAAUUCAAGUUCAUUGAUAAUAUUGAACUUUUCUCUAUAGUUUAGGGACUUGAUUAAAUAUGUACAAAAAAUUUUAUACGCAUUGAAUAAAUUAAAGGUUUAGGGAUAACUAUAGUGCAUUGAGCUAAAGUUCAUAGACUAUUUAUGUAUUUAUCCCUUUUUGCAAAGCAUUACACGAUAUAAAUUACAUUCCUCAUGCAGAUUAUGCAUUCAACUUGAAAACAAUGCUAAUAUUGCAAACAACCAGGUCCAUCCCAAAGCAAUUAUUGAGCGAAAGGAACGGGCUAAAUGAGCAACUAGUCUUUGAUUUCAACCCUCGAUUCGUAACCUUUCAUCAACUUGUUCGGGAUACAUUUCCCUUGAAUGAAGGGAAUGACCUCAAAUGGUCUUAUGAACCACAUAACCCCUUCAUCUUAUCUUCGGACUUUUUGUAAAGGAGACCAUUGUUGUGACCUAAAUUUCGAGUGCACCACCUAAAAUUAGGUUAAUGGACUACUAAGUCUGACUUAGGUCAGGCUCUCUCAGGCCUAUACCAAUUCGCGACUUAGGUUCAAAUAUUUAGCAUGCAAAAAGGAGUCGCCACUAAUUAAUUUAGUAUAAGUCGAUUAGACACCCAAGUAAAAUAAUUAGAGAAUUAUUUUACUUCUAUAAACCAGAGACUUUGGGUACGGGAAUUUGAUUACACUAAACUUUUAUAAUGCCCUUUAAGUACAUUUUUUCUUUUUAUUUCGAAAAAAAUGUUUUGCAAGCAAAUUGAAUUAAUUUUAAUUCACUUCCCUAACAUGUGAGGUGAUCAUGCAGGUGUGCAAAUCACCAAUUUAACACCUAAGAAAGCAAAUAAAAAAAUGCAAUGUUGUUAGAUCAGAAUUCAUAUCAACGGUCCUAGAUAUGAUUUCUAAUUAAUACGCAAUCACUCAAUUUUUGUUUUUACUUAUUUAAUGAGAAUUUGAUCUACAUGCAAUGCAAUGUUACUAAUCUAGUAUGAAAUGAUAUGGCAUGGCAAUAUAACCUAAGCUAUAUGACAUAAGUAAAGUAAUUUCUAAAGAAAUGCAAUAAUUAAAUGUGCAAUCUAAAUUAACCAAAUGACCUAAUUCUAAUGACGGCCAAUUUCUAAUCAAAUGGACCUAGCAACAAUUUCAUGAACCUAAUUCUAGAUGACAUAUGCAUGAUUUUUUUUUUUGUAUUUUUAUAAAAAUUCGAAAUUAAAAAUUGAUAAAAAUAAAAAUCUACCUAAAGCAAGAUAUUAUCUAAUUUAAGUUAAGAUUAUGAAUCCUAUCUUAACUUAGAAAAUUAUCUCAUCAUGCAAUUUAAUCCCAAAAAAAAAAAUAUUAUCUAACCUAGAUACUACAUGCAUUUUUAAAAAAAACUAUUCUACCAUGCAACUUUAUCUAGGAAAUCAAUUCUAAUCAACAUGAUAUGCAAAUGCAAUUUUUUUUUUUUUGUAUUUUCGAAAUAAAUAAAACAAUUAAAAGAUAAACACCAAAUCAUCCAUGGUCAUCAAAAAUAUUAUCCAUUGUUCGAAUUUGGAAACGAUAUUGAUUAUUUCGCUAAUAAAAUCGAUAAAUUGAUUUUAAGUCUUAAAGAUCAAGAUAUCAAUUUUAUUCCCACGCAAUUAAUUAUUCCAUCUAAAGCCUUAUAGAUGGAAGAAAAAAAUUGAUGUGCGGUUGCGGAUUAGGCCAUAAAUCAUAAUUAGGAAUAUGCCGAUAAUUCAAAUAUGCACAUAAGAAAUUGAAAAGCAUAUAUUAGGCAAUAAAAUAUCCUAAUCAAAUUUAGAUAAGAUAAUUGCCUAAUUUCGUAAAUAAUGUUACCAAAUUUGAAUCAAAUGGAAUCCACUCAACGGAUGACUUGGCGAUCAGCUUCUCGGCGUGUCAACGGUGAUGGUUCAUGGAUGAUUUGCAAGAUCACAUAGGGACUCAUGGCUCGGGACUAGAACAGCUUCAUCAUCAAUGAUGCAUGAUGAUGGGUCCCUGAUUUGCGACUUGAUCACGCUUCAGGGACGGCGUGACGAAGGGCCUGGUUCACGGGGGUGCAGCAGGCAAAGGGUUCCGUGCGGGUCACGGACAGCGGUGGUUCAAUGACAGGCUGUUGGUCGUCUCGGCGGGCCUUCUCCUUUGGCACUUUCUGCAUGUUGAAAUCGUCUCCGAGGGUGUAGGGAAGCUCUCUCCUCUAUCUCCAAGUUUUCCUCCUUUGGCCUUUUCUUUUUUAUUUGCAGGACAGCGGAUAAGGUGUCCAUGAACGUGGAUCUUCACAGUGGUCAAGAAAAGCUCAUGAAGACUUCAUGAAUCAUAACUUUCGAAUGUGUUGGGCUUCUCAAUCGUGAAUUGUGUAUUCCUCUGAGAAGGAAAAUCCUCCCUUUCGUCUUUUUUUUUUUAAUUCUUUUCCCUCUAACUUUCUCUCUCUCCCUUCCCCUCACGUCCUCACCUUAUCAGAAUGAGGACAAAGUCCAUUGUUGACCUUGAAUUGGGUUUUGCGGACACGAACUGGAACACAGGGCGGGUAGGGACGUGGUGCUCCUCGCUGGACGGGACUUGCGGGCGUCACUGGAUGACCUGUGGACUGAAAAUCAUUAGAAUUGCUGUGGGGUCUUGCUUGGAGGCUGCGAAGGUCGUCGAAGACUGAUGCGUCACUGCAGCGGACAAUCGGCAGCAGGGUUAGCAUUGAGGGGCAGCCACGAACUCAGCAAAGUCGCGGCCGUGAAGCGGUCUCGACCAUGACUCCUUCAGCUCCCUCUCUUUCACGUAUGUUUUCUAUAUUGUGGCUGUAUAGUCAAUGUGUGGCUCCCCCAAAAACCCUAGGUGUUUUACCUUUUUAUAGGCCAUAGAUUAGGGUUUUAAUUUUUCCAAAUCAAUAUCCACGAAGAUUUCUUUUCCGAACAUAAUAUUUGUUUUUGAUACAAUUCAGGAUUACAAGAGGAUUUUUCUGAAAUUUCAAAUCCUACAAAGUUGAGCUCGCAAUAUUUUUUGUCACGCUUGCCCUAUCCGAAGAUAUUAAAAAAAAAAUCCCCCAACAUAUCCCGGAAAAAUUCAAAAUAUCUAUUUUUCAUGAGAUAAUUUUCGACCAUUAAAAAAAAGGGGCUUGGGCCAAUUUGCUCACUUUGUGGGCUUAACCUGGCCUGUCAAUUUAAAGCUAAGAACAAUCAAUUCAAACCCAUUCAUCACCAGCCCAAUGCAAAUGUAAUAAUAAUAAAUAAAUACAUCUAAAAUUAUAUAUUAUACAAUUAAUUAAUUUUUUUGUAGGGGUAAAAUUUGUUGGAGAAAUCUUCGUGAAGUGUUUUGAAGCUGACAAAACUUUUCUGUUAGUCUAGUCUGAAGAUUUGCAAACUCUACUAUUUAAAGUCUGAAGACCUCCGAACUGCCAGACUUAAGACUCAAAGUCUAUCCUCAUUGACAGUUUCUAAUUCGUUGAAGAAGGUCUAUCCAGAACUGGAUGUUUCAUUAAGGAUGUGACCUUAUCGACUGGAGAAUAUCUCUUUGCUGGAUAUGACAUAACGGAAUCUUUUAUUUGAUCAUGAUUGAUUCGAAGGUUAAGGAUCCGAUGAUUGGCGAAGUAUACUUGAAAGGUUCUACUUAUGGAAACCAAGAUCCUAAUCGUAUGGGCGAGCAGGAUUGAUGGGCUAUUGACAUGUUCCUUUAAUAGCUCGAAUGAUCUUCCUAAUUGAUUCCGUCCAACGGAUAAAUUGGAGGAAUUCCUUUGAUAAGUGCCAACGGUUAUGAUGCAUAAAGAAGUAUAUAAGGAAGACGUUCCAGUUGUUCGAGUGUGUGCUCGAUAGAAGAAUUCUAAAGUCUGAAGCUCCUUGUUCUUAGUCAAUUCAUUUGUAGAGCGAAAUCUUGUACGUAAAAGAGAGUCUGUACGCGUGAGAAACCUUGAGGAAGUGUGGUAGAAUAUCUACACUGUGGAAUCAAGGGAGAGCUUUGCUGUAACAUCUCUUUUGUUCAUAAGGAAAUCUAGCCGGUAGGCUGUCAGUGUGGAAGAGUGGACGUAGGCUUGGAAUAAGCCGAACCACUAUAAAUUUUGUGUUCAAUUUUCUCUUCCCUACUCUCUGCUUUACUUUUAUCGUAAUUCAUUUUGUUAACCAAAUGAAAACUUCCUUUCUAUUGUCUGCUUAAUAUUGCUUGCAUAUCACGAAAAAUUAUUAUACACCUAUUCACCCUCCUCUAGGUGCUUAUACUAGCUAUCUCAAUUGGUAUCAGAGCUUGUGUACUCACUUUGUUUGAAGUGUUUUACUUCAGAGUUAAAGAUCCAUGGCUAAUAUGUUAGCUCCAAGGCUAGUAGAAGGGCAAAGCAAUACCAGACCGCCUUACUUUGAUGGAAAGGAGUACAACAUAUGGAAAAACAAGAUGAAAGCCUUCCUAAGAUCAAAGGAUCCUCUGGAAUGGGACGUUGUAGAAAAAGGAAUCAUUCCUAUAGCUGCAUCUGUCUUAGAGAGAGGAAAAGAAGCUGUUGAAUCUAGUGAAAUGACUCAGGAAGAGAUAAUCAAGAGACAAGCCUUUGAUGCAAAAGCAAUUUAUUCUUUAUAUUGUGCUUUGUCACCUACUGAAUAUAACAGAAUAUCUUCUUGUGUUACAGCGAAAGAAGUUUGGGAUAGAUUACAUAUUAUCUAUGAAGGAACUGAUCGAGUGAAAGAGAGCAGAAUCAACAUACUCCUCGGUCAAUACGAAGCCUUCAAAAUGAAAUCAGGAGAAUCUAUAACUGACAUGUUUAGUCGUUUUACAGAAAUCAUGAAUGGUCUUGAAAAUCAAGGUCAAUCAAUUUCUGAUCCCAUGAAGGUAAACAAGCUACUGCGUGGACUCUCGAAGGAUUGGAAUCACAUAAAGACCUUAAUCAGAGAGACACAAAGAAUCAUGCCACUAUCAGUCGAUGAGUUGGUUGGAACUCUUCAGUCUUAUGAAGUGGAAUGAAUCAAUGAAGACGAAGACCCUAAAGGUAAGAAAUCCAUUGCAUUAAAAUCCAAUGAUGAUUCUGAUGUUACAAAUUCUGAAGACGAUAUGAAUGAUAAGGAGCUUGCUCUCAUGAUAAGAAGAUUCAGAAAGCUGAACAGAAAAUGAAGAAGAUUCAAUCCAAAGAAACAGAGUUUUCAAAAGCAACAGACUAAAUCAGUUGAGGAUGAUAAAUCAAACAAAGAUGUAGUCUACUUUGAAUGUAUAAGAUAUCCAUAUUUGUUUGAGUAAUAUUUUGCAGGUCAAAGUUAUCCAAAUCUGCAAGAAAGUUUUGUCACCAUCAAAAAGGGGGAGAUUGUUGGAGAAAUCUUCGUAAAGUGUUUUGAAACUGACAAAACGUUUCCAUCAAUCUAGUCUGAAGAUUUGCAAACUCUACUAUUUAAAGCCUGAAGACUUUUGGAUUGCCAGACUCAAGACUCAAAGUCCUCAUUGACAGUUUCUAAUCCAUUGAAGAAGGUCUAUCCAGAACUGGAUGCUUUAUUAAGGAUGUGACCUUAUCGACUGGAGAAGAUCUCUUAGCUGGAUAUGACAUAACGGAAUCCUUUAUUUGAUCAUGAUUGAUUCGAAGGUUAAGGAUCCGAUGAUUGGCAAAGUAUACUUGGAAGGUUCUACUUAUGGAAACCAAGAUCCUAAUUGUAUGAGCGAGCAGGAAUGAUGGGUUAUCGACAUGUUCCUUUAAUAGCUCGAAUGAUCUUCCUAAUUGAUUCCGUCCAACGGGUAGAUUGGAGGAAUUCCUUUGGUAAGUGCCAACGAGUAUGAUGGCAUAAAGGAGUAUAUAAGGAAGACGUUCCAGUUGUUCGAGUGUGUGCGCGAUAGAAGAAUUCUAAAGUCUGAAGCUCCUUGUUCUUAGUCAAUUCAUUUGUAGAGCGAAAUCUUGUACGCAAAAGAGAGUCUAUACUCGUGAAAAACCUUGAGGAAGUGUGGUAGAAUAUCUACAUUGUGGAAUCAAGGGAGAGCUUUGCUGUAACAUCUCUUUUGUUCAUAGUGAAAUCCAGCCGGUAGGCUGUCAGUGCGGAAGAGUGGACGUAGGCUUGGAAUAAGCCGAACCACUAUAAACCUUGUGUUCAAUUUUCUCUUCCCUACUCUCUGCUUUACUUUGAUCGUAAUUCGUUUUGUUAACCAAAGGAGAACUUUCUUUCUAUUGUCUGCUUAAUAUUGCUUGCAUAUCACGAAAAAUUAUUAUAAACAUAUUCACCCCCCCUCUAGGUGCUUAUACUAGCUAUCUCAAAAUUAACCCCUGAUUUUUUAAUGCGAUAAACAACUAAACGAGUCACCAAAAUUUAGGUGUCAACAACCAUCACAUGUUGCUAUAUGACUUUUUGUAAAUAAGCAACAAAAGUCUUCAAUAUUGACCCCCAAUUUGUAAUCUUUCAUCAACUUGUUUGUUGCUGUCAUAAUUUAUGAAUGUAUACAUUUCCCUAGAAGGAAGGGAAUGGCCUCAAACGGUCUUAUGAACCACAUAAACCCUUCAUCUUAUCUUCCUAAAGGGGGACCUUUUGUGAAGGGGACCAUCACGUGUUGCUACAUGACCUUUUGUAAAUGAGCAAUCAAAGUCUUCGAUUACGAUCCCUGAUUCGUAACCUUCCAUCAACUUGUUUCCUACUGUCACAACUUAUGAAUGGAUACAUUUUCCUAGAAAGAAGGGAAUAACCUCAAACGGUCUUAUGAACCACAAAAGCCCUUCAUCUUAUCUUCCUACAUAAGGACCUUUUGUGAAGGAGAUCAUCACAUGUUGCUAUAUGACUUUUUGAAAAUGAGCAACAAAAGUCUUCGAUUUUUUACCCCUGAUUUGUAACCUUUCAUCAACUUGUUUGAUGCAGUCAUUUCCCUAGAAGGAAGGGAAUGACCUCAAACGGUCUUAUGAACAUAAGUCCUUCAUCUUAUCUUCCUAUAGGGGAACCUUUUGUGAAGGGGAUCAUCACAUGUUGCUACAUGACCUUUUGUAAAUGAGCAAUCAAAGUCUUCGAUUACAACCCAUGAUUCGUAACCUUUCAUCAACUUGUUUCCUGCUGUCACAACUUAUGAAUGGAUACAUUUCCCUAGAACAAAGGGAAUAACCUCAAACGGUCUUACGAAUCACAGAAGCCCUUCAUCUUAUCCUCCUACGGAAGGACCUUUUGUGAAGGGAACCAUCACAUGCUGCUAAAUGACACCCUUUGGUUUGCAAGUUUUUGGACUAAUUGUUGACUCAAAGUCUUUCAUGCAAAUGCAGAUCUAUUUGUCAAUUUUGGCAGGAAGAUUUUCCUUAUGUUCCCCAAGAGUUAACCCUAUACGGCACUGCACAAAGUCAUUUUCAUGCACCUAAAGAUUCAAGUGCAUUGCCUGUGUCGCAUUGUCCGUGUCUUGUGUGUUUUAUCUCCAGCAAAGUCAUUGAUUUUGAUGCAUCGAAGUGUGCGGCACACUUGCUUUCCCCUGUGCACCAAGCGCCCUACAUCCCUAGUAGCAUUGCUCUGAACACACGCGGGAAAGCAAAUUUGAGAACAAAAAUAGAAUUUAACCUACCCAAUAACUUUGAUCGGACAUCUACUUAGAAUCUCUUUAUACAUGAAAGAAUUAUGUUUUAAUGUUGUCAGGUCUUUUAUUUUCAAUAUAUCGUUAGAGAUUUAUUACCAGAUAUGCAUAAGAACAAGUGAUUUGCUUGGAUAUUAUUACAAAAAUAAAUAAAUCUACUAUUUAUUGCUUAGUGAUUGGGGAUCUGUUACCAAAUUAAGCAUAAAAGCAGAGAUUUGCUAGUAUAAGAGACUUUACAAAGCGAACAAAAAAAUAAUGGCUAUGCAAAACUCACACUUCAGAGUGCCAUGUGGGACUCUGUCAAGCCUUCACUUUCAUAGACCUUUUUCCCCUUGUCACAACUUGUGGAUGGAUACAUUUGCCUAUGAUGGAGGGAAUGACCUCUAACUCUCUAUUAACCAUGCAGAUUCUUCAUCUUGUCUUCUCAGUGAGAUACUUUUUGUAAAGGGGGCCAUCUUACUAACUGCCGACCCAAGUCUUCCAUGCAAAUACAAAUCUAUUGGCUGAAUUUUCAGUCAAUCAACCAUUUGUUUAUUCGGCCUGAAGUGUUUUCUUAUGUUCCCCGGUAGCUACACGUUACGGCACUGCACAAGUCAUGCUGUCAUGUGCUAAAAUAUUCAUAUGCAUUGCCCAUAUUUUGCGUCUUUUGUCUCUAGCAAAGUCAUUGAUUUUGAUGCAUCAUAGUGUGCUAUGCGGGAUGCUCUUACCCCCUAUGCACCAAGCACCACCUAUAAAAUCUACUUCCCCAGUAGCAUUGCACUACACAAAGUCAGAAAGACACAUUUGAGAAUAAGAUAGAAAUCCAUAAAAUUUGUUGGGUAAUCUAAUUACAAUCGCUAUACAAAACAAGAAAACUAAUGUUUUUUUUAAAUGUUUAUCACCAAAAAUGCAUCUCUUUUAUUUCUCAUACAUGGAUUAGAGAUUUAUAACCGAAAUAUGCAUAAGAAUUGAUGGUGCCAACAACAAAGUUAUUUUGUUUCGGAAUAUACAUAGAACAAGCAGUAAGAAAAUAUUAAGCAACAAUACAAAUGUCUAACUGCUUAUACACAAUCAUCUUUUAUGCUUAGUUAAGACAAAACUUCGUGUAUUGCACGAAAAAAUGUGGUACCGCAUACACAAUAGCAAACAGUUUGCUCUGGUUCUGCUCAACUAGGCGAUAUGAACAUAAUGGCUAAGCCCAAGGAAAAGUAGAUGCGUCAUUGAAUUGCCUGUGGAUGAUUUAUCUUCAACAUGUCUAUUUGAGUUUAAUAAAUCUUGACACGAAGUUAAGACUUACGGAGAAAGAAGAAAUGCAUGAGUGCCUAUUUUGUUCCUUGAAUUGCGUUCAAAAGAUUUAAGACAUCUCAAGUUUUUUUUCCCUUUGAUCACGGCAAUGCAAGCUUGGUUGCACCUUUGUCGAGAUGCCCGGAUUUCCGUUCAGGUACUUUAUCUGGUUUUUAAUUCUAUUUGUACUGAGAUCACGUAAGAAAUACCGAACUGUCACUACCUUAAGUACAAAUUUUAGAGGCUUAAUUCACGUUCGUCCGGUUAAGUAUUAUAGCCUAUGACUGGAUCGCCACUGAUGAGGUCUUUAGUGCUAUAAGAGGUUUAACUCCACGUAUCAUAAGUAUUAUAGUCUGAAAAACUCGUGUUUUAUUCAUCGGCAAAUGGGGACCUCGUUUGCGGUAUGGUAAUGCUUGUAGAUGCCAAGAAGACUGAAAGAGAGGAUCUCAAGAAGGUUGAGGCGUUCAUGCAUCCAUGUUGUCAAAAUUUUUACCCCAAGGCCGGGCUAGGGAUUGGUGCCCGGGCCUGGGUUUCUGGCGCCCGAACUUGGGACCAGGGUUGCACUCGAGACUUAUUCUCAAAUGUGAAUUUCAUUAUUUUCCUACAACAAACGGAUUUCCAUAUUAUUUGCAAACUACAACCAAACAUACUUUGAAAUUAAGUUCUUUUCUAGAUAUCAGUAUAUUUUCUGCUUUCUAUUAUUUUUGGCAUAAACAAACCAAGCAAUGGGAAAAUAUUAGGCAACAAUGUUAGGCUAAUGCACAAUCCAAACGCCUGUGAUUGUUUGGGAGCAACAAUCUACACAAGACAAUGGCCAAUUCCGCCUCUCUCUCCCUCUUGAUAAGGGAGACUGUUCCAAAUUUUGAACAAUCUUAAUUUCUCUAAAAGCAUUAUACAAUAGAAAGUACAUCCCUUAUUAGUAACCAAAGGAAAUAUUCACCGAUUGUGAAUUUGAAGUGAAAAUAGCACUAAUGUUGCAAACAAAAUGGUCACACCCAAAGCAACUAUUGGGUGAACGAAACGGGCCAAAUAAGCAAUCAAAGUCUUCAAUUUCGCCUAUGAUGGAGGGAAUGACCUCUAACUCUCUAUUAACCUUGCAGAUUCUUCAUCUUGUCUUCUCAGUGAGAUACUUUUUGUAAAGGGGGCCACCUUACUGUUGUUAUAUGACCCCUCGAUUUGCCAUUUUUGGCCCAACUGCUGACAAAGUCUUCCAUGCAAAUACAAAUCCAUUGGCUGAAUUUUCUGUCAAUCAACCAUUUGUUUAUUCAGCCUGAAGUGUUUUCUUAUGUUCCCCAGUAGCUACACGUUACGGCACUACACAAGUCAUGCUGUCAUGCACUAAAAUAAACCAAAGUCUCUUUUCCCGUUGUCACAACUUGUGGAUGGAUACAUUUGCCUAUGAUGGAGGGAAUGACCUCUAACUCUCUAUUAACCAUGCAGAUUCUUCAUCUUAUCUUCUCCGUGAGAUACUUUUUGUAAAGGGAGCCAUCUUACUAUUGCUAUAUGACCCCUUGAUUUGACAUUUUUGGCCUAACUACUGACCCAAGUCUUCCAUGCAAAUACAAAAAUCUAUAGGCUGAAUUUUCAGUCAAUCAACCAUUUGUUUAUUCGGCCUGAAGUGUUUUCUUAUGUUCCCCGGCAGCUACACGUUAUGGCACUGCACAAGUCAUGCUGUCAUGCACUAAAAUAUUCAUAUGCAUUGCCUGUAUUUUGCGUCUUUUGUCACUAGCGAAGUCAUUGAUUUUGAUGCAUCAUAGCGUGCUAUGCGGGAUGCUCUUACCCCCUAUGCACCAAGCACCGCCUAUAAAAUCUACUUCCCCGGUAGCAUUGCACUGCACAAAGUCAGAAAGACACAUUUGAAUAAAAUAGAAAUUUGCCUUAAAAGAAACAAGAACUAAUGUUUUUUUAAAUGUUUAUCACCAAAAAUGUAUAUCUCUUUUAUUUCUCAUACACGGAUUAGAGAUUUAUAAACGAAGUAUGCAUAAGAAUUGAUGGUGCCAACAACAAUAUUAUUUUGUUUCCGUUUUCCAUUUUUUUCGGAAUAUACAUAGAACAAGCAAUAAGAAAAUAUUAAGCAACAAUACAACUGUCUAAUUGCUCAUAGAUAAUUGUCUUUUUUCUACCUCUGAUAUCACUCUCAAUAAGUAAGACGGUUCAAAACUCUUAGCUGUCAUAGUUUCUCUAAACGCAUUACAUAACAUAAAGUUAUAUUCCUCAUCAGUGACCAAGGGAAGUGAUCACAAAUCAUAAAUUCAAAGUGGAAACAGCACUAACGUUGCAAACAGAAAGGUCCAAUGCAGAGUGAUCAUUGUGUGAACGAGAGGAGCCAGAUGACCAAUCAAAGUCUUCAAUUUUGACUCUCUAUUCGUACCAUUUCAUUGACUCAGAUGUAUUACACAUAUUUCUACGUAUUACGUCACUCGCAAAGUCAUCAAUUUGACGCAUUAUAGCAUGAGAUGAGGCGUGUUCAGACCCCUAGACUCCAAGCACCGCCUAUAAAAUCUGCUUCAUUCUCAUAUGCUCUGCCCAUCAAAAUAGAGUUAUCUUAUUUGAAAUAAAAUGGCUCGCUCCUCGUGCUUCUGCAUGUCCAUAAACUUGCUUUUCUUGUACUUGUGGUCACAUCCAAUUGGUGCUCACAAUCUCUCUCGUUCUGUAAAACCUGUGUCUCGAGAACGAAAUAUCUGCACUGCUGCAGUUUAAAGAGAGAUACGACAUCGCCAAUAUUUCGAGUGGUCCUCUCGCUCGUCCCAAGACUCUAUCCUGGAAUAAAGGUCGGGAUUGCUGCUCCUGGGAUGGAAUCGAGUGUGACAAGAACACCGGCCAUGUAAUUAUUCUCAACUUGAGAAGUAGUUUUCUCUAUGGUUCCAUCGACAACAACAGUACCCUCUUCCAGCUUGUUCCCAAGUUUGUUCCCCAUGGCUGGGCCCAGGUCCAAUGCUUGAGCCUGGGUCCCCGACGCUCAAACUAGAGACUCCAGUUGCACUCAAGACCUAUUCUUAAUUAUCUAUUUCGUAAUUUUCUUGUAACAAAUAUCAGUAAAUGACUUUCCUAUUGUUUAGCAAAUAAAGACCAACAUGCCUUGAAAAUAAGUUCCUUUCGAAAAAUUUCUAGCAAAGUUCAUUUUUCGAGAAAUAAACGGAACUUGGGGUUGGAACAUAUUGCCUUGGUUGAAUUUGGGACUGAAUGUAAUAAAUUUGUUGUUCCGUGUGAACCGAUGAGCAUUGUUUGCACAAUGAACGAAGGAUCUUGAUUUUUUUUUUUUUUUUGGUAAGGACGAAGGAUCUUGAUGUUGCCAACAACAUAGUUUAGUUUUCUUUGUUUUCUAUUUAUUUCAAAGACAGAAACAAAACAAAAAGGCAAUUGAAAGUGGAUGCAUUUUUCUAUGAUUCAGUAUAGCCACAGAAAGUGCUAGUGCUGCAAACAAAAGUCCAAGACUGAUCCGUCAUCCCAGCAAUCUAGUGGGGCUAUAUGAGCAACCAAAGUCUUCAUUUCUUCCCUCAAUUCAUCCCAUUGCAAAGACUUGUAUGCCGUUGUCACAACUUAUGAAUGCAUACUCUUCGUAUAGACCAGAGGGGAAAACUUAGUGUCAUUUUUUAUAACUUACAUCUCAACAAUCCAUUUGGGUUGAAGUAAAGUGAGCCUAAUUAUACUUUUAGAUUGCAAGAUUAAUACGUAGCUGCCAUACUCUCACAUCGAGAUCUUAGCUUCCUUAGACAACGUCUCUUCAUCACCGCCUCUCAGUAAUGAUCAUUUACAAAGGUAUUUUUUGCUUUUUUGUAUUUAUUUUCUAGAUCUGGAUGGUACCAAUGAUAGUAUAUUGUUUGUCUCUGGUUUCCAGUCAUUUUGGCAUAAACAAAAUGAGCACUAGGAAAAUAUUAGGAGACCAUGUUAGGCUACUGCACCAUCCAAACACCUAUGAUGGUCUGGUACCAGCAAUUUCCACAAGGCAAGGGCCAAUUCCACCUCUAUUGUCCCUCUCAAUAAGUGAAGACUGUUUAAAGUUUGAAUAGUCUUAAUCUCUCCAAAGCAUUACAUCAUUUACAUUCCUCAUUAGUGACCAAAGGGAAAUGUUCUCAGAUCAUGCAUUCGAAGGGAAAACAGUACUAAUAUCACAAACAAAUAGGUCCAACCCAGAGCAAUUAUCAGGCGAACGAGAGGGGCCAGAUGAGCAUUCAAAUUUUUCGAUUUCGACCCCGAUUCAUAUCCUUUCAUUGACUUGUUUGCUACUGUCACAAUUUAUGAAUGGAUACAUUUGCUUAGAAUUGAGGGAAUAACAUCAAACAUUCUUAUCAACUACACAAGCCAUUCAUCUUAUAUUCCCACGGAGGGACUUCUUGUAGGGGACCAUGACAUGAUGCUAUGCGACACCCUUUGGUUUGCAAUUUUGGACUAACUGUUUGUUGACCGAAAGUCUUCCGUGCAAAUACAAAUCUAUUUGACAAUUUUGAUUGAACAUUCUUAAUCUCUCCAAAGCAUUACAUCAAGGAACUUACAUUCCUCAUCAGUGACCAAAGGGAAAUGGUCUUAGAUCAUGCAUUCAAAGGAAAAACAGUGCUAAUAUCACAAAUAGGUCCAACCCAGAGCAGUUAUUGGGCAAACAAGAAGGGCCAAAUGAGCAUUCAAAUUCUUUGAUUUCGACCUCCAAUUCAUACAAUUUCUUUGACUUGUUUGCUGCUGUCACAACUUAUGAAUGUGAUACAUUUGCUAAGAAUGGAGAGAAUAACCUCAAACCUUCUUAUUAACCACACAAGCCAUUCAUCUUAUCUUCCCACGGAGAGACUUUUUGUGAAGGGGACCAUCACAUGUUGCUGUAUGACACCCUCUGGUUUGGAAAUUAACUCUUGGUUGACCCAAAGUCUUCCGUGCAAAUACAAACCUAUAUGUCAAUUUGGGCCAGAAGCUUUUCCUUGUGUUCCCCGGUAGCUAACCCUAUACGGCAGUGCGCAAAGUCAUCCUCACGCACCUAAAGAUUCAUUUGCGUUGCCCAUACUUUGAGUGUUCUAUCACUGCAAAGUCAUUGAGUUUUUGCAUCGUAGCGUGCGAUGCAACAUGCUUGCUUACCCCCUACGCUCUAAGCGCCCUACUUCCCUGUUAGCAUUGCUCUGAACAGUCAGAAAAGCAGCUUUGAGAACAAAAUAGAAUUUAACCUGCUCAAUAACUUUGAUCAUACAUCUGACAUCUCUAUACACAUAAAGAGUGAUGUUUUAAUGUUUAUCAGGUCUUUUAUUUUUUAUACGCCGGUUAGAGAUUUAUUAUCAAACAUCCGUGAGAAUAAGAGAUUUGCUAGGAUUGGAUAACAAAAAUACAUAAAUCUAUUACUUAUUGCAGAGCGAUUAGAGAUGUGUUACCAAAAUAAGCAUAAAAAUUAGAGACUUACCAAGAUAAGAGAUUUUAUAAAGUGAACAUAAAAUAAUUGCUACACAAAACUCACUCUUGAGAGUGCCAUGUGGUAUACGGCUUUUGUGCAUUUAUCUUCUUCUUCUUUUAUAUGUAAGUAGUUACUUAGCCGGAAAAAUAGAAUAGCGACUUCUCACUUACAAUUUUCAGCGAUGAACAUUGUUUAGAGAGGCAUUCUCAAGACAAAUAUUUCACUUUUAUUUGCUAAAUUUAUUUUAGAUCUCGAUGGUGCUAAUAGUGUAGUUUGUCUCCAAUUGACAAUCGUUUCGGCAAUAUACAAAGAACAAGCGAUGAGAAAAUAUUAGGCGACACUACAAAUGUCUAAUUGCUCAUAGACAAUUGCCUUUAUGCAACUUCUAUACUCACUCUCAAUAGUGCAGAGUGAUUGUGGAGUGAAUGAGAGGGGGGAGGGGGGGGACCAAAUAGCAAGUGAAGUCUUCAAUUUCGACCCUCAAUUUGUACCAUUUCAUGGACUUGUUUGCUGCUGUCAUAACUUAUGAAUGGAUAUAUUUGGUAUAGAAUGGAGGGAAUAACCUCAAACCAUUUCUUAACCAUACAAGCUCUUUACCUUAUCUUCCUGCGAAGGAUUUUUGUGAGGUGGACCAUCAUGGUGUUGCCAUGUCACCCCUUGCGUAUGCAAUAUUUGGACUAACCGUCACCCAAGUCUUCCAUGCAAAUGACAGGUACACCGGCUGAAUUUCCAGUCAAUCAAUCAAUGGUCGAUUUGAGCCUGAGGUUUUUCCUUAUGUUCCCGGGUGAGUACACGUUACGCCACUGCACAAAGUCUUGCUCAUGCACCUAUAGAUUCAUAUGUAUUGCACAUAUUUUUUGCAUGUUACAUCAUUCAUAAAGUCAUCAAUUUGAUGCAUCGUAGCAAGAGAUGAGGCAUGUUCUUACCCCUAGCCACCAAGCACUACCUAUAAAAUCUGCUUCACUCUUCUCAUACUCUACUCAUCAAAACAAAGUUCUCUAUUUGAAACAAAAUGGCUUUACCAUACAAGCUCUUUACCUUAUCUUCCCGCGAAGGAUUUUUGUGAGGUGGACCAUCAUGGUGUUGCCAUGUCACCCCUUGCGUAUGCAAUAUUUGGACUAACCGUCCGACCCAAGUCUUCCAUGCAAAUGACAGGUACACCGGCUGAAUUUCCAGUCAAUCAAUCAAUGGUCGAUUUGGGCCUGAGGUUUUUCCUUAUGUUCCCGGGUGAGUACACGUUACGCCACCGCACAAAGUCUUGCUCAUGCACCUAUAGAUUCAUAUGUAUUGCACAUAUUUUGUGUAUGUUACAUCAUUCAUAAAGUCAUCAAUUUGAUGCAUCGUAGCAAGAGAUGAGGCAUAUUCUUACCCCUAGCCACCAAGCACCGCCUAUAAAAUCUGCUUCACUCUUCUCAUACUCUACUCAUCAAAACAAAGUUCUCUAUUUGAAACAAAAUGGCUUGCUGCUUGUGCUUCUAUAUGUUCAUAUACUUGCUUUUCUUGUACCUAUGGUCACAUCCUAUUGGCGCUCACAAUCUCUCUCGUUCUGUGAAACCUCUAUGUCUUGAGGACGAAAUGUCUGCACUAUUGCAGUUUAAAGAGAGAUACGAAAUCGCCAAUGUUUCUGAUGAUCCUCUCUCUCGUCCCAAGACUCUAUCUUGGAAAAACAAUUUGGAUUGCUGCUCGUGGGAUGGGAUCAAGUGCAACGAGAACACAGGACAUGUAAUUGUUCUCGACCUGGGAAGUAGUUUUCUCUAUGGUUCCAUCGAUAACAACAGUACCCUGUUCCAGCUUGCUCAUCUUGAAAGGCUCAAUCUCAGCUUCAAUCACUUCAACUACUCUCAAAUACCAUCCCGAGUUGGAGAUCUGCCGAGAUUGACUCAUCUUGAUGUCUCUUUUUCUGUUUUUUCCGGCCAGGUCCCAUCAGAAAUUUUCAAGCUUAGGAGGUUGGUGUACCUCAACCUGUGUUGCAAUCUGGAUCCGCAUGCUUCUACACUUUUGUUGGAAAUGAAACCGCCGGGCCUGAGAAGGCUAGCUCAAAAUCUGACCAGCCUGGAAGUACUUCAACUAGGUGCCGUCAACACGUCGUCCAAAGUGCCCACCAAUCUGGUGAAUCUGUCUUCCCUGAGAGAGUUGAACAUGGAUGUGUGCAGCCUGCACGGUGUAUUUCCGUCUGCCAUUUUCAAUUUACCGAAGCUACGGCUUCUUGGGGUGGCUGACAAUGAAGCUCUCACGGGACGAUUGCCUGACUUUAACUCAAGUAGUCCUCUUAAAAAGCUGCGAAUGCUUGGCACGAGCUUUUUUGGAGAGUUACCCGCUUCAAUCGGUAAUCUCCGUUCCUUGCAGAUAUUGGAUCUUGACUCCGAAACGUGCAAUUUGACAGGGUCACUACCCGCGUCGAUCGGAAACCUUCCUUCCUUGAGUUAUCUCGAUAUAGGUGGUUGCAAAUUUUCAGGAUCUAUCCCGGCUUCAUUUGCUAAUCUUAGCAACCUCAAGAACUUAGACGUCUCGAUGAACCCAUUCACUCCCCAGUCGAUUUCCUCUUUUUCUUGGCUUUGGAAGAAUAAGAAGCUAGCCCGUUUGAAUCUCGAACAGAUCAAUCUUUAUGGCGAGAUUCCACCUUCAAUCGGAAACUUAUCACAACUUGCAACGUUAAGCUUUGCUGACAACCAAUUAACAGGUACCAUCGUAUCUCAGCUCAUGAACCUCACUCAGCUGACUGAUUUGUACCUCCAAAGCAAUCAACUGUCAGGGUCGAUACCGUCUUGGCUUAUGAACAUGACCGGACUUGUAGUGCUUGACCUUGUGGAAAAUAAAUUCCACGGCGAGAUACCUUCUUCAAUCUCUCAACUCCAAAAUCUCCAAGUCCUCGCCCUUGCUAAAAACAACUUCAGCGGUACUGUUGACCUAGACAACUUUCUCAAGCUCAAACAAUUGGGAGUGCUUCACCUAUCAUCUAACAGGUUAUCAUGCCGCAAGAGUAGCAUGAAUGUUAUUCCUCCUCAGCUUCAGGUCCUAGGACUGGCAUCAUGCAAUUUGAGCGAGUUUCCAGCAUUCUUGCAAAACCAAGAAGAUAUGAAUUGGUUGGACCUGUCGGAUAACAACAUUAGGGGAGUUCCCUUUUGGGUGUGGAAAGGUACUUUUAAAUACAUGCAAUACCUGAAUCUCUCACGUAACUUAUUAACUGGUCUUGAUCGAUAUUACCCAAUCAAUCCUUUACUUAUGUACACGAUAGACCUAUCUCACAACUUGUUGAAAGGACCACCCCCUGAAGCACCACCGUCAAUAUUGUCCUAUAUAGUAUCCAACAAUAGCCUAACAGGAGCAUUGCCACCAUGGAUCUGCAAUUUGAGUUCAGCAAUCACACUAGACUUGUCUUCAAACAAUUUGACUGGUGUGCUUCCGGUUUGUUUGGGCAAUAUCAGCAAAUCUCUCAUGAUAUUGAACCUAAAGGGCAACAAUUUCCACGGAAGCAUCCCUGAGCUAUUGGUGACGGGGACAGACUUGACGAUGCUUGAUUUGAGUGACAACCAGUUGCAAGGCAAAUUACCGAGGUCCUUGGCCAACUGUAAAAUGCUUGAGUUCAUCAACUUUGCAAACAAUCAUAUCGUGGACACCUUCCCGUCAUGGUUGGGAUCUCUAUCGAAGCUUCAUGUCCUUAUUUUGCGAGCCAAUAAAUUACACGGUGUCAUAGAGAGGCCUAAAUCUAGUCCCACAUUCUUUAAGCUGCGGAUCCUUGACCUCUCUAAUAAUGCGUUCACCGGCAAGUUGCCCAUAGAAUUCUUUCAAUCUUGGAAUGCCAUGAAAUCCAAGACGGGAAAAUUUACGUACAUGCACAGAAAUCUACGGCCACGUAGAUACCUCUCAUUUACCUACUAUGGCUAUUACGAUUUCUCCAUGACAGUGUAUUACAAAGGGCUUAAAUUGUAUUACCCAAAGAUAUCAGAAGUCUUCGCAGUCAUCGACCUCUCCAACAAUUUGUUCAAAGGAGAGAUCCCAGGUGCCAUAGGUGAUCUCAAAGGACUACAGGGACUGAACCUUUCUUUCAAUUUUUUCAAUGGUCACAUUCCAACGUUGUUAGGGAAUCUCACAGCACUUGAGUCACUAGAUCUUUCUUGGAACAACUUCUCAGGAGAGAUCCCCCAAAAGCUAAUAGAACUCGGGUUCCUUUCGUUCUUGAACAUGUCUUACAACAAUCUAACCGGGUCUGUGCCUAGAGGGAAACAAUUUGAUACAUUUUCAGACGAUUCUUUUAAAGGGAACCCGGGACUCUGUGGGGAAUUCAUAUCCAAGAAAUGUCAAGAUUCAAGACAUGCAUCAGGACAACCUUCAGCCCACCAAGAAGAAGACUUGGGAUUGCCCAUUGAACUCAACUGGAAAAUUAUUCUAACGGGAUAUGGGAGCGGCUUAGUGAUAGGAGUGGUCGUUGCAAAUGUGUUCAUCUCUUGGAAACAUGAUUGGUUUGAAGGAAAUUCCAGGACAAGGCAACGGCCUAGUCGAAGGCAGCCUAGGAGGGGUAAGAACUCCUGGUCAGGCAAGCUUUUAAAAUUCUGCAGGUUUUAGAACUUACCUGAAAAAUGAGCUAGUUUUUUCUUAAAUGUACUUGUUUCUUCAUAGUAUCUUUUAGUGUUAUUUAUGUCAAACCUUCACUUUUUUCAGUUGAUCUCUCAUCACAUCUGUUUACCACCUCUCUAACCUGCACUUUUUGUUUUUUUGGAUAAUGCCAUUGUCAGCCUGUAAACCGAGCUCAUGUGCACCGUUUUCUAUCAAUGCUCAAGCAAAAGUACUCCUUUUUAACAAACAAAUCUAAAUUGCCACAAGGAUUCUUCUUUGUGCAAGGUUCAUUCCACAGCUGGAACCCGUUUACAGAUUCUAGUAAAGCAAACAAUAGCAAGAGCACAAUAUCCUCAUAACUUUAUGCAAUUCUAAGCUCUCAUCCUUGCUCCAAUCAUUUGCUUUCGUCGUUUGUCACCUCGCAAAAAGACAACGGUUGCAUUGUCAUUUGAAACAAAUUUUGCAUUUGGAGGUUGAUUGGGCAAUACGUGUGACAAAUGAUUCUAGUAAAAAUUUGAAUAUCAGUUUUGCUUUUCGGAUCUUCUUUUACAUGUACGUGCGGUAGGAAAUAGAAUUAUUUGGGAAAACAUUCUUUUUUAGAUGAUAACUUGUAUCACUUAAAAAAUGAAUGAAUGAAAAAUAUCACCUUCUUCCUCAAUAAAUUAUUGUUGGUAAUAAAAAUAUUUUUCAUUUAAUUAAUUAUUUUGAGCGAGCGAUCAAUUUUAGAAAAAAAAAUAUUCAAACCAUUCGUUUUUCAUGAAAUAAACGGAACCCUAAAUAUAGAUUGAGUGUAAAUUUUACAUAAUUGAGCUUCUGCUAUCAAUUUGAACUCAUUGUGUUGCUUUGGCGAUGAUAUGGAGAUGAAUCGUUGACAUAUUACUGUGCGUAGAUCGUUAGAUUAAAAUGUCAGCACUGCUUAUUCUGUGAAGCCUCUGUGUCUCCAGGUUUAAAUGUCUUCAUUGCUAAAAUUUAAAGAGUGAUACGAAUUCACCAAUGUCUCGGGUAACCCUCUUGCUCAUCCCAAGACUCUAUCCUGGAAAAACCAAGCUCACGUGUGCCUUUUUCUAUCAAUAUUCAAGCAAAAGCACUUAAAGUACUCCUAUUGAACUCAAAUCUAAAUUGCCUCAAGGAUUCUUCUUUAUCCAGGUUUCACAUCACAAGCUGAAACCCAUUUACAAAUUCUAGUAAAGCGACCAAUAACAAGGUUACAGUGUUUCUCAUAACCUAAUGCAAAACUAGGCUCUCAUCCGCGCUUCGAUCAUUUGCUGUGUUCGUUUGUCACCACACAAAUUGUCCGGACAACCUUGGUAUUGACAUUUGAGACACAAUUCGCAGUUGUAGGUUGACAGGACAACGACCGUAACAGAUGGUUCUCAUGGAAAGCAUUCUGCAGGUGGACCACGUAAAGAAACCGUGUCUUUACUAGCUUCACCUGCCUUAAGGGAUAUAAAUGCAUUCAGUUUUACUUAUGGGAUCUUCUUUCAUAUUUAUGCAGUAAUGUUAUCCGGAAUUUACAUAGUUAGAGGCAUUUAGAUCGCUUUGGAAAAUGAUUCAACGAAAAAUCUUUCUAUAGUCAAUGAAAAACACCUGUCUAAAAAUUCAGGAAAUUGAUUUUUUCUUUUUAAAAUAAAAAAUCAUUUUCCACAUUAUAACGAGACAUCUACACUUGACCAGAAACUUUGGCUCUUGAACACAGGAACCCAACACCCAUGCCUAGGUCCUUAAUGCUCACAAAGGUUGGGACUAGGGUCCCGAUGCCCGGACCCAUGACAACCAUGCCCUAGACCUUGACGUUCAUGCCCAAGGUCCCCACAGACCUUUCAAACAAGUGGGCAGGGUCAAGUUUGGGCCGGCUCUAGAUUGGAUCAUAAAUGGUCUUGCCUAAAUUGACUCAUUAACCUAUUUAUGACCAUUUAUUAGUAAUAUAAAUUUAUUGACCCAUACUCGACCUUACCCAACCCAACCCAUAUAAAAUACUUUCAUAUUUAAUCAAAUCUAAACAAAAAAAAAUUCUUAUGAUUUAAAAAAUAUAUAUUGUUAAAAUAUUUAUAUACAAUUAUAAAUUUAAUUGAUAAAUUUUACAAAAAAUAUGGUAUUUCUAAAAAUGAUAAUAUUUUUCGGUAUUUGGUUGAAACUUGAAAAUAAAUUAGAAAAUAUUUUUCACUUAGUAUAGAAAAUCUAAUUUGAUUUUCUAUCAAUUCCUUUUAACUAUUUUAUUUUUAGUUUUAUUUUUAUUUUUAUUUUUAUUUUUAUUUUUAUUUUAAAUAAUAUAAUAUUUUUUUAUAUUUUAUUUCAUUUUUCAUUUUUCAUUUUUCAUUUUUCAUUUUUCAUUUUUUUUUCUUUUUUUUUUCUUUUUCCUCCUUCUUCUCCCAGGCUAUGGAGGCCAUGGGCCAAUAACAAGCUAGCUCAAGCCUCACCACAAGCUAACAAGGCUUGAGCUUGCCCAAUUCUAACGAGCAGAUCCGAGCCAAGCUGAGCCAACCUCGGGUGAGGCUCUACCUUGUCAAAUCUGGCGAGGUUGUGCUCGCUCACAUUAGCGAUUAGGCACACUGGCAAGGGCCACAAGGCCCUCGCCCACCACCGCAAUGGUUGACCAUUGGAAAUCGUAGGGGGAAAAUGGUAAAAGAAAGAAAGAAAGAAAAAAUAAAAAUAGAAUAUUUAAAUAUCUAAAAAUUUUAAAAUUUUAAAAUAAUAAUAAUAAUAACUAUUCAGGAGAAUGAUAUCUCAUUAAUGGGUUAAACUCAACUAAUAACCUUUGUAAGUUAAAUUGACAACUCCAUUUACAAUCCAUGUAUCAUUAGAUUUACACACAACACAAACCCAUUGAUAACUAAUUUAUUAAAACUUAGUUAACCCAUAUCUGACCCAUCUCAUUUUAAAUGGGUACACUUUACACACAACCAUGCUCAUGUACUUAGCUUUGGGCCCAAGUCCAUUAAGGCCGUGAGAGGUUGCUCAACAAUCGAACUUGGGUCCACAAAUGCUGGGCCCAAGUUCCUUGAGGCUAGACAAAGAUCCCAAUUCCUAUGGCUAGGUACCUAGCUCCUAUGCUCAAGUCACUAACGCCCGACCUAAGUCCGUCAAACCUUGGAGUGAGACCCCAAUACUAUACCUAAUCCCUCGCCCAAGGCACUAACACCCUAGCCUAGGUCCAUAGAAGCCAAACUUGGGAUCCCAAUGCCUACGCCAAGUUCCCCAACAUCCAUGCUCAAGUACCUAAGACCUGCCAAUUCAUCAACGCCAUAGCCCAAGUCCAUCAAUGCCUAGGCCAAAGUCCAUGGAGGCCAAGCCCAUGACCCUAAUGCCUAUGCCUACAUCCCGAAUGGCCAUUCCCAAGUAUUCGUGUCACGCCCCGAAACUCGAGCGCACGCACAACCCUCGGUGGUCGAUAGAAUUUCGCAACGUUCCUAGGACUCGUUGCCGACCAUUUUCAUUUUAUUGUACAUGCGGAAGCGAAUUAACUAAUCCCUUGACAAUGACAAACAUGGGAUAGAAAAGCGGGACAACCAACUUCAAAUCAAAUACACUUUUAUAAAUAUUUCAAGCUUCUACAGAAGGUCUAUGUCAUAAAGAACUACUGUGUUACCUAUGCUCCUGACCCUUACGCUUCAAGCUCCUGGCUCUUCACACUAAGGACCUAAAAAUGGUUAUUCAAUAACCAGUGAGAUAUAAAUCUCAGCGAGUUUCACCCCUAAGCCCCGAUUAGUACACCAACUCAACUCAGGGUAUCUAUCCAGAACUACCCCACCACAAGCAACAACCAACAGUCGAUUCGCAUACAACCUUACCUGGUAUGCCAUACCAUGCACGUUGUAAUUUAGCAUGAUACACACAAUGCACAUGGCCAUUAGAUGAUACAUUUCAUCAAUUACAUACGAGUCGCAUCACAAGCGAUCUCACAUAGCCAUUGCCACACCCUACAUGUUAUCGAUUCAUGCAUGCGUACCAUAAACAAUGUUCUUAACUCAUGCAUGACCGAAAUCAAUAAUGCCAUGAUUCUCAUGCGUUCUUGCACAUUAGCACAGUUCAACAACAUCAUGCAUAUAUUCAAUGCAUACAACAAUUGAAACGUCUUAUCCACUCGAUUAAUCACAGGGGUCUCAACCCAAUCAACUCAAACAAUCAUGCGUUCCAAUUUUUAUUCACUGCCACUCAAGGGCAUAGUCUACUCGCAGUUCGGCUAUCUACUGACAUUAAUGCUAGGCAUCGUCUCCGCCCAUGGAGCACGGCUUCGUCACUACGUCGACGGCAUUCCCGAAGGAGCAUCGUCUCCCCCCCCCCUUGGAGCACGGCUUCGUCACUACAUCGACGGCACUCCCGAAUGAGCAUCGUCUCCCCCCCUUGGAGCAUGGCUUCGUCACUACGUCGACGGCAUUCCUGAAGGAGCAUCGGUCCAGUCGGCCCAACCUCUACUGCGACCGUCAUCCAUUGCGAGGGCAUCCCAUAUAGGAGCACAUCCAGUUCAACAGCCCGAGACGGUUUCCUCUUAACCAACACACGACAAUUCAAUAUCGGCCCAGGACACUUUGCAUUUCACUCAAAUGCCCCGAUUAAAAUAGUAAUCCUGGCCUCUUUCCUUCGUAUUAAAAACAUCUGAGAAAGUAGUCGUGCGUGGGCACGCAUUAAUUCAAACCAGAAAAAUGAUACUUUCCUUUGUCAAACCCCACUGUUCGAUAUAAUACUUAAAAUCCAUUUUCAGUGUCAAAACCUGACACCCGGGAUUUUCUGAAUGAAUACCAAAUUUCUAAUCACCACACAAUUGCACAAUCAUCACUCAAUUCAUAUAGAUGCCCAUGCAUUUUCACAUCCAUUUACUUUAUAGAAUCAACACAUAUGAAUUUUAUACACUUUUCGCAUUCUGGAUGAAUAGUGCACGUGAACAGCACUCGGUGAACAGUGUUUCGUGAACAGUAAAUCCUGAAUAGUGUCUCAUGAACAAUAAUUUUCUAGAAUUUAAUAAACUAUAAAUUAAAUUCAGAAAUCAUUAAAAGCAUUAAUUAAAGCAACCAUCAAUUAAUUAAAGCCAAGCAUACUUAAUUAACCACAUAAACCACAUUAAGCAAAUAAAGCAAGAUUAAGCUAGACUAAUCUAAUUCAUCCAUCUAACCACCUAUCUUAGGGCUAAUACAACUUAAUUAAAUCACUUAAACUAGAAUUAAAUCUAACUAAACCAACCCUAAGCAAGUUUAGGCACUAAUCGAAUUAUUAGGAGCUAAACUCACCCGUUAAGUGGGCAGGAAACACCGACGCGGCGGCGACGACGGAGGCGACGCUCUGGGACCUCUACCACGACGAUCCAAGGCAGUCACAAGCUCAACACAGCAACCACAGCUCAGACUCCCUUUGAAAUUCUGGAAAAACAGCACUGCUGGAGAAGAAACUGAGUUCAACGGCUUGACCGGAGCUCCGGCGAUGGGUUUGUCCAGCAACCAGUGGCUCCCGGGGGUCUUGGGAAUCUUGUUGGUGGUUGGGAUGGGUGGAGGAAGGACCGGAAUGGGAGAAAAAUGGCCAAAAACGCGAAACAAUGCAGGCUGCAGGCGGACCAAUGGACCGGCAACCGGUUCCUUCACGGCGGCGCCCAAGACGGACGGAGGCUCCGUUCGGCGUGAAGUUAGGCCCAUUGGAAUGGUAUGUUUCUCCUGGUCACGGUGAUAGGUGGCUCGUUGGCCGAUUCAUCCGGGAAGACCACUUUUGACUCGAUUCUUUGACGAAGGUUCAACUAGAGCAGAAACUAGAGGAGGGGGAGACCGAGGAGAGAGAGAGAGAGAAGCUUCGACCAGUUUGGGGCCGAAUGGGGGAGAGAUAGAGUGAUGGGAGGGCUAAGAGCACUCCUCAUUAAGGCCAUUCAAUGGCCACUUCAAGUCCCCAUGCAUGACAUCAUCAAUUUCUCUCUCCUCAUUUGCCCUUAUCCACUUGCUUUUGGGGGCAAAUAGUCAUUUCACUUUGCACCAAUUUACCAAUCUGACCUUGGGUUGAAAUUGGUGGAUGGGCCUAGAUUGGGCUUGGCCAUGAAUAGGAAUGGGCUUGGAAUUGGUUGGGCUGAAAUGGCCAAGAAUUGGCCCAUGGCUUAAAAGAUUAUAGUGGAUUGGGCCCAAUAGGCUCACUUGCUUGCUUUGAGCCCAUCAUGGGCUGUCCCACCUUGGGCCUAAGGCCCACACUGACUUGGCCCGGCCCAUGUCUUCAUGGACUCGCUUCCUUGGUACGAAAAUCCCAUUUCCAACUACUCGGCUUAACUGACGCUGUCGACUAUUUGAAGUAGCUUCAUCCAAAGUCUGAUCCGGACAUUCCCGACAAUUCGAAGCUCAAUCCUAAGUUCUCUUGCCAUGUCAAUUUCGCCAAAUGCCAUUUUGGUAACAACUCAGACUGACGAGUGGCUUUGAGAAUUCACGCGUGACCAACUCGUGCCAAACCACAGUCAAGAUAUCUCGACGCAUGGAUAUCCUUGACUAUAUGAAAUUACAGAAGAUAGAUUCUUAUUCCAAAGUACAUGAUUACUGAUGAUCGACAUAAGGUCAUUCGUGGAUUCAAUAACAGUAAAUGGAACCACCCGUCAUUCCAUUAUCUUAUGUCCACGAAUCGACUUUUAGUCGUCCUUAGAAUCAGCUUGCUUAUCUACAGGAUCAUCCUCACACAAAUCUCAUGGUCAAGUCAUUUUCCGAGGUCGAGUCCUUUAGUCGUACAGGUUCUGUCCUCAUUAGCAUUUCCCCUCAAGGUCAGUAUCUCAGGAGUAAUCAAUUCCGAGUGAGAUCAACCAAUAAUGCAUUGACGAAAUUCACAUCCAUUCAUUCCUCAGAGGACUCGAAUUUCAGGAUGUCUCAAUUCAUCUCCCGUGUCAAAGUCACCAACCCUCGAGCCCAAGUCCAAGAUGUUGAACUCAAGACCUAGGUGCUUGUGCCUAAGUACUCAACUCGCACACCCAAGUCACUAGCGCUCAGCCCCAAGUCCACUCACAACGGCCAAGCUCAACCCUUUGGUGCCCAUGCCCAUGCUCAAGUACUCGACUCUUGCACCCAAGUCACCAGUGCGUGAGCUUGAUUCCUCAAUAGGUCGACCGACCAAUCCCAAGUCCUUUAAGACUUGGCCCAAGACCUUGGUCCCACACUUGAGUUACCAAAGAACAAGGCUAGUAGUCCUAUUAAGGUCAGGCUUGAGAACUCAAUGACCAUGUUGAAGUCCCCAGUGGCUAUGCCUAAGACUCUGAACCAAUACCUAGGUCUAAGGGUGAGCAUGGUUCAGGUUAAGCCAAUCCACCCCCUAACCCUAGAACCAACCCGCAUAGUGUGAUAUCCUGAAUUUUCAAAUGUUAUUUUCGAUUAAAUGAAUUGGGCCUUUCAUCGACGUGCUUAUAGUGCCAUUCUCUGAGCUAAUUACUCAUAAGAUAACUAGACUAUCGGGGGAAGCCAUUAAGAGAUUUUAACACAAUAGACUUGAGAAUUCGACCACGAAUCGAUUACAUAGCCGUGUUUAUUCAAUAGUUGGCCCUCCAUUUUCGGUACCUGCCAAUACACAGCAAUGUGAAUUUUUUACAUUUAGACGGUCAGCUCUACUUCCAAUUUGCUCCACACUCUAAUACAAAAUCAAAGAGAUUCCUCAGAAGGGGAAAAGGUAGAUUUUAAGUGUGAUAUGACAAUGACACAUACAGGUUGGCCAGAAAAAAAAAAAAAAAAAAAAAAAAAAAAAAAGAUAAGCAACACAUACAGCACAUGCCUAUCAGAGAAAAUCUAUAUCCUCAUUUCUAUCAAGACUCCUUGAGUAAAAUUGUCUCGUGGCUAAUUCUUAAGGUACAAGCCAGAGAAAUCCUAAAACAGAAAAUGCACAAGAGCCUGUUUACAAAUAAGAAAAACCGUCCGAAAGCAAUAACAAAUUUGAUCUGGCAACAAGAAUGAAUAUGCAUGAUAGCAAAGACCAGCAGAAGGCUAACAUGAAAAAUCCAUUUACCUCUUCCCUAGAGACAUAUACUACUGGAGCCGAUCUCCCAAGAUCAUGCCCUUUAGCAAUCAUUGCAGCCAUCUUCCAGUAUUAAUAUAUGAGAUGGACAAGGUAGGGCACAAUGGUUAGACAGGGAGGUAGAUAUAUACAGAACUUAAAAUAUUUUAUGAAUUUCUAUUGUAUCAUCUAAGUACAUUACCGCAACAACAGGGUACUCUUGCCAACACCAGGAUCACCUCCCACCAAAAUUAAGGAACCUUUAGAGCCACAAUGCAGCAAAAUCAAUAGCUUUGAUAAAAUUAAAAUCUUCAAACUUCCAUACAUCUCAAGUGAAAGUUCAAGUAAUGCAGCAGAUUGGUGCGGACCAUACAACAAAAAAGUAGGUCAAACCUGGCACAAGACCACCGCCUAGCACUCUCGAAACCUCCUCUCCAAAGGGUCCAUACCUAAACAUCAAGUACCCCAAGAGAUCAUUUACUUUAAGGAAUUAGGGCGACAUGCCAUCUGAUUCAUCGAGCCGCGAGCGAGGUUCACGAAGCCCGGCCACCGGCACUUCGCCAUCGAAUCGUUCGUCGCCAGAUCGAUCUUCGAGGGAGGUCCGGCAACGGCGGCGAAGACACGAGUCUCACGGCACCAACGGUGGCACAGAUAGUGCGGUGAAGACGGCGGCAGUCGCGGCUCAACCCACGGCCAAGGGGGGAAAAGCUUGAUUCUGGUGGAGGCAGUGGUGGUGGUGGUUCGAAGCAACGACAGCCCGGACGGCAGAGCAAGCGGUGGCAAGAGGUGGUGAUGGUGGCUUGGAGACGAUGGCAGCGGCUCACGGAGGCAAGGGGUAACGCGGACGGCGCGACAACUCGUCAGGCUCAACGACGAGACAGCUUGUCGGACGAGUGGUGGGUGGUGGUGGUUCGGUGGCCAAGAGAUGGCGGUGAGUAGAGUAUGGGGCGGCGGUGUGGUGGUGGGUGAAGCAGCAGCCAGCAAGAGGAAGAAGAAGCACAAGACGAAGAAGAAGAAGAAGAAGAAGAGGUGGGGUUUCGGUCGAGAGAGGGGAAAAGAGGAGAGAGAGAGAGAGAGAGAAGAAAAGAAAAAAGUUGGGGGGGCAGGAAGUGAUGUGAGGAGUGAAAAGUGGAGAAAAGAAAGAGAGAGAGAGGAAGGGGGGAAGAAUCGCAGAGGCGAGAAAUCACGUGGGGAAAGCUAGCUUCUUUUUUUUUUUUUAGAAUUAUGACCGAAACCGAGAACACCGGUUCCUAGAAAAAUGGAACCGGGAACAGGAACCGGUGUCUUUGGAACCGGGAACCAAACCUAACCCUCCGGUUCGGUUCCCCGGUUCCCGAUUCUACCCGGGAACCGUGCUCACCCCUAAGUGCUAGCUCUUUAUCAUCCAUGUCAUCUUCAGAAUUUGUAUCAUUAGAAUUAUCGUUAGAUUUUAUAGUAAUUGACUUCUUACCUUUGAGAUCUUCUUCUUCAUUGAGUUGCUCCACUUCGUAAGAUUGAAGUGUGCCUACAAGAUCAUCAACUAUAAGAGGCAUGAUCCUUUGGGUUUCUCUUGUGGAAGUCUUCACGUGAUUCCAAUCUUUGAAGAGUCAACGCAGCAGUUUAUUGACCUUCAUUGGUCCUGAGAUUGGAUGUCCCUGAUAUGGUAGACCAUUCACAAUUUAUGUGAAACGACUAAAUAUGUCAGUAAUGAAUUCUCCUAGUUUCAUCUUGAAAACUUCAUACUAUCUGAACAAGAUAUUAAUUUUUGUUUCUUUAACUCGAUUAGUUCCUUCAUAGGUAACAUACAACCUAUCCCAAACUUCUUUGGCUAUUUCAUAAGAUGAAAUUCUAUUAUACUCAGUAAGAGAUAAAGAAUAGUAAAAAGAGUAGAUUGCUUUAGCAUCAAGAGCUUAUCUCUUGGUUAUUUCUUCUUGUGCCAUUUCGCCAGCUUCUACAACUUAUUUUCCUCUUUCUGAGACUGAUGUAGCUUUAGAAAUAAUUCAUUUUUCUACCGCAUCUCAUUCCAUGGAAUCUUUCGAUCUUAGGAAUGCAUUCAUCUUAUUUUUCCAAACAUUGUGUUCCUUUCCAUUAAAGUAAGGAGGUCUGGUGUUGCUUUGACCUCCAACCAAACCUGGAGCCAAAAUACUAGCCAUAGAUUUUUAGCUCAUAAGUAAAAACACUUCAAUAAAACGGGCACACAAUCUCUCAUGCCAAUUGAAAGAGUUAGUAAGAUCACCUAGAUGGGGUGAAUAGGUGAUAAUGUAAUUUUUACGAAACUUCAAAAUAAUUUGCAAGCAACAUGAACAGCAAUGAACAGUUAUAUGAAGUUGUAAAUUAAAGUAAGGAGUUUAGGGAUAAGAGAACGAAAACAUAAUGUUUAGAGUGGUUCGGCUUAGAUCAAGCCUACGUCCACUCUCCCGUGCUGACAACCCACUGGCUGGAUUUCACUAAGAAUCAAAAGAGAUGUUACGGUCACACGUCUUGGACUUUAUAGUGUAGAGACUCUACUGCACUUUCUCAAAGUCUCACAAGUAUUUUAUCUCUCUUUUGAGUACAAGUAAAGCUCAACUAUUGAUAUAUCAAAGAACUAAGAAGUUUCGGAUUUUGAAAUUUUUCUCACACUCACGAAUAACCAAAGAGUCAUCCUUAAAUACUCCUCCGUGCCUUUACAACCAUUGGCACUUACCAAAGGAGUUCUUUCAAUCUUCUCGUUGGACAUAAUCAAUUAAUGAUAUCUUGAGUCGUUUAAGGAAUGUGAUGAUAGCCCAUCGAUCAUGUUCACCCAUACAAUUAGGAUCUUAGUUUCCAUAAGUAGAACUUUUCAAGUAUACUUCCCCAUUCAAAAGAUUUGCGUAUCGAAAUUGAUCCAACAAAUAUAAGUAGAUGCUAUAUCCAGCCAUAAGGUCUUUCCAAAAUCAUACAAACCGAAUCCCUUGAAGAUAAAUUCGCAUUUGAUUAAGUCUUCAAUCUUUGGUUUGGAAACUGUCAAUGAGGGCAGACUUUGAGUCUUGAGUCUGGCGGUCUUCAGACUUUGACGACAGAGUCUGGAAAUCUUCAAACUAGACUAAUGAAAACAUUUUGUCAACUUCAAAACAAUAAAGGAGUUUUCUCCAACACAUCCCAAACAUCCAUUAGGAUUGACGGUAAAGUGAGCCUAAUUCUACUUGUAGAUUGCAAGAUUAAUAUGUAUCUGUCGUACUCUCACAUCUAGAUCUUAGCUUGCUCAAACAUCUCUUUGUUACCAGUUCUCAAUGAUGAAACUUGGGUUUUUUUUUUUUUGGCUUUUCUGUGCUUAUUUUUUUAAUCUCGAUGGUGCCAACAAAAGUAUAAUUUUUGUCUUUGGUUUCUAUCUAUUUUGGCAUAAACAAAACAAGCACUAGGAAAAUAUUAGGCAACAACGUAGGCUAUUAAGCAAUACAAACACUUUCUAACACAAACAAUCACCCCAUGAGCAACAAUCUGAAGAAUGACAAGGGCCAAUUCCACCUUUAUUCUCCCUCUCACUAAAUGAGACUAUUCAAAACUCCGAACAAUCUUAAUUUUGAGAUAAGUGGUCUAUAAAAUUUGAUCCUAUGUGUAAUGUCCUACCAAUACUUUUAAGGUGUAUUUGGUUCAGUAUUCCAUAUGAACUUUCAGCCUCCAAAGCCUCUUAGGGAAAUAUUGGACCAUUUGAUAACCAUUUUGAACAAGCUUUCAAGUGAAAAUCAGCAUUAGGAAAACUGAAAACCCAAUACUAGUAGGGACUAGUAUUGAGCUUUCAGCAUUUGAUCAAAUGCUUAAACUUAUUUCUUUUUCCAAAACUAUCAUCACUCAUUUUUCAAAUUCUUUAUUUUUCCCUUGUUAUUAUUAUUUUUAAAUAUCCAAAUAAUGCUAAAAAAAACAAAUUUACAUAAAUGCUAAAAAAAUUAAAUAUAUUUUGGUCUUUUUAAAAAAAUAUUUUGUAUAUUUGAUUUUUUUAGCAUUAUUGUCUAAAUUUAUAUUUAAAAAGUUGCAUAUAUUAUUUUUUUCAAUUUUAAAAAAAUUAAAAUUAAAAAAUUCCGAAGAAGGGUUUGUUUGUUUUUUUUAAAUUAUAUGUGUGUGUGUGUGUGUGUGUGUGUGUGUGUGUGUGUGUGUGUGUAUUUGAUUUUUUAGCAUUAUUUUCAAAUUUAUAUUUAAAAAUUUACAUAUAUUAUUUUUUCAAUUUUAAAAAAUAAAAAUUAAAAAAUUUUGACGACGGAUUUGGUUUUUUUUUUCAAAUUGUAUAUAUGUAUUUGAUUUUUUUAGUAUUAUUGUCCAAAUUUAUAUUUAAAAAGUUGUAUACAUUAUUUUUUUCAAUUUUAAAAAAUAAAAAUUAAAAAAUUCCAAUGAAGGGUUGGUCCUUUUUUUAAUAUAUAUAUGUAUUUGAUUUUUUAGCAUUAUUUUCAAAUUUAUAUUUAAAAAGUUGCAUACAUUAUUUGUUCAAUUUUAAACAAGUAAAAAUUAAAAAAUUCCGACGAAGGAUUUGAUCUUUUAAACAAAAAUUAUAUAUUUGUAUUUGAUUUUUUUUAGCAUUAUUGUCAAAAUUUAUAUUUAAAAAGUUACAUACAUUAUUUUUUUCCAAUUUUAAGCAAAUAAAAAUGGAAAAAUUCCGAUGAAGUGUUUGGUAUUUUAAAAAAAAUUAUAUAUGUAUUUAAUUUUUUUACUAUUAUUGUCAAAAUUUAUAUUUAAAAAUUUGCAUAAAUUAUUUUUUUUCAAUUUUAAACAAAUGAAAUUAAAAAAAUAAUAUUAAUCACCUAAAGGGCUUUUCAAAUGUGUUUUCUACCAAAGGGUAUUUCUUUCAAAGUUGCUUCUCAAAGCAUAGUUUACCAAACAACAUUUAUAUUUGCCUAAAGUCCUUUAGGCUAACCCACUUUGCAUUUUCUCAAUGGGUUUUCAAAAUGCUGAACCAAACGCACCUUUAAUUUGUUCAAUGUAAUCCAUGAACUUUAACCCAGUGUGUACUAUCAUCCCUAAACUUUUAAAUUAAUUCAAUGUGAUUCAUGAACUUUUAAUACACAUUCAAUCUAGUCCAUAAAUUAUAUAAAAAAAUUUUAAUAUUGUCAUUCCGUUAAUUCAAGUUCAUAGACAAUAUUGAACUUUUCUCUAUAGUUUAGGGACUUGAUUAAAUAUGUACAAAAAAUUUAGAUACGCAUUGAAUAAAUUAAAGGUUUAGGGAUAACUAUAGCCCAUUGAGCUAAAGUUCAUAGACUAUUUAUGUAUUUAUCCCUUUUUGCAAAGCAUUACACGAUAUAAAUUACAUUCCUCAUGCAGAUUAUGCAUUCAACUUGAAAACAAUGCUAAUAUUGCAAACAACCAAGUCCAUCCCAAAGCAAUUAUUGAGCGAAAGGAAGGGGCUAAAUGAGCAACUAGUCUUUGAUUUCAACCCUCGAUUCGUAACCUUUCAUCAACUUGUUUGGGAUACAUUUCCCUAGAACGAAGGGAAUGACCUCAAACGGUCUUAUGAACCACAUAACCCCUUCAUCUUAUCUUCGGACUUUUUGUAAAGGAGACCAUUGUUGUGACCUAAAUUUCGAGUGCACCACCUAAAAUUAGGUUAAUGGACUACUAAGUCUGACUUAGCUCAGGCUCUCUCAAGCCCAUACCAAUUCGCGACUUAGGUUCAAAUAUUUAGCAUGCAAAAAGGAGUCGCCACUAAUCAAUUUAGUAUAAGUCGAUUAGACACCAAGUAAAAUAAUUAGAGAAUUAUUUUACUUCUAUAAACUAGAGACUUUGGGUACGGGGAUUUGGUUACACUAAACUUUUCUAAUGCCCUUUCAGUACAUUUUUUCUUUUUAUUUCGAAAAAAUGUUUUGCAAGCAAAUUGAAUUAAUUUUAAUUCACUUCCCUAACAUAUGAGGUGAUCAUGCAGGUGUGCAAAUCACCAAUUUAACACCUAAGAAAGCAAAUAAAAAAAUGCAAUGUUGUUAGAUCAGAAUUCACAUCAACAGUCCUAGAUAUUAUUUCUAAUUAAUACGCAAUCACUCAAUUUUUGUUUUUACUUAUUUAAUGAGAAUCUGAUCUAUAUGCAAUGCAAUGUUACUAAUCUAAUAUGAAAUGAUAUGGCAUGGCAAUAUAACCUAAGCUAUAUGACAUAAGUAAAGCAAUUUCUAAAGAAAUGCAAUAAUUAAAUGUGCAAUCUAAAUUAACCAAAUGACCUAAUUCUAAUGACGGCCAAUUUCUAAUCAAAUGGACCUAGCAACAAUUUCAUGAACCUAAUUCUAGAUGACAUAUGCAUGAUUUUUUUUUUUUGUAUUUUUAUAAAAAUUCGAAAUUAAAAAUUGAUAAAAAUAAAAAUCUACCUAAAGCAAGAUAUUAUCUAAUUUAAGUUAGGAUUAUGAAUCCUAUCUUAACUUAGAAAAUUAUCUCAUCAUGCAAUUUAAUCCAAAAAAAAAAUUAUCUAACCUAGAUACUACAUGCAUUUAAAAAAAAACUAUUCUACCAUGCAACUUUAUCUAGGAAAUCAAUUCUAAUCAACAUGAUAUGCAAAUGCAAUUUUUUUUUGUAUUUUUGAAAUAAAUAAAAUAAUUAAAAGAUAAACACCAAAUCAUCCAUGGUCAUCAAAAAUAUUAUCCAUUGUUCGAAUUUGGAAACGAUAUUGAUUGUUUCCCUAAUAAAAUCGAUAAAUUGAUUUUAAGUCUUAAAGAUCAAGAUAUCAAUUUUAUUCCCGCGCAAUUAAUUAUUCCAUCUACAGUCUUAUAGAUGGAAGAAAAAAAUUGAUGUGCGGUUGCCGAUUAGGCCAUAAAUCAUAAUUAGGAAUACGCCGAUAAUUCAAAUAUGCACAUAAGAAAUUGAAAAGCAUAUAUUAGGCAAUAAAAUAUCCUAAUCAAAUUUAGAUAAGAUAAUUGCCUAAUUUCGUAAAUAAUGUUACCAAAUUUGAAUCAAAUGGAAUCCACUCAACGGAUGACUUGGCGAUCAGCUUCUCGGCAGCGUCAACGGUGAUGGUUCAUGGAUGAUUUGCAAGAUCACAUAGGGACUCAUGGCUCGGGACUAGAACAGCUUCAUCAUCAAUGAUGCAUGAUGAUGGGUCCCUGAUUUGCGACUUGAUCACGCUUCAGGGACGGCGUGACGAAGGGCCUGGUUCACGGGGGUGCAGCAGGCAAAGGGUUCCGUGCGGGUCACAGACAGCGGUGGUUCAAUGACAGGCUGUUGGUCGUCUCGGCGGGCCUUCUCCUUUGGCACUUUCUGCAUGUUGAAAUCGUCUCCGAGGGUGUAGGGAAGCUCUCUCCUCUAUCUCCAAGUUUUCCUCCUUUGGCCUUUUCUUUUUUAUUUGCAGGACAUGCGGAUAAGGUGUCCAUGAACGUGGAUCUUCACAGUGGUCAAGAAAAGCUCAUGAAGACUUCAUGAAUCAUAACUUUCGAAUGUGUUGGGCUUCUCAAUCGUGAAUUGUGUAUUCCUCUGAGAAGGAAAAUCCUCCCUUUCGUCUUUUUUUUAUUCUUUUCCCUCUAACUUUCUCUCUCUCCCUUCUGCUCACGUCCUCACCUUAUCAGAAUGAGGACAAAGUCCAUUGUUGACCUUGAAUUGGGUUUUGCGGACACGAACUGGAACACAGGGCGGGUAGGGACGCGGUGCUCCUCGCUGGACAGCGGGGCUCGCUGGACGGGACUUGCGGGCGUCACUGGAUGACCAGUGGACUGAAAAUCAUUAGAAUUGCUGUGGGGUCUUGCUUGGAGGCUGCGAAGGUCGUCGAAGACUGAUGUGUCACUGCAGCGGACAAUCGGCAGCAGGGUUAGCAUUGAGGGGCAGCCACGAACUCAGCAAAGUCACGGCCGUGAAGCGGUCUCGACCAUGACUCCUUCAGCUCCCUCUCUUUCACGUAUGUUUUCUAUAUUGUGGCCGUAUAGUCAAUGUGUGGCUCCCCCAAAAACCCUAGGUGUUUUACCUUUUUAUAGGCCAUAGAUUAGGGUUUUAAUUUUUCCAAAUCAAUAUCUACGAAGAUUUCUUUUCCGAACAUAAUAUUUUUUUUUUUUUGAUACAAUUCAGGAUUACAAGAGGAUUUUUCUAAAAUUUCAAAUCCUACAAAGUUGAGCUCGCAAUAUUUUUUGUCACGCUUGCCCUAUCCGAAGAUAUUAAAAAAAAAAAUCCCCCAACAUAUCCCGGAAAAAUUCAAAAUAUCUAUUUUUCACGAGAUAAUUUUCGACCAUUAAAAAAAAGGGGCUUGGGCCAAUUUGCUCACUUUGUGGGCUUAACCUGGCCUGUCAAUUUAAAGCUAAGAACAAUCAAUUCAAACCCAUUCAUCACCAGCCCAAUGCAAAUGUAAUAAUAAUAAAUAAAUACAUCUAAAAUUAUAUAUUAUACAAUUAAUUAAUUUUUUUGUAGGGGUAAAAUUUGUUGGAGAAAUCUUCGUGAAGUGUUUUGAAGCUGACAAAACGUUUCCAUCAGUCUAGUUUGAAGAUUUGCAGACUCUACUAUUUAAAGUCUGAAGACCUCCGGACUGCCAGACUUAAGACUCAAAGUCUAUCCUCAUUGACAGUUUAUAAUCCGUUGAAGAAGGUCUAUCCAGAACUGGAUGUUUCAUUAAAGGAUGGACCUUAUCGACUGGAGAAGAUCUCUUGGCUGAAUAUGACAUAAACGGAAUCUUUUAUUUGAUCAUGAUUGAUUCGAAGGUUAAGGAUCCGAUGAUUGGCGAAGUAUACUUGAAAGGUUCUACUUAUGGAAAUCAAGAUCCUGAUUGUAUGGGCGAGCAGAAUUGAUGGGCUAUUGACAUGUUCCUUUAAUAGCUCGAAUGAUCUUCCUAAUUGAUUACGUCCAACGGGUAGAUUUGAGGAAUUCCUUUGAUAAGUGCCAACGGGUAUGAUGGCAUAAAGGAGUAUAUAAGGAAGACAUUCCAGUUGUUCGAGUGUGUGCUCGAUAGAAGAAUUCUAAAUUCUGAAGCUCCUUGUUCUUAGUCAACUCAUUUAUAGAGCGAAAUCUUGUAUGCAAAAGAGAGUCUAUAUGCGUGAGAAACCUUGAGGAAGUGUGGUAGAAUAUCUACACUGUGGAAUCAAUAGAGAGCUUUGCUGUAACAUCUCUUUUGUUCAUAGUGAAAUCUAGCCGGUAGGCUGUCAGUGCGGAAGAGUGGACGUAGGCUUGGAAUAAGCUGAACCACUAUAAACCUUGUGUUCAAUUUUCUCUUCCCUACUCUCUGUUUUACUUUGAUCGUAAUUCGUUUUGUUAACCAAAUGAGAACUUCCUUUCUAUUGUCUGCUUAAUAUUGCUUGCAUAUCACGAAAAAUUAUUAUACACCUAUUCACCUCCCCUCUAGGUGCUUAUACUAGCUAUCUCAAAAUUAACCCCUGAUUUUUUAAUGCGAUAAACAACUAAACGAGUCACCAAAAUUUAGGUGUCAACAACCAUCACAUGUUGCUAUAUGACUUUUUGUAAAUAAGCAACAAAAGUCUUCGAUUUUGACCCCCAAUUUGUAAUCUUCCAUCAACUUGUUUGUUGCUGUCAUAAUUUAUGAAUGUAUACAUUUCCCUAGAAGGAAGGGAAUGGCCUCAAACGGUCUUAUGAACCACAUAAACCCUUCAUCUUAUCUUCCUAUAGGGGGGCCUUUUGUGAAGGGGACCAUCACGUGUUGCUACAUGACCUUUUGUAAAUGAGCAAUCAAAGUCUUCGAUUACGAUCCCUGAUUCGUAACCUUCCAUCAACUUGUUUCCUACUGUCACAACUUAUGAAUGGAUACAUUUUCCUAGAAAGAAGGGAAUAACCUCAAACGGUCUUAUGAACCACAAAAGCCCUUCAUCUUAUCUUCCUACAUAAGGACCUUUUGUGAAGGAGAUCAUCACAUGUUGCUAUAUGACUUUUUGAAAAUGAGCAACAAAAGUCUUCGAUCUUUGACCCCUGAUUUGUAACCUUUCAUCAACUUGUUUGAUGCGGUCAUUUCCCUAGAAGGAAGGGAAUGACCUCAAACGGUCUUAUGAACAUAAGUCCUUCAUCUUAUCUUCCUAUAGGGGGACCUUUUGUGAAGGGGAUCAUCACAUGUUGCUACAUGACCUUUUGUAAAUGAGCAAUCAAAGUCUUCGAUUACGACCCAUGAUUCGUAACCUUUCAUCAACUUGUUUCCUGCUGUCACAACUUAUGAAUGGAUACAUUUCCCUAGAACAAAGGGAAUAACCUCAAACGGUCUUAUGAAUCACAGAAGCCCUUCAUCUUAUCCUCCUACGGAAGGACCUUUUGUGAAGGGAACCAUCACAUGCUGCUAAAUGACACCCUUUGGUUUGCAAGUUUUUGGACUAAUUGUUGACUCAAAGUCUUUCAUGCAAAUGCAGAUCUAUUUGUCAAUUUUGGCAGGAAGAUUUUCCUUAUGUUCCCCAAGAGUUAACCCUAUACGGCACUGCACAAAGUCAUUUUCAUGCACCUAAAGAUUCAAGUGCAUUGCCUGUGUCGCAUUGUCCGUGUCUUGUGUGUUUUAUCUCCAGCAAAGUCAUUGAUUUUGAUGCAUCGAAGUGUGCGGCACACUUGCCUUCCCCUGUGCACCAAGCGCCCUACAUCCCUAGUAGCAUUGCUCUGAACACACGCAGGAAAGAAAAUUUGAGAACAAAAAUAGAAUUUAACCUACCCAAUAACGUUGAUCGCACAUCUACUUAGAAUCUCUUUAUACAUGAAAGAAUUAUGUUUUAAUGUCGUCAGGUCUUUUAUUUUCAAUAUAUCGUUAGAGAUUUAUUACCAGAUAUGCAUAAGAACAAGUGAUUUGCUUGGAUAUUAUUACAAAAAUAAAUAAAUCUACUAUUUAUUGCUUAGUGAUUGGGGAUUUGUUACCAAAUUAAGCAUAAAAGCAGAGAUUUGCUAGUAUAAGAGACUUUACAAAGCGAACAAAAAAAUAAUGGCUAUGCAAAACUCACACUUCAGAGUGCCAUGUGGGACUCUGUCAAGCCUUCACUUUCAUAGACCUUUUUCCCCUUGUCACAACUUGUGGAUGGAUACAUUUGCCUAUGAUGGAGGGAAUGACCUCUAACUCUCUAUUAACCAUGCAGAUUCUUCAUCUUGUCUUCUCAAUGAGAUACUUUUUGUAAAGGUGGCCAUCUUACUAACUGCUGACCCAAGUCUUCCAUGCAAAUACAAAUCUAUUGGCUGAAUUUUCAGUCAAUCAACCAUUUGUUUAUUCGGCCUGAAGUGUUUUCUUAUGUUCCCCGGUAGCUACACGUUACGGCACUGCACAAGUCAUGCUAUCAUGCGCUAAAAUAUUAAUAUGCAUUGCCCAUAUUAUGCGGGAUGCUCUUACCCCCUAUGCACCAAGCACCGCCUAUAAAAUCUACUUCCCCGGUAGCAUUGCACUGCACAAAGUCAGAAAGACACAUUUGAGAAUAAGAUAGAAAUCCAUAAAAUUUGUUGGGUAAUCUAAUUACAAUCGCUAUACGAAACAAGAAAACUAAUGUUUUUUUAAAUGUUUAUCACCAAAAAUGCAUCUCUUUUAUUUCUCAUAUAUGGAUUAGAGAUUUAUAACCGAAAUAUGCAUAAGAAUUUAUGGUGCCAACAACAAAGUUAUUUUGUUUCGGAAUAUACAUAGAACAAGCAGUAAGAAAAUAUUAAGCAACAAUACAAAUGUCUAAUUGCUUAUACACAAUCAUCUUUUAUGCUUAGUUAAGACAAAACUUCGUGUAUUGCAAGAAAAAAAUAUGGUAUCGCAUACACAAUCGCAAACAGUUUGCUCUGGUUCUACUCAACUAGGCGAUAUGAACAGAACGGCUAAGCCCAAGGAAAAGUAGAUGCGUCAUUGAAUUGCCUGUGGAUGAUUUAUCUUCAACGUGUCUAUUUGAGUUUAAUUAAUCUUGACACGAAGUUAAGACUUAUUGAGCAAGAAGAAAUGCAUGAGUGCCUAUUUUGUUCCUCGAAUUACGUUCAAAAGAUUUAAGACAUCUCAAGUUUUUUUCCCUUUGAUCACGGCAAUGCAAGCUUGGUUGCGCCUUUGUCGAGAUGCCCGGAUUUCCGUUCAGGUACUUUAUCUGGUUUUUAAUUCUAUUUGUAGUGAGAUCAAGUAAGAAAUACCGAAGGGUCACUACCUUAAGUACAAAUUUUAGAGGCUUAAUUCACGUUCGUCCAGUUAAGUAUUAUAGCCUAUGACUGGAUCGCCACUGAUGAGGUCUUUAGUGCUAUAAGAGGUUUAACUCCACGUAUCAUUAGUAUUAUAGUCUGAAAAACUCGUGUUUUAUUCAUCGGCAAAUGGGGACCUCCUUUGCAGUGUGGUAAUGCUUGUAGAUGCCAAGAAGACUGAAAGACAGGAUCUCAAGAAGGUUGAGGCGUCCAUGCAUCCAUGUUCUCAGAAUUUUUACCCCGAGGCCGGGCUAGAGAUUGGUGCCCGGGCCUGGGUUUCUGGCGCCCGAACUUGGGACCAGGGUUGCACUCGAGACUUUUCUCAAAUGUGAAUUUCAUUAUUUUCCUACAACAAACGGAUUUCCAUAUUAUUUGCAAACUACAACCAAACAUACUUUGAAAUUAAGUUCUUUUCUAGAUAUCAGUACAUUGUCUGCUUUCUAUUAUUUUCGGCAUAAACAAACCAAGCAAUGGGAAAAUAUUAGGCAACGAUGUUAGGCUAAUGCAUAAUCCAAAUGCCUGUGAUUGUUUGGGAGCAACAAUCUACACAAGACAACGGCCAAUUCCGCCUCUCUCUCUCUCUCUCUUGAUAAGGGAGACUGUUCCAAAUUUUGAACAAUCUUAAUUUCUCUAAAAGCAUUAUACAAUAGAAAGUACAUUCCUUAUUAGUAACCAAAGGAAAUAUUCGCCGAUUUGAAUUUGAAGUGAAAAUAGCACUAAUGUUGCAAACAAAAUGGUCACACCCAAAGCAACUACUGGGUGAAUGAAACGGGCCAAAUAAGCAACCAAACUUUCAAUUUCGCCUAUGAUGGAGGGAAUGACCUCUAACUCUCUAUUAACCUUGCAGAUUCUUCAUCGUCUUCUCAGUGAGAUACUUUUUGUAAAGGGGGCCACCUUACUGUUGCUAUAUGACCCCUUGAUUUGCCAUUUUUGGCCCAACUGCUGACCAAGUCUUCCAUGCAAAUACAAAUCCAUUGGCUGAAUUUUCUGUCAAUCAACCAUUUGCUUAUUCAGCCUGAAGUGUUUUCUUAUGUUCCCCGGUAGCUACACGUUACGGCACUGCACAAGCCAUGCUGUCAUGCACUAAAAUAAACCAAAGUCUUUUUUCCCGUUGUCACAACUUGUGGAUGGAUACAUUUGCCUAUGAUGGAGGGAAUGACCUCUAACUCUCUAUUAACCAUGCAGAUUCUUCAUCUUAUCUUCUCAGUGAGAUACUUUUUGUAAAGGGAGCCAUCUUACUAUUGCUAUAUGACCCCUCGAUUUGACAUUUUUGGCCUAACUGCUGACUCAAGUCUUCCAUGCAAAUACAAAUCUAUUGGCUGAAUUUUCAGUCAAUCAACCAUUUGUUUAUUCGGCCUGAAAGUGUUUUCUUAUGUUCCCCGGUAGCUACACGUUAUGGCACUGCACAAGUCAUGCUGCCAUGCACUAAAAUAUUCAUAUGCAUUACCCGUAUUUUGCGUCUUUUGUCACUAGCAAAGUCAUUGAUUUUGAUGCAUCAUAGCGUGCUAUGCGGGAUGCUCUUACCCCUAUGCACCAAGCACCGCCUAUAAAAUCUACUUCCCCGGUAGCAUUGCACUGCACAAAGUCAGAAAGACACAUUUGAAUAAAAUAGAAGUCUGCCUUAAAAUUUGUUGGGUCAUCUAAUUACAAUCGCUAUACGAAACAAGAAAACUAAUGUUUUUUUAAAUGUUUAUCACCAAAAAUGUAUAUCUCUUUUAUUUCUCAUACAUGGAUUAGAGAUUUAUAAACGAAGUAUGCAUAAGAAUUGAUGGUGCCAACAACAAUGUUAUUUUGUUUCCGUUUUCCAUUUGUUUCGGAAUAUACAUAGAACAAGCAAUAAGAAAAUAUUAAGCAACGAUACAAAUGUCUAAUUGCUCAUAGAUAAUUGUCUUUAUUCUACCUCUAAUAUCACUCUCAAUAAGUAAGACGGUUCAAAACUCUUAGCUGUCAUAGUUUCUCUAAACGCAUUACAUAACAUAAAGUUAUAUUCCUCAUCAGUGACCAAGGGAAGUGAUCGCAAAUGAUAAAUUUAAAGUGGACACAGCACUAACGUUGCAAUGCAGAGUGAUCAUUGUGUGAACGAGAGGAGCCAGAUGACCAAUCAAAGUCUUCAAUUUUGACUCUCGAUUCAUACCAUUUCAUUGACUCAGAUGUAUUACACAUAUUUCUACGUAUUACAUCACUCGCAAAGUCAUCAAUUUGACGCAUUAUAGCAUGAGAUGAGGCGUGUUCAGACCCCUAGACUCCAAGCACCACCUAUAAAAUCUGCUUCAUUCUCAUAUGCUCUGCCCAUCAAAACAGAGUUAUCUUAUUUGAAAUAAAAUGGCUCGCUCCUCGUGCUUCUGCAUGUCCAUAAACUUGCUUUUCUUGUACCUGUGGUCACAUCCUAUUGGUGCUCACAAUCUCUCUCGUUCUGUUAAACCUCUGUGUCUCGAGAACGAAAUAUCUGCACUGCUGCAGUUUAAAGAGAGAUACGACAUCGCCAAUGUUUCGAGUGGUCCUCUCGCUCGUCCCAAGACUCUAUCCUGGAAUAAAGGUCGGGAUUGCUGCUCCUGGGAUGGAAUUGAGUGUGACGAGAACACCGGCCAUGUAAUUAUUCUCAACUUGAGAAGUAGUUUUCUCUAUGGUUCCAUCGACAACAACAAUACCCUCUUCCAGCUUGCUCACCUUGAAAAGCUCGAUCUGAGCGACAAUCACUUCAACUAUUCUCAGAUACCGUCCCGAAUUGGAGAUCUAUUGAGAUUGACUUAUCUCAAUGUCUCUUAUUCCGUAUUUUCCGGUCGAGUCCCAUCAGAAAUCUUCAAGCUGACAAGGUUGGUGUACCUUGACCUGUGUUGCAAUCUCGAUCCAUAUACUUCUACACGUUUGUUGGAAAUGCAACCACUAGGCCUUGUUGUUAUUGAUCAAAACAGUAAACUAGAAACAGAAAAUCAGAAGCUAUAGUUUUUGAAUGAGGAAGAGAAGCACAGAGAAACAGAACACAAACUUGCAUAUGUCUGUUCUAAAGAAACUGUCAAGUACAGCCACUAAACACAAAACAAAAACUGCUCACGUACGUGAAACACAUAACUGCAUACAAACAUGCUAUUAACUUCCUAGAAAAUAACAAAAAACACUAAAUGCAUAACUAAAUGAACUUGGCUGUUUUUUAAUUAAAAAACAGAGUAAAAAAAAAAAUAGAAAACAGCAACUGAGACAUUAUUAAUCCAACAGGCCUGAGAAGCCUCGCUCAAAAUCUGACCAGCCUGGAAGUACUGUCCCUUGGUGUCGUCGCUAUGUCGGCCAAAGUGCCCAACACUUUGGCCAAUCUGUCUUCCCUAAGAGCGCUGCAAAUGGAUGUGUGCGACCUGCACGGUGUAUUCCCGUCCGCCAUUUUCAAUUUACCAAAGUUGAUAUAUCUCGAGGUGGCUGACAAUAUAGCUCUCAUAGGACAAUUGCCUUACUUCAACUCAAGUAGUCCUCUUAAACUACUGCGAGUGCCUGGCACGAGCUUUUCUGAAAAGCUACCCGCUUCAAUCGGUAAUCUCCGUUCCUUGGAAUUCUUGGAUCUUAAGUCCGAAACAUGCAAUUUGACAGGGUCGUUACCCGCGUCAAUUGGAAAACUUCCUUCCUUGAGUUAUCUUGACAUAAGCGGUUGCCAAUUCUCAGGGUCAUUACCCUCAUCAAUUGGACACCUUCCUUCCUUGAGUCACCUCAUCAUAAGUGGUUGCAAUUUCUCAGGAUCUAUCCCGGCUUCAUUUGCUAAUCUUAGCAACCUCGAAUACCUGGCUGUCAGCACGAGCCCAUUCACUGCCCAGACCAUUUCCUCUUUGUCUUGGAUUUGGAAGAUUAAGAAGCUUGCCUCUUCGUAUCUCGAGAAAAUCAAUUUAUAUGGCGAGAUUCCACCUUCAAUUAGAAACUUGUCUCAACUAGUGCAGUUAAGCUUUCUUGGCAACCAAUUAAGCGGUACUAUCCCACCUUCAAUUGGAAACUUGUCUCAACUAGUGGAGUUAAUCUUUCUUGGCAACCAAUUAAGCGGUACUAUCCCAUCUCAGCUCGGAAACCUCACUCGGCUGACGAGAUUGUGCCUCCGAAUAUAUCAACUAUCAGGGUCCAUACCGUCUUCGCUUAUGAGCAUGACUCGAUUGGUCAUGCUUGACCUUGCGGUCAACAAAUUCCACGGUGAGAUACCUUCAUCAAUCUCUCAACUGCAAAAUCUCCGGAGCCUCCUCCUUGUUAAAAACAAUUUCAGCGGCACUGUUGAGCUAGACAACUUUCUCAAGCUCAAACAAUUGUUAGUGCUGCAACUAUCAUUUAACAAGCUAUCAUGCCGCACUAGUAGCACGAAUGUUAAUCUUCCUCAGCUUUGUGCCCUAGGACUGGCAUCAUGUAAUUUGAGCAAGUUUCCGGCAUUCUUACAAAACCAAGAGAGCAUGAAUUGGUUGGACCUAUCGGAUAACAGCAUUAGGGGAGAAGUGCCCUUUUGGGUGUGGAACGGCAAUUUUAAUAGGAUGCAAUACCUGAAUCUCUCUCAUAACUUUUUUACUGGUCUUGAUCAAUAUUACCCGAUGAAUCCUUUAUAUAUGUACACAAUAGACCUAUCUCAUAAUAUGUUGCAAGGACCACCCCCAGAAGCACCGCCGUCCAUAAUGUUCUAUCUAGUAUCCAAUAACAGGCUGACGGGAGCAUUGCCACCAUGGAUAUGCAAUUUGAGUUUAGCAAUCGCACUAGACUUGUCUUCUAAUGAUUUGACUGGCGUGCUUCCAGUUUGUUUGGGUAAUAUCAGCGAAUCUCUCAUGAUAUUGAGCCUAAAAGGCAACAAUUUUCGUGGAAAUAUUUUGAGCUAUUGGUGAAGGGGACACAACUGACGAUGCUUGAUUUGAGUGACAAUCAGUUGCAAGGCAAUUUACCAAGGUCCUUAGCCAAUUGCAAGAUGCUCGAGUUCAUCAACUUUGCAAACAAUCUUAUUGUGGACAGCUUCCCAUCAUGGUUGGGAUCUCUACCAGAGCUUCGUGUCCUUAUUUUGCGAUCCAAUAAAUUCCACUAUGUUAUAGAGAGGCCUCAAUCUAAUCAGACGUUCCUUAAGCUACAAAUACUUGACCUCUCUAUUAAUGCAUUUGCCGGUAAGUAGCCUGUGGAAUUCUUUCAAUCUUUGAAUGCCAUGAAAUCUGAGACGGGAAACUUUACAUAUAUGCAUAGAAACCUACAGCCAAGAUGGUACCUUGACCUCACCUACUAUGGCAAUUACGAUUUCUCCAUGAUAGUGAUUUAUAAAGGCCUUAAAUUGUAUUACCCGAAGAUAUCAAAAGCCCUCAUAGUCAUUGACCUCUCCAGCAAUUUGUUUGAAGGAGAGAUCCUGGGUGCCAUUGGUGAUCUUAAAGGACUACGGGGAUUGAACCUUUCAAAUAAUCUCCUCACUGGUCACAUCCCACCAUCGUUAGGGAAUCUCAAAGCACUUGAGUCAUUGGACCUUUCUUUGAACAAACUCUCGGGACAGAUCCCCCAGAAGCUAACAGAACUCGGGUUCCUUUCUUUCUUGAACAUGUCUUACAACAAUCUAACUGGGUUUGUGCCUAAAGGGAAACAAUUUGAUACGUUUUCGAAUGAUUCUUUCGAAGGAAACUUGGGACUAUGUGGAGAAUUCAUAUCCACAAAUGUCAAGAUUCAAGGGAUAAGUCAAGACAACCUUCAACCCACCAAGAAGAACGCCUGGGAUCGCCAAUUGAACUUGAUUGGGAAAUUGUUCUUUUGGGUUAUGGGAGCGGCUUGGUGAUUGGAGUGGUCAACGGAAAUGCAUUCAUCUCCUGGAAACAUGAUUGGUUUGAAGGAAAUGCCAAGAGAAUGCGACAGCCUAGGCAACCUAGGAGGGGUAGGAACUCUUGGUCUAGCAAGUUUUUUAAUUUCUGCAGAUAUUAGAACUUCCCUAGAAAAAAUGAGCUAGGUAUUUCCUUCUCUUUCUCAAAUGCAUUUGUUUCUUCAUAGUAUUUUUAUAAUUAUUUAUGUCGAACUUCAUUUUCUUCAUCUAAUCUCUCAUCACGUCUAUUUAUAAAGCCAUUAUCAACUUGAAAACCCAGGUCAUUUGCGCCUUUUCCUAUAAAUGUAUAAGCAAAAGUACUACUGUUGAACACUCAAAUCUGAAUUGCCAUAAGGAUUCUUCUUUAUCCAGGGCUCACAUCACUAGCUGAAACCCAUUUAUGGAUUCUCAUAAAACAAUGAUACAAUGUUCUCACAACUUUAUGCAAAUCCUAGCUCUCAUCCAUGCCUUGAUUAUUUGCUUUGGUUGUUUGUCACCUCACAAAUUGUACAGACAAUGGUUGUAUUGACAUUUGAAACAAAAUCCGCAUUUGGAGAUUCAUUGGACAAGAACCGUGACAAAUGAUUCUUGUGAAAAAUAUACAUAUCAGUUUUGCUUUUCAGAUCUUCCUUUAUGUUCAUGCGGUAGGAAAUCGAAUUCUCUUUCAUAAAACAGCAUAUUAUGCUGAGAACCAACAUGGCAAAGUUGAAUUUACUAAAGUUCUUACUAUGCUUGCUAGUCAUUUUCUUGGUUAAUGUCAUUUGAUUUAUGUGUUUAAUCUUUUCUUUUUUUCUCAAAGAAGGAUCAUUUGAUAUGGUGACUUAUUGUUGACAACUGAAUUUUGGCAGAUAAAUCAAGUUUCUGUCUUUGUAAAACCAUGAAAAAAUAAAUAAAUCAAUAAACGAAAGAGUCCAAUUCGGCCAUUCGUGUAAGGACCUAAUCCCAUUUGCCUCAGCCCAUUUAUUAAGUCUAACUUGCUCAAGUUCUCCCAGUCCACCAACCCAAACCACUAGCCAAGCCCAUCAGGAAUUUGACCAGCCCGUCAGUCUAGCCCAUGAAGCCCAAAUUUAAAAUCGCAUUAAGCGACUUCUGCACAGGCCCACAUUCACAAGUUUAAGUCGGAGCCUCUAAAGCCUGUGAGAGCUUGGCCCAUAAAGCGCGCAUGUGCAGGAACUGAGGAGCGAAGGAAUUCUGGCAAGGGGACUAUGUUACACCAUAUACUUAUAGCACCUCACGGACUGACAGAGUUCCCUUCUCUCUAGAAUUCGUAGCCCAUUCUUCUUCUCCGGACAUCGCUCGCCGUCGCCGCCGUCGAUCGUCACUUCAAUCCAUCUCGACCGCCGCGAGAUAAAGACUCUGUUCCCCCUGUUCUCAGUCAUUGGUCGUUGAAGAGCUUGAGCGGCAGUUCGCCAUUUACUCUUUCGCUGAUUCCUCCUGUCUUCGAAGUUUGCUUCUGUGACUGUCUUGCUUUGGUCCGAUCGAUAAUCAUUGCAGGCAAACACCCUUAGUUUACGAACCGUAUCUGCUCUAUUUUUGCUAAAAAGAGAGAUCGAGAAUCCUACGUACUGACUGUGUCUGAAUCUUAUGUAACCGAGCUUCUGCUAGCGGUUUGAACUCCUCGUGUUUUGUCAUAUUCCUGCGUUUAGAUCAUUAGAUUAAAAUGUCUACCAUGUGCUUGACAAUUUUUUUAGUGAAACCUACCUGUGAAUUUGAGUAAAAUUCUUGCAUAUUGACAUUUGGUUGAUUCUUACGUCUUCAGAAUAAGACGUCUGUGUUUGACCUCUCAGGGCACCGUUGAAUUGACCUCCUGUGAUGCUCAUCCGAGACGUUGCCUGCCCAGUCUUUGCUUAUUUCAGCCUUGGUUUCAGUCCAUUUCGCUAGUCUUAUUGUCAAAGGUAAAUAUAUGUCGAUUGAUCUUUAGAGGCCACUCAAAAUAACCAAUAUGAAAAUUGAUAGAAUAAUUAAAUAUUAACCUACGCUUUCAUUUAAAAAUUUAACUUUUUAAAUAGUUGAUAGUCUCACAAAAUCUCACAAAAAUAAAAUAUAUGAAUAUAUAUAUAUAUAUAUAUAUAUAUAUAUAUAUAUCGAUAACAGGUUGUUGAUCGUUAUGUUUGAAACUGUGCCAUUUGGAUAAAAGGACUACCAUGUCAUUGCACCUAUACUUGUAAAGUUGGGGGUGUGAUGGUAAUUUGGAAAAUUACCAAAAAAGUCCUAAAUCAACCGAUGUCCACAUCAGCACUGGUCGGUGGACUAAAUUGGCAUAAAUACGAAAAGUUUUGGACUAAAUUGGCAAAAAAAUAUAUAUAUAUAUGAUUAAAUUGAUACAAUUGUAAUAAGUUUAGGAUUUUUUUUUUAAUAAUUUUCAUUAAAUAAACAUACAUAGGAUUUUUAUUUUAUAUUUUUUAUGAGUGAAUAUUUGCUUUGGAGCUGGUAAAAUGUUGACAAGACCCCUCCUUAAAAAAAUCGAUAUGUAAUGUAUUUAAUCAAGGUGUCAAGUGUACAAAUUUUUACGGCCUCCACGUUUGUGAUCAGAUUAACCAUUGUGAACGAGGAAAAUUCAAACGGGGAAAGCACGUGCCUUGGUGCUUGACUUUUGCAGAAUUGAGUGGACCCGUUAUUGAGACCUUGCAUUAUGCACAGUAGACUGGCUGGAAGCACUGCUUUGGCCCAGUCCUAGAAAUAUCCUGCAUGGCUAUUUGAAUGAUAUGAUCGAGUAAAAAAUUAUUGAAUACGAGAUCUCGACCCCACGAGUUGGCUUAACGGUCGAGGCCUAGACAUGUGUAUGCUGUUACAAUCUUCCUAGGACCACAUCAUCAUGUGGAUGAUCGACAACGCGUAGGUGAAAAGUCUAGAGAAUCAAGAGAAAAAGUCCUGAAAGUGGUAGCUAUUGACAAAUCAGAGGAACGUAAUGUCAAAUGACAAAUUGCGGAUAAGAGUCUCAAAAGCAUUAGGAGGUGAGCCUCUGUUGAUGGGUGGUAAAACUAGGCUUGCAGCAUUCAUUGGAUUCUAUUCGACAAGUAUUCUCUAUCUUUAUGACCACGAGUUCCAAGUACCUUGAUGACUAAGGCACAAAGAAAAUUGUGGCUAUUCUUAUUCUAUUUGUAGCAUUGGCCUCCAAAUGUAGCCCUGGAGAGACUUGGGGGGUUCACAUCUCCUGUGAAGCCAUGAAGGCUACUUCUGGAUCGUUGAAUUUGAAAAGGAGUUUGCCAUGUCCCCUUCAUGUAAAUAUAAAAGGGAUAUGUUCAUCACAAAUCCUAAAAUUUGUUACAAAAAUAUAAUUGAAUAUUAAAAUUUAUAAAAAAUUUAAUCAAGUCCUAAAACUUAUCAAAUUUAUGCAAUCAAGUCCUAAAAUUAAUAUUGUCAAUUUAACUAGCAGAAAACACUAAUGUAAAUUUUUAAAAUUCCACAUGACAUUUUUUAAAUAAUUUUUAGCCAAUUUUUUUAAAUUAGAUUAAAAUAAUAAAAAAGCUAAAAAAUUAUUUUAAAAGGCAAAACUGAAAAGAAAAGGGAAUCCGGACGAGAAAUCGCGUCGGAAGUCCACCACGAAGUACGAUCCAGACUCUUCACCGAUGGAUUAUUCCGAUUCGUGGAGGAGGACGAGGUACUGUCGGAUUUGGGGGCUGUCUCCGCUAAAGAGCAGAAGAAAAGUUGCUGAAGAAGGCAACGGAGGAACGGAGAAGAUCGCGAGGAUGGCAAUUCAAAUGGAGGUGUAGGCUGUAAUUUAUUCUUACUCAGAUCUCUUCGUUUGUUCGCGCUUCCACGUUAGUCGUAACAUGAUUUGUUGCUUUCUUGGCAGAUGUGCCCCUAAAACUACUUCAUUACCGAAUAGUAGUGAUUACAAUCUCGGCCUUAUGUUUUGGGUUUCAAUAUGAGGAGCAACUUUUUCGCAGAACCGUGAUUCGGAAACAAAAAUCAAACCAUAGAUGCCGGCAAACUGGGUACGGCCUAACUAGGUCGAUUUUGAAUUUCUCGUCGUCGAGAUCUUUAAAUGUCAUUACUUCUAUGUUUUGAAAGAGGAAAUGAGCGUGAAGUAGCAAUAAGAGGAAACUGAGUGUUUGGCAAAACCUCUGCUAAAUUAAAUGAUCUGGUUGAAACUCAAGCUGAGCUGUGUGGAACUUUAAUGCCUCUCUCAAGUCUCAACUAGAUAGAGUGGCCUUCUGAGGCUCUAAAUCAGGUGAUUUCACUCGGGCUGAUGCUUGGAGCUUAACUAGGGAGAAAAAAGGCUAAGGUAACUUGGCAUAGGCUAAUUUGGUUUAAUCCAAAUGUGCCGAGAUUCGGCUUUAUAUCUUGGCUUGCUAUCCUUACCAAAUUGCAGCAGACAGGUGAUAGAUUGUGCAAAUGGCAGAACGUCAAUGGUUUUUGUGUCCUCUGUGGAUUGCAGCCCGAAUCAACGAGACAUUUGUUCUUUGAUAGUUCUUUCUCCUCUGGAAAAUGAAGUAGGCUUUUGCAGCUAUGCGGUAUAAGAGGUUUUGUGGGAGAUUGGGACUCUGAGUUUAUGUGGGUGUUGCAGACAUCAAAGGGGAGAUCUCUGGAAAGUCCUAUUAAAGGUGGCAAGGAAUGGUGUCAUUUAUUUCUCAUGGAAGGACAGAAAUACUAUAGUUCAAAAUAGGAGAGUUGCAUGUGCUGAAAAGUUUCCGAGAGUAUCUUGUUUGUGGUAAGGUUGCCGUGCAAAUUUUUUUUUCAUUGAAAGUACUUUUUUCACUCAGACACAACGAAACGUCAUAUAGCUAAGAAAGAAAUCACAUCAUACCGCAUUUUUGUGCUUAGUUAAGAUAACACGUCGUGUAACUACACAGUAAAAUGCCGUACCAAAGAGACAAUCACAAACAAUAUGCUUUGUUUCUACUCAUAGGCAAUAGGGGUAUAAAGAUUGGGCCUAAAGAAAGGUAGAUCCAUCAUUGAAUUGCCUAUGGAUGAUUGAUGGGCUACAAAAGAUUGGGAAAAUUAUCCAAAAAGUCAUCAACCUUUUACACUUUUAUUAAUUCAUUCUAAAUCUUUCAAUUUUAUCAAUUAAGUCUUAAAAAUUUUCACACUUUAUCAAUUAAAGUGCAUUCAACUAAUUUUAGAUAAAUACUGCUAACAUAGACGCCGAUCAUCUUACGUGACAUGGUCCAUGAUAACAUGAACAUUUUUUAAUAAUAUUUAAAUAUUUUUCGUCUUUUUUUUUUCUCUUUUCUUUCUUUUACUUUUUCCUUUUCUCUUCUCUCUAUCUUUUUUUUUUUUUCCUUUUUUCCUUCAUUCCUUUUUCCUUUUUCCCUCCAUCGGCCACUACCAAGACUCAUUGAUGGUUUGUUGAAGUCACCAGCCUCAGGCUAGGGCCGCCCUCAUCAACCCUUGGCAAAUGUCAACCUCGCCAAGGUAGGCGAGGACUUGAGGCACACCAAAGGCCAGCGACCUCCACUGGCUUGGUGAAGAGAGAAAAAGAAAAUGAAAAAAGAAAAGAAUGAAAAGUGAAGGAUUAAAAUAUAAAAAAUAUUUUUUUUUAAAUUGUCAAUGUCAAUGUCAAUUGUACUACAUAGGAAUGGUUGGUGUGCCAACACUCACUUAAGCAAUUUACAACCAAAAUUAGCCAAAUUAACUCAAUAAGCAAAAUAUGAAAAAUGUUUAGAUCGGCAUGCCAACGCCAACUUAAGCAAUUUGUAGCCAAAAUUGACCUGAUUAACUCAAUGAGCAAAAUAUGAAAAAUAUUUAAAACUCAAUUGGUAAAAUUAAAAUAUUUAUGACUAAAUUAGCAAAAUCGUAAUAGAUUUAAGAUUUUUUUAACAAUUUUCCACCCAUAGAUUUCAUGCUUUCUUACUUCAGCAAAUGAGGACCUUGUUUGCUACAUUGCAAUGCGUGGAGAUGUCAAGAAGGUUAAAAUAGAGAAUCUCAAGAAGGUUAAGCAUGUGUGGGUCCAUGUUCCCAAGAAGUUUGUUCCCACGGCUGGGCCUAAGACUAGUGCUCAAGCCGAGUCCCGGCACUCAAACUUGGGACUCCAGUUGUACUCAAGACUUAUUCCCAAAUGUCUAUUUCGUAAUUUUCUUGUAAUAAAUGACUUUCCUAUUGAUUGGUAGAUACAAACCAACAUGCCUUUAAAAUAAGCUCCUUUCGAAAAAUUUCUAACAAAGUUCAUUUUUUGAGAAAUAAAUUAAACUUGAGUUUAAACAAACUGUCUUGAUUGAAUAUGGGACUAAAUGUAAUACAUUUGUUGUUUCUUGUGAACUGAUGAGUAUUGUUUGCGCAAUGAAUGAAGGAUCUUGAUGUUACCAACAACACAAUUUAGUUUUCUUUAUUUUCUAUUUAUUUCAAAGACAGAAAUAAGACUGUUCCAAACUCUAAUUAAUCUUAAUUUCUCCGAAUGCAUUACACGGCGUAAAUUACAUACCUAAUCAGUGACUCAAGGAAAUGUAUACAGAUCAUGAAUCCAAAGUCGAAACAGCACUAACAUUGCAAACAAAGAAGUCCAACACAGCGCAACCCAAGUCUUCAACUACCCUUUAUUAUUUUUUAUUACAUGUACUUUAUUGCUGCUUUCAAUAUGGUUGACCCAAGUCUUCCAUGCAAAAUGCAAAUAUAUAUAUAUAUAUAUAUAUAUGUAUGUAUGUAUGUAUAUGUAUAUGUAUAUAAUAUAAUAUGAUAUAAUAUAUAUGUGCUUUUUGCUGCUUUCUCCACGGUUGACUCAAGUCUUCCAUGCAAACGGAGAUCGAUUGGCUGAGUUCAGAGUAUGUGCACAGCAGCUACCUGCUACGGCACUGCGGAAAGUAAUGCGCAUGCGCAUAAAAUAUUCAUUGGUGCUGCGCGCGCGCGCACAUUUACAUAUAUAUAUAUAUAUAUAUGCUUUUUUGCUGCGUUCUCCAUGAUUGACCCAAGUCUUGUACGCAAAUGUAGAUCGAUUGGCUGAGUUCUGAGUAGGUGCCCGGCAGCUACCAAUUACGACAUUGCGGAAAGUAAUGCGCAUGCACAUAAAAUAUUCAUAGGUACUGCACACUGUGCGUUUCACCACACGUAGAGUCAUUGAUUCAAUGCAUCGUAACACGAGAUGAAGCGUGUUUAUAUCCCCAGGCACCCAGCGCCACCUAUAAAAUCUGCUUUGCCCUUUCAUACUCUGCUCAUCAAAACAAAUUUGUCUCUAUUUCGAACAAAAUGGCUUGCUCGCCGUGCUUCUACAUGUGCACACACUUUCUUUUCUUGUACUUGUCGUGCCAGCCUAUUGACGCGCAAAUCCUCUCUCGUUCUAUGAAACCUCUUUGUCUCAAGGAUGAAAUGUCUGCACUGCUACAGUUUAAAGAGAGGUAUGAAAUCGCCAAUGUUUCAGGUGGUCCUCUCGCUCAUCCCAAGACUCUAUCCUGGAAAAACAGUCAGGAUUGCUGCUCCUGGGUUGGGAUAGAGUGCGACAAGAACACGGGCCAUGUAGUUGUUCUCGACCUAGGAAGUAGUCUUCUUUAUGGUUCUAUCGAAAACAACAGUACCCUCUUCCAGCUUACUCAUCUUGAAAAGCUCAAUCUCAGCGGCAAUCACUUCAACUACUCUCAAAUACCAUCCCGAGUUGGAGAUCUCUCGAGAUUGACUCAUCUCGAUCUCUCUGCUUCUGUUUAUUCUGGCCGGGUCCCCACAGAAAUCUUCAAGCUGACGAGGUUAGUGUACCUCAACUUAUGUUGCAAUCGGGAUCCAUAUCAUUCUAGACAUUUGUUGCAGAUGAAAGCACCGGACCUGAGAAGCCUAGCUCAAAAUCUGACCAGCAUGGAAGAACUUCUCCUUGGUUUUGUCAAAAUGCCGUCCCAAGGGCCCAACACCUUGGCGAAUCUGUCUUCACUGAGAAGGCUGAACAUGGAUGAGUGUGACAUGCAUGGUGUAUUUCCAUCUGCCAUUUUUCAUUUACCGAAACUGCGAUAUCUUGGGGUCGGUUACAAUAAAGCUCUCACGGGCCGCUUGCCUAACUUCAACUCAAGUAGUCCUCUUAAAGAGCUGCAACUGGGAGGCACAAGCUUUUAUGGGGAGCUACCGGCUUCAAUCGGUAAUCUCCGCUCCUUGGAGAUGUUGGAUCUUACUUCCUGCAAUUUGAUAGGGUCCCUACCUAUGUCAAUCGGAAACCUUCCUUUGUUGAGUUAUCUUGACAUAGUUCUUAACAACUUCUCAGGAUCCAUCCCGGCUUCAUUUGCUAACCUUAGCAACCUAAAAUACCUAGAUGUCGGAAUGAACGCAUUCGCUACCCAGUCCGCUUCCUCUUUGUCUUGGGUUUGGAAGAUGAAAAAGCUUGCCACUUUGAACCUCUGGAGGAUCAAUUUAUAUGGUGAAAUUCCCCCUUCAAUCGGAAACUUGUCUCAACUUGUGGAGUUAUCCUUUUUUGGCAACCAGUUAAGCGGUACCAUCCCAUCUCAACUCAUGAACCUCACUCAGCUAACUCAUUUGGAACUCCUAACCAAUCAACUAUCAGGUUCUAUACCUUCUUGGCUUGUGAACAUGACUCAACUAGUUGUGCUUGACCUUUCACGCAAUAAAUUCCACGGCCAGAUACCUUCAUCAAUCUAUCAACUCCAAAAUCUCCAAGUGCUCCGCCUUUUCAAAAACAACUUUAGCGGUACUGUUGAACUAGACAACUUUCUCAAGCUCAAACAAUUGGAGGUGCUCCAACUAUCAUCUAACCGGCUAUCAUGCCGCACGAGUAGCGCAAAUGUUAUUCUUCCUCAACUUGAGGCCCUAGGACUGGCAUCAUGCAAUUUGAGAGAGUUUCCGGCAUUCUUGCAAACCCAAAAGGAUAUGAAUUGGUUGGACCUAUCGGAUAACAACAUUACGGGAGAAGUGCCCUUUUGGGUAUGGGACGGAAGAUUUCAAAAUAUGCAGUACCUCAAUCUCUCCCAUAACUUCUUAACUGGCCUUGAUCGAUAUUACCCGAUCGAUCCUUUGUAUAUGUACACGAUAGACCUAUCUCAUAACAUGUUAAAAGGAUCACUCCCUGAAGCACCGCUGUCCAUAGUUUCCUAUAUAGUAUCCAACAACAGGCUGACGGGAGCAUUGCUACCAUGGGUAUGCAAUUUGAGUUCAGCAGUCACACUAGACUUGUCUUCUAACAAUUUGACUGGUGAGCUUCCGAAUUGUUUGGGCAAUAUUAGCGGAUCUCUCAUGAUAUUGAACCUAAAAGGCAACAAUUUCCACGGGAGCAUUCCCGAGGUUUUGUUGAGGGGGACGCAACUAACAAUGAUCGAUUUGAGUGACAACCAGUUGCAAGGCAAGUUACCGAGGUCCUUGGCCAAUUGCAAAAUGCUCAAGUUCAUCAACUUUGCAAACAAUCUUAUCGUGGACACUUUUCCAUCAUGGUUGGGAUCUUUACCGGAGUUUCAUGUCCUUAUUUUGCGAUCCAAUAAAUUCCACGGUGUUAUAGAGAGGCCUAAAUCUUGUCCUACUUUCCUUAAGUUACGGAUACUUGACCUCUCUAUUAAUGCAUUUGUCGGUACGUUGCCUGUGGAAUUCUUUCAGUCUUGGAAUGCCAUGAAAUCUAAGAUGGGGAACUUUUCAUACAUGCACAAAGAUCUACAUCCAUCAGCGUGGCUUUCAUACACCUACUAUGGCGAUUAUGAUUUCUCCAUGAUAGUGAUUUACAAAGGUCUUAAAUGGUAUUACCCAAAGAUACUAGAUGUCUUCACAGUCAUCGACCUAUCUAGCAAUUCGUUCGAAGGAGAGAUCCCUAGUGCCAUAGGUGAUCUCAAAGGAUUGCACGGACUAAACCUUUCCAACAAUUUCCUCACUGGUCACAUCCCAUCGUCAUUAGGGAAUCUCACAGCACUUGAGUCGUUGGACCUUUCUCGAAACAAACUCUGGGGACGAAUCCCCACGAAGCUAAUAGAACUCAGGUUCCUUUCUUUCCUAAAUUUGUCUUGCAAUAAUCUGAGGGGAUCUGUGCCCAAAGGGAAACAGUUUGAUACGUUUACGGAUGAUUCCUUUAAAGGGAACACAAGACUGUGUGGGGAAUUCAUAUCCACGAAAUGUCGAAAUUUAUGGAAUGCAUCGGGACAACCUUCAACCCAACAAGAAGAAGAUUUGGGUUCACCAAGCGAACUCAAUUGGAAAAUUGUUUUGAUGGGGUAUGGAAGUGGCAUAGUGAUUGGAGUGGUCAUCGGAAUCUCCUAGAAACAUGUUUGGUUUGAGGAAAAUAAUAGGAGAAGACGAUGGUCUAGUAGGAGGCAACCUAGGAGGGGUAGGAUUUCCUGGUCAGACAAGUUUUCUAAAUUGUGCAAAUAUCAGAAUUUCCCUAAAAAGUAAACUAGGUAUUUUUUUUUCUUAAAUGUACUUGUUUCUUCACGGUAUCUUUUCCGUUAUUUAUGUCAAACUUUCACUUUCUUCGGUUAGUUCCUCAUUACGUCUAUUUACAACCUCUCUAACAUAAACUUACACUUUGUCUUUGUUGGGAAAACAUCAAUAGGGGAAAAAUGAAAUCAAAUUAUGAGCCGUGAAUAUAAUAUCUUUAAGAAAUUAUUUAUUCCACAAAGUUGCUAAUAAAAACUAGUAAAAAUCCUUUAGGAUAUAAUAAAGUCUCAAAUGAGAAUACUAUAUAGGAACUUUAAUAUUUCUCCAAGAACUCUAAAAAAAAGGGAAAUAAUUGAAUGGCUAUAUUUCUUUUAAGAAAAGGAAAUUUGAGAAGUAAAAAUUAUUAAGACGGAAUUGAAGAAUUUAUAAUGGUGUUUUAGAAUAGAUACAACCUUUCCUCGGAAAACGUUGGAUUUUUAAUGGAUACUAUUUCAAAGGACAAACUGCAAAUUCAGACAAAAACUAAUAAUAACCGUUUUUUUAUUUGUAAAAUCUGAAUUUUAUAACUUUUGAAAAGAUAAAACCCUCCAGAAGCUAACCCACGUAGCUCAUAAUAUUCAAUUGUUAGAAAACUUCCACACUUAUAUAAUGGACCAACACUCCCAGUGGGACAAUGCACUUUUUAUUUGUUUUGCAAACAAACCAUCAACGGUCUUUUUUCUUUAUAUAAAGCCACUGUCAGCUUGUAAAUCAGGCUCGCGUAUGCCUUUUUCUAUCAAUGUUCAAGCAAAAGUGCUCCUUUCGAGCACUCAAAUCUAAAUUGGCAUAGGGAUUCUUCUUUAUUCAGGGUUUACAUCAUAAGCUGAAAUCUGUUUAACAAUUCUAUUAAACCAAUCAAUAGCACGGGUACAAUAUGUUCAUAGCUUUAUGCAAAUCUAGGCUCUCAUCUACGCUCCAAUCAUUUGCUUUGAUUGUUUGUCACCUCUCAAAUUGUGCAGACGGCAGUUGCAUUCAAAUUUUAAACGAACUUCGCAUUUGAAGAUUGACUUGCCAAGAACUAUGACAAAAGAUUCUCGUGAAUAUAUAUAUAUAUAUAUAUAUAUAUAUAUAUAUAUAUAUAUAUAUAUAUCAGUUUUGCUUCACAAUUUUUGUAAUUUGUGUGCGGUAGGAAAUAGAAUUCUCUCUCAUAGAGAAGCAGACAUACAAAUAUACAUAUGCAGAGAACCCCUAUGUUACAGUUGAAUUUCUUAGAGUUCUUACUAUGCUUACUAGUCAUGUAUUGCGUCAAUGUCGUUUGAUAUUUCUGUAUAAUCUUUUCUUUUUUCUCAAAGAAGGAUCACUUGAUAUGGUGGCUUCUUGUUGACACGAAAUUUUGCCGAUAAGAUUUCCGUCUCUGUAAAAACAAAGAAUAAUAAUAAAUCAAUUAAUGAGAGAGUCCAAUUCGGCCAUUUAUGCAAGGACCCUAAACCCAUUUGCCUUAGCCCAUCCAUUAAGUCUAAUUCGCUCACUUCACUCAGCCCACCAACACGUACCGAUCACCGCAGCCCAUGGGCCCAAAUUUGAAUUCGCAUUAAGCCACUUCGGACAGGCCCAGAUUUACAAGUUUAAUUCAGAGCCCAUAAAGCCCGUGAAGUUUGGGCCAUAAUCCAACCAUCUCUCCCUCUCUCACUCUCCAUCCGGAGGUUCAAAGAGGAAGUGAGAUGAGCGAAGGAAUUCUAGCAAGGAUGCGCGAAGCGGCACGUUUGCGGCAGAACCGACUCUCUCUCUCUCUCUAGCUUUCUCUUAACAGCAGAUGAUACACCAGAGAGCACCUUAUGGUCUGACCUCACCGGAAGUUCUUCUCUCCAGAAUUGAAUUCCAAAGAAUUCCUAGUCAACUGACUUCUCCAGACGUCGCUCACCGCCGUUGAUCGUCGCUUCAAGCCAGCUGUGAGCAAAGGCUCUGUCGCUGAAGAGCUUGAGCCGUGUUCGUUAUUUACUCUUUCGCUGAUUUUCAGUCUUCGAGUAGCUUCUAUGACUGCCUUGUGCUGGUUGGAUCUGUAUGUUUUGAUCGAACCAAUCUGCUCUGGUUUUAGCAAAUCAGAGGCAGCAAUGAAAGUGUUUUUCUUUGAUUAAUUAUUUCAAACGACAUGUUAUUUUCAAGAACAUAUUUUUCAAAAUCAUUCAUUUUAUACCGAGUAAUGUUGUACUUUCUAAUUUUUCCUUAAAGUUACUUUUUCACUUGGACAUAAUGAAAUGUCACGUCAUCAACCAAAAAAAAAAAAUCACAUUAUGCCACAUUUUGUGCUUAGUUAAGAUGAAACGACAUGUAAUUGCAUGAUAAAAAGUCACACCACAUAGACAAUUGCAAACAAUCUACUCUGUUUUUACUCAAAUAGGCAAAUAUCAAUAGAACAAUCAAGCUCAAAACAAAGUAGAUCCACCAUUGAAUUGCCUAUGGACGAUUAAUGUCCUACAAAAAUUCGCUCCGAUGGGCAACAAACAUAAUAUCAUAAUGAAUUGAAAUUAUCUUCAACAGUUUGCUUGAGCAUAAUUUAUCUCGACACAAAAUUAAGAUUGAUUGAACAAGAAGAAAUGUAUGACUAGCUCAUUGGAAAAUGUAUCCCAAAAUUUCCAAGAGAAAUCGGUGAGAAGAAUGGUUACUUUGUUCCUUCGGUCCCGUUCAAAACAUUUAAAACAUCUCCAGUUUUGUUCCUUUGAUCAUGGCAACGCAAGCUCGGUUGCACCUUAGCCUGACAUUUUAGGAUUUGUCAUUGAGUACUUACUUGGUUUUUUGGUUCGAUUUGUACUGAGAUCACGUAUGAAACCCCAAAUUAGAUGAUCAUGGGAUUUUUUAGAGGCUCAACUCAUGUCCGUCCGGACGAAUCAGGUCAUUAUAGAUAGUAUCAAAGCCGGCAAACAGGCACGAAUCGUGGGAAUUUGUCCUACCUCCUUGGUGUGGUUUUCAGCUCCAUGGCUGGAUCGCCACUGACGUCCUCGUCGGUACUAUGACAGGUUAAACUCUUAAGUAAAUUCAAGUAUUACUGAAAAUUUCAUGUUUUUCCCUUCGGCAAAUGGGGACCUUGGUUGCUGUAUUUUAACGCGUGAAGACGCCAAAAAAAGGUUGAAACAAAGGACCUCAAGAAGGUUGAGGCAUGCGUGGGUUGAUGUUCUCAGGAUUGUCCCUCGACCCGGGCCUGGAACUCACGCCCGAGCCCCAGUCUCCGGCACCCGAACUUGACACCCGGUUUGUACUUCAGACUUAUUCUCAAAUGUGUGCUUCAUAAUUUUUUAUUAACAAAUAUCAGAAAAUGACUUCGGUAUUAUUUGCAUAAUACAGCCAAACAUGCCUUGAAAAUAACAUCCCUCGGAAAAGAAAUUCCAACAAAGUUCAUUUUUCACAAAAUACAUAAAGCCUAAGGCUCCCUUUAUUUCAUGGAAAAUGCGAUAUUUUCAAAAGUCAUUUUCCAAGAAAAUAAUAAAUAUUUUCCGAUACUUGACUGAAACCUAUAAAUGAACUAGAAAACAUUUUCUUCCAUUUGGUAUAAGAAAACCCAAUUUGAUUUUCUUGGAGAAACUUAUCAAACCAUUCGAAUUUUUAACUAUAUAUAUAUAUAUAUAUAUAUAUAUAUAUAUUUUUUUCUUUCUUCCUCUACCAGUCACUGACCACCGCAAUGACCGACAACUUGCCAUAGGUGAGGGAUGAGCUCGCUCAAAGUUGAUAAGGGUCAAACUCGAUGGAUUCUAGUAAGCUGAGUCGAGCCAAGCCAACAUCAAGCGAGGCUCCACCUUGCCAAAUCUAGCGAGCUCGAGCUGUGCUAUUCUUGGGCUAGCUCAUCCUUCAUCCGUGGCUGGUCGUUGGCCAUCAUCGUGGUCAACUGAAGAAGAAGGAAAAUGAUAAAUAAUAAUAGUAAUAAUAAUAAUAAUAAUUUUGAAUUAAAAAAAAGAUGAAGAAGAAAAAGAUGAGUGAAAAUGAGUGGACUAGGCGAAAGAAAGAUGAGGAAAUAGGAACCAUUUUACCCAUUUUUGAAGGUGUUUUUUCCACUAACAAAAAAUGUUUUUCUCGACUAGUUUAUUUUCUAUGAACUGAAUAACGGACUUGGAAAAAAAUUUCCUAAAAGUUGUUUUUCAUGAAACAAACAGAGCCUAAGAUUUAGGCAAGCCCCUUUGAUUGAAUUAUGAAGUGAAUGUAAUGAAUUUGUUGUUCCCAAACUAUGUAUUUUGUAGUAAAUAUAGCGCUAAUAUUGCGAACAAAAGUUCAAGAUAGAGCAGACACAAGGCAAAUUAGAGGGACCAAAUGAGCAACCAAAGUCUCCAAUCUCACCCUUCCAUUUGUCGCAUCACAUAGACUUGUUUGCUGUUGUCACAACUCAUAAAAUGCAUCCUUUGUCUAUGAAUGUAGGGAAAACUUAGUACAGCUUUUUUAUUGCUUACAAAUUAAACAUCCAUUUCGGUUGAAGGUAAAGUGAGCCGAAUUUUACUUUUAGAUUGCAUGAUCCAUUCAUACAUAUCUAUCAUACCUCUUGCAUCCAGAUCUUAGCUUGCUCAGAUAAAAUCGCUUAAUUACCAUUUCUCCACGAUGAAACUCAUUGAGGUACCUUUUGCUUUUGUGUAUUCAUCUUUUAGAUCUUGAUGGUGCCAACGAUAUUGUAUUUUUGUCUCUGGUUUCUAUUUGUUUCAGGCAUAAACAAAACAAGAAAUAGGGAAAUAUUAGGUGACAACGUUGGAUUAGUGCACGAUACAAACACGCUAUUACACAGACAAUCACCCUUAUAAGUGAGACUGUUCGAAAUUCUAGGAGCAACAACCUGCACAAGAUAGGGGGCCAGUUCCACCUCUAUUAUCCCUCUCAAGAAGCCAUACUAUUCAAAAUUUUGAACAAUAUUAAUUUCUCCAAAUGCACUGCACAACAGAAAUUUCAUUCCUCAUCUGUGACCAAAGGAUAUGUUCACCAAUUAUGCAUUCAGAGUCAAAACAACACUAAAAUUGCAAACAAAGAGGUUCCGCUGAGAGCAACCAUCUGGAGAACAAAAGGGGUCAAAUGAGCAACCAAAGUCUUUUUAAUUUUCGACACUCAAUUCAUACCAUUUCAGACUUAUUUUCCACCAUCACAACUUAUGAAAAGAUACAUUUGACUAGAAUGGAGGGAAUAACCUCAACCCAUCUCUUAACCAUACAAACUGUUCAUUUUUUCUCCCCACAGAAGACUUUCUUGCAAAUUUUUUGACUAACUGCUCACCCAAGUCUUCCGUGUAAAUAUAGAUCUAUUGGCUGAAUUUUCGGUCAAUCAAUUAUUUGUCGGUUCGGGGCCGAAUUUUUUCCUUAUGUUUUCGGGUAGCUAUCAUGUUACGGCACCGCACAAGGUCAUGCUCAUGCACCUAAAGAUUCAUAUGCAUUGUCAAUAUUUUUUUGUGUUUUAUCACUGUCAAAAUCAUUGAUUUGAUCUUCACCAAAAAAAAAAAUCAUUGAUUUGAUGCAUCGUUGUGCGUUCGUGUGGCAUGCUCACCUAUGCACGGAGGGGCCACCUAUAAAAUUGCUUUCCCAGUAGCAUUGCUCUGCACACAGUCAAAAAAGCAUAUUUAAGAACAAAAUGGAAUUAUACCUCUCGAAUAUCUUUGAGUCAAAUUGCACAGAGCAACCGUCGAGCGAACGAAAGGGUCAAAUAAGCAACCAGAGUCUCUAAUUUCAACUCUCAAAUUGCACCAUUGCAUAGACUUUUUUUACCAAUGUCACCACAUACAAACUCUUCAUCUUAUCUUCCCAGAGAGGGAAUUUUUAUGAAGGGGCCAUCAUACUGUUACUACAUGACCCCUUUGGUCUGCAAGCUUCCAUGCAAAUAGAGAUCUAGAGGCUGAAUUUUCAGUCAAUGGAGCGCUUGUCAAUUUGACCCUGAAGCUUUUUCUUAUGUUCCUUGGUAGCUACACACUACGGCACAGCACAAAAUCAUGUUGUCAUGCACCUAAAGAUUCAUAUGCAUUGCCCAAGUUCUAUGUGUUUUAUCACCAAAAUAUGCAUAAGAAUAAGAGAUUUGUUAGGAUUUGAUUAUAGAAAUAUUCGUAAAGUAUUUUUUUUUUUUUAAAGUCGAGAAUCCAGCCUAGCUUAGCUUACGGGAGCACAGCACCGACUAUACCUUAGGGGAGACUAGCCCAACAACCCACCAACCGGGGGCCCUCGCUUAAGUCACAGAACUACAUUGGGAGUUGUGGCGGACUCUAAGAGUCAAACCUCUGACCUGGCAGUCUGGACGCCAAGCCUCAACCAGCAUGGUGGGUGGGUAAUAUUCGUAAAGUAUCAUCUCUUCAAUUUUUAAAUCAUUCAUUUUCCACGAAAUAAACAGAAUUCUAAGUAUAAAUUGUGUGUAAAUCUUAUAUAACUGAGCUUUUGCCAUUUUGAACUCAUUAUGUUGCUUUGGAGGUGAUAUGGAGUCAAAUCGUUGAUAUAUUACUAUGCGUAGCAUUAGAUUAAAAUGUCAGCUACGUGUUUGAUGAUUUUUUGAGGGAAUCUAUGUACGAAUUUGAGUAAAAUUCUUGCACAUGAGUGUUUGGUUGAUCGUUACAUGUUCAGACUAAGACGUAUAUGUUUGAUCCUUUCAAUUGCAACUUUGAAUUGAUCUGCCGAGACCUCCUAUCUUGCCUACUCAAUGUCAUACGUGACUAUAUGUGAAUUCAUCCAUUUAUUUUUAUUUUUUUUGUGAUAAUUACUUGUAGUAUUAUACAACGAACCACAUUGAUAGUGAUAAGUAUUUAUCAUAUAAUAAAACCUUGAUGUAGGACUUUAUUCUCAUUUUAGUAAUAAGAAUUUUCUCAUGUGAUAUAACUUAAAUUCAGAAAAAGAGAUGUGAGAAUAAAAUAGCAUUUAACCUUUAACCUGCCUUUGAUCUUAUAUAUAUAUAUAUGGUCAUUGGUCAAUCACAUUCAAAUGUUAAUUACCACAAUAUGUGUGAAGCUACUGUUUUGUACAUCAAUUAGAUUACCAAAAUACGUAUAAGAAGUAGAGAUUUUAUAGCAUUAGAGAUUUUAAAGUCAUUAAAAAAAAAUUUCUAGGGAAAAUUCAGAUGUGAGAGUGGCACAUCAUUCAACCACCGUGCGAACUUUACCCACUUACAUGUUUGUAGGUAUGUAUGUAUGUCCAUAAGUAUGGGCGAUAUGGGCGACCUUUUUAAGAUUUUGAUGGUUACAUAGCGGAAAAAUGAAAAUAGAGACUUUUCGUUAGUAAUGGAACUUAUUUGGAGAGGUAUUUUAAAAAUAUACAUUUCAGUUUUGUCUGUUUACUUUGUCUUAGAUCUUGAUGGAACCAACAAUAGUCUAGUUUUUAUCUGUGGUUUCUAUUCAUUUCGACGAUAUAGAUAGAACAAGCAACAAGAAAAUAUUAGGCAACAAUAGUUGUUUAUCAUACAAUACAAUGCCCUAUUGAACAUCGACAAUCGCAUUUAUUUUACCUUUCUUCUCGCUCUCAAUAAGACUGUUCCAAGUACUAAACAAUCUUAAUUUCUCCAAACAUUGUAAACAGUGUAAAUUACAUUCCGCAUCAGUGACCUAAGGAAAUGUCCCCAAAUCACGAAUUCAUAGUCAAAAUGGCACUAACGUUCCCGAACAAAGAAGUCCAACACGGAGCAACCUAAGUCUUCAACUUCGACCCUUAACUAUUAACAUUUCAUAUACUUUUUGGCUGCUUUCUCCACGGUUGACCCAAGUCUUCCAUGCAAAUGUAGAUUUAUUGGCUUGAGUUCUCGUUAUGUUCCCUGGCGGCUACUCGUUAAGUCACUGGACAAAGUAAUGCGCCCGCACCUAAAUAUUCAUAGGUACUGCACAUAGUCGGUGUGUUUCAUCACUCUAAAAGCCAUUGAUGCGACGCUUCCUAGCUUGAGAUGCGGCGUGUUCAUAUCCCUAGGCACCAAGCUCCACCUCUAAAAUCUGCUUCACUCUCUCAUAGUCCGGUCAUCACAAACUAAGUUGUCUAUGUUUGGAACAAAAUGGCUUCCUCAUCGUGCUUCUACACGUCCAUACACUUUCUUUUCUCGUAUCUAUCAUAUCAGCCAAUCGGUGCACACAAUCUCUCUCAUUCUAUAAAACCUCUUUGUCUCGAGAACGAAAUGAAUACCCUGCUGCAGUUUAAAGAGAAAUAUGAAAUCGCCAAUUUUUUGGAUGAUCCUCUCGCUCGUCCCAUGACCCUGUCCUGGAAAAAUAGUCAGGAUUCCUACUCUUGGGAUGGGAACGAGUGCUACAAGAACACGGGCCAUAUAAGUGUUCUUGACCUGGGAAGGAGUUUUCUUUAUGGUUAACAACAACAGUAUCCUCUUCCAGCUUGCUCAUCUUGAAAAACUCAAUCUCAGCAGCAAUCACUUCAACUACUCUCAAAUACCAUCCCAAGUUGGAGAUCUCUUGAGAUUGACUCAUCUCGAUCUCUCUGCUUCCGUUUUUUUUUUUCGGCUAGGUCCCAAUAGAAAUCUUCAAGCUGACGAGGCUGGUGUACCUCAACCUAUGUUGCAAUGAGAAUCUAUAUGGUCCACAUCAUUUUAGUUAUAAACAUUUGUUGGAGAUGAAAGCGCCGGGCCUGAGAAGCCUAGCUCAAAAUCUGACUAGCCUGGAAGAACUUCUUCUUGGUUCCGUCAAAAUGCCGUCCCUACCCAAUACUCUGGCGAAUUUGUCUUCACUGAGAAGGAUGGUCAUGGCUGUUUCCUACCUGCACGGUGUAUUUCCGUUUGCCAUUGGGGGAGUCACCGAAGUUGCGAUAUCUUGGGGUGGGUAACAAUUGUGUUCUCACAGGCCGACUGCCGGACUUAAACUCAAGCAAUCCCCUUGAAGAGCUACAACUGCCACUCACGAGCUUUUCUGGAGAGCUACCCGCUUCAAUCGGAAUCCUUCCUUCCUUGAGCUAUCUCGACGUAAGUAAUUGCAAAUUCUCAGGAUCCAUCCUGGCUUCACUUGCUGAUCUUAGCAAUCUCAAAUACCUAAAUGUCUCAAUAAACCCAUUCACUGCCCAAUCCAUCUCCUUUUUUUCUUGGGUUGGGAAGAAGAAGAAGCUCACAACUUUGGCACCCGAAAAGAUCAAUUUAUAUGGCAAGAUUCCACCUUCAAUCGGAAACUCGUCUCAACCUAUGGAGUUAAACUUUGCUGACAACCAAUUAAGCUGUGCCAUCCCAUCUCAGCUCAUGAACCUCACCCAGCUGACUUUUUUAGUCCUCGCAAGCAAUCGAUUAUCGGGUUCUGUUCCGUCUUGGUUUAUGAACAUGACUCGACUGGUCAUGCUUGAACUUGCAGUCAAAAAAUUCCACGGCGAGAUACCUUCAUCAAUCUCUCAACUUCAAAAUCUCAAGGUCCUCCACCUUUACGAAAGCAACUUCAGAGGUACUAUUGAGCUAGAUAACUUUUACCCGAUGCAUGCUUUAUAUACGUACACCAUAGACCUCUCUCAUAACCUGUCGAAAGGACCACCCCCGAAGCACUAUCGUCAACAAUGUCCUAUGUAUAUCCAACAACCACCUAACGGGAGCAUUGCCAGCAUGGAUUGCAAUUUGAGUUCAGCAAUCACACUAGACUUGUCUUCUAAAAAUAUGACUAGUGUGCUUCCUAUUUUGUGGGCAAUAUCAGCGAAUCACUCGUUAUUGAACUUGAAAGGCAACAAUUUCCACGGAAGCAUUCUAGAGCUCUCGAUGAGGGGGAUGCAAUUGACGAUGCAAUUGACAAUGCUUCAUUUCAGCGAUGACCAGUUGCAAGGCAAUUUAUCAAGGUCCUUGGCCAAUUGCAAAAAGCUCAAGUUCAUCAACUUUGCAAACGUUCUUAUCAUGGAUACCUUAGAGCUUCGUAUUCUUAUUUUGUGACCCAAUAAAUCCCACAAUGUCAUAGAGGGGCCUAAAUCUAGUCAUGCGUUCCUUAAGUUGCAAAUACUUGACCUCUCUUCUAAUGCAUUUAUUGGUAAGUUGCCCAUGGAAUUCUUUCAAUCUUGGAAUGCCAUGAAAUUCGAGACGCGGAACUUUACAUACAUGCACAGAGAUCUAUAUCUGCCAAUAUACCUUGUGGGCACCUACUAUGGCUAUUACUAUUUUUUCCAAAGCAGUGAUCUACAAAGGGCUUAAAUGGUAUUACCCAAAGAUAUCAGAAGUCUUCACGAUCAUCGACCUCUCUAGAAAUUUGUUAAAAGGAGAGAUCCCUAGUGCCAUAGGUGAUGUCAAAGGGCUGCAAGGGCUGAACCUUGCCAAUAAUUCCCUCACUAGUCACAGCCCAUCAUCGUUAGAAAAUCUCACAACACUUGAGUUAUUGGACCUUUCUUGAAAUAAAGUCACUAGACAAAUCCCCCAAAAGCUAACAGAACUCGGGUUCCUUUCUUUCCUAAACGUGUCUCACAACAAUCUGACCAAGUCUAUGCCUAGAGGAAAACGGUUCGAUACGUUUUUGAACGGUUCUUUUGAAGGAAACUAAGGACCAUCUGGGAAAUUCAUGUCCCCAAAAUGUAGAGAUUCAGCAAAUAAGUUAGGACAACCUUCAACCUACCAAGAAUAAGACCUGGGAUCACCAAUUGAACCUGAUUGGAAAAUUGUUCUUUUGGGGCAUGGGAGUGGCUUAGUGAUUGGAGUGGCCAUUGAAAAUGCAUUCAUCUCUCGGAAACAUGAUUGGUUUGAAGGAAAUGCCAAGAGAAAGCGAUGACUUAGUCGGAGGUAGCCCAAAAGAGGUAGGAAAUCCUAGUCAUGCAAGUUUUUUAAUCUAUACAGAAAUUAGAACUUCCUUAAAAACUUAGUUGGGUAUAUCCUUCUUUUUCUCAAAUGUACAUGCUUCUUCGUAGUAUCUUUACAGUUAUUUAUGUCAACCUUCAUUUUCUUCAACUAAUCUCUCAUCGCAACUAUUUAUAGAGCCAUUGUCAACUUAUAAACCUAGCUCAUGUGCACCUUUUCCAAUCAAUGUUCAGGCAAGAGUACUACUGUGACAUCCUGAAAUUCGAGCCCUAUAAGGGAUGAAUGAAUGUGAAUUUCGUCAAUGCAUUGUUGGUUAAUCUCACUCGGAAUUGAUCACUCCUGAGAUACUGACCUUGAGGGGAAAGACUAAUGAGGACAAAACUUGUACGACUAAAGGACUCGACCUGGGAAAACGACUUGACCAUGAAACUUGGGUGAGGAUGAUCCUGUAGAUAGGCAGGCCGAUUCUAAGGACGACUAGAAGUCGAUUUGCGGACAGAACAUAAUAGAACGACGGGUGAUUCCGUUUACCAUUAUCGAACUCGCGAAUGACCCUAUGUCGAUCCUCAGUGAUCGUGUACUUUGAAAUAAGAAUCUAUCCUCCGUAAUUUCGUGCAGUCAAGGACGUCCAUGCGUCGAGAUGUCUUGAACGUGGUUUGGCACAAGUCGGUUACGCGUGAAUCCUCGGAGCCACCUGUCAGUCUGAGUUGUGAUCGAAAUGGCAUUAGGCAAAAUUGACAUGGCUUGAGGACUAAAGAUUGAGCUUCGAAUUAUCGGGAAUGUCCGAGACAGACAUUAGAUGAAGCUGCUUCAACAGUCGACAGAGCCAGUGAAGCCGAGCAAUUGAAAAAGGGAUUUUCGGACCGAGGAAGCAAGCCCGUGAGGAAGUGGGCCGAGCCAAGCCAGUGUGGGCCUUAGGCCCAAGUUGGGACAGCCACCAAAGGGGCUUAAGUCAAGCAAAUGAGCCCAUUGGGCCAAACCAACUAUUCAUCUUCUAAGCCCAUGGGCCAAUUCUUGGCCAUUUCAAGCCCAUCCAAUUCCCAAGCCCAUUCCUAUUCAUGGCCAAGCCCAAUCCUUAGGCCCAUCCACCAAUUUCAGCCCAAGGUCAGAUGAGUAAUUUGUGCAAGGUGGAAAUGACCUAAAUGCCCCUAAAAGCAUGUGGAUAAGGCAAAGGAAGAGAGAGAAGAUGAUGUCACUUUGUAUGGGGAAUUGAAGUGGCCAUUUAAUGGCCUUAAUGAGGUGUGACACCAGCCCUCACAUCUCUCUCUCUCCCCCAUUUGGCCUCCAUGCGGACGAGCUCCUCUCUUCCUCGUUUUCCCUCUCCUCCAGUUUCUGCUCCAGCUGACCCUUCGAUGAAGAAUCGAGUCAAAAGUGGUCUUCCCGGAUGAAUCAGCCAAUGAGCCACCUAUCACCGUGACCGGGAGAGACAGACCAUUCCAACGAGCCCAAUUUUGUCCCGAACAGAGCUUCCGGCCGUCCUGUACGGCCGUCUCAAGACACCGGUCGCCGGACCGCCUGGUUCCGCCCUACUUCGCCUGUUUCGACUUUGCAGCCCGUUUUCUUCCAUUCCAGCCGUUCCUUUGCUCAUCCCAACCACCCACAAGAUCCCCAAGACCCUCGGGAGCCACCGGUUGCCGACAAACCCCUUGCCGGAGCUCCGGCCAAGCCGUUCAACUUGUUUUCUUCUUCGGCAGGGCUAUUUUUCAGAAGUUUCAGUGGGAGUCCGAGCUGUGGUUGCUGUGUUGAGCUUGGGACCGCCUUGGAUCGUUGUGGUAGAGGUCCCAGAGCGUCGCUCCGUCGUCACCGCCGCGUCGGUGCCUCCAGCCGCUACGGGUGAGUUUAGCUCCUAAUCCUGAUAGUGCCUAAACUUGCUUANNNNNNNNNNNNNNNNNNNNNNNNNNNNNNNNNNNNNNNNNNNNNNNNNNNNNNNNNNNNNNNNNNNNNNNNNNNNNNNNNNNNNNNNNNNNNNNNNNNNNNNNNNUGCUUUAUUUGCUUAAUGUGAUUUAUGUGGUUAAUUAAGUAUGCUUGGCUUUAAUUAAUUGAUGGUUGCUUUAAUUAAUGCUUUUAAUGAUUUCUGAAUUUAAUUUAUAGUUUAUUAAAUUCUGGGAAUUUACUGUUCAAGCGACACUAUUCAUGAUUACUGUUCACGAGUACUGUUCACGAUUUACUGUUCAUGAAAUACUGUUCACCGAGUACUGUUCACGAGCACUGUUCAUCCAGAAUGCGAAAAAUGUCUAAAAUUCAUGUGUGCUGAUUUUAUGAAGUGAAUGGAUGUGUAAAUGCAUGGGCAUCCGCAUGAAUUGAGUGAUGACUUGUGUAAUUGUGUGAGUGAUUGUGAAAUAUAGGUAUUUUAAUUAGAAAAUACUGGGCGUCGGUUUACAACGCCAAAAAUGUGUAUAGUGGAUCCAUGGUAGGUUAUACAUCACCUCGGAGAAGGCACGUGGGCUCGGUGAGUUGGUCUAUCACCUGGGAGAAUGCACGUGGGCUCGGUGAUUAAGUAUGGCAUCUUGAAAGAGACACGUGGGCUCGGUAAUUUGAUGCAUUACCUCAGAGAAUGCACGUGGUCUUAAUGAGUACAUUUGGCAUCUUGAAAGAGACACGUGGGCUCAGUAAUUUGAUGCAUUACCUCGGAGAAUGCACGUGGUCUCAAUGAGUACAUUUGGCAUCUUGAAAGAGACACGUGGGCUCGGUAAUUUGAUGCAUUACCUCGUAGAAUGCACGUGGUCUCAAUGAGUAUAUUUGGCAUCUUAAAGAGACACGUGGGCUCGGUGACUUGAUGCAUCGCCUUGGAGAAUGCACCUGGGCUCACUGAUUCAAUAUGGCAUCUUAAAGAGACACGUGGGCUCAGUGACUUGAUGCAUCGCCUUGGAGAAUGCACGUGGGCUCACUGAUUCAGUAUGGCAUCUUAAAGAGACACGUGGGCUCGGUGACCUGAUGCAUCACCUUGGAGAAUGCACGUGGGCUCUAUGAAUAAGUAUGUCGUCUUGAAGAAUGCAUGUAGGCUCGACGACUAGAUAUUCCAUCAUGAGAGAAAUGUACGGUAUCAAUUAAGCGACCGAGGCAAGGUCAAGUUGACAUGUAAUCAACUGAGUCGAUUGGUCGAUAGCUCGAUCUGAAUCGAUGCAUUGAUGUGUGAAAUUGUUAUUUGCAUUAAUUAUAUGCGUGAGUGAAUCACAUCGUUUAUGGCACACACGCAUGAAUCGAUAACAUGCAGAGUGUGGCAAUGGCCAGGUGAAAUUGCUUGUGACGCGACUCGUAUGUGAUUGAUGAAAUGUAUCAGCUAAUGGCCAUGUGCUUUGUGUGUAUCAUGCUGAGUGACAUCGUGCAGGGUAUGGCAUACCAGGUAAGGUUGUAUGCGAAUCGACUGUUGGUUGUUGCUUGUGGUGGGGUAGUUCUGGAUAGAUACCCCGAGUUGAGUUGGUGUACUAACCGGGGCUUAGGGGUGGAACUUGCUGAGAUUUAUAUCUCACUAGUUAUUGAAUAACCAUUUUCAGGUCCCUAGUGUGAAGAGCCAGGAGCUUGAAGCGGAAGAGUCAGGAGCAUAGGUGGCUCAAUAGUUCUUUAUGACAUAGUCCUUCUGUAUAAGCUUGAAAUGUUUAUAAAAGUGUAUUUGAUUUGAAAUUGGUUGUCCUGCUUUUCUAUCACAUGUAUAUUGUUGUCAGGGGAUUAGUUAAUUUGCUUCCGCAUGUGUAAUAAAAAGAAAAGGGUCGGCGACGCGUCCUGGGAACGUCGCAAAUUUCUAUCGACCACCGAGGGAUGUGCGCGCGCUCGAGGUUUGGGGCGUGACAACUACUAUCGAACACUCAAAUCUGAAUUGCCACAAAGACUUUUUCUAUCUAGGGUUUACAUCACUUGCUGAAACCCAUUUACGAGUUCUAGUAAAACAAUCAAUAGCAAUGGUACAAUGUUCUUAUAACUUUAUGCAAAUCUAGACUCUCAUCUGCACCUCGAUCAUUUGCUUUAGUUAUUUUUCGCCUCACAAAUCAUACAAUCAACAGUUGUAUUGACAUUUGAAACAAAAUCCGCAUUUGGAGAUUGAUUGGACAAGAACCAUGACAAAUGGUUCUCGUGAAAUGUAUACAUCACUUUUGCUUUUCGGAUCUUUUAUUUAUAUUUGUGCGGUAAAAUAUCAAAUUCUUUUUUACAAAGCAGCAUAUCAUGCUGAGAACCAACAUGGCACAGGAGAAUUUCCUAAAUUUCUUACCAUGCUUGCUAGUCAUGUACUUGGUUAAUGUAAUUUGAUUUACCUAUUUAAUCUUUUCUUUUUUUUCUCUAAGAAGGAUCAUUUGAUAUAUUGACUUAUUGUUGACACAAGAUUUUAUGCCGAUAAAUCAAGUUUCUAUCUUUGUAAAACCACGGAAAAUAGUAAUAAAUCAAUAAACGAGAGAGUCCAAUUCGGCCAUUUAUGCGAGGACCUAAACCCAUUUGCCUGAGCCCAUCUAUUAAGAUAAAGUCGCUCACUUCAGCGCGGUCCACUAACCCAGACCACUAGUCAAGCCCAUCAGGAAUUUGGCUACCCAUGAGCCUAGCCCAUGAAGCCCAAAUCUAAAGUCGCAUUAAGUAACUUCUGCACAGGCCCAGAUUCACAAGUUUAAGUCGGAGCCCACAAAGCCCGUGAGAGUUUAGCCCAUAAAGCGCGCGGGGACUGGGAAGAACGAGACGCUGGCAACAGAACCGGCUCUCCCUCUAGCUUCCUCUCUAAUCCAACUGACUUUGGUAAUUCCUUCUCUAUAGAAUCCAAUUUCAGAGAAUUCAUAGUUGAUCCUUCUUCUCCGGACAUCGCUCACAGUCUCCGCUGUUGAUGGUCGCUUCAAUCCAUCUCCAUCGCCACAAGAAAAAGGCUCUGUUCGCCCUAUUCUCGGUCAUUGUCACUGAAGAGCUUGAGUGGCGGUUCGCCAUUUAUUCUUUCGCUGAUUCCCAUCUUCGAAGUUUGCUUCUGUGACUGUCUUUCUCUGGUCCAGUCAAUAAUCAUUGCAGGUAACAUCCUUUGUUUACGAACCGUAUCUGCUCUGUUUUUGCUUAAAGACAGAGGCCGAGAAUCCUACAUACUGCCUGUGUAUAAAUCUUAUGUAACCGAGCUUCUACCGGGGGGUUGAACUCAUCGUGUUUUGGUGAUGAUAUGGAGACAAAUUUCUGGCAUGCCACUUAGCUCAUAAGCGGCCUUAAUAGGCUAAUGACUACUCCCAAGUACAUUACGAUUUUAUAGACAAAUCAAAAUCAAUCGAUUUUUUCAUGAUAUGUGAGAUAAGAAUUUGGAAGAACUCAGGUGAAAAGCCUCGCCAAAUGAAGGCAAACACCUCAAGUAUGGUGAAGACCGUUAGAUCCCUACUUGGCGUUAUCUCUAAACACGCUCACCCUAUAACCCUACUAUAGGGAGGGUCAUGACACUUCUUUCAACUAAUUUAAUCACUUGGAAUGGUUCUCAAGAUAGAGUUUGGUUAACUAUAGCUUGAAGUUAAUGUCAAAUGACUUUAAACGCAACGCAUAAUUGAAUCGCAAGAAAAUUUGGGUUUUACUAGGAAAGUCCGAAUAGAACUCUUGCCAACAACAUCUUGGGUGACUUUAAAACAGGAAAUUUGACUUCUCACAAGGCUUCCUUUCUUUAUUAAAGUUGAAGUCCACGUUGACGUCAGAGAAUGGCUCAUAGUAUUUUUGAAUAAAAAUAUUCUGUUGUUGAGUUUGAUCUUUGAUGCAUAGUGGCUGCGCUUAAUAUUCGCAUAAUGUAUUGCAGAAGUUCCAACGGGAGAAUUGAGAACACGAGAAAACUCCUUUGUUGUGAUUAAUUCCUAUAAGUUCAGGUGCCAUCUAAGAUUUGGAAACGCCUAAGAAUUGAGUAUUCAUGCAAUUACAAUCUCCUCUUUGUUAGUUAUAGUAGAAUUAUCUCAUUGAUCUCUCACCGUGGAGUAGAUCACCUCCAAAUCACCUAAAUUUUACUGUGUUUACAUUUUAUAUCUGUAAUUUAUUUCUUGCUCAAUCCCCAUUUCCUUUGUUUGUGGCUCCGCAUUAGUCGUAUCAGGACUUAUGUCCCUUUCUUUGCAGAUAUGACCUUAAAUAUUAGUAUACGUUAUUAUUACGUAGUAGUGACCACAAUCUUGGUAAUAUUCUACAUUCCUUUGAGCCACCUGUUUUGGUUUCAAGAUUAGGAGCAACUCUUUUAGAUAAACCGGAUUCAGAAACAAAAAUUACACCAUAGAUGCAUGGGAAACUGCUUGGGUACAACCUAAUGGAAGGUUCAUUUAUGAAUUUCACAUCAAAACUUUUGCAGUGGCGAAACUUACAUGCUUUGUAAGAGGAAAAUGAGUGGUUUUGGCCCACUGCUAGAUUAAAUGAUCCGGUUAAAACUCAAGUUGAACUGUGUGGAACUUUAAAGCCGUGCUCUCCACCAGAUGGAGUUGCCUUCUUAAGGCUUGUUUGGCAACUUGCCAAAGAAUAAAAAUUUCUAUUAUUUUAUUCUCAGGAGAAGAUUUAGAACAGAAAUCCGUUUGGCAAAAUUUUUGCUUUUGGAAAUAAAUUUCUUUUUGGGAAUAGAUUUGGAGUAGAAUUGAGAAGUAAAAAAAAAAAAAAAUUGAUUCUUUGUUUGCGAAAACAAUUCCAAAAUCAAACCAACCAAAAUACUUUUUUUUUCUUUGUUCUCUUCUUCUUUUCUUCUUGUUCUUCUUCCUUCUCUCUUCUUCUUACAACGCCGCCGCCGUCUGCCACCGCUUGUUACCAGCAAUUGGUUGGGCGAGCUCAAAUGAGCUCACUGGGUGCUCACCAAAUUUGGUGAGUCCAAGCAUCGUCGGUGGCUAGGCAGGCCUCCCUUGGCCACCAGCAAGCCUUGCCUAGUUGGGCGAUGCUCGACCGAGGCCCACCUAUCCGGACGAGGCUCGCCCAGUCACCGACAAACCUCCCCUAGCUAGGCGAGGCUCACUCGUCUCGUGAGCGGCUGGAUGAGCUCAGCCUCACUAGAUCUGGGCAAGGUCAAGCCUCACCUAGCUAAGGCUUGGCCGAGCCUUAACCAACUGUCGACAAGGCUCGGCCGACGAGGUGCAGCCUCGCCAAGGGUUGACGACGCUCCAUGAAGUCACCAAUCAUCCUGAGGCCAGUAACUAGUCAAAGCUUAAAAAAAAAUGAAAAGAAAAAAAGUAAUAAAAUUAUUUAAAACGUUAAAAGAAAAUAGUUUGGAUUAGAAAUUUUUUAGAAUGAUAUCAAAUGCAAUUUUAUCCGAGAAUAUAAAUUUUGGGUAAUCACCAAACGCAUUAAAAUAUUUAGAAGUUAUUUUCGAUAAUAAAAUAAAGAAUAAUCAUUUUUGACAAAAAAUUGUUCUCGAGAAAUUACCGUGCGUAUCCUUAAGCUCUAAAUGUUAAGAUUUCACUCAAGCUGAUGCUGGGACCUUAACUAAGCAGAAGAAGGCACUAUUGACGUGCGAUACGAGUUACGCGCGUCACUUGUCGCUUUUCCUUUUUCCUUUCUUCUGCUUUUGCUUUUUACCGUUCUUUCUUUUCUUCUUUUUUCCCCUCUCUCUUGCGUGCUUUCCCCUUACGUCCACUUUCUCCUUUUUGUUGUCUAGUCAAACUUUUUUCUCAUUUUUUCUUUUGUUGUCAUCAUUUUUUACUUUUUGACCCAUCCAACGGUCAAAUAUGUAAAUUAUUAGACAAUCUACUUUGCUCGACCGAGCCUUGUCUAACCAAACAAGGCUCGCCCACCCACGAGCAAACCUCACCUAGCUUGGUGAGCCUCGAUCUCACCUAGAUCUAGCAAUGCUAAGCUCGCCCCAUCAGCGGCUAGGCGAGCUAGACCUCACUACAUCUGGGCAAGGUUGAGCCUCGCCAAGCUAAGGCUCGGCCAAGUCUUGACCAACUAUCGGCAAGACUCAACCAACGAGACGUAGCCUCAACGAGGGUUGGCGACGCUCCACGAAGUCAUCGGUCAUCUUGAGACCGGUAACCGGCCAAAGCUUGAAAGAGAAAAGAAGGAAAAGAAAAAAAAUUAAAAUUAUUUGAAAAAUUAAAAGAAAAUGAUUUAGAUUAAAAAUUUUGAGAAUAAUAUCAAAUGCGAUUCUAUCCCAAAAAUAAAAAAUUUGGACAAUCACCAAAUGCGUUAAAAUAUUUAAAAAUUAUUUUCGAGAAUAAAAUAAAAAAGAAUCAUUUUUUAUUAAUAAAAAAUGUUCUCGAGAAAUUAUUAAACGUAUCCUUAGGCUCUAGGUGCCGUGAUUUUACUCAAGCUAAUGUUGGGACUUUGACUAAGGCCCCGUUGGUUGGACUUAAUAUUCGCAUAAUGUAUUGCGGAAGUUCCAACGGGAGAAUUGAGAACAUGAGAAAACUCCUUUGUUGUGAUUGAUUUCUAUAAGUUCAGGUGUCAUUUAAGAUUUGGAAACGCCUAAGGAUUGAGUAUUCAUGCAAUUACAAUCUCCUCUUUGUUAGUUAUAGUAGAAUUAUCUCAUUGAUCUCUCACCGUGGAGCAGAUCACCUCCAAAUCACCUAAAUUUUACUGUGUUUACAUUUGAUUUCUGUAAUUUUAUUUCUUGCUCAAUCCCCAUUUCCUUUGUUUGUGGUUCCGCAUUAGUCGUAUCAGGACUUGUGUCCCUUUCUUUGCAGAUAUGACCUUAAAUAUUAGUAUACGCUAUUGUUACGUAGUAGUGACCACAAUCUUGGUAAUAUUCUACAUUCCUUUUGGCCACUUUUCGUUUCAAGAUGCUAUUAUUACGUAGUAGUGACCACAAUCUCGGUAAUAUUCUACAUUCCUUUUGGCCACCUGUUUUGGUUUCAAGAUUUUUUUUUUUUUUUUGGACAAUUUUGGUUUCAAGAUUAGGAGCAACUCUUUUACAUAAACCGGAUUCAGAAACAAAAAUUACACCAUAGAUGCCUGGGAAACUGCUAGGGUACAGCCUAACCGGAGGGUUCAUUUAUGAAUUUCACAUCAAAACUUUUGCAAUGGCGAAACUUACAUGCUUUGGAAGAAGAAAAUGAGUGGUUUUGGUCCAUUGCUAGAUUAAAUGAUCUGGUUAAAACUCAGCUGAGCUGUGUGGACUUUAAAGCUGUGCUUUCCACUAGAUGGAGUAGCCUUCUUAAGGCGUGUUUGGCAACUUAUCAAACAGUAAAAAUUUCUAUUCUUUUAUUCUCAAAAAAAGAUUUAGAACAGAAAUCUGUUUGGCAAAAUUUUUGUUUUCAAGAAUAAAUUUCUUCUUGGGAAUAGAUUUGGAGUAGAAUUGAGAAGUUAAAAAAAAAAAAAAAGUUGAUUCUUUGUUUACGAAAACAAUUCCAGAAUCAAACCAACCUAAAUACUUUUUAUUCUCUUUUCUCUUCUUCUUUUCUUCUUGUUCUUCUUCCUUCUCUCUUCUUCUUACAACACCGUCACUGUCUGCCACCGCCCAUCACUAGCAAUCGGUUGGGCGAGCUCCAAUGGACUCACUGGAUGCUCAUCGGAUCUGGUGAGGCCAAACAUCGUCAGUGGCCAGGCAAGCCUCCCCUGGCCACCGACGAGCCUUGCCUAGUUGCGCAAUGCUCGACCAAGGCCCACCUAUCCGGAUGAGGCUCGCCCAACCACCGACAAACCUCACCUAGCUUGGCAAGGCUCGAUCUCAUCUAGAUCUAGUGACGUCAAGCUCGUCUUGCUAGUGGCUGGGCAAGCUCGGCCUCACUAGAUCUAGGCAAGGUCAAGCCUCACCUAGCUAAGGCUCAGCCAGCCUUAACUAGUUGUUGACGAGGCUCGGCCAAUGAGGUGCAACCUCACCGAGGGUCGACGACAUUUCACGAAGUCACCGGUCAUCUUGAGGCCAACGACCAGCUAAAGCUUGAAAAAGAAAAUAAAAGAAAAAGUAACAAAAUUAUUUAAAAAAUUAAAAGAAAAUGGUUUGGAUUAGAAAUUUUGAGGAUAAUAUCGAACGCAAUUCUAUCCGAUAACAAAAAUUUCGAGUAAUCACCAAACGCGUAAAAUAUUUAAAAAUUAUUUUCGAGAAUAGAAUUAAAAAAAUUUUGACUAAAAAUUGUUCUCAAGAAAUUACCAGACAUAUCCUUAAGCUCUAAAUGUUGUGAUUUCACGCUGGGACCUUGACUAAGCAGAAGAAUGCGCUAUUGAUGUGCGACACGAGUUACACGCGAGCCACUUGUCACAUUUCCUUUUUCCUUUCUUCUGCUUUUACCUUCUUCUUUUUUCUUUUCUUCUUUUUUCCCCUUCAUUGUUCCUUUUGUUGUCACCAUUUUUGACAUUUUGACCAAUCCAACGGUCAAAUAUGCUAAAUUAUUAGACAAUCUACUUUGCUUGACCAAGCCCUACCUGAUCAAACAAGGCUCGCCCAGCCACCGGCAAACCUCACCUAGCUUGGUGAGUCUCGAUUUUGCCUAAAUCUAGCGAUGCCAAGCUUGCCCCACCAGCGGCUAGGCAAGCUAGGCCUCACAAGAUCUGGGCAAGGUUGAGCCUCGCCUAGUCAAGGCUCAGCCGAGUCUUGGCCAGCUACCGGUGAGGCUCAAUCGACGAAACACGGCCUCGUCAAGGGUUAGUGACGCUCCGCAAAGUCGCUGGUCAUCCUAAGGCCGGCGACCAGCUAAAGCUUGAGAAAGAAAAGAAGGAAAAGAAAAAUAAUAAUAAAAUUAUUUAAAAAAUUAAAAAAAAUAGUUUAGAUUAGAAAUUUUGAGAAUGAUAUCAAACGCGAUUCUAUCCUAAAAAUAAAAAUUUUGGAUAAUCACCAAACACGUAAAAAUAUUUAAAAAUUAUUUUUGAUAAUAAAAUAAAAAAUAAUCAUUUCUAAUAAAAAAAAUUAUUCUCGAGAAAUUACCAAACAUAUCCUUAAGCUCUAAGUAUCGCGAUUUCACUGAAGUUGACGGGACCUUAACUAAGCAGAAGAAGGCGCUGUUGACGUGCGACACGAGCUACACGCGAGUCACUUUUCGCUUUUCCUUUUUCCUUUCUUCUGCUUUUACCUUUUUGUCUUUUCUUUCUUUUUUCCCCUCUCUCUUGCGUGCUUUCCCUUCACGUCCACUUUCUCCUUUUGUUGUCUAGUCAAACCUUUUUCUCACUUUUUCUUUUGUUGUCACCAUGUUUGACUUUUUGACCAAUUCAACGGUCAAAUAUGCUAAAUUGUUAGACAAUCUACUUUGUUCUACACAACGCAGAUCACGUUCCUUUAUCAAUAAACGUAUUUUGAUAUGUGUCUGUUCUCUUCUUUGCUAUUAGCUUCAAUGAUUUUUACAUUAUGAUAUGUGGGGUUGUUGUUCAUUGAAUGUGAGAAAUGCCAAGUAAAAGUAUUUGUCAAUGUAGACCUAAAAGAUGUUGCCUUAAAGAUUAGCUCGAAAUUUUGAUGAUAUAGAUGGGUAAUAGAAAUUUUGGGAUAUUUGUAUGAUAGAAAAUUUAGUGACACUGUUCAAAAAGACUUUGAACCGUCUUAAUUUCCCCAAAGACAUUACACAAUGUAAAUCGCAUUCCUCAUCAUUGACCCAAGGACGUGCACAUUCAUAUCAUAAGGCAUGAGGCACCACCUAUAAAAUAUGCUUCAUUCUCUUAUACUCGUUGUGUUUUUAUUUUUGUGAUAAUUACUUAUAGUAUUAUCCAAUGAGCUUCAUUGAUAGUGAUAAGUAAUUAUCGUAUAAUAAACCUUGCUGUAGGACUCUGUUCUCACUUUAGUAAUAAGAUUUUUAACAUAAUAUAGCUUAAAUUCAGAAAAAAGAGAUAUGAGAAUAAAAUAGUGUUUAACCUGCCAUGGAUCUUUGAUAUAUACAUGGUCAACCACUUUCAAAUGUUAAUUAUCACAAUAUGCGUGAAUCUAUUUUAUUUUAUUUUUUGUACAUUAGUUAAAUCACCAAAAUAUGUAUAAGAAAUAGAGAUUUUCUAGCAUUAGAGAUUUUAGAGUCCAUAAAAAUUGAAUUUAUAGGCAAAAUUCACAUGUGAGAGUGCCUCGGUUGACCCAAGUCUCCUCGGAUGAACCUCAAUUAUUUACGUCCACUUUCUCCUUUUGUUGAUUAGUCAAACUUUCUUUUUCUUUUUCUUUUUUUUUUAUUGUCACCAUGUCUGAUUUUUUGACCAAUCCAAUGGUCAAAUAUUACCAUUUCACAUACUUUUUUUAUGCUUUCUCCACGAUUGACCCAAGUCUUCCAUGCAGCUACACGUUAAGCACAAGGUAAUGCACACGCACCUGAAUAUUCAUAGGUACCGCACGUGUUUCAUCACUUUAAAAGUCAUUGGUUCGAUGCAUCCUAGCAUGAGAUGAGGCGUGUUGAUCUGCUUCACUCUCUCAUACUCUGCUCAUCAAAACAAAAUAGUCUCUGUUUCGAAUAAAAUGGCUUCCUUGUCGUGCUUCUACAUGUCCAUACACUUUCUUUUCUUGUAUUUGUCAUCUCAGCCGAUUGGUGCGUACUAUCUCUCUCAUUCCAUGAAAACUCUAUGUCUCGAGGACGAAAUGUCUGCCCUCUUGCAAUUUAAAGAGAGAUGCAAAAUCCCCAAUGUUUCCACCCAUAGAUUUCAUGCUUUCUUAAAUCAGCAAAUGAGGACCUUGUUUGCUGCAUUGUAAUGCGUGGAGAUGUCAAGAAGGUUAAAAUAGAGGAUCUCAAGAAGGUUAAGUGUGUGUGGAUCCAUGUUCCUAGGUUUGUUUCCCGUGGCUGGGCCCGAGACUAGUGCUCGAGCCGGGGUCCCCGGCACUCAAACUUGGGACUCCAGUUGUACUCAAGACUUAUUCUUAAAUGUCUAUUUCGUAAUUUUCUUGUAAUAAAUAUUAGUAAAUGACUUUCCUAUUGGUUGGUAGAUACAAACCAACAUGCCAAAAUAAGUUCAUUUCGAAAAAUUUCUAGCAAAGCUCAUUUUUCGAGAAAUAAAGGGAACUUGGGUUUGAACAAACUACCUUGAUUGAAUAUCGGACUGAAUGUAAAAAAAAUUGUUCUUUCCUGUGAACCGAUAAGCAUUGUUUGCACAAUGAACGAAGGAUCUUGAUGUUGCCAACAACACAGUUUAGUUAUCUUUGUUUUUUAUUUAUUUCAAAGACAAAAACAAUACUGUUCCAAACGGUAAUUAAUCUUAAUUUCUCCUAAUGCAUUACACGGCGUAAAUUACAUACCUAAUCACGGUCCUAAGGAAAUGUCUACGGAUCAAGAAUCCAAAGUCGAGACAGCACUAACAUUGCAAACAAAGAAGUCCAACACAGCGCAACCUAAGUCUUCAACUACCAUUUAUUAUUUCCAUUUGAUAUACUUUUUUGCUGCUUUCAGUACGGUUGACCCAAGUCUUCCAUACAAAAUGCAAAUAUAUAUGUAUAUAAUAGGAUAUAAUAUAAUAUAUAUGUGCUUUUUGCUGCUUUCUCCACGGUUGACUCAAGUCUUCCACGCAAACGGAGAUCGAUUGGCUGAGUUCAGAGUAUGUGCCCGGCAGCUGCCCGUCAGCUACCCAUUACGGCGCUGCGGAAAGUAAUGCGCGUACACAUAAAAUGUUCAUGGGUACUGAACAUUGUGCGUUUCAUCACGCGAAGAGUAAUUGAUUCAAUGCAUCGUAACACGAGAUGAAGCGUGUUUAUAUGCCCAGGUACCCAGCGCCACCUAUAAAAUCUGCUUUACUCUCUCAUACUCUGCGCAUCAAAAUAAAUUUGUCUCUAUUUUGAACAAAAUGGCUUGCUCGCCGUGCUUCUACAUGUCCAUACACUUUCUUUUCUUGUACUUGUCGUGCCAGCCUAUUGAGGCGCACAUUCUCUCUCGUUCUGUGAAACCUCUGUGUCUCGAGGAUGAAAUGUCUGCACUGCUGCAGUUUAAAGAGAGAUAUGGAAUCGCCAAUGUUUCGGGUGGUCCUCUCGCUCAUCCCAAGACUCUAACCUGGAAAAAUAGUCAGGACUGUUGCUCUUGGAAAGGGAUUGAGUGCGAUGAGAACACGGGUCACGUAAUUGUUCUCAAUCUGGAAAGUAGUUUUCUCUAUGGUUCUAUCGACAACAACAGUACCAUCUUCCAGCUUGCUCAUCUUGAAAAGCUCAAUCUCGGCGACAAUCACUUCAACUACUCUCCAAUACCGUCUCGAGUUGGAGAUCUAUCAAGAUUGACUCAUCUCAAUCUCUCUGCUUCCGUUUUUUCUGGCCAAGUUCCAUCGGAAAUCUUCAAACUUACAAGGUUGGUGUACCUCAACCUGUGUUGCAAUCUAGAUCGGCAUCAUGAUAGACUUUUGUUGGAGAUGAAAGCCCCGGGCCUGAGAAGGCUAUCUCAAAAUCUGACCGGCCUAGAAGAACUUCUCCUUGGUCAAGUCAACAUGUCUUCCCAAGUGCCCAACACCCUGGCGAAUCUGUCUUCACUAAGAAGGCUGAACAUGGAUGUGUGUAACCUGCACGGUAUAUUUCCGCCUGCCAUUUUUCAUUUACCGAAGCUGCAAUAUCUUAGUGUAAAUGGCAAUGAGGAUCUCACGGGCCGCUUGCCUAACUUCAACUCGAGUAGUCCUCUUAAAGAGUUGAAACUGAGAGGAACAAGCUUUUGUGGGGAGCUACCGGCUUCAAUCGGUAAUCUCCGGUCCAUGGAGAAAUUGAAUCUUAAAUUCUGCAAUUUGACAGGUUCCCUACCCCUGUCGAUCGGAAACCUUCCUUUGUUGAGUUAUCUUGGCAUAGGUGGUAACAACUUCUCAGGAUCCAUCCCGGCUUCAUUUGCUAACCUUAGCAACCUUGAAUACCUAGAUGUCGGAGAGAAUCCAUUCAUCGCCCAGCCUACUUCCUCUUUGUCUUGGGUUUGGAAGAUAAAAAAGCUUGCCACUUUGAACCUCUUGAGUAUCAAUUUAUACGGCGAAAUUCCCCCUUCAAUCGGAAACUUGUCUCAACUUGUGGAGUUAUCCUUUCUUGGCAACCAAUUAAGCGGUGCCAUCCCAUCUCAACUCAUGAACCUCACUCAGCUAACUCAUUUGCAACUCCGAACCAAUCAACUAUCAGGUUCUAUACCUUCUUGGCUUGUGAACAUGACUCAACUAGUCGUGCUUGACCUUUCACGCAAUAAAUUCCACGGCCAGAUACCUUCAUCAAUCUGUCAACUCCAAAAUCUCCAAGUGCUCGGCCUUUUCGAAAACAACUUUAGCGGUACUAUUGAACUUGACAACUUUCUCAAGCUCAAACAGCUGUGGGUGCUCCAACUAUCAUCUAACCAGCUAUUAUGCCGCACGAGUAGCGUAAAUGUUAUUCUUCCUCAACUUGAGGUCGUAGGACUGGCAUCAUGCAAUUUGAGAGCAUGCAGUACCUAAAUCUCUCCCAUAACUUCUUAACUGGCCUUGAUCGAUAUUACCCAAUCAAUCCUUUAUAUAUGUACACGAUAGACCUAUCUCAUAACAUGUUAAAAGGACCACCCCUCUGAAGCACCAGCGUCCAUAUUACACUACAUAAUAUCNNNNNNNNNNNNNNNNNNNNNNNNNNNNNNNNNNNNNNNNNNNNNNNNNNNNNNNNNNNNNNNNNNNNNNNNNNNNNNNNNNNNNNNNNNNNNNNNNNNNGUCAUAGAGAGGCCUAAAUUCUAAUUCCACGUUUCUUAAGUUAAGGAUACUCGACCUCUCUAUUAAUGCAUUCGCCGGUAAGUUGCCUAUGCAAUUCUUUCAAUCUUGGAAUGCCAUGAAAUCCGAGACGGGAAACUUUACAUACAUGCAAAGAAACCUACAGCCAUCAAGUUACCUUGUUUUCACCUACUAUGGCAGUUACGAUUUCUCCAUGACAGUGAUUUACAAAGGGCUUAAAUGGGAUUACCCAAAGAUAUCAGAAGUCUUCACAAUCAUCGACCUCUCCAGCAAUUUUUUCAAAGGAGAGAUCCCUAGUGUCAUAGGUGAUCUCAAAGGAUUACAAGGACUGAACCUUUCCAACAAUUCCCUCAGUGGUCACAUCCCAUCAUCAUUGGGAAAUCUCACAGCACUCGAGUCAUUGGACCUUUCUCUGAACAAACUCUCGGGACGAAUCCCCCAAAAACUAAUAGAACUUGGGUUCCUUUCUUUCUUGAACAUCUCUUACAACAAUCUGACUGGGUCUGUGCCAAGAGGGAAACAGUUCGAUACGUUUUCAAACAAUUCUUUUGAAGGGAACUCGGGACUCUGUGGGGAAUUCUUAUCCAAGAAAUGUCAAGAUUCAGGGGAUAAGUGGGGAAAACCUUCAACCCACCAAGAAGAAGACUUGGCAUCGCCAAUUGAACUCGAUUGGAAAAUUGUUCUUAUGGGGUAUGUGAGCGGCUUAGUGAUUGGAGUAGUCAUUGGAAACACAUUUAUCUCUUGGAAACAUGUUUGGUUUGAAGGAAAUGCCAAGAGAAAGCGACGGCCUAGUCAGAGGCAGCCUAGGAGGGGUAGGAACUCUUGGUCAAGCAAGUUUUUCGAUUCUGGUAGAUAUUAUAACUUACCGGAAAAAUAAGCUAAGUAUUUCCUUCUUUUUCUUAAAUGUACUUGUUUCUUCAUAGUAUCUUUACAAAUAUUUAUGUCAAACAUACGCUUUCUUCAAUUAAUCUCUCAUCACAUCUGUUCCCCACCUCUCUAAUGUAAAAUUACACUUUUUAUUCUUUUUUACAAAGCCAUUGUUAGCUUGUAAACCAAGCUCAUAUGCGCCUUUUUUCUAUCAAUGUUGAAGCAAAAGUACUCCUAUCUAACAAUCAAAUCUAAAUUGUCACAUGGAUUCUUCUUUAUCCAAGGUUCACAUUACAACGUGAAACCAGAUUCUAGUAAAACGAUCAAUAGCAAGACCACAGUGUCCUCAUAACCUUAUGUAAAUCUAGGCUCUCGCCCGCACUUCAAUCAUUUGCUUUUUUUGUUUUUUUGUCACCACACAAAUUAUGCAGACACUGUUGUAUUAACAUUUGAAACAAAAUCCGCAGUUGGAGGUUGAUUGAAUGAGAAUUGUAAAAAAAUAUUCUCUCGGAUCUCUUUUACGUUUUGCUGUGAAAUAGGAUCUCUCUCAUGCGGAGAGGGUUGUAGUUUACGCACUUCAAUCAUUUGCUCUUUUUUUUUUUUUUUGUCACCACACAAAUUAUGCAGACACUGUUUAUUAACGUUGGAAACAAAAUCCGCAGUUGGAGGUUGACUGGACAAGAAUUGUAACAAAUUAUUCCCUCGGAUCUUCUUUUACGUUUUUGCGGUUGGAAAUAGGAUUCUCUCUCAUGGAGCAGUAUAUUAUGCAGAGAACCAACGUGGCAUGGUUGAAGUUCUUAAAGCUCUUACUAUGCUGCUUGCUAGUCAUGUACUCUGGAAUUUACACGGUAAAUCUAUUUGAUUUUUCUGUACAUCCAUUUCUUUUUCCCCUGAAAGGAUAGUUUGGUAGGAUGGCUUAUUUAAUCACUUGGAAUGGUUCUCAAGAUAGUGAUUGGUUGAUUAUGGCUCGAAGUUAAUGUUAAUCGAUUCAAAAUCCAAUACGUAAUUGAAUCUUAAGGAAAUAUGGCUACCGUUAGGAAAGUCCGAAUUGAACUCUUGCCAAUAAGAUCGUGGGUGAUGGAAAAAAGGAAAUCUGAUUUCCUGUAGCUAUUGAAGUAUAUGUUGACGUCGGAGAAGGGCUCAUAGUAUUUAUGUAUAAAACUAUUCUGUUGUUGAGUUUCAUCUCUGGUGCACAGUAGGUGCGCUAAAGCAUGCUAAAAUGUGUGGAACUUGCGAGAGUCACAGAGCAUGGAGAGCGUUCUAACAAGAGAACUGAGAUUUUGAGAAACUAAUUCGUUGAGAUUGAUUCUUUUAAGUUCGGGUGCUAUCUAAGACUUGAAAACGCUAGAGAUUAGAGCGUUCAAAAGAUUGUAAUCUUCCUUUUGCUGAUUAUAGCGAAAUCAUGUCAUCGAUCUCUUCGUGGUUAUGCACACCUUUUUUUUUUUUUUGUCAGUCCUACUCUAUACCUACUCUACACUCAUUCUCAGACUUUUGUCCUGCCUCUUGCAGGGCAUGGGAGUCAAAACCCACUUCUGAAACUUACUCGUCCCCACCCCAUCCCCUCCUAAGAAUGUGGGGAUUUGAACCCCUCACAUCCCCCUUCCAUGUUGGAAAGGUGGCCACUGGGGCGAAUCCCAGUGGUUGUAUGCACACCUUCAAACCACGUAAAUUCAUUGGGUUUUAGAUUGAACUUCUGUAACAUAUUUCUCGCUUGAAUUGCUUCCUUAAUUCGCGAUCCCGCAUUCAUCGUAUCGUGAUUUGCGUUUCUUUCUUUGCAGGCAUGCCCUUAAAUAUUCGUAUACUUCAUUAUUGAGUAGACCGCCACUUGUUUUGGUUUCAAGAUAAGGAAGCAACUUUUUCCAAAGCCCUAAUUCAGAAACAAAAAUUAAACCAUUGGUGCCUGGGAACUGCUUGGGUGCAGCGUAACUAGAAGGUUCAUUACUGAAUUUCUUGUCAAAACUUGUUAAUAUCAUUACUUAUAUAGCGACAAGUGAUUAUCAUGUAACAAAACCUAAACUUAGGACUUUAUUCUCAUUUCAGUAAUGAGUAUUUUCAUGUACAAUUUAAAUUCAGAAAAAGAUAUUCGAGGACAGAAUAUAAUUUACCCUGCCAUGGAUCUUUGAUCAUUCAUCUAAUUUGAAUCUAUAUAUACAUCAAUUAAAUUUUUAAAAUGUCCCAUUGCCAAAAUCUGCAGAAGUCUAUUGCUUUUUGCACAUCAAUUAGAUUAUCAAAAUAUGCAUAAAACUUAAAGACUUUCUAAAAUUGGAGAUAUUCUAAAGUCCAUAAAAACUAGAUUUCUAGACAAACCUCACACAUGAGAAUGGAAAAAUUUGUUUAAAACUCCUAAACCUAUUAUACAACGGUCAAUUUAAUUCUAACUCUUUCAAUUACGUCAAUUUAACCAUAAAUCUUUUGACAAUUUACCAAUUUAGUCAUGAAUCUUUCAAUUGUGUCAAUUUAAUUCUAACCAUUUUCAUGAUUUGCCAAUUUAGUCAUAACCCUUGACAAUUUGUCCAUAUAGCCCUUUCAAGUAAUUAUAUAUAUAAUUUUUUUAUGACUAAAUUGGUAAAAUUUUAAAACACCCAAGACCUAUGCCAAUUCACCAAUGACCUAGCCUAAGCCCAUGGCUAAAUUCCACAGAGGUGAGCUCGUGACCCCAAUGCCCAUGCCUAGAUCCCUGCUGAUGAUUCCCAAGUACUUGUCUCUCAAGCCUGAGCCCAAGGAAGUUGGACUCAAGACCCAGGUGCUUGCACCCAAGUCGCCAACAGCCAUGCCCACAUAGUCAACUCACACACUCGAGACACUAGCGCUUAAGCUCUGACCCACAACCAUCGAGCUCCAGGCCAUGGUGCCCAUGCCCAAGUCCCCAACUCCUAUGCCCACGUCAUCAACGAUGCCCGAGCCUAAUUUCUCAUCAGCUAGGCCAAACGGGCCUAAGACUUCAACACUCGUACUCAGGUCCCUAAUGGCCUUCUCUAACUCUCGUGCCCAAGUCAUCAACAAACAAGUCCAUAGAGGUUGGGCCUGAGAACUCAAUGCCUAUGUUGGAGUCCCUAGCAGCCAAGCUCAGGACAAGACCCCAAUGCAAUGCCUAGUUCUCCGAUAGUCUUACUUGGAUAACUGACCACUGCCCCCAAGUUACUAGCUCUAGGGCUCAAUUCCUUGACAGGCAAGCCCAAAUCUGUCGAGACUAGGCCUAACUCCCUCAAGAUUGGGACCAAGACCUUGGUGCCUAUUCCCAAGUCCUUGAUGCCCAUGCCCAAAAACUUGGCUCCUACACCUAAGUCACUAGCAUCCAGACCUAGGUCCAUAAAAGUCAGGGUUCUUAGUGAUUGGGCUCAAGAACUCUGCUUCCUCAGCUGAGACUCCGACAAUUGGGUAUCUCUUAUAUAGCACGUAUAGGCUUGUCCUUUUAGGAAAAUAAAAUCAAGUUUUCAUUUCUAAACAACAAAAAUAAUUUUCAAUUCAUUUUCAGAUUUCAGACAAACAAAUGAGAAUAUUCCUCUUCUUACUUUCACGAGAGAGAGAGAGAAUAUUCCUAUUUUCUUGAAAAAUGACUUCCUAACAAAUAUUUUCCAAAAAUGUGAAAUUUUUCACGAAACAAAUGGAGCCUUAAUAUCUUUCUAUACAGUCUCUUCUUCUUUUUCCCUGAAAGAAGGUUCAUUUCAUGAGGUUGCUUUUUACAGCUAAUAUAAUCACUCGGAAGGGUUCCCAGAUAGCGAUUUGUGGAUUAUGGGCCGAAGAUGUCGUUUGAUUAGACAGCUUACACAUAAUUAAAUUGUAAGGGAACCUGGCCCAUAUCAAGAAAGUCUAAAUUGAACUCUUGCUAACGGGCCCCCAAGAAAGGAUCCUUAUUGAAGUUGAGGUCGACGCUGACGUCGGAGAAGGGCUUAUGGCUUUUUAUGCAUAUAAAUUUUAUUGAGUUCGGUCUGGAUACAAAGUGGGUGCGCUUGACAUAUGUGAAACUUGCGAGAGACACAGAAAGCAUUGAAAGCCUUCUAGCAAGAAAUUUAAGAGUGAGAGACCUCAUUUGCGGUGAUUGAUUCUUGCGAGUUCAGGUGUUAUCUAAAAUUCAGAAAUGCUUGAGAUCGAGUGUUCAAGCAAUGGGAAUCUUCUCCUUACCAUUUAUGAUGGAACCAACUUGUUGAUCUCUCCUUGUAGAGUAGGCACACCACCAAACGUGUUCAGGUUUUAUUUUUGCAGUUUAUUUCUUACUUGAAUCACUUCGUUUAUUGAUGCUUCCACAUUAGUUGUAACGAAGUGGCAUUAGAAACAAAGGUCAUUGUUGAUUGGUUGUUCAAGGAAUUUUGUCAGCUACGAUAAUCAUUAUGAUCUCUGUGAUCUUUGAGUUAGAGAAAUCCACAAUUUUAAUUUUGUGCCCAUUAAGAUGCGCAUUGGAGACACAGGAUUUGGAUUGAGCAUUUAAGGGAGACGAUAAAUUUCCCCAAACUAUGAAAGCUGCUAAAAAAGCAGACAUUUUGAAAAGAGUUCCAUUUUUUAUUUUGCUGAAUUUAGGGAACAACGUUUUGGUUUCAGUGGCGUAUGAGAGGAAUAGAGCUGCAGUUUCAGCAAAACUUGAAAGCGUUAUAUAUGUCGAAAUCACUCUCAAAGGUACUUUUCGUGUUUUUUAACUGUUCAGAUUAUUGAGGGAACAUCAAUCCAGGAUCACCUGUAUAAGUUCAAUAGAGUCAUCAAUGAUAUGAAGAAUGCGGAUGAGAACGUGUUGACUAACGGUGGAGGAAGCGUGAACUGGCAAAAAAAAAAAACCUGCUAAUUUACUCAAGACUGCGAGCAUUUGGGUGCCCUGCAUAUGGCCAUGUUAGGGACGGUAAGCUAGAACCGAGGACAAAGAAUUGCUUAUUUCUAUGCUACGCAGUACGCACUAGGGAUGCAAGGUUACAGGCCGUGGUGUUCAGAUCCUAAAAUCACCCGGAUUCAUCAGCAGCAGAGAUGUUGCAAGGAAACUCAGUAAGUACAGACUGGUGCCAUGAGACAAGCGGAACUUCAGUUGGAGGCUCAGUGGAAAACGCAGAUAGGAAGUGAGGAUAGAGGUCCCAAGCUGGGCGUCAGUGAGGGCACUAGUCAGUCUAGAGCAGAAGAUAGUACUGGUGGAAAGGUGGAGCUCGCAAAGACCUCAUCCUCCAUAGCGACAAGUAGAGAACGCGGGGAGAUCAGAGAACCACGGAGCCAUGCAGAUUGGUUACUUCAGAUGGUGUUACUUAUGCCAUGUCUGCUGUUGAGGAUGUCAAGGAUUUACUCUAAUACCGAGAAGCAGUGUCAGGUGUAGAGCUUCAGCAAUGGAUGCGAUGAGAGAGGAGAAGGGGUCUCUCUAGUGGAAUCAAACAUGGCAGUCACUGGUAUCUUUAAAAGGGCAGAAGAUAGGGUGCAAGUGGGUAAUCAAAAAGAAGCAUGACAGUUUCAACUCAUGAGCAACUUGAUAUAAGACGUGCCUGGUGGUGAAGGGGUUCAUGGUACUGAUAUAUUCUCACUCGUGGUGAAACAUAGUUCGAUCGGGGUGGUGUUGCGAUUAGUUGCAAUGGACAAGUAGCUAGAUGUUAAGACAGCUUUUCGGAGAAUCAGAGCAGAUAUACAUGCAAUAGCUGGAAGGCUUUGUUGUUCUAGGUCCUGAUGACAAUGUAUGCUUGCUCAAGCGAUCUCUUUAUGACUUUAAGCAAUGCCAUAGUGGUGCAAGCGAUUUGACUCCAUUCAACGCUAUGAUAAGAGUGCUGAUAAAAAUUGCAUGUACUUUAGGAGGUUAUAUGAUGGUAGUUACAAAAUUUUAUACGGCCUUGCCUUGCUUCCAACCUAAGUCACCGGCGAACAAGGCUAGGUCCAUCAAGGUCGGGCAUGAGAACUCAAUGCUCCCAUCAAAGUCCCCAACGGUCCAUGCCCAAGACCUUGGUACUAGUACAUGGGUCCUAGACCGCCAUGCUUGGGUAAGUGACUUCCACACCCAAGUCACUAGCUCCCGAGCUCCCUUAACAGCCAACCUCCCUCAAGACUGUGCCAAAGACCUAGGUAUCUAUGCCCAAGUCCUUGCUUACCGUUGCUUGGAUAAUGCUCAUGCCGCCAAGACGCAGUUGGGUAUCUCUUAUAUACUAUGAAUAAUGCAUGACUUUUUAGGAAAAUAAAAUCAAGUUUUUCUUUCUAAAUGAUAUAAUUUUCAAUUCAUUUUUAAAUUUCAGUUAAAUACCAGAAAAUAUUCUUAUUUAUUUGGAAAAAAAUUUCUUGAAAUUUUUUUUUGGAAAAUAUCAAAUUUUUCACAAAAUAAAUGGAGCUUUGAUUUCAUUUGAUUUUUCUUUCCAAUCUCUUCAUCUUUUUCCCCGAAAGAUGGAUCAUCGGAUGAGGACGCUUCUUUACAGCUAAUAUAAUCAACUGGAAGGGUUCCCAGAUGGUGAUUUGGGGAUUGCGGAUCGAAGUAAGUGUCGUUUGAUUAGAAAGCCUGCACACAAUUGAAUUGUAAGGGAACCUGGCCCAUAUCAAGAAAGUCCGACUUGAACUCUUGCUGACAGGCCCGCAAGACCUCCUUUUCUUAUUGAAGUUGAGGUCCAUCGUCGGAGAAGGGCUUAUACAGCUUUUUCUUGCAUAUAACUCUUGUCGAGUUCGGUCUGGAUACAAAGUGAGUGCGCCUAAUAUAUGUAAAACUGGCGAGAGACAGAAUGCAUUGAAAGCCUUCUAGCUAGAAAUUUAAGAGUGAGAGAACUCAUUUGCGGUGAUUGAUUCUUGCGAGUUCAAGUGACAUCUAAAAUUAGGAAACGCUUGAGAGUUGUCUGUUCAAGCAAUUGUAAUCUUCUCUUUGCCAUUAUAAUGGAACCAUCUCAUUGACUCUCCUCGUGGAGUAGCCAAAGCGCCAAACCAUGCUCACGUCUUAUUUCUGCAAUUUGUUUCUUGCUCUAACAGCUUCAUUUGUUCACACUUCCGCAUUAAUUGUGACAAAGUCGCAAUGGAAACUAAGUUUAAAUUUCACUUGAGGCUUGAAUCGCUUCAUGUGUUCAUACUUCCGUGUUGGUUGUAACAAAGCGGCAUUAGAAACUAAGUUUAUUGUUGAUUGGUUGUUCUAGGAAUUUUGUCCAUCUAUGAUAAUCAUUAUGGUCUCUGUGAUAUUUGAAUUAGAGAAAUUUAUAAUUUUAAUUUUGUGCACAUUAAGAUGCGCACUUUAUUGGAGACACAAGAUUUUGGAUUGAGCAUUAAAGGGACACGAUAAAUUUCCCCAAACUAUGAAAGCUGGAAAAAAAGCUGAUAUUUUGAAAAAAGCUGCAGGUUUUGUUCUAAGACUUGAAAACGCUAGAGAUUAGAGCGUUCAAAAGAUUGUAAUCUUCCUUUUGCUGAUUAUAGCGAAAUCAUGCCAUCGAUCUAAUGAGUAUUCUCAUUUCAGUAAUGAGUAUUUUCAUGUACAAUUUAAAUUCAGAAAAAAGAUAUUCGAGGACAGAAUAUAAUUUACCCUGCCAUGGAUCUUUGAUCAUUCAUCUAAUUUGAAUCUAUAUAUACAUCAAUUAAAUUUUUAAAAUGUCCCAUUGCCAAAAUCUGCAGAAGUCUAUUGCUUUUUGCACAUCAAUUAGAUUAUCAAAAUAUGCAUAAAACUUAAAGACUUUCUAAAAUUGGAGAUAUUCUAAAGUCCAUAAAAACUAAAUUUCUAGACAAACCUCACACAUGAGAAUGGGAAAAUUUGUUUAAAACUCCUAAACCUAUUAUACAACGGUCAAUUUAAUUCUAACUCUUUCAAUUAUGUCAAUUUAAUCAUAAAUCUUUUGACGAUUUACCAGUUUAGUCAUGAAUCUUUCAAUUGUGUCAAUUUAAUUCUAAGCAUUUUCAUGAUUUGCCAAUUUAGUCAUAACCCUUGACAAUUUUUCCAUAUAGCCCUUUCAACUAAUUAUAUAUAUAUAUAUAUAUAUAUAUAUAUAUAUAUAAUUUUUUUUAUGAUUAAAUUGGUAAAAUUUUAAAACAUAACUUCAAAAGGUUUAGGUGCCCAUGUCCAAGCACCCAAGACCUAUGCCAAUUCACCAAUGACCUAGCCUAAGUCCAUGGCUAAAUUCCACAGAGGUGAGCUGAGCUCGUGACCCCAAUGCCCGUGCCUAGAUCCCUACUGAUGAUUCCCAAGUACUUGUCUCUCAAGCCCGAGUCCAAGGAAGUUGGACUCAAGACCCAGGUGAGAUAGCUAGUAUAAGUACCUAGAUGGGGGGUGAAUAGGUGCACAAAUAAUUUCUCGAGAUACGGAAGCGAUUCUAGGCAAACGAUAGAAAGGAAGUUCUCUUUUGAUUAAUAAAAUACGAUCAAAGUAAAGUAAAGGAUAGAGAAGAGAAAAUUGAACACAAGGUUUAUAAUGGUUCGGCUUAUUCCAAGCAUACGUCCACUCUUCUACACUGACAGCUCACCGGCUGGAUUUCACUAUGAACAAAAGAGAAGUUACAGCACAGCUUUUCCUUGAUUCCACAUUAUAGAUGUUCUACCACACUUUCUCAAGGUUUCUCACAAAUAUAGACUCUUUUUUUUUUUGUAAAGAAAAUAUAGACUCUCUUUUGUUUACAAGAUUUCGCUCAACAAAUGAAUUGACUUAGAACAAGGAGCUUCAGACUUUGGAAUUCUUCUAUCGUGCACGCUCUCGAACAACUGGAACGUCUUCUUUAUAUACUCCUUCAUGCCAUCAUACCCGUUGGCACUUACCAAAGGAAUUCCUCCAAUCUAUCCGUUGGACAGAAUCAAUUAGGAAGAUCAUUCGAGCUAUUAAAGGAACAUGUCGAUAGCCCAUCAAUCAUGUUCGCCCAUACAAUCAGGAUCUCGAUUUCCAUAAGUAGAACCUUCCAAGUAUACUUUGCCAAUCAUCGGAUCCUUAAUCUUCGAAUCAAUUAUGAUCAAAUAAAGGAUUAUGUCAUGUCAUAUCCAGCCAAGAGAUCUUCUCCAGUCGAUAAGGUCACAUCCUUAAUGAAACAUCCAGUUCUGGAUAACCUUUCUUCAACGGAUUAGAAACUGUCAAUGAGGAUAGACUUUGAGUCUUGAGUCUGGCUGUCCGGAUGUCUUCAGACUUUAAAUAGCAGAGUCUGCAAGCCUUUAGACUAGACUGAUGGAAACGUUUUGUCAACUUCAAAACACUUCAAGAGGAUUUCUCCAACAAUCUCCCCCUUUUUUAUGGUAACAAAACUUUCCUGCAGAUUUGGAAAACUUUGAUCUGCAAAACAUUUCUCAAACACAUAUGCAUAUCUUAUAGAGAUAAAUGGCUAAAUGAAUAACACUAGAAUCUGUAACCAUAGAAAAUAGGUUAGUCUAGUAUGCAAUAAAGCAAUCCAUAAGAUAUCAAUAGUAGUUAAUAAUAAGCAGUCAAAUUCAAAUCCAAAUCCCAAAUUUAGUCCACAUCCAGACACACAAGUCAAGUCAAAACAAACCACAAACCAAACAAGCCAAAAGCUCGACAAAUUUAAGUUCAAAGUUUUUCAAAUCUCGCAACUCUCCCCAUUUUUGUUAGCAUAAAAAAAGUUGAGAUGAAAAUGGAGUGGAGUCAAGAAUGCUUGGGAACACGAACAAGCUGGAAAUCUCCCAUCGACUGAACGAUGCCUUCCAGCCUUUUCAAGUCUCCCUUCAGUUGUGCAACAUCCUCACCCUUAGCAUUAGCCUGAAUCUGAAGAGAAAGGGCUUGGAUCUGAUCAUUCAAUGAACCCAAAGAAGCUUGACCUGCAUUCUGCAAGUUCUGAACUUCGCAUCCCAAUGCAUAUAUCUGACCUUGCAUCUCCAAGAGAAUAUCCAUAAUUCUGCGAAAAUCUGUUGAAUUAUCGAUCUGCGUACUGGCGUCGGCACGAUCUGAUGGAGUAAAUGUAGACGAUGGUAGAUCAGCAUAAUCACGUAGAUUUGGCGAUGAAACAUCAUGACCUUCCUCAGGAAAUUGAGAGGCAUAAAUAUCCUCUGGAUCUACUGGGGAUCGACUGAUUCCCUCACUGGUUGCAGGAUAUGAGGACAUGCCUCUUUUCUCUUGGUCUCCGCCUGUUUUCAUGCCUUCAGGUGGAGAGUGCUCCUCAUGUUCUCCUUCUUCUUGAUCUCUUUUCUCCUCUUCUUCUUUUUCAACUCUCUCUUUCUCAACAUCUCUUUCUUCUUCUUCUUCUUCUUCUUCUUCUUCUCUUUCCUCCGUUUCUUUUUCCUCUGCUUCUUUCUCUUCUCUUUCUUCUGUCCGCUGUUCUGAGUCUUUCUCUGGAACAGAUCGACUCAGAUUCUUCAAAGCCAUUGCAGAAAUAGUGAUGUUUUCCUCAUCAUCUUCAUCCUCAACGAUGAGAGCUCUUCUUCUCUUGGAUGGAGCAUCCAUGGGCUCCUUCCCUUUUCUUUUUCCUGUAGAAGAGAAUUGAUGAGAUUUGACUGGAGUCUUCUCCUUGAAUUUCUCCAAUGCCUUGCUUAGUUCCUUCAGACGCAUCUUAGUCACCAUUUCCAGUCCUACCACCAUAUGAUCGCACGAUCGAGCACAAAGAAUUUGCGGAGGCUAAAUGUUCAGAUGUCUGAACAACUUCGUCACAAGACCUGGAUAAGGAAGUUGACCUAUGUCCUUCAUCACUACUCUAUACAUGUGGAACAUAACAGUUGGAGGAAGUGAAAACCUUUUCCCAGAAAUGAUGGCAUACAUCAGCUUUGCCUCUGAACUUGAAACAUCAGUCUUGGAAGUUGAUUUCGGUCUGAGGCAAUUGAUUACAAUCUUGUGAAGCAAGAUGUUGAAUGCACUCAUCCUUGAGUAGGAAACUUUUCCUCUGUUCUCCUGUCCUUAACAAGUUCCAAUGUAGCACGAGCAAUAGAAACUUUGAUCCGUUGAUAUCUUCCUCUCUCAACUCCUAACACAUUUGCUAGCAUAUCCAUAUCCACUACAAAGUCUUGAUCUUUGACACUGAAAGAGAAUCUAUUCGCAUCCAAGAAACUAAGAUUUGAAUAGAAAUAUGCAGUUAGUUGAGGAUAGGCCUCUAUGGUGUCAGAGCAGAAUUUUUCAAGUUGAAGAUGACCGAAAUUUUCCCUCAAGUUCACAUUCACAGCAUCCAGAAAAUCAAAAUCUACACUCCUAGGGUUUAUCACCCCACGCUUCAGCAAUUUUGAGUAUAGAUCCUUAUAUUCCUUCGAUCUAAACAACUCUCCCAUUUUUCCUCGAUUUUCCGCCGCAACUCCCAUUCUUGGUUGAAAUUGGCUGUAUAAUUUGUCAUCAUCAUUCCCAUCUACCGGAUUAAAUCCCCAAUCACGAGGAUCACUUUGGAUAUUCGCAAGGGUUUCUUUUGUCACCCCUUUACGAGCAAUUCCCAAACUUUCCAUUUUUCGCAAAAAGAUAUAUUCAUUUCUAUAUCCUUUGUCCUUAAGAAAAUCAUCGACAUAGUUCAAUGGAGUACCAAUCUCUUUUAAAGCACGAUACAACUUAUAAAUGAAAGAGGGCCUUUGAACUUUUACAGGAUCUGCAUCUUCAAUGAUUUCUUCUUUUUGUUGAUGAUCAACAUCUUGAGGACUAGAUGGAGGAGAAUGACGCUGCUGAGAAUGUUGUGGGCUCUGCUACUGAUUUGGAGACACUUCUUCUUCAGAGAGAUCGAAGUGCAUAGGCCCCUCACUCAUUCGCCAUGGUCCCCUACUUGCGAUCCUCGAAAACUUUCUUGAAGACGACAUCUUUCUUAGUCUUUGAAAGAUUCCGUGCUUGACUUUCCCAAGAAAGAUGACGACUUUUUCGAAGAUUAAAUAAGAGAGGAAAAUGGGAAUGGAAGAUUGGUGCUUUUUAGGGUUUUGGAGUUAAGCGAAGAGAAACCGGACUGUAUAUAAGACAGUCGAAAAGAGGAGAUAUCAAAUGUCGUAAUGGAAAGUGAAAAGAUGCCUUUUAAAAAAUAACUGCCUUUUUCGAAAAAUGGUCAUCUCAAAAUAACUCCUUUUUCUAAAGGAAACGUUGCAAUAAUCUCGUCAAUUAAAGAUAGCGGUUGAGAUAACAAUAAUCAAACACGGUUGAUGAACGUACCUUUUCAAGAUGAGAUUAGAGAGAGAAUAACUUACAGUCAAAGUCUUGCAGUCAAAGUCUUAUUUGUCUGAGUCUAAGAGUCUCUAGACUUUAACUUCUUCAAACCUCAAAAUGUUGAGUCUGGAACGGAUAAUUUCAAAUUGAUUUUUCUCUAAAGGCUUUGUAAAUAUAUCCGCCAGUUGGUUCUUUGAGUCAACAAACUAAAUCGUAAUUUCUCCAUUUUGAACAUGAUCUCUAAUGAAGUGAUGUCGAAUCUCUAUAUACUUUGCUCUUGAGUGAAGAAUUGGAUUUUUGGUGAGAUUGAUUGCGCUGGUGUUGUCACAUUUAAUCUCCGUGCAUGAAUCUUCAAUUCCUAAGUCUCUUAGCUGUUGUUUUAUCCACAGAAUUUGUGAACAACAACUUCCAAGAGCUACAUAUUCUGCUUCUGCUGUAGAGAGAGCUACUGUACUUUGCUUCCUUGAAAACCAAGACAUUGUCCUGCCUCCAAGUAGUUGACAUGUACCUGAGGUGCUUUUUCUAUCAACUCUGCAUCUGGCUAAGUCUGCGUCUGAGUAUCCAAGAAGAGUAAAGUCUCCCCUUUUAGGAUACCAGAGACCAAAGCUUGAAGUUGAUGCAAUAUAUUUGAUAAUACGCUUUGCAGCAUUUAAGUGUGAUUCUUUAGGGUCUGCUUGAAAUCUGGCACAAAUGCAAACACUAAACAAAAUGUCAGGUCUAGAAGCAGUAAGAUAAAGAAGUGAACCGAUGAUACUCAUGUAUAACUUUUGGUCGACUUUCUUUCCUCCUUCAUCUUUGUCUAUCUUCAAGGAACUUGACAUUGGUAUAUCGGCCUUUUUGCAAUUGUCCAGUCCAAACUUUUUAACAAUAUCAUUAGCAUAUUUUUCUUGAUGAAUAAAAGUUCAUUCCUUCAGUUGUUUCACUUGAAGUCCAAGAAAGAAUGUUAACUCACCCAUCAUGCUCAUUUCAAAUUCAUCCUGCAUAGUCUUAGAGAAUUUCUUGCACAGACUUUCAUUAGAGGAUCCAAAAAUAAUAUUAUCGACAUAUAUUUGAAUAAGUAGAAAACUCUUGCUUUCUCUUUUAAUAAAAAGAGUAGUGUCUACUUUACCUUUAACAAAACCAUUUUCAAUUAAAAACAUACUCAGUCUGUCGUACCAAGCUCGAGGUGCUUGUUUUAAGCCAUAUAAAGCCUUUUUGAGUCUGAAUACUGAGUCUGAUUUUCUUGGGUCUUCAAACCCAGGUGGUUGUUCCACAUAGACUUUCUCAUGGAUGAAUCCAUUUAAGAAGGCACUUUUGACAUCCAUUUGGAAUAACCUGAAAUUUUUAUAACAAGUAAAAGCAAGUAAUAAUCGAAUUGCUUCUAACCUUGCUACUGGUGCGUAAGUCUUGUCAUAGUCUAUCCCUUCUUCUCGUGUGUAUCCCUUGGCCACGAGUCUUGCCUUGUUUCUUAUGACUUUUCCUUUCUCGUUCAUCUUGUUCCUGAAAACCCAUUUAGCUCCAAUAACAGACUUACCUUUCGGUUUAGGAGUCAAUUCCCAGACAUCAUUAAUACUAAAUUGCCUGAGCUCUUCUUGCAUAGCUUCAAUCCAGCUUUCAUCAGAUAAAGCUUCUUCUAUGAUUUUGGGUUCUAUUUCAGAAAUAAGAGCCCCAGCACUAGACUCUUCGCGCCUUUUGGAUCUUGUGCGAAUUCCUUCAUUGAUGUCGCCAAUAAUAAGAUCUUUGGGAUGACUGGACUUAUGUUUCCAGUUGCUGGUUAAUUUGUCAUAUUGAUGGUCACUUCAUUCACUUGAAUCUUCAACAGUCACUUGUUGCUGGUCCUUCAAAGUCUGAGUUAUUUCCUGAGAUUUAGACUUUGUAGAGUCUGGAGCAGGUUCAGAUUCUUCAAGAUGAGUCUGAAUGAAUUCAUUUUGCAUAGAAUCUUGGAAUUUAACAUUCAUUGAUUCUUCCACUGUUUGAGUCUUCUUGUUGUAGACUCUGUACGCUUUGCUUGUGGUUGAAUAUCCAAGGAAGAUGCCUUCAUCUGACUUUUCUUCAAACUUACCAACUCGAUCAUUUGCAUUUUUCAAUAUAAAACAUUUGCAUCCGAAUACAUGAAAAUAUGAAACAAUAGGCUUCUUUUCUUUGAAUAGUUCAUAGGGGGUUUUUUCCAGAAUAGGCCUUAGAAAAACUCUAUUUAUAAUGUAACAUGCUGUAGAAACUGCUUCAGCCCAAAAACGUGAAGAGAUAUUGCUUUCUAUUAAAAGAGUUCUAGCCAUUUCUUGAAGUGAUCUAUUCUUUCUUUCCACAACUCCAUUUUGCUCUGGAGUAUAUGGAGAGGAGAAUACAUGUUGAAAACCAGAUUCAUCACAGAAUUUUGUAAAAUCAUGAUUUUCAAAUUCACCUCAAUGAUUUGUUCUUAUACUCGAGAUAACAUACCAUUUUUCAUUUUGAACCUUUUUAGCAAACUUUUCAAAGUAAGAGAAAGUUUCAGACUUACUUGCCAAGAAAUAUACCCAAGUAAAUCGUGAGUAGUCAUCCACAAUUACUAGGCAAUAUUUCUUACCUCCAAUGCUUUGUGUUCUGGUUGGUCCAAAAAGAUCCAUAUGCAGAAGCUGCAAUACACGGUUAGUGGAAACUUGAUUUAUUGGUUUAAAGGAAUUUCUUACCCGUUUUCCCAAUAUACAUGGUGUACAUAGAUCAGACUUUUGGUAUGAUAAAUUGGGUAGACCACGAACAAGCUUCUUUGCUGAAAUUUUGGCUAUCUGCUUCAUAUUGAUAUGCCCAAGCUUUUUGUGCCAUAACUUUGCUUCGUCUUGGAUUGAUAUUAGACAUUGCGAUUCAUCUGGUUUCACAUCCAAGAGGUAGAUAUUUCCAUGUCUUCGACCCAUGAAUGACUGAGUAGAAUCUUUACUAAUUCCUGAACAUAUUCCCUCUUGAAAGUUGAUUUUGAAACCAGUAUCACAUAGUUGACUAAUACUGAGCAAAUUGUAAUUAAGUCCUUCCACUAAGGAAACAUUACUGAUUGUGAGAUUUCCAAUCUUUUCGGUUCCAAAUCCCACAAUUUUUCCUUUGUUGUUUCCUCCAAAAGAAACUUUUCUACCAUUUACUCGAACAAGCUUUAUAAAGUAAUUUGAGUCUCCUGUCAUGUGUGUUGAGCAUCCACUAUCCAGAUAUCAUUUUACCUUUUUCUUGAUAGUGACUUGCAUUUAAAAAAGAAACUCAAACCUUCUUUGGUACCCAUAUUUUCUUGGGUCCAUUGGUGUUAGUAUGAUAUGCCGUUUUUGCCCAUACCUUUUUAACAGGUUUCCAAAUCAUAGGACAUUCUUUUUCAAAAUGAUCUGCACUAUUGCACUUUGAGCAUUUGAGAGCAUUGCGACCUACUGGUUUUACAAAGAUUCUUUUAAAAUGAUUUUUGUAAGCAUCUCUUGUGGGUCUUUGUUUGAUUCUUUCCUUCACUUUAGGAAAAUCAAUUAAAGGAAUGGUUUCAGCACUCAUUCCCAAACCAAAUUUUUUUGAAAUAAGGUCUUUUGAACAGAGAGAAUUUUUUCCAGUUUUCUCAGAUCCCUAUAGAAAAUCCUUUUGGAAAAUAUUUUGAGAUAUCAUUUUUUCAAAGAAUGCAUUUUCCUUUUAAAAAGAUUAUCUUUCACUUUCUUUAAAGAGAAGAAAACAUUCUUGUCUAAAACAUUUUCACUUUUUUCUUUCAAAAUAUUUUUCCUGUUGGGUUUAAAGCAAAAUUUUCCUUUCUUGGUUUCGGAAAUUCUUUUAAGGAGAAUCCAUCAAUGGUAUUUUGAAACUUUAAUAGGGACUUUGAAGUUACUUACCUCAAAUUCGCUUUCUGAAUCUGAAUCUGUCUCGAAAUUUGAAUCUGAAUCCAAUUGUGCCAUCAGACAUAUAUUGGCAUAAUCAUCAUCACUUUCUUCACACUCUGUAUCACUCCAGGUUUCAACUUUAAGAGCCUUUCGAUACUUUUCAGUUUUUCCUUUCUUCUUCCUCAGAAGAGGACAGUUGGGUCUGAUGUGUCCCUUUUUCUUACAUUCAAAGCAGACUACAUCUUUGUUUGAUUCAUCAUCCUCAACAGACUUAGUCUGUUGUUUUUGAAAACUGUGUUUCUUUGGAUUGAAUCUUCUUCCUUUUCUGUUCAGCUUUCUGAAUCUUCUUAUCAUAAGAGCAAGUUCCUCAUCAUCCAUAUCGUCUUCAGAAUCUGUAACAUCAGAAUCAUCAUUAGAUUUUAAUGCAAUGGAUUUCUUACCUUUAGGGUCUUCGUCUUCAUUGAUUCGUUCCACUUCAUAAGAUUGAAGAGUCCCAACCAACUCAUCAACAGAUAGUGGCAUGAUUCUUUGGGUCUCUCUGAUUGAGGUCUUUAUGUGAUUCCAAUCCUUGGAGAGUCCACGCAAUAGCUUGUUUACCUUCAUGGGAUCAUAAAUUGGUUGACCUUGAUUUUCAAGACUAUUCACGAUUUCUGUAAAACAACUAAACAUAUCAGUUAUAGAUUCUCCUGAUUUCAUUUUGAAGGCUUCAUAUUGACCGAGGAGAAUGUUGAUUCUAGUCUCUUUCACUCGAUCGGUUCCUUCAUAGGUAAUAUGUAAUCUAUCACAGACUUCUUUAGCUGUAACACAAGAAGAUAUUCUAUUAUAUUCAGUAGGAGAUAAAGCACAAUAUAAAGAAUAAAUUGCUUUUGCAUCAUGAGCUUGUCUCUUGAUUAUCUCUUCCUGAGUCAUUUCGCUAGACUCAACAGCAUCUUUUCCUCUUUCUAAGAUAGAUGCAGCUUUAGAAAUGAUUCUUUUUUCUACAACGUCCCAUUCCAGAGGAUCCUUUGAUCUUAGGAACGCUUUCAUCUUGUUUUUCCAUAUGUUGUAAUCCUUUCCAUCAAAGUAAGGCGGUCUGGUAUUGCUUUGCCCUUCAACCAGCCUUGGAGCCAACAUACUAGCCAUGGAUCUUUAACUCUGAAGUAAAACACUUCAAACAAAGUGAGUACACAGGCUCCGAUACCAAUUGAGAUAGCUAGUAUAAGCACCUAGAGGGGGUGAAUAGGUGCACAAAUAAUUUCUCGAGAUACGGAAGCGAUUCUAGGCAAACGAUAGAAAGGAAGUUCUCUUUUGAUUAAUAAAAUACGAUCAAAGUAAAGUAAAUGAUAGGGAAGAGAAAAUUGAAUACAAGGUUUAUAGUGGUUCGGCUUAUUCCAAGCCUACGUCCACUCUUCCGCACUGACAGCCCAUCGGCUGGAUUUCACUAUGAACAAAAGAGAAGUUACAGCACAGCUUUUCCUUGAUUCCACAGUGUAGAUGUUCUACCACACUUUCUCAAGGUUUCUCACAAAUAUAGACUCUCUUUUGUUUACAAGAUUUUGCUCAACAAAUGAAUUGACAUAGAACAAGGAGCUUCAGACUUUGGAAUUCUUCUAUCGUGCACACUCUCGAACAACUGGAACGUCUUCCUUAUAUACUCCUUCAUGCCAUCAUACCCGUUGGCACUUACCAAAGGAAUUCCUCCAAUCUAUCCGUUGGACGGAAUCAAUUAGGAAGAUCAUUCGAGCUAUUAAAGGAACAUGUCGAUAGCCCAUCAAUCAUGUUCGCCCAUACAAUCAUGAUCUUGGUUUCCAUAAGUAGAACCUUCCAAGUAUACUUUGCCAAUCAUCGAAUCCUUAAUCUUCGAAUCAAUUAUGAUCAAAUAAAGGAUUCUGUCAUGUCAUAUCCAGCCAAGAGAUCUUCUCCAGUCGAUAAGGUCACAUCCUUAAUGAAACAUCCAGUUCUGGAUAGCCUUUCUUCAACGGAUUAGAAACUGUCAAUGAGGAUAGACUUUGAGUCUUGAGUCUGGCUGUCCGGAGGUCUUCAGACUUUAAAUAGCAGAGUCUGCAAGCCUUCAGACUAGACUAAUGGAAACGUUUUGUCAACUUCAAAACACUUCAAGAGGAUUUGUCCAACACCAGGUGCUUGCACCCAAGUCGCCAACAGCCAUGCCCACGUACUCAACUCACACACUCGAGACACUAGCACUUAAGCUCCGACCCACAACCAUCGAGCUCUAGGCCAUGGUGCCCAUGCCCAAGUCCCUAACUCCUACGCCCAAGUCAUCAACGAUGCCGGAGCCUAAUUUCUCAUCAGCUAGGCCAAACGGGCUUAAGACCUCAACACUCGUACUUAGGUCCCUAAUGGCCUUCCCUAACUCUCGUGCCCAAGUCAUCGACAAACAAGUCCAUAGAGGUUGGGCCUGAGAACUCAAUGCCUAUGUUGGAGUCCCCGGCAGCCAAGCUCAGGACAAGACCCCAAUGCAAUGCCUAGUUCUCCGAUAGUCUUACUUGGAUAACUGACCACUGCCCCCAAGUUACUAGCUCUAGGGCUCAAUUCCUUGACAGGCAAGCCUAAAUCUGUAGAGACUAGGCCUAACUCCCUCAAGAUUGGGACCAAGACCUUGGUGCCUAUUCCCAGGUCCUUGAUACCCAUGCCCAAAAACUUGGCUCCUACACCCAAGUCACUAGCAUCCAGACCUAGGUCCACAAAAGUCAGGGUUCUUAGUGAUUGGGCUCAAGAACUCUUCUUCCUCAACUGAGACUCCGACAAUUGGGUAUCUCUUAUAUAGCACGUAUAGCGCUUGUCCUUUUAGGAAAAUAAAAUCAAGUUUUCAUUUCUAAACAAUAAAAAUAAUUUUCAAUUCAUUUUCAGAUUUUAAACAAACAAAUGAGAAUAUUCCUCUUCUUACUUUCACCAGAGAGAGAGAGAGAGAGAGAGAAUAUUCCUAUUUUCUUGAAAAAUGACUUCCUAACAAAUAUUUUCCAAAAAUGUGAAAUUUUUCACAAAACAAAUGGAGCCUUAAUAUCUUUCUAUACAAUCUCUUCUUCUUUUUCCCUGAAAGAAGGAUCAUUUCAUGAGGUUGCUUUUUACAGCUAAUAUAAUCACUCGGAAGGGUUCCCAGAUAGCGAUUUGUGGAUUAUGGGCCGAAUAUGUCGUUUGAUUAGACAGCUUACACAUAAUUAAAUUGUAAGGGAACCUGGCCCAUAACAAGAAAGUCUAAAUUAAACUCUUGCUAACGGGCCCCCAAGAAAGGAUCCUUAUUGAAGUUGAGCUCGACGCUGACGUCGGAGAAGGGCUUAUGGCUUUUUAUGCAUAUAAAUUUUAAUGAGUUCGGUCUGGAUACAAAGUGGGUGCGCUUGACAUAUGUGAAACUUGCGAGAGACACAGAAAGCAUUGAAAGCCUUCUAGCAAGAAAUUUAAGAGUGAGAGACCUCAUUUGCGGUGAUUGAUUCUUGCGAGUUCAGGUGUUAUCUAAAAUUCAGAAAUGCUUGAGAUCGAGUGUUCAAGCAAUGGGAAUCUUCUCCUUACCAUUUAUGAUGGAACCAACUUGUUGAUCUCUCCUUGUAGAGUAGGCACACCACCAAACGUGUUCAGGUUUUAUUUUUGCAGUUUAUUUCUUACUUGAAUCACUUCGUUUAUUGAUGCUUCCACAUUAGUUGUAACGAAGUGGCAUUAGAAACUGAUGGUUUUAUUAGUGAUGGGCUUAUGGCCCGUCCGCCCAUGUUGGGCCUAAAAGCCCAGCCCACGGAAUUAGGGCCCGUUGAUAAGGGAACGUAUAAAAGGAGAAAGAGAGAGAGAGAGGAAGACCCCCGUUGGAAUAACGCACGUACGUUCCUCUCCCUCUCCCUCCAAAAAGAACAGUACGCUUAAGGCAACGCCGUUUCCCUUUCAAGGCGAAUUGACAUCAUCAGAUUAGAAUUUCUUCCUCGAUCUUCGGCAUUGGUGUCUAAUCUGUGGCUAACAAGAUACGCUCGAAUCCGUGGUGUGCUUUACGAUCGGUGAUAUGUGUUUUUCCCGGGUUUCGUCUUCCACAUUGAUUUAGGGGUUCGAUUAAGUGUCAAAUUCGAUUUUCGGGGAUCCGUUAUUCCCAACAUUGGUAUCAGAGCCCUAGUUCACGUUUUCCCGACCUGUUUGAUGUUUUUUGAUUGAUUUUUCACGAAAAUUUACGGCCGUACGGAUCGGGGUGAGAAAUCCCGACACCCGAGCGCUAUUCGUCCUUUUUUCUGAGUUUCCGUAAGUCGAAAUCAAUUUCUGAAGGAAUUGGGUGAAAGAGGUCGCCGAGACGAGUCUGGCGACAUGUCGUGCACCGCCGGACGACGCCGCACGCACCCGAAGCGCUGGCAUCGGCCACCGCGUGCGCCACACGCGCCGGUCGGCGAACUGGCACGUGCGCGACGCCGGCGGUGAACCAGCAUGCGCCAGUCGGCGGACCGACGCGUGCUGACGUCAGCAUGACGUCAUCCAAUGGUCGGUAACCGCUGGGAUGACGUCAUCGCUGACGUUAGCGCCGACGACAGUUGGUCGGGCGAUCACCGGCCGGCGACCCGGUCGGCAAUCCGACCCGACCCGACCCGACCCGCAGACGCCUGGCACACGCGAGGCACGUGCCGGCUGACGUCUGCGUGACGUCAGUUCGCGCACGCGCACGGCACGUACGGUCGGUUCGUCCCACCCGGCCCAACCGACCCGACUGGUUCGACAACCGACGACCGUUGACCGUUGACUUUGACUGUUGACCCGAAAAAAAAAAUUUUGUUUCUUUUUCAGUUAUGUCUGUGUGGGUUAGAGGUAAUCCAUUUUUUAUUCUGCAUUUGUUGCAUGAAUUAUGAAAAAUUAUGUAUUUUCCAUUUUAUUUAUUGUGGAUUAUAAAUGAUCCAUUUAUUGGUUCUGCAUUUGUUGCGGGAACUAUGAUGCGUUAUGCACGGAUACCUGCAAUCCCGAGAAUGGACGAAGGUAGAGCUAGACUUAAAAGGCUAAUGAAAGAGUUAGCUUAUUAUCAAUGGCUUGAUGGUGAUUUAGUAUCACACAUGGUCAAGGUCAAUCAGAUGAUACAGGAAAUCAUCUGGAAUGGUUAUCUUAUGCCGGAUUUUGAGAAGGUGCCGGCUUUGAUGAACACUCUUCCACUUGAAUGGCAAGCAGUGUUAGAUCGGCUAUGGGAGGUCAACGUGGUCUCAGAUUAUAGGAGGCUAGUGGAAGCUUUUGUAAGAGAGUACUAUAGGAUUGAGUUGGCCAAAACUUCAACCCUUAGAUUGAGCGCCACAUGGGGUAGAGUAAAUGCGCCUUGGUGGCGACAUGAAAGCUCUCCAAAAGUUUUUCCACGGUUGGCAAAUGUGCCUUCAGUUUUAUCAGAUUUUUGACUGAUAGAUUAGAAGAGACUUUCCCUAUUUAUUUCUUAGAUUAGUUUGAGAUAUUUUUGAGUGUUGAAUAUCUCUUUCUAUGUUGAUAUUUCUUUUUGGAUAUAUUACUUAGUGUAAUGGAUUGUUGUAUUAGUUGAAAGCAUUAUUAUUUUAUUGGAUGUCAAUUAUCUGUUGCUUUCUGUUAUUGCUAAUUGUUGUGGGUAGUUUAUAGAAGUUUUUGUAACUUCAUAGAAUUUAUUUUGCAUAAGACAAUUAUAUUAAUGAUAGUUUUAAGUUAGGAUUUUUGGAGAAUGAUUGGAAACAUAGUGACCUUUUGAUUCUGAAACCUUACUUGAAAUUAUUCAUUGAUAUGAUGGGUCUGUGUAAAGUAGAUGCAUAAAUGAUAAGCAUUAAUUAUUCGUGCAUAUAUGUCUGAUGUGUUUAGAUUGAUGGUUUCAGCAACUAAGAACGUAAUUGCUGAUGUGAACGGCAACAAUUGUGAAAUAUUGAAUAUGAAGAUUCAAUAUGUGCUGGAAAAGCAAGAAGCACUAGAAGCUCUUGACCAUGUUAUGGAAGAUCUUGAGAAUGCUGUGCGCCACCUUGAAUUGGUAGAGGACCACUUGACGGCAUGUGAGCCGAAAAUAGAUAUUUGCAAUGCUGGUUCUAGCUCAGAAAGGGCUUUGAGCUCUAAGCGCAAACGUAUGGAUUCGUUCAAUAUGUGGGAAUGCAAAGGAUCAAGUUCUUAUUGCAAGAGAUCAAGAGUUAACCAAGACAAGAGAGGAAAAUGUCCUCAAGUGAAGAAAAUGUCAAGGGUGAGGUAUUACAAUUGUGACAAUAGAGGUCAAUAUGCUCGCGACUGUCGUGAGCCAAAGAAGGUAUACACCUCUUGUANNNNNNNNNNNNNNNNNNNNNNNNNNNNNNNNNNNNNNNNNNNNNNNNNNNNNNNNNNNNNNNNNNNNNNNNNNNNNNNNNNNNNNNNNNNNNNNNNNNNNNNNNNNNNNNNNNNNNNNNNNNNNNNNNNNNNNNNNNNNNNNNNNNNNNNNNNNNNNNNNNNNNNNNNNNNNNNNNNNNNNNNNNNNNNNNNNNNNNNNNNNNNNNNNNNNNNNNNNNNNNNNNNNNNNNNNNNNNNNNNNNNNNNUAUGCUCCGUUGCACUUCAUCAAAAUUUUGUGUCUGUUUUGGUGUUGGUUAAGCUUGGUUUUAAUGUGAACUUCCGUAAUAGCGGUGUAGAUUUUUAUUUGGAUACAAACUACUAUGGUUGUGGUCACUUUCUGGAUGUUUUUAUUGUACUAAAUAUUGACUGUGGUGAUGUCAAUGUUUGUUAUUCCCUUGUUUCACGUCUUCUACUUCAUAUGAUAAUGAUGUGAAUGUGUGGCAUGCUAGACUUGGUCAUAUUGGCCAAUAAUGUAUGAAUAGACUGGCCAAAGAGGGCUUGUUGGGCAAUAUUGAAAAAGUCGAUUUGCCCAUAUAUGAGCAUUGCCUAGUAGGGAAAACGACAAGGAAAUCAUUUGGAAAAGGUAAAAGAGCUGAAUUUCCUCUGCAUUUAAUCCAUUCUGACGUCUGUGAUUCAAUGAAUGUGAGAGGAAGGCAUGAGACUGUUUAUUUCAUCACUUUUAUAGAUGAUUAUACUCGAUUCGGAUAUGUCUAUUUGAUUUCUCAUAAAUAUGAAGCAUUAAGUUGUUUCAAAAGGUUUAUGAACUUGGUAGAAAAUCAAUUAGAUAAGAAAAUAAAAACAUUGAGAUCCGAUCGAGGUCGAGAAUAUUUAUCUGAUGAGUUCAGAAAAUUAUGUGGUGAAAAACGAAUAGAAAGACAAUUGUCUAUUUCAAAUACUCCUCAACAAAAUGGUGUUGCAAAGAGAAGAAACAAAACCCUACUGGAAAUGGUUAGGUCCAUGAUGGCGCAUGCUAACUUACCUAUUACUUUUUGGAGUGAUAUGUUGUUAACUGCUGCCCAUAUACUUAACUCGGUGCCUUCCAAAUUAGUUAGUUCCACUCCAUAUGAGUUAUGGACAGGUAGAAAACCGGACUUAAGUUUUCUUAAGCCAUGGGGAUAUGCCGCCUAUACACAUGAGUCCUCUCACAAAUUUGGGAAAUUGGGUCCCAGAGGAAAGAAGAGUAUUUUCAUAAGGUACUCAGAACACUUGAAAGGAUAUGUGUUCAUAGGUGAGCAGGAAAGUGGGAGUAUAACUGAGUUUGAAUCACGAGAUGUCACAUUCUUAGAGGAUGAACUUCCUAAGAAGGGCGAAAUAGGGGAAGAUUGUUCCCUAUUUGAGACCUUGGAUCAGGAUAAUGAUGUUAGUGGAGUUCGUCCAAGUGGGAGUAAUAUGAGAAGUGAUGAAUUGAAUUCAACUCAUUCUCAAUUGCAACCACAUGAUGAGACGACAUCAUCAUUACCUAAUCCAAGUGGGAGCAUGAUGGGGAAUGAUGUGCAAAGUGUAUAAUCACCCACACGGCGAACAAGUCGCCAAAGUAUUCCCCGUCGACAUUUUGACAUUGAAGGGGAAACUUUUAUGGUUGUUCCACGAGAUAAGGAUGAGCCAAGAAAUAUUAAUGAGGCUUUGAAAUGCCCUAGUAAGGAAAAAUGGAUUUAUGCAAUGAAAGAGGAGAUUGAGUCAAUGAAGUUAAACCAAGUCUGGGAACUGGUUGAUCUUCCAAAAAGACGCAAAGCUAUUGGGAACAAGUGGGUUUUCAAAAUAAAGCGUAAAGCUGAUGGCUCGAUAUAAAGGCAUAAGGCUCGCCUUGUGGCGAAUGGGUAUAAUCAACAGGAAUGAAUUGAUUAUGAAGAAACAUUUUCUCCUGUAGUGAGAUUUACCUUGAUUCGCAUAAUUCUGGCAAUAGUGUUUAGUAUAGAUCUUGAAUUACAUCAAAUUGAUGUAAAGACUGCUUUCCUCAAUGGAGAAUUAGAGGAAGAAAUAUAUAUGGAACAAGCUGCUAUUUUCAUAGUGAAAGGCCAAGAAGAAAAGGUAUGUCAACUUUGGGGGCCGAUAUAUGGCCUUAAGCAGUCGCCAAGACAAUGGUAUAUACGUUUUCAUAAUGCCAUAAUGGCAUAUGACUUUACAAUGAUAGAUGAGAAUCAUUGUAUAUAUAUAUCAAAAGAUCCAAGGAUCAAUUUGUGAUCAUAUCAUUAUAUGUUGAUGAUAUACUAAUUGCCGGAAGUAAUAUGGAGUUUGUUAAUACUGUCAAGAGUUAGUUGUCUUCCAACUUUGAGAUGAAAGACAUGGGUGAUGUUGCAUACAUUCUUGGAGUUAAGAUUUCAAGAUUGUAAACCCAUUGAUACUCCUAUUGCAAAAGGUGAAGGAUUGAGCCAUAGACUGUGUCCAAGGACUCCACAAGAGAAGGAACAAACGAAAUAUGUUCCUUAUGCUGGUGCUAUUGGGAGCUUGAUGUACGCUAUGAUGUGUACAAGACCUGACAUAUGUUUUGCAGUUGGAAUGGUGAGCAUAUACCAAUCCAAUCCAGGUCAAGCACAUUGGAAAGCCGUUAAAUGAAUACUAAGGUAUCUAAAGGGACUGCUGAUUAUACGUUGAGUUAUUAUGGAAAGGAUCUGCAACUCAAAGGCCAUUCUAAUGCUGAUUGGAGAGGAGAUUUAGAUGAAAGAAAAUCUCCCUCUGGGUUUGUUUUCUUACCGAAUAAUGGCACCAUAUGUUGGAGCAGUAAGAAACAAAAGUGUAUAGCCUUGUCCACGAUGGAAACUGAGUUCGUGGCAUUAUCAGCAGCAAUAUAAGAAGAUGUUUGGCUUAAGAGAUUUUUUGGAUCAUUUAGGUGUUGUUGGAAGUGCUGCAGAUUAAUUGUUGGUUAAUUAUGAUAGCCAAGCAGCAAAAGCAUACACCAAAGAUCAAAAAUAUCAUGGCAAGACCAAACUUAUAGAUACCAAGUACAAUCUUGUCAAAGAUAUGGUUGCACGAAAGGAUGUGAACUUAGAGUACAUACUACGCAUAGAAUGGUAGCAGAUCCUAUGACAAAGCCAAAACCUAGAGAUGUGUUUUGUGGCCAUAUGAAAUCUCUAGGAUUGCGUAGAGUCUGAUGUACUGGAUUGUAAUUCCCUGAAGUGUUCACAUUUGAUGAAUUUGUGUUUUUCAUCAUUAAUGCCUAUGAAUCUUUGUUUGAUCUUUAUGCAUCUUAAUACUCGGUGCAUUAUUUUAAGUUGAGGAAGUAUGUCGGACAGAUAUAAGAUUAGCCCACUCACACAGGUAAUCGCCUCUAUUUACUGUGAGAUAAAUAGAGAUGAGACUGUUUUUAAGCUUAUUAUCUAGGUGAUAAUCGAGAGCUCAAGCUUAAAAUACGUAUGUCGCCUUAACUGGGUGUUAAGAUGAGGACAUAAUACUUACUAUGUCUGAAAGUAAAAUAGCCCACAUAUUUUACUUUAUAUGUCUAUGAUGCCAGAUGUGAGUUCUGAUGAAUUUUGUGAAUGAGUAGAUACGUGAACUCAAGUUAGACAUUGGGUAUGUCUGGACUAUCAUCUAUACAGUGUUGAAAGUGUAGACAUACGCUCCAUGGGAAAGGAGUUAAUACCGUAAUACGUAUUUCAUACUAUGUAUGCAUGAAAUGACCAAUAAGAGUGGCAAAAGUUUGAUCUCAAUUUUUUAUGUCGUGUGAGACUCUUGAGGAAAAGAGUUCCUCAAUUUUUUAGUCCCCUCAUGACUCUUACUUAUUCUCAAAAUUUCUAUUUAGUGUUUGCUAUCUUAGGAUGUUGCCAAUGGUCAUGAGUUGAUUCGAUCUAAUGGGGCAUUUCUAGAAAAGCAAGCUGAACUGAAAUUGAGAGUUUGAAGGAAAGAGGAAGAUCGAAUUUGGAAAAUCACAUUGUAGUUUUGUAUUCACCGGUUAACCAAUUAUGACUGUUUUUGGGAUAAUCAUAAUUGUGAAUACAAUAUAUAUAUAUAUAUAUAUAUAUAUAUAUAUAUAUAUAUCAUUGUUUAAAAGAAAUCAAGAGAGAUAUAAAUGUGAUUGAUCGAUCUAGGGUACUGCAUACUAAAUCUACUCAGGAUGUGAUGCCCAUUAUGAGCUGCUAUAUAUUCCUAACAGAUGUAUGGCAACGAGCUCUCAAAGUAUGCUGGUCGCAUGGAUUAUUCACCGGUAUGAAUGUUAAAGAGAGGUAAAGAGAAUCCUGUUCAGCCCACCAUGUGCGAGUGGGAGAUGAUGGUUUUAUUAGUGAUGGGCUUAUGGCCUGUCCGCCCAUGUUGGGCCUAAAAGCCCGGCCCACGGAAUUAGGGCGCGUUGAUAAGGGAACGUAUAAAAGGAGAAAGAGAGAGAGAGGAAGACCCCCGUUGGAAUAACGCACGUACGUUCCUCUCCCUCUCUCCCUCCAAAAAGAACAGUACGCUUAAGGCGACGUCGUUUCCCUUUCAAGGCGAAUUGACAUCAUCGGAUCAGAAUUUCUUCCUCGAUCUUUAGCAUUGGUGUCUAAUAUGUGGCUAACAAGGUACGCUCAAAUCCGUGGUGUGCUUUACAAUCGGUGAUACGUGUUUUUCCCGGGCUUCGUCUUCCGCAUUGCUUUAGGGGUUCGAUUAAGUGUCAAAUUCGAUUUUCGGGGAUCCGUUAUUCCCAACAGAAACAAAGUUCAUUGUUGAUUGGUUGUUCAAGGAAUUUUGUCAGCUACGAUAAUCAUUAUGAUCUCUGUGAUCUUUGAGUUAGAGAAAUCCACAAUUUUAAUUUUGUGCUCAUUAAGAUGCGCAUUGGAGACACGGGAUUUGGAUUGAGCAUUUAAGGGAGACGAUAAAUUUCCCCAAACUAUGAAAGCUGCUAAAAAAGCAGACAUUUUGAAAAGAGUUCCAUUUUUUAUUUUGCUGAAUUUAGGGAACAACGUUUUGGUUUCAGUGGCGUAUGAGAGGAAUAGAGCUGCAGUUUCAGCAAAACUUGAAAGCGUUAUAUAUGUCGAAAUCGCUCUCAAAGGUACUUUUCGUGUUUUUUAAUUGUUCAGAUUAUUGAGGGAACAUCAAUCCAGGAUCACCUGUAUAAGUUCAAUAGAGUCAUCAAUGAUAUGAAGAAUGCGGAUGAGAACGUGUUGACUAACGGUGGAGGAAGCGUGAACUGGCAAAAAAAAAAACCUGCUAAUUUACUCAAGACUGCGAGCAUUUGGGUGCCCUGCAUAUGGCCAUGUUAGGGACGGUAAGCUAGAACCGAGGACAAAGAAUUGCUUAUUUCUAUGCUACGCGGUACGCACUAGGGAUGCAAGGUUACAGGCCGUGGUGUUCAGAUCCUAAAAUCACCCGGAUUCAUCAGCAGCAGAGAUGUUGCAAGGAAACUCAGUAAGUACAGACUAGUUCCACGAGACAAGCGGAGCUUCAGUUGGAGGCUCGGCGGAAAACGCAGAUGGGAAGUGAGGAUAGAGGCCCCAAGCGGGGCGUCAGUGAGGGCACUAGUCAGUCUAGAGCAGAAGAUAGUACUGGUGGAGAGGUGCAGCUCGCAAAGACCUCAUCCUCCAUAGCGACAAGUAGAGAACGCGGGGAGAUCAGAGAACCACGGAGCCAUGCAGAUUGCGUUACUUCAUAUAAGUGUUACUUAUGCCAUGUCCGCUGAGGAGGAUGUCGAGGAUUUACUCUCAUACCGAGAAGCAGUGUCAGGUGUAGAGCUUCAGCAAUGGAUUGGUGCAAUGAGCAAGAAGGGGUCUCUCUAGUGGAAUCAAACAUGGCAGUCACUGGUAUCUUCAAAAGGGCAGAAGAUAGGGUGCAAGUGUGUAUUCAAUUUCUAGUGGCAGUUUGCUGAGAGGUCUAAAUUAAAAUUUUGCACAAAUAUUUAGAAUUAUAUUAAUAAAAUUGAAAAACUUAGGAUAGAAUUGAAAUCCGUAUAAUGCAUUUAGAAGUAUUUUCCCAUGAAUGUAAUAUUGAAGAUGGGAAGGCUCAUAUGCCACUGGAAAAAUAUAGUAUAUUAAGAGCUAAAAAUUUUCAGUCUUUUCUUCCCAAAUGCCUCGAAAAUAGAUUCAAGAAACACAAUAAAUAAUUGUGACACAUUUGCAAAACGAAAAUUACCCACACCUUUAGAGAUAAGAUAAUAAAAAUUAAUAAAUCAAGCAAAUUAAAGAAAUCAGAAAGUUCGUGAUUUUUUUAAUAAAUAAAAGUUACUAACUCAAUAGAGAAAGAUUCGACCAAAAAAAAAAUUAAUAGAGAAAGCUUUAAACACAAUUACUUGCACAUUUCCAAAAAUUACAAUCAUUCUUUAGAAAUUACAAUUCACGAACAUCUAACCCUAUUACCAAACAUGACCAAAAAAUAAAAUAAAAUCUAGCAAGCACUUACUGACAAAAAAUAAAAUAGCAGAUAAUAAAAUCCAGAGAGCACUUAAUGAAAAAAAAUAAAAUAAAAUCCACACAACCUCUCUCUCCAUCCCAGCUGUCCAUUACCAAUACACUUGAGAUUGUAAAUGACUUUGUCAAAGACUCACCCCACUUUUUGCUCCUUUUAUUCCUCCAUUAUCUUAUACAUCCUUCCGAAUUAUAAUUUAUAUAUUUUCUUUCGCCCUCAUAUACGAACAACAACACAAAAAAUACGCUGGCAAUGAUGUACGUGUAUAAACGAAAGAGACAUUCGAAUAAUUAAGAAAAAUCACCAUAUCAAAAAAUACUUUGAUAAAACUAAAUAAUUGAAAUGUAAGAUGAUAAAUACACAAAGAAAAUUAUGAGACAAUUACUUUGCAGCUUUUCUUGAAAGGUUGUUGUAAGAUAGAUUAGAUUCGAAAUGGGGGAAUAUAAGGUAGAUUAUCGAUCCAUGCAUUUACUAAGGGCUAUGAUAUUUGUAGAAUAAGUAACUAAGGUUAUUUAAAAAAGAGAGGAAAUUACUUAAAAUGCCAUAAACGUAUCAGAUUCUCCUUGCUUUAAAUAAUAGUAUAGGCAGUAGAGAUAUAUAUGGUAUAAAAAAUAUAUAUAUCACAUCAAAUCACAUAUUAUUAAAUGAAAUCAUAAUUAAUAAUGACAAAUAAUAAUAAAAAAAUACAAAAAAGUACACAUCUACCUCAUCAUCAUCACCUCCCCCCCCCCCCCCUUGUGUCUCUGUCUCUCUCUUUCUCUCUAUACACCAAACCCAGCCCUAACCAACAGCAAAUGCACCCCCCCCGGCGGCACAAUUUAGCAAACACCCCUUCACUUUCCGAUUUAAUUAAAUUAAAAUCAAAAUCAAAAUCAAAAUGUUAUAUAUAAAUAAACUUUAUAUUAACGCCUGCGCCACCCGUUUACUUUCACCCAAUCUCAUAAUAAUUUUUUUAUUAUUAUUUUUCCUCCGUUUUAUUAACUCCCUUUGUUUGGGGCCCUUUUUCUCUAAAGACCACAUCCCCCCAAUUGGCGAUCCACCGGCAUCCCCCGGCCUGCACUGUGGAUCACCGGAGCUGCCCUGCUGUGCCACCGCCCCGAAGCUCGCUGCCCUCCCCCACCAUGCAUGGUGAGUCCUUCAUUCGCCCCCCCCCCUCUACUGCGGCCGCCUUGAAAAGCAGUUCCUUCAAUGUGUUUUGUUUGCACAUGGGUGUCGGUACCUAGGUCCCCAACGGCCUUGCCCUGCUCCCAUGCCCAAGUCACUAGCAAACAAGGCUAGGUCCAUAGAAGUCAGGACAAAGAACUCAAUGCUCAUGUCAAAGUCCCCAAAGACCAUGCCCAGGAACCCAUGCUGAUGCUUAGGUCCCUAAUACCCAUGCCCGAAUGCUUGGCUCUUGCGCCCAAGUCACCAACAUCCGAGCCUAGGUCCAUCAAGGUCAGUCAUGGUUCCUCAACACUCGUGGUCGGGUUCUUAGUGGCCGGGCCUAAGAAUCCCUACUCGUGCGAUCGAGACUCUGGCAGUCAACAUAUCUUAUAUAACAUGAAUAGUGGAUAUCUAUUUAGGAAAAUAAAAUGAAGUUUCCUUUCUAAACGAUGAAAUAAUAUUUCAUCUAAAUAUCGAAAAAAUUUCAUACUUUCUUGGAAAGUGACUUCUUGAAAAUAUUUUCCAAAUGUCAAAUUUUUCUCGAAACAAACAAAUUCUUAAUGUCAUUUUAUACUCUGUAUAAUCUUUUUUUACCCCUAAAAGAAGGAUCAUUUGAUGAGGUGGCUUUUUUACAGCAAUAUAAUCACUUGGAAAGGUUUCCAUAUAGUGAUUUGUUGAUUAUAGGCCGAAGUAGAUGUCGAUUGAUUAAAAAGCCUACACGUAAUUGUGUUGUAAGGAAACCUGGCCCAUAUCAGGAAAGUCUGAAUUGAACUCUUGCUAAUAGAUCCGCAAGACCUCUUCUCCUUAUUGAACUUGAGGUCCAUUUUGACGAUGGAGAAGGGCUUAUAGCUUUUCUUUGCAUAUAAACCUUGUUGAGUUUGGUCCUGAUGCAUUGGGAGCGCGCUUAAUAUAUGCAAAACUUGCGAGAGACUCGGAAAGCAUUGAAAGUCUUCCAGUAAAAAAUUUAAGAGCGUGAGAGAAUUCAUUUGCUGCGAUUAGUUCUUGCAACUUCAAGUGUUAUCUUAAAUAAUGAGGAAACACUCGAGAGUGUUCAAGCAAUUAUAAUCUUCUCUUUGCCACUUAUAAUGGAACCAUCUCUCGUUGAUCUCUCCUUGUGGAGUAGGCAAGCCACCAAACCGUGUUCAGGUUUUAUUUCUGUAAUUUAUUUCUUUCUUGAUUGCUCCAUUUGUUCACGCUUCCAUAUUAGUUAUAACAAAGUGGUAUUAGAACCUAAGUUUAUUGUUGAUUGGAGGCUUGAAUCGCUUCGUCUGUUCAUGCUUCCAUGUUAUUCAUAACAAGUUAGCAUUAGAAACUAAAUUAUUGUAGAUUGGUUGUUCUAGGAAUUUUGUUCAUCUAGGACAAUCAUUAUGGUAUUUAUGAUAUUCGAGUUAGAGUAAUCCACAAUUUUAAUUUUGUGUGCAUUAAGAUGUGUACUUUAUUGGAGACACAGGAUUUGGAUUGAGCAUUUAAGGGAGAUGAUAAAAUUCCCCAAAAUAUGAAAGCUGCAACAAAGGUGACAAUUUGAAAAAAGCUACAAUUUUAUUCUGCUGGAGAUACAGGAUUCCUCAGCAAGUAGGCCAACCAGGCCUAGGUCCUUUAAGGCUUGACCCAAUACCUUGGUGCUGGUACCUGGGCCCUCGACGGCCUUGCCUUGCUCCCACACCUAAGUCACCAGCAAACAAGGCUAGGUCCAUCAAGGUCGGGCCUAAGAACUCGAUGCUCCCAUCAAAGUCCAUAGCGGCCCAUGCCCAAGACCUCGAUACUAGUACAUGGGUCCUCGACCGCCAUGCUUGGGUAACUGACUUCCACACCCAAGUCACUAGCUCCCGAGCUCCCUCAACAGCCAACCUCCCUCAAGAUCAUGCCGAAGACCUAGGUAUCUAUGCUCGGGUCCUUGAUACCCAUGCUUGGAUACUGCUCAUGACGCUAGGACACCGGUGGUUGGGUAUCUCUUAUAUACUAUGAAUAGUGCAUGACUUUUAAGGAAAAUAAGAUCAAGUUUUUCUUUCCAAAUGAUAUCAUUUUCAAUUCAUUUUUAAAUUUCAGUCAAAUACCAAAAAAAAAUUCUUAUUUAUUUGGAAAAAAAUUUCUUGAAAUUGUUUUUUGGAAAAUAUCAAAUUUUUCACAAAAUAAAUGGAGCUUUGAUUUCAUUUGAUUUUUCUUUCCAAUCUCUUCAUCUUUUUCCCCGAAAGAUGGAUCAUCGGAUGAGGACGCUUCUUUACAGCUAAUAUAAUCAACUGGAAGGGUUCCCAGAUGGUGAUUUGGGGAUUGCGGAUCGAAGUAAGUGUCGUUUGAUUAGAAAGCCUGCACACAAUUGAAUUGUAAGGGAACCUGGCCCAUAUCAAGAAAGUCCGACUUGAACUCUUGCUGACAGGCCCGCAAGACCUCCUUUUCUUAUUGAAGUUGAGGUCCAUCGUCGGAGAAGGGCUUAUACAGCUUUUUCUUGCAUAUAACUCUUGUCGAGUUCGGUCUGGAUACAAAGUGAGUGCGCCUAAUAUAUGUAAAACUGGCGAGAGACAGAAUGCAUUGAAAGCCUUCUAGCUAGAAAUUUAAGAGUGAGAGAACUCAUUUGCGGUGAUUGAUUCUUGCGAGUUCAAGUGACAUCUAAAAUUAGGAAACGCUUGAGAGUUGUCUGUUCAAGCAAUUGUAAUCUUCUCUUUGCCAUUAUAAUGGAACCAUCUCAUUGACUCUCCUCGUGGAGUAGCCAAAGCGCCAAACCAUGCUCACGUCUUAUUUCUGCAAUUUGUUUCUUGCUCUAACAGCUUCAUUUGUUCACACUUCCGCAUUAAUCGUGACCAAGUGGCAAUGGAAACUAAAUUUAAAUUUCACUUGAGGCUUGAAUCGCUUCAUGUGUUCAUACUUCCGUGUUGGUUGUAACAAAGCGGCAUUAGAAACUAAGUUUAUUGUCGAUUGGUUGUUCCAGGAAUUUUGUCCAUCUAUGAUAAUCAUUAUGGUCUCUGUGAUAUUUGAAUUAGAGAAAUUCAUAAUUUUAAUUUUGUGCACAUUAAGAUGCGCACUUUAUUGGAGACACAAGAUUUUGGAUUGAGCAUUAAAGGGACACGAUAAAUUUCCCCAAACUAUGAAAGCUGCAAAAAAAGCUGAUAUUUUGAAAAAAGCUGCAGGUUUUGUUCUGCCAAAUUUAGGAAACGAUGUUUGUGGUUGAAGUGGCUGGUGAGUUUAAUGUAGCUGCAGUUUGGGCUGCAAAGCCGUCCCGAAGAUACUUUUCCCGAUUCAACGUUUCUUAACUUUCCAGAUUAAUGAGGAACGUCAAUCCAAAAUCACCUUUAUAAGUUCAAUAGUAAUUAAUAACAUGAAGAAUGUAGAUGAGACCGUAUCGACCGAUGGUGGAGGAAGCGUGAACUGGUGAACCUGCUAUUUUAUUUGAGUCUGCGAGCAUUUGGGAGCGCCGCAUAUGGCCAUGUUUAGGACGGUAAGCUAGAACUGAGGACAAAAAAGUGCAUAUGCCUAUGCACUAGGGAUGAAAGGGUACAGGCCGUGGCGUUGGGAUCCUAAAAUCGCCCGGAUUUCAUCAUCAGCAAAGAUGUUGCAAGGAGACAUGGUAGCCAGUAAUAUUCUUCAAAAGCGAUGUCAGGUGUACAGCUUCAGCAAUGGAUUGGUGCAACGAGAGAGGAGAUUGGAGUCGCUUGAGUGGAAUCAAACAUGGUAAUCAGUGAUAUCUGGCAGAAGAUAGGGUGUAAGUGGGCGUUCAGAAAAGCGCAUGAUAGUUUUGAUUCACGAGCGACCAAAUAUAAGACCAGCUUGGCGAAGGGGUUCGUUGCACGAGAUAUUCUCACUUGCGGUGAAGCAUAGUUCAAUCAGGGUGGCGUUGGGACUAGUUGCGGCGGACGACUUGGAGUUGGAGUAGCUCGAUGUUAAGACGGCGUUUCUAGACAGGGAAUUCGAGGAGCGGAUAUUCAUGCAAUAGCCAGCAGGCUUUGUCGUUUCGGUUCAUUAAGGCAAUGCAUGCUUGCUCAAAUGAUCUGUUUAUGGAUUUAAGCAAUCUUAUAGUGGUACAAACGAUUUGAUUCCAUUCAACUUUAUAUAAGAGUGCUCAUGAUCAUUGCAUGUACUCUAGAAAGUUAUACAAUGGUAGUUACAUUUAUUUAAUGAUGUAUGCUAAUGAUAUAUUGAUAGUAACUAUGAACAGUUGAGACACCAAUUGAGGAGUAAUUUCAAGAUGAAAGAUUUUGGUGCCCCAAGAAAGAUAGUUGGUAUGAAGAUCUAGAGAGAUAGGUUUGUAGCGAUGCUUUUGGCUAUCACAAUGUGAUUACCUAUGUAAAGUUCUGAGGCGACUUACUAUGCAAAAUAUCAAACCGGUGAUUUUCUCACUAGUUGCAUACUUCACGGUUUCACCUGACCUUAGACCAAAAUCGGAGGAUGAGAUGGAAUAUAAGGCCCACUCAAGCCAAAGGGGUCUCAAAAGCAUUUCUCGGCAGGCUAUGUAAGACUAUUUAGUUAGAGAGCUCGAGUCUACCCGAGGCGAGGUCUAAACAACAAGUUAGGUUCAACGUAAAUACCUAACUAAGCCUAGUCCCGCCCAUUGAUCGCUUAUGUUGGCAAGUCGAAAGGUACCCUUCUCUAUAGUGGAAAAUCUACAUGUAAUUAGUGAUUUUUAUAUUAUUUCAUUGUAUCCAUAACUUUUCAUAUAAAAGAAAUAAUUAAGAACGUAUUGAAAUUCACUAAUAUCAUAACUAAAGAUAUGUUUGGACAUCCCAAUAACUAGUGGCUAGUUUUGACUGAGCACCUUCACAAAUAAUACAUUAAUCGGCCGAACAAGUCAUUUGUUUUUUUCCCCCGAUCCAACGGUGCAUACUCCUUCAUCAACAAUGAACGGUCCAGAAUGACCACGGACGAAUAUUCAUUUUCAAGCCAACCAAACCAUCGGAAAAGGCCCAACCUCAUAUUAUCAUAUGACCAUUUUUGAAAUAAUGUUAAAAGAUGGAUUAGUAUAUAUACCAUGCCUGCACCAAAGAAAAAGCAAAAACAAAAAAAACACGUAACCCUCUUUGCUUGUACUCUUUAUUCUUCUUUUUCUCUUCUUUUUCGAAUGAAUCUGCUUUAGUAUCCUUACUUAAAUAUUGUGCAUGGAGUUAAAUAAUAUAUAUAACAAGAAACCAAUGUACAAUAAGAUUAAUUACAGGAUUAAUUUAAAACCUUCAAAAAUGUUCCCAAAGCAAAUACCAAUAUGGAAUUGAAGGCACUUCUUAAUAAAAUGGAUCACUUCAAUUUUCAAACCAUCUUUCUCGUCAUUAUCACUAGGGGAGUGUAGUUCUGGAAUUGGUCCAGCUUCCAUCUGGUAUCUAUCCUUUAGAACCGAUUCCCAAAUUUUUGAAAUAUAGAACUAUCAUACAUACUUUGAAACCCGGAACCUAAUCUGUUUCAAAUUUCAAGGUCAACUAUAAAGUCUAUCUAGGUUUCCCAUGCAUCAUUAAUUGAACGAUUGCAUAUUUAGACACAAAUAUAUAUAUAUAUAUAUAUAUGAAACGUUAAUAAAGUAAAAGUUUUAGUCAUGCACAUGCCGGAAAUGGAAACUCAGACUCAGAGUAGUGGUUUUAGAUUACAUAGGAAUUUCGCAAAAUUACUCGAAGACUUGGAACAAGAAAAACAUAAAAACUUAUUACAGGUUUUAGAUUCUAUAACCUACCUAUUUAUUUAAACCAGUUCCCCAAUUUUUUGAACUCGGAAGUUACCUUGCGUACCCUAAAACCAGACCAAUUCCAACAGGUCCGGUUUUUGCUCCGAUUCCCGGUCAUAUCCUCAAACCAUGCUCACCCCUAAUUUUCAUGGUUAAAAAAGGAAAAAGAAAAAAAAAACUUCUCCAAUUAUCAUCUUGCAAUUCCUAGUUCACCAUUGUACCUAAUUAAAUUAGGUAUGAUUAAAGACAAGUUAAUUUGGUUUCAAUUGUGUCUAAAUUACCUAUACAAUAGUUAGUCUUGCUUAUAUUUAGAUAAACAUAUACAUAUGGCUAUGAACUAUGUUAAAUGUUACACUAAUGAGAAUGUACGGGAUAAUUAAUAAAUUAGUUUUAAAUAUAUCGUUUGGAUGCCAAUUUAAUCUUAAACUUUCAAGUUUACUACCAUAGUCCUCAACCUUUGAUUUCUAGUGCCAAUUUGCCAAAAGGACUGUCUUCAAAUCUUGCGCAAAUAUUUAGAAUUAUGUCGGCAAAACUGAAAAGUUUAAGAGUGACUAAAUUGAUACUUUCCUAUGAAUGUAAUAUAGAAGAUGGAUGGCUGAAAUGCCUCAAAAAUGGACUCGAGAAACACAAAAAACAAUUGUGGCGCAUUUGCAAAACAAAAAUUACCUACACCUUCAGAGAUAAUAUAAUAAAAAUUAGAAAUGAUUCCAAGAACGGAAUCAGAAACUUCGUGGUUUUCUUUUGCAAGUCACUAAUUUAAUGACAAAGCUUUACACACAAUUACUUGCACAUUUCCAAAAAUUACAGUCAUCCUUUGGAAGUUACCAUUCCUAUUACCAAACGUGACCAAAAAAAUAAAAUCCAGCAAGCACUUAUAGCAGAUAAUAAAAUCCAGAGAGCACUUACUGACAAAAAUAAAAUAAAAUCCACACAACCUCUCUCUCCAUUCCAGCUGUCCAUUACCAAUACACUUGAGAUUGUAAAUGACUUUGUCAAAGACUCACCCCACUUUUUGCCCCUUUUAUUCCUCCAUUAUCUUAUACAUCCUUCCAAAUUACAAUUUAUAUAUUUUCUUUCGCCCUCAUAUACGAACAACAACACAAAAAAUACGCUAGCAAUGAUGUAUGCGUAUAAACGAAAGAGACAUUCGAAUAAUUAAGAAAAAUCACCAUAUCAAAAAGUACUUUGAUAAAACUAAAUAAUUGAAAUGUAAGAUGAUAAAUACACAAAAAAAUUAUGAGAAAAUUACUUUGCAGCUUUUCUUGAAAGGUUGUUGUAAGAUAGAUUAGAUUCAAAAUGGGGGAAUAUAAGGUAGAUUAUCGAUUCAUGCAUUUACUAAUGGCUAUGAUAUUUGUAAAAUAAAUAUCUAUGGUUAUUUAAAAAAGAGAGGAAAUUACUUAAAAUGCCAUAAAAGUAACAGAUUCUCCUUGCUUUAAAUAAUAGUAUAGCCAGUAUAGAUAUAUAUGGUUUAAAAAAUAUAUAUAUCACAUCAAAUCACAUAUUAUUAAAUGAAAUCAUAAUUAAUAAUGACAAAUAAUAAAAAAAUAAAAUACAAAAAAGUACACAUCUACCUCAUCAUCAUCACCUUCCUCUCUCUCUCUCUCUCUCUCUCUACCAAACCCAGCCCUAACCAACAGCAAAUGCACCCCCCCGCACAUUUUAGCAAACACCCCCUUCACUUUCCGAUUUAAUUAAAUUAAAAUUACAAUUAAAAUCAAAAUGUUAUAUAUAAAUAAACUUUAUAUUAACGCCCGCCCCUUCCCGUUUACUUUCACUCAAUCUCAUAAUAAUUUUUUUUUUUCCUCCGUUUUAUUAACUCCCUUUUUUUGGGGCCCUUUUCCUCUAAAGACCACAUCCCCGCCCCCCAUCGGCGAUCCACCGGCAUCUCCCGGUCCGCGCCGCCGAUAGCCGGAGCUUCCCCGCCGCGCCGCCCUGAAGCUCGCUGCCCUCCCCCCAUCGUGCACGGUGAGUCCUCCAUUCGCGGCCCCCGUCUCUGUGCUGCGGCCGCCUUGAAAAGCGGUUCCUUCACUGUGUUUUGUGUGCGCGUGGGCGUGCGUGCUUUUGGUGGUGCGUAACCCCACCGAGAUUCGCGAGCUCAACUCGACCUCGAUUCGCUCGAGCUCCGGAUCGCAGCGCCGCGAUCCGAGGCCCCCCGAGCUCGAGUCUCAGCUGGAGUCACUGUGAGUGUUGAUUAUCUGCCUAAUCCCUCCCGUAACCUUCCCGGUUAAUCGCUCGCCGAUUCGCGGUUGGGCCGGAUACGGCGGAAUUCGCCGUUGUCCGGCUUCCAUCCGGUGAUUCUGUGCCAGGAUCUUGGUGAUUUGGCGCCCUAGUUGAUUUUGAACUGCGAAAUGAUGCUUGUUGCUGUUGAUUACAGUCGCUCGGGUCGAUUUCCGCGUGAAAUGCUCGGUUCCGCUAGGGUUUUGUGUUGCUUCGUCCUUCGGUCGGUGCUAGUGGAGUAUCGGUGUAAUUGAGGUCAAGUAUAAGUCGAGGACACUCGGGCUUUUGGUGUUUUUGACUUUCGAGGUAGGGUGGAGAAGUACUAGGCGAGUCUUUCUAGGGUUUUGAGCUGGUGCUGCUCACUGCUCUGUAGUCUGUACGGUUUAAAUGUUUUCCGGUUCUGUCUCUGUGACUUUAGGUUUUACGUCAUAGCCCGCUGACUCGUCCUUGGUCUUUUGCGACGUUGAGAUUAUCUGGAUGCGAUGCAUGAUUAGUCGGUUUGAUUGCAUGGGGAAAUGAUAAAGCAACUCAAUUAGAGUUUUGUAGCUGUAUUUAUUGCGCAGUAUGCUGUGCCGGAAUGAGAAAGCAACUCAAUUAGAGUAUCGUAGCCGUAUUUACUGUGCAGUAUGCUGUGCCGGAAUAAGAAAGCAACUCAAUUAGAGUUUCAUAGCCGUAUUUAUUGCGCAGCAUGCUGCGCCAGAACAGUUGGCUCGAGUUGGCGUUAUAGUCCGCAUUUGGAGAUUGAUUAGACAAGAACCGUAAUAAAUGAUUCUCAUGAAAAAUAUACAUAUCAGUUUUGCUUUUUGGAUCCUCGUUUAUGUUUGUGCGGUAGGAAAUCGAAUUCUCUCGUAAAGCAGCAUAUUAUGCUGAGAACCAACGUAGUAGCACAAUUGAAUUUCGUAAAGUUCUUACCAUGCUUGCCAGUCAUGUUCUUGGUUAAUGUCCCUUGAUUUAUCCGUUUAAGUUUUUCUGUUUUUCUCAAAGAAGGAUCAUUUGAUAUGGUGACUUAUUGUUGACACCUGAAAUUUUGCCGCUAAGUCAAGUUUCCAUCUUUUUAAAACCAAGAAAAAUAAUAAUAAAUCUAUAAACGAGAGAGUCCAAUUUGGACAUUUAUGCAAGGAUCUAAACCCAUAGUCUAACUCGCUCACUUUGGUCCGGUCUACCAACCCAGCCACUAGCCAAGCCCAUCAGGAAUUAGGCCGGCCCAUCAGCCUAGCCCAUGAAGCCCAAAUUUAAAGUCGCAUUAAGCAACUUCUGCACAGGCCCAGAUUUACAAUUUUAAGUCGGAGCCCAUAAAGCCCAAGAGAGUUUGGCCCAUAAAGCGAGCACGUGGAGGGACUGAGAAGAGCGAAGGAAUUCUGGCAAGGGACACGUAACAAAGGACCAUAUUACACCAGAUAGCACUUCACGGACCGACAAAAUUUCCUUCUCUCUGGUUACAAUUCCAGAGAAUUCGUAGUCCAUUCUUGUUCUCCAGACAUCGCUCGCAGUUACGGCGGUUGAUCGUCGCUUCAAUCCAUCUCCCCCGCCAAAGAGGUGGCUGAGAAUCACUUGUAUGAAAAUUCAAAGAAUAAUUACAUAUUAAAUCGUAUCUUCAUCUAAAAAACUUAAGUUUUUAAACAGUUGACAGUAGUUUCACAAAAUCUUGAAAAUCUUGAAAUUAAUCGUGGUGAGUUUCUUUCAAGUGUUCUCUUUUCUUCUUCUUUUUUUCUUUUUUUAUGUUUGUACGAUCCAGUUUAGAUGCAUUUGAAUCCUUUCUGCUGUUCUACUUGAUUUUGCGGAGGAUAAUGUUAUGCGUACGGACGUUGAACAGGAAUGAAAGAGAGAACGAUGGAGGCUCGAAGAAGUGAGAGUUUUGUGAUUCUGCGAUUGAGUAAUAGUUUAUGCAUGUUUGCAAAACAAAAGAAAAGAAGUGGAACGGUAGCAGAUUCAUGACGAAGAAGAAGAACUCGUGCCUUGUGGUGUGAUGGCGUUGGACUAAGAAAGAAACGAAAGGAAAUAAAAAGACAAUAAGUAAAAGUAGUAUAUUAAACAUAAUAAAUAAAAAACGAAAAAUAAAAUGCGGAAUAAAAAUGAUUGGAAAGUGUGAGUCCUAGCUAGGCAGUUGCAGCUUGGAAAUAAUUUUAAUCGAAUUUCAUUUCAUUCGAAUUCAUCUAGUUUAAGAGUAAUUAUAUUUGGAUUUCGAAAUAAUUUGAUUUUUUAGCUUUUAUUUUCUUUUAGACGAAAUGGAUAAGCAGACAAAAAAAAAACAAUAACAAAGAAAAGGAUAAAAAAAAUCUCAUUUGCUUCAUAUUAGAAUUACUUUUAUUGGGUCAUUUUAUUGAUUUCCGUCUUUAAUAUCGUUAGUGUAAUUCUCUUUAGUUGAAAUUAGACUUUGACUUUGAUUUUGAAAAUUAGCUCAUGGUGGUCAUGCCUGGUUCAAUAAUAAGGCAAUAAAUAUACUUUACUCCAUUCGUACCGGAUUAUUUUACCGCACUCUACUUUUUGUUGUCAAUUUUUUUACGGCAUUUGAGUAUCGUGAGGUAUUAGCUCAUGGGGAUCAUGUCUGGGGACUUAAUAACAAGACCAUAUUUUUUUUCUAACUCAUAUUGGAUUAAUGUCACAAAAAACCCCAAACCGGUAUAUCUAUAAUAAAUUUAUCUAAAACAAAUUUUUUGAAAAAUAGCCUAGUUAAAUAAAUGCACGAGGCAAAUAAACAGCUAAUAUUUUCAUUGUUGGGAGCAAGAAGUACGUUAAAGAAUGGCCCAACCUUUUGGCCAUGAUGUUUGUGGACUCGAUAAGUAAGAUUAAAGACCACGAAUUAGACUCCUCCGCUAACUUAUUUGUCCAUCGAUCAAGAAAAGCACCAUAAAUUCCUAAUGAGACCUUUUGGGGGGUGGGGUUUGUACGGGAUGAUAUUACAUCAGGCCAAUUCCCACCACACCAGAAAAUGGAAAAGACCUCAGGCGACGGAAAUGCCCGUCGCUAAAGCGUAAAAUCUCCUUCCCGUCUCUCGCUAGGGACGGAAAAGGGACUGAAUGGAACCGCUCCAGAGCAUGAGCAAGUUUUUCUGUCAUUUAAAUAGUAAUAAGAACAUCUUUAUCUUAUAGUUACCAUAUCAAUCGAAAUAGUGCAAGAAUUCGUGAUAUAUUAUUCACUCUCAAAAUGUUUAAAUUGCGCCAAGAAUUCACGUAUUAGAAUGAAUAACGAGAAAUAUUUUGAAAAAGGUUUGGAGAUAGAGAAAUGACCCAUCCACUUAUUUUGUUGUGUAUAUGUCUACACAACGAGUGAAGAAUUCUUUUGUUGUUUGUGAGAUCUUGUCUUGAAUGGUCCCAGUAACAUGGGAUUUGCAUGCUGCAACUUUGUACCGAGCAAUUUUUUCUCAAAGGUUAAUUUCUUCACUCGGAAAUAACGAAACGUCAGUAGAGUCAAGAAGAAGACGAAUUGCUUCACCUUUUAUGCUUAGUUAAGACAAAACUUUGUGCAAUUGCACGAUAAAAUGGGGUACCGCAUACACAAUAGAAAACAGUUUGCUCUGUUUUUACUUAACUAGGCAAUAUGAACAGAACGACCAAGCCCAAGGAAAAGUAGAUGCGUCAUUGAAUGAUUGAGUGCGGGUUAUGUUAGAUGAUGUUCGGCAAGUACUAAAAAUUUGCUCUGCUGUGCAACGACAUAAUAUUCUUAUGAGUAGAAAUUAUCUUCAACUGGCCUCCUUGAGCACAUAAUUUUUCUCGAUGUGAAGUUAAGACUAAUAGAACAAGAAGAAAUGCAUGACUAGCUAUUUUACUCCUAGAAUUGCGUUCAAAUGAUUCAAAAUGUCAAGUUUUGUUCCUUUGGUCACAGCAAUGCAAGCUUGGUUGUGCCUUUGUCGACAUGCCGGGAUUUCAUUAGUUUCCUAUAACAAACGGACUUCUAUAAUAUUUGCAAAAUACAACCAAUCGUACUUUGAAAUUAAGAUCUUUUCCUAGAUAUCAAUGGUGCCCACAACAGUAUAUUUUUGUUUCUGGUUUCUAUCCGUUUUAUCAUAAAAAAACCAAGCAGUAGAAAAAUAGUAGACAGCAAUGUUAGGCUAAUGCACAAUCCAAACAACUAUAAUUGUGUGGGAGUAACAAUCUGCAAAAGACAAUGGCCAAUUCCACCUCUACCUCCCCUCAAUAAGGGAGACUGAUCAAAAUUCUAAACAAUCUUAAUUUCUCUUAAUGGAUUACACAAUAGAAAUUACAUUCAUCAUAAGUGACCAAAGAAAAUGUUCACCAAUCGUAAUUCUAAAUGAAAAUAGCACUAAUAUCACAAACAAAAAGGACCCACAUAGUGCAAUCAUCGAAAGGGGUCAGAUGGGCACCCAAAGUCUUCAAUUUUGACCCUAAAAUCACACCAUUUCAUAGACUUUUUUGCCACUAUCCUUUCAUAGACUUUUUUGCUACUGUCCUAAUGAGUAACCAAAGUCUUCAAUUUCAACCCUCAAAUCACACCAUUUCAUAGACACUUUUGCGAUUAUCCUUUCAUAGACUCUUUUGUCAUCGUCCUAAUGAGUAAUCAAAGUCUUCAAUUUCGACCCUCAAAUUGCAACAUUUCAUACUCUUUUGUCAAUAUCUUAAAGAGUAACCAAAGUCUUCAAUUUCGACCCUCAAAUCGUACCAUUUCAUAGACUUUUUUACCGCUGUCCUAACAAGCAACCAGAGUCUUCAAUUUUCACUCUCCAAUUGUACUGUUUCAUGGACUUUUUUUGCCGCUGUCGCAUCCUGUUGUUAUAUGACCCAUUGGUUUGCCAACUGCCAGGCAAAUAAAGAUCUAUGGGCUGAAUUUUCAGUCAAUCAUUUGUCAAUUCGGCCCCGAAGGUUUUUAUUAUGUUCCCUAGUAGCUACACAUUAGGCCGAUUCCCACCACCACCAGAAAAUGGAAAAGACCUCAGACGACGGAAAUGCCCAUCGCUAAAGCGUAAAAUCUCGUUCCCGUCUCUCGCUAGGGACGGAAAAGGGACUGAAUGGAACUGCUCCAGAGCAUGAGCAAGUUUUUUUGUCAUUUAAAUAGUAAUAAGAGCAUCUUUAUCUUAUAGUUACUGUAUCGAUCGAAAUAGUGCAAGAAUUCAAGAAUUCAUGAUCUAUUAUUCACUCUCAAAAUGUUUAAAUUGCUCCAAGAAUUCACGUAUUAGAAUAUAUGACAAGAAAUAUUUUGAAAAGGUUUGGAGAUAGAGAAAUGACCCAUCCACUUAUUUUGAUGUGUAUAUGUCUAUACAACGAGUGAAAAAAAAAAAUUGUUGUUUGUGAGAUCUUGUCUUGAAUGGUCCCAGUAAUAUGGGAUAUGCAUGGUGCAAUGUUGUACCGAGCAAUUUUUUCUUAAAAAUUAAUUUCUUCACUCGGAAAUAACGUCGGUAGAGUCAAGAUCAAGAUGAAUUGCUGCACCUUUUAUGCUUAGUUAAGACAGAACUUUGUGUAAUUGCACGAUAAAAUGGGGUACCGCAUACGCAAGAGCAAACAGUUUGCUCUGUUUUUACUUAACUAGGCAAUAUGAACAGAACAACCAAGCCCAAGGAGAAGUAGAUGCGUUGUUGAACGAUUGAGUGCGGGUUAUGUUAGAUGAUGUGCGGCAAGUACUAAAAAUUGGCUCUGCCAUGUGACAACAUAAUAUUCUUAUGUGUAAAAAUUAUCUUCAACUAGUCUCCUUGAGAACAUAAUUUAUCUCGACAUGAAGUUAAGACUGAUGGAACAAGAAGAAAUGCAUGACUGGCUAUUUUGCUACUAGAAUUGCAUUCAAAUGAUUCAAAACGUCAAGUUUUGUUCCUUUGGUCACAGCGAUGCUAGCUUGGUUGUGCCUUUGUCGACAUGCCGGGAUUUCAUUAGUUUCCUAUAACAAACGGAAUUCUGUAAUAUUUGCAAAAUACAACCAAUCGUACUUUGAAAUUAAGUUAUUUUCCUAGAUACCGAUGGUGCCGACAACUGUAUAUUUUUGUCUCUAAUUUCUAUCCAUUUUGGCAUAAACAAACCAAGCGGUAGGAAUAUAGGAGACAGCAAUGUUAGGCUAAUGCACAAUCCAAACAACUAUAAUUAUGUGGGAGUAAGAGUAACAAUCAGCACAAAACAAGGGCCAAUUCCACCUCUAUCUCCCUCUCAAUAAGGGAGGCUGAUCAAAAUUCUAAACACUCUUAAUUUCUCUGAAUGCAUUACACAAAAGAAGUUAUAUUCGUCAUAAGUGACCAAAGAAAAUGUUCACCAAUCGUAAUUCUAAAUGAAAAUAGCACUAAUAUCACAAACAAAAAGGACCCACAUAGCGCAAUCAUCAGGUGAACGAAAGGGUUCAAAUGGGCUCCCAAAGUCUUCAAUUUCGACCCUCAAAUUGCACCAUUUCACACCAUUUCAUUGACUUUUUUGCCACUGUCCUUUCAUAGACUUUUUUGCUAGACUCCUAACAGUAAACCAAAAUCUUCAAUUUUGACCCUCAAUUCACACUAUUUCAUAGACUCUUUUCCCAUUGUCCUUUCAUAGAUUCUUUUGCCAUUGUCCUAACGAGUAACCAAAGUCUUCAAUUUCAACCCUUGCCAUUUCAUAGACUCUUUUACCAUUGUCCUAACAAGCAACCAAAGUCUUCAAUUUUGGCUCUCAAAUCGUACCAUUUCAUAUGGACUUUUUUAGCCGGCUGUCGCAUCCAUUUGUUAUAUGACCCGUUGGUCUGCCAACUGCCAGGCAAAUAAAGAUCUAUGGACUGAAUUUGCUGUCAAUCAAUCAUCUGUCAAUUCGGCCUGUAGCUACACAUUAUGGCACAACACAAAGUCAUGCUGUCAUGCACCUAGAGAUUCAUCAGCAUUGCCCAAAUUUUGCAUUUUAUCACCAAAAUAUGCAUAAGAAUAGAAGAUUUGAUAGGAUUUGAUUAUAGAAAUAUAUGUAAACAUAUUAUUUUGUUGCAUAGCAGUUAGAGAAUUGUUAAUGAAAUAAGCAUAAAAAAUAGAUGUUAGGAUAAGAGCUUUUAUAAAGUGACCUAAAAUUAAAUUGUUACCCAAAACUCACAUGAGAGCGCCAUGUGGUACGUGGCUUUUGUGUAUCGUUCUUUUUAAAAUAUAUAUAUAGUUACAUAGAUGGAAAAAUUGUCCAAAAUCCUAAACCUAUUGUAUUUAUUAAUUUAAUCCUACACUUUUCAAUUUAACUAAUUUAGUCAUAAGUCUUUUCAUAUUUUGCCAAUUGAGUCAUCCAGUUAAUUCUGACCGAAAAUCGCUAACGUGGACAUUAUAUGUUCUAGUGACUUGACCAGCACUGAAGUAAAUAAUUUUAAAUAAUAUUUUAAUAUUUUUCGAUUUUUUUUUCUUUUUUUUUUCUUCCCUUUUGCCUCUAGUUGAUCAUCAAGCUUGGACGACCGGCUAGAAGAACCUGUGAGGUUGACCUCACCGACCUCAAGCAAGCCUCGCCCACAUAUGGCAAGGCUCGACUUGGCCAUUCACAUCCAUUUUCUCCUUUCGUUGACUAGUCAGCUUUCUCAUUUUUUCUUUUGUUGUCAUCAUGUUUGACUUUUUAACCAAUCCAAUAAUCAAAUAUACUCAAAUGUUAGACAAUCUCCUUUAUUCUACAUAACAUAAAUCAUAUUCCUUCAUUGAUAAACGUGUUUUGAUAUGUGUCUGUUCUCUUCCUUGCUAUUAGCGUCGAUGAUUUUUACAUUAUGUUAUAUGGGGUUGUUAUUCAUGGAAUGUGAGAAAUGCCAAGUAAAAGUAUUUGUCCAUUCGGACACAAAAGAUGUUGCCUUAAAGAUUAAGUUUAAAAUUUUGAUAAAAUAGAUGGGAAAUAGAAAUUUUUUUUGAGAUUCGUAUGAUAGAAAAUAAGUAACACUGUUCAAAAACACUUUGAACCGUCUUAAUUUCCCAAAGACAUUACACAACGUAAAUCACAUUCCUCAUCAGUGACCCAAGGACGCACACAUUCAUAUCACAAGGCACCAAGCACCACCUAUAAAAUGUGCUUCACUCUCUCAUACUCGCUGUGUUUUUAUGUUUGUGAUAAUUACUUGUAGUAUUAUAAAAUGAGCCUCAUUGAUAGUGAUAAGUAAUUAUCGUAUAAUAAACCUUGAUGUAGGACUUUACUCUCACUUUAAUAAUAAGAUUUUUCAUGUAAUAUAACUUAAAUUGAGAAAAAGGGAUAUGAGAAUAAAAUAACAUUUAACCUGUCUUGAAUCUUUGAUAUAUACAUGGUCGACUAGUUUUAAAUGUUAAUUACCACAAUAAUAUGCGUGAAUCUUUUUUUUUUUUUGCAUCGAUUAAAUCACCAAAAUAUGUAUAAGAAUUAGAGAUUUUCUAGCAUUAGAGAUUUUAAAGUCCAUAAAAAUUGAAUUUAUAGGCAAAAUUCACAUGUGAGAGUGCCUCGGUUGACCCAGUCUCCACGGAUGAACGUCAAUUAUUUGCGUCUACUUUCUCCUUUUGUUGACUAGUCAAACUUUCUCAUUUUUUCUUUUAUUGUUACCAUGUCUGACUUUUUAACCAAUCCAAUGGUCAAAUAUAACCAUUUCACAUACGCUUUUGCUGCUUUCUCCACGAUUGACCCAAGUCUUCCAUGCAGCUACACGUUAAGGCACUGCACAAGGUAAUGCGCACGCACCUGAAUAUUCGUAGGUACUGCACAUGUGUUUCAUCACUUUAAAAGUCAUUGGUUCGAUGCAUCCUAGCAUAAGAUGAGCCGUGUUCAUCUGCUUCACUCUCUCGUACUCUGCUCAUCAAAACAAAGUAAUCUUUGUUUCGAACAAAAUGGCUUCCUCAUCGUGCUUCUACAUGUCCAUACACUUUCUUUUCUUGUAUUUGUCAUCUCAGCCGAUUGGCGCGCACAAUCUCUCUCAUUCCACGAAACCUCUGUGUCUCGAGGAAGAAAUGUCCGCCCUGCUGCAAUUUAAAGAGAGAUACGAAAUCCCCAAUGUUUCCGAUGAUCCUCUCGCUCGUCCCAAGACUCUGUCCUGGAAAAACAGUCGAGAUUGCUGCUCUUGGGAUGGGAUCGAGUGUGAUGAGAAUACGGGCCAUGUAAUUGUUCUCGACUUGGGAAGGAGUUUUCUCUAUGGUUUUAUCGACAACAACAGUACCCUCUUCCAGCUUGCUCAUCUUGAAAAGCUCAAUCUCAGUCACAAUCACUUCAACUACUCUCAAAUACCGUCCCGAGUUGGAUAUCUCUCGAGGUUGACUCAUCUCGAUCUCUCUGCUUCCUUUUUUUCUGGCCAAGUUCCAUCAGAAAUCUUCAAACUUACAAGGUUGGUGUACCUCAACCUGUAUUGGAAUGUGGAUUUAGAUCCUUAUAGACGUUUGUUGCGGAUGAAAGCGCCGGGCCUGAGAAGCCUAGCUCAAAAUCUGACCAGCCUGGAAGAACUCCUCCUUGGUUACGUCGAUAUGUCGUCCCAAGUGCCCACCACUCUGGCGAAUCUGUCUUCACUGAGAAGGCUGGACAUGUAUUCGUGCGACCUGCACGGUGUAUUUCCGUCUGCCAUUUUUCAUUUACCGAAGCUGCAAUAUCUUAGUGUGCCUAGCAAUGUACAUCUCACGGGCCGCUUGCCUAAGUUCAACUCGAGUAGUUCUCUUGAAGAGCUGCAACUGGCAUUCACGGGCUUUUCUGGGGAGCUACCCGCUUCAAUUGGAAUCCUUCCUUCCUUGAGCUAUCUCGACGUAACCAGCUGCGAAUUCUCAGGAUCCAUCCCGGCUUCACUCGCUAAUCUUAGCAACCUCAAAGACCUGGCUGUCUCAGGGAACCCAUUCACUGCCCAGUCCAUUUCCUCUAUUUCUUGGGUUUGGACGAAGAAGAAGCUCACAUUUUUAGCACUUCAAAUGAUCAAUUUAUAUGGCGAGAUUCCACCUUCAAUCGGAAACUUGUCUCAGCUUGAUAUGUUAUUUUUAGGUGGCAACCAAUUAAACGGUGUCAUCCCAUCUCAGCUCAUGAACCUCACUCAGCUAACUUAUUUGUCCCUCAGAAGCAAUCAACUAUCGGGUUCUAUACCGUCUUGGCUUAUGAAUAUGACUCGACUGGUCGAGCUUGACCUUGCAGUCAAUAAAUUCCACAGUGAGAUACCUUCAUCAAUCUUUCAACUUCAAAAUCUCGCGGUCCUCCGCCUUAGCGAAAACAACUUCAGCGGUACUAUUGAGCUAGACAACUUUCACAAGUUCGAUUUGGAAGUGCUGCAACUCUCAUCUAACAGGCUAUUAAGCUGCAUGAGUAGCGCGAAUCUUAUUCUUCCUCAACUUGAUAAUCUAGGACUGGGUUCAUGCAAUUUGAGCGAGUUUCCAACAUUCUUACAAAAUCAAGCUGAUAUUCAAUGGUUGGACUUGUCUGAUAACAACAUUAAGGAAGUGCCUUUUUGGGUGUGGAAUGGCAGUUUUAAUCACAUGAUCUAUUUGAAUCUCUCUCAUAACUCCUUAACCAGUCUUGAUCGAUAUUACCCGAUGCAUGCUUCAUAUUCAUACACAAUAGACCUUUCUCAUAACAAGUUGAAAGGUUCGCCCCCCGAAGUACCGUUAUCAACAAUGUCCUAUAUAGUAUCCAACAACAACUUGACGGGAGCAUUGCCAGCAUGGAUUUGCAAUUUGAGUUCAGCAAUCACACUAGACUUGUCUUUUAACAGUCUGACUGGUGUGCUUCCUAUUUGUUUGGGCAAUAUCAGCGAAUCGCUCAAGGUAUUGAACCUAAAAGGCAACAAUUUCUACGGAAGCAUUCCAGAGCUCUCGGUGAGGGAGACGCAAUUGACGAUGAUUGAUUUGAGUGACAACCAGUUGGAAGGCAAUUUAUCGAGGUCCUUGGCCAAUUGCAAAAAGGUCGAGUUCAUCAACUUUGCAAACAAUCUUAUCAUGGACACCUUCCCAUCAUGGUUAGGAUCACUACCGGAGCUUCAUGUCCUUAUUUUGCGAUCCAAUAAAUUCCACGGUGUCAUAGAGAGGCCUAAAUCUAGUCAUGCAUUCCUUAAGUUGCGGAUACUUGACCUCUCUUCUAAUGCAUUCAUUGGUAAGUUGCCCAUGGAAUUCUUUCAAUCUUGGAAUGCCAUGAAAUUCGAGACACAAAACUUUGCAUACAUGCAUAGAGAUCUAGAUCCGCCAGUGUCCGAUUCGCUCACCUACUAUGGCCAGUAUGAUUUUUCUAUGAUAGUGAUUUACAAAGGGCUUAAUAGGUAUUACCAAAAGAUACCAAACGUCUUCACAAUCAUCGACCUCUCCAACAAUUUGUUAAAAGGAGAGAUCCCCAGCACCAUAGGUGAUUUCAAAAGACUGCAAGGCUUGAACCUUGCCAAUAAUUCCCUCACUGGUCACAUCCCAUCGUCGUUAGGGAAUCUCACAGCACUUGAGUCAUUGGACCUUUCUCAAAACAAACUCACUGGACAAAUCCCCCAGAAGCUAAUAGAACUCGGGUUCCUUUCUUUCUUGAACGUCUCUUACAACAAUCUGACCGGGUCCGUGCCUAGAGGGAAACAGUUUGAUACAUUUUCAGACAAUUCUUUUGAAGGAAACUCAAGACUGUGUGGGGAAUUCAUAUCCACGAAAUGUCGAGAUUCAGCGGAUAAGUCGGGACAACCUUCAACCUACCAAGAAGAAGACUUGGGAUCACCAAUUGAACUCAAUUGGAAGAUUGUCCUUAUGGGGUAUGGGAGCGGUUUAGUGAUUGGAGUGGUCAUCGGAAAUGCAUUCAUCUCUUGGAAACAUGAUUGGUUUGAAGGAAACGCCAAGAGAAGGCGACGACGUAGUCGGAGGCAGCCUAAGAGAGGUAGGAACUCUUGGUCAAGCAAGCUUUUUAAUUUAUGCAGAUAUUAGAACUUCCUUAAAAACUGAGUUGGGUAUAUCGUUUAUUUUCUUAAAUGUACUUGCUUCGUAUUAUCUUUAUAGUUAUUUAUGUCAAACUUCAUUUUCUUCAGCUAAUCUCUCGUCACAUCUAUUUAUAAAGCCAUUGUCAACUUGUAAACCUAGCUCAUGUGCGUCUUUUCCUAUCAAUGUUCUGGCAAGAGUACUACAAUCGAACACUCUCCGAAUUGCCACAAGGAUUUUUUUUUUUUCUGUCUGGGGUUCACAUCACUUGCUACCUGUUUAUAGGUUCUAGUAAAACAAUCAAGGGUACACUGUUCUCAUAACUUUAUGCAAACUAGACUCUUAUCCACACCUCGAUCAUUUGCUUUAGUUGUUUGUCACCUCACAAAUUAUACAAACAACAGUUGUAUUGACAUUUGAAACAAAAUCCGCAUUUGGAGAUUGAUUGGACAAGAACCAUGACAAAUGAUUCUCGUGAAAAAUAUACAUAUCACAUUUGCUUUUUGGAUAUUCUUUUAUGUUUGUGCGGUAAAAAAUCGAAUUCUCUCUCGUAAAGCAGCAUAUCAUGUUGAGAACCAACAUGGCGCAGGAGAAUUUCCUAAAGUUCUUACCAUGCUUGCUAAUCAUGUACUUGGUAAAUGUCAUUGAUUUAUCUNNNNNNNNNNNNNNNNNNNNNNNNNNNNNNNNNNNNNNNNNNNNNNNNNNNNNNNNNNNNNNNNNNNNNNNNNNNNNNNNNNNNNNNNNNNNNNNNNNNNNNNNNNNNNNNNNNNNNNNNNNNNNNNNNNNNNNNNNNNNNNNNNNNNNNNNNNNNNNNNNNNNNNNNNNNNNNNNNNNNNNNNNNNNNNNNNNNNNNNNNNNNNNNNNNNNNNNNNNNNNNNNNNNNNNNNNNNNNNNNNNNNNNNNNNNNNNNNNNNNNNNNNNNNNNNNNNNNNNNNNNNNNNNNNNNNNNNNNNNNNNNNNNNNNNNNNNNNNNNNNNNNNNNNNNNNNNNNNNNNNNNNNNNNNNNNNNNNNNNNNNNNNNNNNNNNNNNNNNNNNNNNNNNNNNNNNNNNNNNNNNNNNNNNNNNNNNNNNNNNNNNNNNNNNNNNNNNNNNNNNNNNNNNNNNNNNNNNNNNNNNNNNNNNNNNNNNNNNNNNNNNNNNNNNNNNNNNNNNNNNNNNNNNNNNNNNNNNNNNNNNNNNNNNNNNNNNNNNNNNNNNNNNNNNNNNNNNNNNNNNNNNNNNNNNNNNNNNNNNNNNNNNNNNNNNNNNNNNNNNNNNNNNNNNNNNNNNNNNNNNNNNNNNNNNNNNNNNNNNNNNNNNUGAAGAGCUUGAGCCGCGGUUCGCCAUUAACUCUUUCGCUGAUUCCCGCCUUCAAAUUUUGCUUCUGUGACUGUUUUGCUCUGGUUCAAUCGAUAAUUAUUGCAGGUAAACAUCCCUACUUAACGAACCAUAUCUGCUCUGUUUAUGCUUAAAAACAGAGGCCGCGAAUCCUGCAUACUGCUUGCGUACAGAUCUUAUGUAGCCGAGCUUCCGCUAGCGAUUUGAACUCAUCGUGUUUUAUUGAUGAUAUGGAGACAAAUUCUUGGCAUGUUCCUGCGUUUAGAUCAUUAGAUUAAAUUGUCUACCAUGUGUUCGACAAUUUUUGAGUGAAACCUGCGUGUGAAAUUGAUUAAAAUCCUUGCGUAUUGAUGUUUGGUUGAUUCUUACGUGUUCAGACUGAGACGUCUGUGUUUGAUCCUCUCUCAUUGCACCAUUGAAUUGACCUGCUGUGAUGCUCCGCCCGAGACGUUGCCUGCUGUGUCUCUGCUUAUUUUUAACCUCUGUAUCAGUCCAUUUCAUUAGUCUUGUUGUCAAACCUGAAUUUAUGCCGAUUUAUCUUUAGAGGUGGCUAGGAAUCAGCUAUAUGAAAAUUGAUAGAAUAAUUAAAUAUUAAACAUUGCCGUCGUCUAAAAGCUUAAUAUUUAGAAUAAUGGGUAGUGAUCUCACAAAAUCUCAUAAAAAAUAAAAUUGAUUGGCUAGGAAGUUGAACGGAAAUGAAAGAGGGAACGAUGGAGGCUUGAAGAAGUGGAGAGUUUUGUGAUUCUGCAAUUGAGUAAUAGUUUCUGAAUGUUUGCAAAACAAAAGAAAAGAAGUGGAAUGGUAGCAGAUUCAUGACGAAGAAGAAGAAGAACUCGUGCUUUGUGGCGUGACGGCGCUGAACUAAGCAAGAAACGAAAGGAAAUAAAAUAGUAUAUUAAAAUUAAUAAAUAAAAACGAAAAAUAAAAUGCGGAAGGAAAACGAUUGGAAAGUGUGAUUCCUAGCUAGACGGUUGCAUCGUAGAAAUAGUUUUGGCUGAAUUUCAUUUGAUUUGAAUUCAUCUAGUUUAAGAGUCAUUGUCUUCAGAUUUCAAAACAAUUUGAAUUUUUAGCUUGUAUUUUCUUUUAGAUUAACAGACAAAAAAACAAUAACAAAGAAAAGGAUAAAAUGAAAAAUCUCAUUUAGCGGUCAUUUUGUCGAUUUCCGUCUUUAAUAUUGUCAGUGUAAUUCUCUUUAGUUGAAAUUAGACUUUGAUUCUGAUUUUGAAAAUUAGCUCACGGUGGUCAUGCCCGGAUCAAUAAUAAGAUAAUAUAUAUUCUUUACCCAACUCAUAUCAAGUUAUUUUACUGCACUUCACCUUUUUUGUCAAUUCUUUUACCGCAUUUGAGUAAAGUGAGGUAUUAGCUCAUGGUGAUCACGUUUAGGGACUUAAUAACAAGGCCAUGUAAUUUUUUUGUCAGACUAAUAUUAGAUUGAGUUGAUAUCACAAAAAAAUCUAAAAUCGGUACAUUUGUAAUAAAUUUAUUCGAAAUUAAUUUUUUUAAAAACACCCUAGUCAAAUAAAAGCGCUAGGCAAAUAAACGGCUAAUAUUUUCGUUGUUUAAGCUAGAAGUAUCUUAAAGAAUGGCCCACCUUUUGGCAAUGAUUUUUAUGGACUCGAUGAGUAAGAUUAAAGACGACGAAUUAAACUACUCCGCUAACUUAUUUGUCCAUCAAUUAAGAAAAGCACCAUAACUCCCCAAUGAGACCUGGGGGAAAAAUUGACAUUCCACCAGGCCGAUUCCCACCACCACCGGAAAAUGAAAAAGACCUCAGGCGACGGAAAUGCCCCUCUCUAAAGUGUGAAAUCUCGUUCUCGUCUCUCGCUAGGGAGGGGAAAGGGACUAAAUGGAACCGCUCCGGAGCAUGAGCAUGCUUUUUUGUCAUAUGGAUAGUAAAAAGAGCAUCUUUAUCUUAUAGUUGCCGUAUCCAUUGAAAUAGUGCAAAGAUUCAUGAUCUAUUAUUCACAUUCAAAGCAUUUUAAUUGCGCCAAGAAUUCACAUUUUAGAAUGAAUAACGAGAAAAAUUUUUGAAAAGGUUUGGACAUAGAGAAAUGACCCAUCCAGUCGUUUCAAUGUGUAUAUUUCUACACAAUGAGUGAAUAAUUUUUUUGUUGUUUGUGAGAUCUUAUCUUGAAUGGUCUCAGUAACGGGGAUAUGCAUGGUGCAACGUUGUACCGUGCAAUCUUUUCUUAAAAGUUAAUUUCUUCAAUCGAAAAUAACGGAACUUCGUAAAGUCAAAAAGAAGUCGAAUUGCUUCACCUUUUAUGCUUUGUUAAGACAGAACUUUGUGUAAUUGUAUGAUAAAAUGGGGUACUGAAUACACAAUAGCAAACAGUUUGCUCUGGUUUUACUUAACUAGGCAAUAUGAACAAAACGACCAAGCCUAAGGAAAAGUAGAUGCAUCAUUGAAUUGCCUAUGGAUGAUUGAGUGCCGGUUAUGAUAGAUGAUGUGCGGCAAGUACUAAAAAUUUGCUCUGGCGUGCAACGAUAUAAAAUUCUUAUGAGUAGAAAUUAUCUUCAACGAGUCUCCUUGAGCACAUAAUUUAUCUCGACACAAAGUUGAGACCGAUGGAACAAGAAGAAAUGCAUGACUGGCUAUUUAUUCCUUAAACUGCGUUCAAAUGAUUCAAAACAUCUCAAGUUUUGUUCCUUUGGUCACAGCAAUGAAAGCUCGGUUGUGCCUUUGUCGACAUGCUGGGACUUCAUUAGUUUCCUGUAACAAACGGACUUCCGUAAUAUUGCAAAAUACAACCAAUUGUACUUUGAAAUUAAGUUAUUUUCCUAGAUAUCGAUGGUGCCAACGACAGUAUACUUUUGUUUGUGGUUUCUAUCCAUUUCAGCAUAAACAAACCCAGCAGUAGGAAAAUAGUAGGCAAGAAUGUUAGGCUAAUGCACAAUCCAGACAACUGUGAUUGUCUGGGAGUAACAAUCUACACAAGACAAGGGCCAAUUCCAUCUUUGCCUCCCUCUCAGUAAGGGAGACUUCUCAAAAUUCUAAACAAUCUUAAUUUCUCUGAAUGCAUUACAUAACAGAAAUUACAUUCGUUAUAAGUGACCAAAGAAAAUGUUCACUGAACGUAAUUCCAAGUGAAAACAGCAUUAAUAUGACAAACAAAAAGGUCCCACACAGCACAACCGCCGAGUGAAUGAAAGGGGCCAGAUGGGCAACCAAAUUCUUCAAUUUCGACCCUCAAAUCAUCCCAUUUGCCAUUGUCCUAUCAAGCAACCAAAGUCAUCAAUUUCGACCCUCAAAUUGUACCAUAUGCCACUGUCCACUAUCCACUUUCCUAAUGAGCAACUAAAAUCUUCAAUUUCGACCCUCGAAUCAUACAAUUUGCCACUAUUCACCGUCCUUACGAGCAACCAAAGUCUUCAAUUUCGACCCUCAAAUCGUAUCAUUUGCCACUAUCCACUAUCCUAACUGUCCUAACGAGCAACUAGAGUCUUCAAUUUCGACCCUCACAAUGUACCAUUUGCCAUUGUCAAUUGUCCUAAAGAGAAAUCAAAGUCUUCAAUUUCGACCCUCAAAUCGUACCAUUUGUCACUAUUCACUGAUUUAACGAGCAAUCAAAGUCUUCAAUUUUGACUCUCAAAUCGAACCAUUUACUACUAUCCAUUGUCCUAAUGAACAAUCAAAGUCUUCAAUUUCGACUCUCAAAUAGUACCAUUUCAUAGACUUUUUUGCCAUUGCCUUAAUGAUCAACGAAAGUCUUCAAUUUUGACCCUCAAAUCGUUCCAUUUCAUGGACUUUUUUUACCAUUUCUUAAAAGUUAAUUUCUAUGUUAUAUAUAUAAGGCCAUUAUUAACUUGUAAAACAAGCUUAUAAGCACCUUUUCUCUUUAUAUCAAUGUCCAAGCAAAAGUACUCCUACCGAACACUUGAAUCUAAAUUGCCGCAGAGAUUCAUCUUCACACAGGGUUCACAUCACGAGCUGAUACCCGAUUACAAAUUCCAGUUAAACGAUCAAUAACAAGAUUACGGUGCUCUCAUGACUUAACGCAAUUUAGUAGGCUCUAAUCCUACCUUUGAGGUGACAUUUAAGACACAAUUCGCAUACCAGAACUGUACCCAACAAUUCCCAUGAAAAAACAUUUUGCCGACAUAAUCUUCGCCUCUCUCCUCCUUGUUUAUGGGGGUGAUUUCCCAUCUCUGUCGUCAUCUGCCGCUCCGCAUAGCUUCGAGCUCCAAGCCUGCGACGCGAUGAUCACUUGGGAUCGAGAGUCGUUUGAGGAAGUCGACGAGAAGCUCUCGGUUGAGCACAAUUCCCUCCCCACCUUUCGCGUUAACAGAGCAGAAGCAGAGUCUGCAAGAACCCAACAAAACCCUCGCAACCUCAAUCACAAGAGCAGCCAUGGCUGAUUUCUCCUACCUAUCCAACACCGGCAACUCUGCGGUGAGGUGACUCCGCGGUGGAAGACCUCAUUUCCCAGACCAAGGACCUCUUCAUCCUCGGGUCAAAUCGCCGCCAUCAACUGCUCCUCGGAGAACGCAAUUUUACCGCUGCCAAAGCGGAAUCCGGACGAGAAAUCGCGUUGGAAGUCCACCACGAAUUGAUCUAGACUCUUCACCAAUGAAUCAUUCCGAUUCGUGGAGAAGGACGACGUACUGUCGGAUUUGGUGGCUGUCUCCGCUAAAGAGCAGAAGAAAAGUUGCUGACGAAAGCAAUGUAGGAGCAGAGAAGAUUGCGAGGAUGGCGAAGCAAAUGGAGGGGUAGGCUGUAAUUUAUUCUUACUCAAAUCGUUUCGUUUGUUUCGCGCUCCUGCUUAGUAGUAACAUGAUGUGUUGCUGUCUUGGCAGAUGUGCCCUUAAAUAUCGGUGUACUUCAUUACUGAAUAGUAGCGAUUACAAUCUCGGCCAUAUGUUUUGGUUUCAAUAUAGGAGCAACUUUUUCACAUAACAAUGAUUCGGAAACAAAAAUCUAACCAUAGAUGCCGGCAAACUGCUUAGGUACAGCCUAAUUAGGUCGAUUUCGAAUUUCUCGUCAAAAUCUUUAAAUGUCAUUACUUCUAUGUUUUGAAAGAGGAAAUAAGCGUUAGCAGGAGGAAAUGAGUAGUUUGGCAAAACCACUGCUAGAUCAGAUGAUUAGGUUGAAAUUCAGGUUGAGCUGUGUGGAACUUUAAUGCCUCUCUCAAGUCUCAACUAGAUAGAGUGGUCUUCUUAGGCUCUAAACUUGGUGAUUUCACUCAUGCUAAUGCUUAGAGCUUAACUAGGGAGAAAAAGGCCAAGGUAACUCGGCAUAGGCUAAUUUGGUUUAAUCCAAAUGUGCCGACAUUUUGCUUUGUAUCUUGGCUUGCUAUCCUUACCAAGUUGCAGCAGACUGGUGAUAGAUUGUGCAAAUGGCAGAAUGUGAAUGGUAUUUGACAAUUUGUGUCCUCUGUGGAUUGAAGCCCAAAGCAAGGAGACAUUUGUUUUUUGAAUGCUCUUUCUCCUCUGAAAAAUGAAGUAGGCUUUUGCAGCUACGUGAUAUAAGAGGUUUUGUUGGGGAUUCGAAUGCCGAGUUUAUGUGGGUGUUGCAAGGAGAGAUCUUUGGUAAGUCUUAUUAAAGGUGGCAAGGAGUGGUGUCAUUUAUUUUUCAUGGAAGGAAAGAAAUGCUAUAGUUCACAAUGGGAGAGUUGCAUGUGCUGAAAACGUUUCUGAAAGUAUCUUGUUUGUGGUAAGGUUGCCGUGCAAUUUUUUUCUUGUUAAAGGUACUUUUUUCACUCAGACAUAAUGAAACGUCAUAUAGCCUAGAAAGAAAUCACAUUACACUGUGUUUUUGUGCUUAGUUAAGAUAAAACGUCAUGUAACUACACGAUAAAAUGCCAUGCCAAAGAGACAAUCACAAACAAUAUGCUUUGUUCAUACUCAAAUAGGCAUUAUGGAUAUAAAGAUUGAGCCCAAAGCAAAGUAGAUCAAUGUUGAUUUGCUUAUGGAUGAUUGAUGGGCUAUAAAAGAUUGAGAAAAUUGUCUAAAAAGUCAUUAAUCUUUUACACUUUUGUCAAUCCAUUAUUAAAUCUUUCAAUUUUACCAAUUGAGUGUUAAACACAUUUUAACAAUUGAAUUGCAUUCGGCCAAUUUUGGAUGAAUAACGCCGACGUAGACACUGACCAUCCUAUGUGACAUAAUCAAUGUUAACAUUGACAUUUUUUUAAUAAUAUUUAAGUAUUUUUUUUUUUUGUCUUUUUUUGUCUUUUUCUUUCUUUUCUUAUUUCCCUUUCUCUUCUCUUUUUCUCUUUUUCCUUUUCUUUUUCUUCUUUCUUUUUCCCUCCACUGACCACUACCAUGCCUCAUUGAUGACUAAUGAAGGUCGUCAACCUCAGGUGAGGACCGUCCUCAUCGACCCUUUGGGAGGGUCGCCGUUGCCUAGGUAGGCCAGGGCUUGAGGCACACUAAGGGCCAACGAACUCCAUAAGCUAUCAAUGAGGCCGGGGAAAGGGAAAAAAGGAAAAAAAAAAAAAAAAGAAUGACAAGUGAAAGAGCAGAAGAAAAAAAAUGUGUAUAUAUAAUUUAAAAUUGUCAAUGUCAAUGUCGCUUGUGUCACAUAGGAAUGGUUGGUGUGCUAGCACCCAUUUUAGCAAUUUGCAACUAAAAUUUUCUAAAUUAACUUAAUUAGAAAAAUGUGAAAAAUGUUUAGAACUCAAUUAGCAAAAUUAUAAAAUUUAUGACUGAAUUAGCAAAAGCGUAAUAGGUUUAGGAUUUUUUUAAUAAUUUUCCACCCAUAGAUUACUUGCAUUCUUACUUCGGCGAAUGAGGACCCUGUUUGCUACAUUGUAAUGCGUGGAGAUGUCAAGAAGGUUAAAAUAGAGGAUCUCAAAAAGGUUGAGCGUGUAAGGGUCCAUGUUCCCAAAUUUGUUCCCCACGGUCGGGUCCGAGACUAGCGCUCAAGCCUGUGUCCCGGUGCUCAAACUUGGGACUCCGAUUGCACUCAAGACUUAUUCUCAAAUGUCUAUUUCAUUAUUUUCUUGUAACAGAUAUCAGUAAAUGACUUUCCUAUUGUUUGGCAAACACAAACCAACAUGCCUUGAAAAUAAUUUCCUUUCGAAAAAUUUCUAGCAAAGUCCAUUUUUCGAGAAAUAAAUGGAGCUGGAGAUUUGAACAAACUGCCUUGAUUGAACAUAGGACUAAAUGUAAUAAAUUUGUUGUUCCUUGUGAACCGAUGAGCAUUGUUUGCACAAUGAACGAUCAAUCUUGAUGUUGCCAACAACAUAGUUUAGUUUUCUUUGUUUUCUAUUUAUUUCAAAGACAAACAGAAGAAGCAAGCAACUGAAAGUGGAUGCAUUUUUCUAUGAUUGAUGGAGUAUAGCCAGAGAAAGUUCUAAUGCUGCAAACAAAAGUCUGAGACUAAUCCGUCCCCCCUACAAUCUAGAGGGGCUAUAUGAGCAACCAAAGUCUUCAUUUCUUCCCUUGAUUUGUCCCAUUGCAUGGACUUGUAUGCCAUUGUCACAACUUGUGAAAUGCAUACUCUUUGUCUAGAACAAAGAGGAGCACUUAGCGCCAUUUUUUUAUAACUUACAUCUCAAAAAUUCAUUUGGGUUAAAAGUAAAGUGAGCCUAAUUUUGCUUUUAGAUUGCAAGAUCAAUUCGUAUUUUCCAUACUCUCACAUCUAGAUCUUAGCUUGCUUAGACAACGUCUCUUCAUUUCCGCCUCUCAGUAAUGAAACUCAUUUAGAAGUGUAUCUUUUGUUUUUUUGUAUUUAUUUUCUAGAUCUAGAUGGUGCCAACGACAAUAUAUUUUUUGUCUUUGGUUUCUAGCCGUUUUGGCAUAAACAAAACGAGCACUAGGAAAAUAUUGGGCAACCAUGUUAGGCUCUUGCAACAUCCAAAUGCCUAUGAUUGUCUAGUACCAUCAAUUUCCACAAGACAAGGGCCAAUUCCACCUCUAUCGUCCCUCUCAAUAAGUGAAGAUUGUUCAAAGUUUGAACGGUCUUAAUUUCUCUAAAGCAUUAUAUCAUGAAAAUUACAUUCCUCAUCAGUGACUAAAAGAAAAUGUUCUCAGAUCAUGCAUUCAAAGGGAAAACAAUGCUAACAUCACAAACAAACAAGUUCAACCCAGAGUAGUUAUUGGGCGAACGAGAGGGGCCAUAUGAGCAUUCAAAGUCAUUGAUUUUGACCCCGGAUUCAUACCAUUUCCUUGACUUGUUUCUCGCCGUCACAAACUUAUGAAUGGAUACAUUUGCUUAGAAUGGAGGGAAUAACAUAUUAUCUUCAUCUUAUGUUCCCACAGAGGGACUUUUUGUGAAGGGGACCAUCAUAUGUUGCUGUGCGACACCCCAUGGUUUGCAAAUUUUUGGACUAAUUAUUGGUGGACUCAAAGUCUUCCGAGCAAAUACAAAUCUAUUUGUCAAUUUUGGUUGAACAGUCUUAAUCUCUCCAAAACAUCACAUCAUGGAAAUUACAUUCCUUAUCAGUGACCAAGGGGAAAUGUUCUCACAUCAUGUAUUCAAAGUGAAAACAAUGCUAAUAUCACAAACAAACAAGUCCAACCAGAGCAGUUAUUGGGCAAACAAGAGGGGCCAAAUGAGCAUUCAAAAUCUUUAAUUUUGACCCCAAUUCAUAUCAUUUCAUUGACUUGUUUGCUGCUGUCAUAACUUAUAAAUGGAUACAUUUGCUCAGAAUGGAGGGAAUAACAUCAAACCUUUUUAUCAACCACACAAGCCCUUUAUCUUAUCUUCCCACGGAGGAACUUCUUUUGAAGGGGACCAUCACAUGUUGCUAUACGGCACCCUUUGGUUUCCAAAUUUUUGAACUAACUGUUGGUUGACCCAAAAUCUUCCGUGCAAAUACAAAUCUAUUUGUCAAUUUUGGCAUGCUCACUUACCCCUACGCACUAAGCGCCCUACUUUCCCGGUAGCAUUGCUCUAAACACAAUAAUAAUUAAAAAAAAAAAACAGUUUUGAGAACAAAAUAGGAUUUAACCUACCCACUAUCUUUGAUCGUGCAUCUAACUAGAAUCUCUACACACAUAAAGAGUUAUGUUUUAAAGUUUAGAAGGUCUUUCAUCUUUUAUACAUUGCUUAGAUAUUUAUUACCAAAUAUCCAUGAGAAUAAGAGAUUUGCUAGAAUUUGAUUACAAAAAUACAUAAAUUUAUUACUUCUUGCAGAGCGAUUAGAGAUGUGUUACCAAAGUAAGCAUAAAAAUGAGAGAGUUGCCAGGAUAAGAGAUUUUAUAAAGUGAACAUAAAAAUAAUUGCUACUCAAAACUCACACUUUAGAGUGCCAUGUGGUAUAUGGCUUUUGUGCAUUUAUCUUCUUCGUAUAUAUAUAUUUACUUAGCCAGGAAAAAAAAAAGAAUAGCUACUUUUAAGUUCAAAUUUUCGUUGAUGAAAAUUGUUUAGAGCUGUAUUUUUAAGAUAAAUGUUUUUCUUUUAUUCGCUAAAUUUAUUUAGACCUCAAUGGUGCCAAUAUUGUAGUUUUUCUCUAAUUGCCAUUUCUUUUGGCAAUAUAAAAAGAAUGAGCGGUGAGAAAAUAUUAGGAUGCAACACAAAUGUCUAAUUGCUUAUAGACAAUCGUCACUAUUCUACCUCUAUUCUCACUCUCAUACCUCUAUUCUCACUCUCAACAAGCAAGACUAAUCAUAACUCUUAAUAGUCAUAGUUUCUCCAAAGGCACUACAUAAAGUAAGUCACAUUCCUCAUCAUUGACCAAAGGAGGUGUUCACGGAUCAUAAAUUCAAAGUGGAAACGGCACUAAAAUCGCAAAUAGAAAGGUCCAACGCAGAGUGAUUGUUGGGUGAAUGAGAGGGACGCAAAUGAGCAAGCAAAGUCUUCAAUUUCAAUGCUCGAUUCGUACCAUUUCAUGGACUUGUUUGCUGCUGUCACAAUUUACGAAUAGAUUUUUUUGAAUUGUUUGCUGCUGUAACAACUUACGAAUGGAUACUUUUGGUCUAGAAUGGAGGGAACAACCUCAAACCAUUUCUUAACCAUACAAGCUCCUAAGGAUUUUUGUGAAGUGGAUCAUCAAGAUGUUGCUACAUCACCCAUUGGGUAUGCAAUUUUAUGCAAUUUUUGGACAAACUGUCUGGCCCAAGUCUUUCAUGCAAGUGACAGAUUUACUGGCUGAAUUUCCAGUCAACCGAUUGUCGAUUUGGGUACACGUUACUUCACUGCACCAACAAAAAAUAAAAAAUGAUUGAAUUGAUAUAAUUGCGUUAAGAUUAGGAUUUUUUUUUGUAAUUUUCGUAAAAUAAACAUAUAUAUGAUUUUUAUUUGUAUUUUUAUGAGUGAAUAUUUGCUUUGAAGCUAGUAAAAAUGUUAACAUGACCCCUCCUUAAAAAAUUGAUAUGUAUUGUAUUUAAUCAAGGUGUCAAGUAUACAAAUUUUAAUGGCCUCCAUAUUUGUGAUCAGAUUAACAAUUGUGAACGAGGAAAAUUCAAACGGGGAAAGCACGUGGUUUGGUGGUUGACUAUUGCCAAAUUGAGUGGACAGGUUAUCGAGACCUUGCAUUAUGUACGAUAGACCGGCUGGCUAUUGCAGCACUGCUUUGGCCCACUUCUGGAAAUUUCCUGCAUGAAUGUUUGAGUGAUAUGACUGAGUAAAAUAUUAUCGAAUAUGAGAUCUGGACCCCACGGGUUGGCUUAAUGUUCGAGGCCUAGACAUGUGCGUGCUGUUACAAUCUUCCUAGGACCAAGUCAUCGCAUUAGUGAUUGACAACGCGCCGGGGGAAAAGUCCAGGAAAUUAAGGGAAGGAGAGUCCUGAAAGUCGGAGCUAUUGACAAAUCCGGGAAUCACGAUGUCAAAUGACAGACCACAGAUAAGAGUCUUGAAAGCAUUACAAAGUGAGCCUCUAUCGAUAAAUGGUAAAUCCAAGCUUCCACACAUUCAAAUUCGAUGCGGUUCGAUUCUAUUUGACAAGUAUUCUAUAUCUUCAAGUACCUUGACGACUAAGGCAACGAGAAAAUUGUGGCUAUUCUUAUUCUAUUAGUAUCAUUAGCUUCCACUGUGCCCCUAGAGAGACUUGGGGGGUCACAUCUCCUGCAAAGCCAUGAAAGCUACUUCUGCAUCCCUGAAUUAGAAAAGGAGUUUGCUGCAUCCCCUACAUGUAAAUAUAGAAAGAAUCCACCUUGGCCCUCUUCCACUUGAAGUUCUCAAAUCUUUUUUAAUUCUUACUAAGCAACGAGGAAGAUAUUCACAUAGCCCCUUGCCUCUUCAUGCUUUUGCUGUCCCUGUCUCCACUAGUGGUGAUGGCGAAUUCGUCUCCUCCUGCCGAGCAUCCACUGUGCGGUGAUCAUGAGAAGCUCGCCUUGUUGCAGUUCAAGCAAAGCUUUGCUAUUGGAACUUGUGAGUUUUGUGACUUCUCGAGAGUAGAAUCAUGGGGCUCAGAGAAGGAGAGCGGAGAUUGCUGCUCGUGGGGUGGGGUCCACUGCGACGAGGAUACUGGCCAUGUGAUUGGCCUUGAUCUCAGUUCCAGUUGCCUCCUUGGUUCUCUCAGUCCAAACAGCACUCUCUUCAGCCUUGUGCACCGCCAAGAGCAUAAUCUAGCUUAAGAACCACUUCAAUUUCUCCGAAAUCUCAUCCUCGCUUGCCCGGUUGACAAAGCUGAAGUAUCUCAAUGUCUCAAAAUCUUUCUUCUCGGGGCAAAUCCCACGAGAUAUAUCCGUGCUCUUAGACUUGAGGUCUGUUGAUCUGUCCGUGGACAAUGUCUCGUCUGUUGAACAUCCGUCGGCAUUGAGCGGUCCUGUUUUCAGGAGUCUAAUUCAGAACCUGAGCAGACUAGAGGAACUUCACCUUGGCUGGCUCACCAGAAAUUCUGCGAUUCCUCAUAGAAUGGCAAACUUGUCUUCUUUGAGAUCACUCCUUCUAACAGAUUGUGGGUUACAUGGGGAUCUUUGGAGAGGAUUUUUCAUCUAGAGACUUAAUAACAAGGCCAUGUAAUUUUUUUGUCCGACUAAUAUCAAAUUGGGUUGAUUCCACAAAGAACCCAAAAUCGGUACAUUUGUAAUAAAUUUAUUCAAAAUUAUUAUUUUUUAAAUACCCUAUGUAAAUAAAUGCGCAAGGCAAAUAAAUGGCUAAUAUUUUCGUUGUUCGAAGCUAGAAGUGUGUUAAUGAAUGGCCCACCUUUUGGCAAUGAUUUUUAUGGACUCGAUGAGUAAGAUUAAAGACGACGAAUUAAAAUACUCUGCUAACUUAUUUGUCCAUCAAAUUAGAAAAGCACCAUAAAUCCCUAAUGAGACCUUUGUGUGGCUUUGGUAACUUGGCAUAGGCUAAUUUGGUUUAAUUUAAAUGUGCCGAGAUUCGGCUUUAUAACUUGGCUUGCUAUCCUUACCAAAUUGCAGCAGACAGGUGAUAGAUUGUGCAAAUGGCAGAACGUGAAUGGUUUUUGUGUCCUCUGUGGAUUGCAGCCCGAAUCAAGGAGACAUUUGUUCUUUGAUAGUUCUUUCUCCUCUGGAAAAUGAAGUAGGCUUUUGCAGCUAUGCGGUAUAAGAGGUUUUGUGGGAGAUUGGGACUCUGAGUUUAUGUGGGUGUUGCAGACAUCAAAGGGGAGAUCUCUGGAAAGUCUUAUUAAAGGUGGCAAGGAAUGGUGUCAUUUAUUUCUAAUGGAAGGACAGAAAUACUAUAGUUCAAAAUAGGAGAGUUGCAUGUGCUGAAAAGGUUUCCGAGAGUAUCUUGUUUGUGGUAAGGUUGCCGUGCAAAUUUUUUUUUCGUUGAAGGUACUUUUUUCACUUGGACACAACGAAACGUCAUAUAGCUAAGAAAGAAAUCACAUUACACCGCGUUUUUGUGCUUAGUUAAGAUAACACGUCGUGUAACUACACUAUAAAUGCCGUACCAAAGAGACAAUCACAAACAAUAUGCUUUGUUUCUACUCAAAUAGGCAAUAGGGGUAUAAAGAUUGGGCCCAAAGAAAAGUAGAUCCAUCAUUGAAUUGCCUAUGGAAGAUUGAUGGGCUACAAAAGAUUGGAAAAAUUAUUCAAAAAGUCAUAAACAUUUUACACUUAUAUUAAUUCAUUCUUAAAUCUUUCAAUUUUAUCAAUUGAGUCUUAAAAAUUUUCACACUUUAUCAAUUAAAGUGCAUUCGACCAAUUUUAGAUAAAUACUGCUAACAUAGACGCCAAUCAUCUUACGUGAUAUGGUCCAUGAUAACAUGAACAUUUUUUAAUAAUAUUUAAAUGUUUUUCGUCUUUUUUCUCUUUUUUUCUCUUUUUUUCUCUUUUUUUUUCUCUUUUCUUUCUUUUACUUUUUCCUUUUCUCUUCUCUCUAUCUUUUUCUUUUCUUUUCUUUUUUCCUUCUUUCCUUUUUCCUUUUUCCCUCCACCAACCACUUCCAAGACUCAUUGAUGAUUUGUCGAAGUCACCAGCCUCAGGCAAGGGCCGCCCUCAUCAACCCUUGGUGAAGGUCAACCUUGCCAAGGCAAGCGAGGACUUGAGGCACACCAAAGGCCAGCGACCUCCACUGGCUUAGCGAAGAGAGAAAAGGAAAAUGAAAAAGAAAAGAAUGAAAAGUGAAUGAUAGAAAAAAUAUAAAAUAAAAAAUAAAAAAUAUAUUAUUUAAAAUUGUCAAUGUUAAUGUCAAUCGUACUACAUAGGAAUGGUUGGUGUGCCAACACCCACUUAAGCAAUUUACAGCCAAAAUUAGCCAAAUUAACUCAAUAAGCAAAAUAUGAAAAAUGUUUAGAUCGGCGUGCCAACGCCAACUUAAGCAAUUUGCAGCCAAAAUUGACCUGAUUAACUCAAUCAGCAAAAUAUGAAAAAUAUUUAAAACUCAAUUGGUAAAAUUAAAAUAUUUAUGACUAAAUUAAUAAAAUCGCAAUAGAUUUAAGAUUUUUUUAACAAUUUUCCACCCAUAAAUUUCAUGCUUUCUUACUUCAGCAAAUGAGGACCUUGUUUACUGCAUUGUAAUGCAUGCAGAUGUCAAAAAGGUUAAAAUAGAGGAUCUCAAGAAGGUUAAGCAUGUGUGGGUCCAUGUUCCCAGGAAGUUUGUUCCCACAGCUGGGCCCGAGACUGGUGCUCGAGCCGAGUCCCGGGACUCAAACUUGGGACUCCAGUUGUACUCAAGACUUAUUCCCAAAUGUCUAUUUCGUAAUUUUCUUGUAAUAAAUGACUUUCCUAUUGAUUGGUAGAUACAAACCAACAUGCCUUUAAAAUAAGCUCCUUUCGAAAAAUUUCUAGCAAAGUUCAUUUUUUGAGAAAUAAAUUAAACUUGAGUUUAAACAAACUGCCUUGAUUGAAUAUGGGACUAAAUGUAAUAAAUUUGUUGUUUCUUGUGAACAAAUGAGUAUUGUUUACGCAAUGAACAAAGGAUCUUAAUGUUGCCAACAACACAGUUUAGUUUUCUUUGUUUUCUAUUUAUUUCAAAGAUAAAAACAAGACUGUUCCAAACUCUAAUUAAUCUUAAUUUCUCCGAAUGCAUUACACGGCGUAAAUUACAUACCUAAUCAGUGACUCAAGGAAAUGUAUACAGAUCAUGAAUCCAAAGUCGAAACAGCACUAACAUUGCAAACAAAGAAGUCCAACACAGCGCAACCCAAGUCUUCAACUACCCUUUAUUAUUUUUUAUUACAUGUACUUUUUUGCUGCUUUCAGUACGGUUGACCCAAGUCUUCCAUGCAAAAUGCAAAUAUAUAUGUAUAUAAUAUAAUAUGAUAUAAUAUAUAUGUGCUUUUUGCUGCUUUCUCCACGGUUGACUCAAGUCUUCCACGCAAACGGAGAUCGAUUGGCUGAGUUCAGAGUAUGUGCCCAGCAGCUACCUGCUACGACACUGCGGAAAGUAUGCGCAUGCGCAUAAAAUAUUCAUAGGUGCUGCGCGCGCGCGCACAUUUACAUAUAUAUAUAUGCUUUUUUGCUGCGUUCUCCAUGGUUGACCCAAGUCUUUGCGCGCAAAUGUAGAUCGAUUGGCUGAGUUCAGAGUAGGUGCCCGGCAGCUACCCGUUACGACGCUGCGGAAAGUAAUGCGCAUGCACAUAAAAUAUUCAUAGGUACUGCACAUUGUGCGUUUCAUCACACGUAGAGUCAUUGAUUCAAUGCAUCGUAACACGAGAUGAAGCGUGUUUAUAUCCCCAGGCACCCAGCGCCACCUAUAAAAUCUGCUUUACUCUCUCAUACUCUGCUCAUCAAGACAAAUUUGUCUCUAUUUCGAGCAAAAUGGCUUGCUCGCCGUGCUUCUACAUGUCCAUACACUUUCUUUUCUUGUACUUGUCGUGCCAGCCUAUUGACGCGCACAUCCUCUCUCGUUCUAUGAAACCUCUUUGUCUCGAGGAUGAAAUGUCUGCACUGCUACAGUUUAAAGAAAGGUAUGAAAUCGCCAAUGUUUCGGGUGGUCCUCUCGCUCAUCCCAAGACUCUAUCCUGGAAAAAUAGUCAGGAUUGUUGCUCUUGGGAUGGGAUCGAGUGCGAUGAGAACACAGGCCACGUAAUUGUUCUAGAUUUGGGAAGUAGUUUUCUCUAUGGUUCUAUCGACAACAACAGUACCAUCUUCCAGCUUGCUCAUCCUGAAAAGCUCAAUCUCGGCGACAAUCACUUCAACUACUCUCAAAUACCGUCUCGAGUUGGAGAUCUGUCAAGAUUGACUCAUCUCAAUCUCUCUGCUUCCUUUUUUCCUGGCCAAGUUCCAUCAGAAAUCUUCAAACUUACAAGGUUGGUGUACCUCAACCUGUGUUGCAGUCUAGAUGAUAGACUUUUGUUGGAGAUGAAAGCGCCGGGCCUGAGAAGGCUAUCUCAAAAUCUGACCGACCUAGAAGAACUUCUCCUUGGUCACGUCAACAUGUCUUCCCAAGUGCCCAACACCCUGGCGAAUCUGUCUUCACUAAGAAGGCUGAACAUGGAUGUGUGUAACCUGCACGGUAUAUUUCCGCCUGCCAUUUUUCAUUUACCGAAGCUGCAAUAUCUUUGUGUGGAUGACAAUGAGGAUCUCACGGGCCGCUUGCCUAACUUCAAAUCGAGUAGUCCUCUUAAAGAGCUGCAACUGAGAGGCACAAGCUUUUAUGGGGAGCUACCGGCUUCAAUCGGUAAUCUCCGCUCCUUGGAGAUGUUGGAUCUUUAUUCCUGCAAUUUGACAGGGUCCCUACCUAUGUCAAUCGGAAACCUUCCUUUGUUGAGUUAUCUUGACAUAGUUCAUAACAACUUCUCAGGAUCCAUCCCGGCUUCAUUUGCUAACCUUAGCAACCUAAAAUACCUAGAUGUCGGAAUGAACCCAUUCGCUGCCCAGUCCGCUUCCUCUUUGUCUUGGGUUUGGAAGAUGAAAAAGCUUGCCACUUUGAACCUCUGGAGGAUCAAUUUAUAUGGUGAAAUUCCCCCUUCAAUCGGAAACUUGUCUCAACUUGUGGAGUUAUCCUUUUUUGGCAACCAGUUAAGCGGUACCAUCCCAUCUCAACUCAUGAACCUCACUCAGCUAACUGAUUUGGAACUCCCAACCAAUCAACUAUCAUGUUCUAUACCUUCUUGGCUUGUGAACAUGACUCAACUAGUUGUGCUUGACCUUUCACGCAAUAAAUUCCACGGCCAGAUACCUUCAUCAAUCUAUCGACUCCAAAAUCUCCUAGUGCUCCAACUUUUCGAAAACAACUUUAGCGGUACUGUUGAACUAGACAACUUUCUCAAGCUCAAACAAUUGGAGGUGCUCCUACUAUCAUCUAACCGGCUAUCAUGCCGCACGAGUAGCACAAAUGUUAUUCUUCCUCAACUUGGGGCCCUAGGACUGGCAUCAUGCAAUUUGAGCGAGUUUCCGGCAUUCUUGCAAAACCAACAGAAUAUGAAUUGGUUGGACCUGUCGAAUAACAACAUUACGGGAGAAGUGCCCUUUUGGAUGUGGGAUGGAAGAUUUAAAAGCAUGCAGUACCUGAAUCUCUCCCAUAACUUCUUAAUUGGUCUUGAUCGAUAUUACCCGAUCAAUCCUUCAUAUAUGUACACGAUAGACCUAUCUCAUAACAUGUUAACAGGACCACCCGCAGAAGCACCGGCGUCCAUAUCAGACUAUAUAGUAUCCAACAACAGGCUAACGGGAGCAUUGCCACCAUGGAUCUGCAAUUUGAGUUCAGCAAUCACACUAGACCUAUCUUUUAAUAAUAUGAUUGGUGUGCUUCCGGUUUGUUUGGGCAAUACCAGCGAAUCUCUCAUGAUAUUGAACCUAAAAGUCAACAAUUUCCAUGGGAGCAUUCCUGAGGUUUUGUUGAGGGGGACGCAACUAACAAUGAUCGAUUUGAGUGACAACCAGUUGCAAGGCAAGUUACCGAGGUCCUUGGCCAAUUGCAAAAUGCUCAAGUUCAUCAACUUUGCAAACAAUCUUAUUGUGGACACUUUUCCGUCAUGGUUGGGAUCUUUGCCAGAGCUUCAUGUCCUUAUUUUGCGAUCCAAUAAAUUCCACAGUGUCAUAGAGAGGCCUAAAUCUAGUUCCACAUUCCUUAAGUUAAGGAUACUCGACCUCUCCAUUAAUGCAUUUACUGGUAAGUUGCCUAUGGAGUUCUUUCAAUCUUGGAAUGCCAUGAAAUCCGAGACGGGAAACUUUGCAUACAUGCAAAGAAACCUACGGCCAUCAGGUUACCUUAUGUACAGCCUUAUAUACAGCGACGAUGACAAUUCUGAAUUCUCCAUGACAGUGAAUUACAAAGGGCAUAAAUGGUAUUACCCAAAGAUAUUAGAAGUCUUCACGAUCAUCGACCUCUCUAGAAUUUUUUUCAAAGGAGAGAUCCCUAAUGUCAUAGGUGAUCUCAAAGGAUUGCAAGGACUGAACCUUUCCAACAAUUUCCUCAGUGGUCACAUCCCAUCAUCUUUGGGAAAUCUCACAGCACUCGAGUCAUUGGACCUUUCUCUGAACAAACUCUCGGGACAAAUCCCCCAAAAACUAUUAGAACUCGGUUUCCUUCUUCCUGAACAUCUCUNNNNNNNNNNNNNNNNNNNNNNNNNNNNNNNNNNNNNNNNNNNNNNNNNNNNNNNNNNNNNNNNNNNNNNNNNNNNNNNNNNNNNNNNNNNNNNNNNNNNAGGUCGCGACACCUGUCAUCAACUUGUUUGCUGUUGUCAUAACUUAUGAAUGUAUACAAUUCCCUAGAAGGAAGGGAAUGACCUCAAACAGUCUUAUGAACCACAUAAGCCCUUCAUCUUAUCUUCCUAUAGGGGGACCUUUUUUGAAGGGGACCAUCACAUGUUGCUACAUGACCUUUUGUAAAUGAGCAAUCAAAGUCUUCAAUUACGACCCCUAAUUCGUAACCUUUCAUCAACUUGUUUCCUGCCGUCACAACUUAUGAAUGGAUACAUUUCCCUAGAAUGACGGGUAUAACCUCAAACAGUCUUUUCACCAAAAAAAUAAAAAAAAAUAAAAAAAAAAACCUCAAACGGUCUUAUGACAGAAGCCAUUCAUCUUAUCUUCCUACAGAAGGAACCUUUGUGAAGGGAACCAUCACAUGCUGCUAAAUAACACCCUUUGGUUUGCAAAUUUUUGGACUAAUUGUUGACUCAAAGUCUUCCAUGCAAAUGCAAAUCUAUUUGUCAAUUUCGGCACAAAGAUUUUCCUUAUGUUCCCAGGAGUUAACCCUAUACGGCACUGCACAAAGUCAUUCUCAUGCACCUAAAGAUUCAAGUGCAUUGCCCGUGUCGCAUUGUCCAUGUCUUGUGUGUUUUAUCUCCAGCAAAUUAAUUAAUUUUGAUGCAUCGUAGCGUGCAAUGCGGCAUGCUCGCUUUCCCCUGUGCACCAAGCGCCCCACAUCCCUAGUAGCAUUGCUCUGAACACACGCAGGAAAGCAGAUUUGAGAACAAAAAUAGAAUUUAACCUACCCAAUAACUUUGAUCGCACAUCUACUUAGAAUCUCUUUAUACAUUAAAGGAUUAUGUUUUAAUGUUGUCAAGUCUUUUAUUGUCUAUAUAUCAUUAGAGAUUUAUUACCAAAUAUGCAUAAGAACAAGUGAUUAGCUUGGAUAUUAUUACAAAAAUAAAUAAAUCUAUUAUAUAUUGCUUAGUGAUUGGGGAUUUGUUACCAAAUUAAGCAUAAAAGUAGAGAUUUGCUAGUAUAAGAGACUUUACAAAGCGAACAUAAAAAAAAUGGCUAUGCAAAACUCACACUUCAGAGUGCCAUGUGGUACUCUAUCAAGCCUUCACUUUCAUAGACCUUUUUCCCCUUGUCACAACUUGUGGAUGGAUACAUUUGCCUAUGAUGGAGGGAAUGACCUCUAACUCUCUAUUAACCAAGCAGAUUCUUCAUCUUGUCUUCUCAGUGAGAUACUUUUUGUAAAGGGGGCCAUCUUACUAACUGCUGACCCAAGUCUUCCAUGCAAAUACAAAUCUAUUGGCUGAAUUUUCAGUCGAUCGACCAUUUGUUUAUUUGGCAUGAAGUGUUUUCUUAUGUUCCCCGGUAGCUACACGUUACGGCACUGCACAAGUCAUGCUGUCAUGCGCUAAAAUAUUCAUAUGCAUUGCCCAUAUUUUGCGUCUUUUGUCACUAGCAAAGUCAUUGAUUUUGAUGCAUCAUAGCGUGUUAUGCGGGAUGCUCUUACCCCCUAUGCACCAAGCACCGCCUAUAAAAUCUACUUCCCCGGUAGCAUUGCACUGCACAAAGUCAGAAAGACACAUUUGAAUAAAAUAGAAAUCUGCCUUAAAAUUUGUUGGGUCAUCUAAUUACAAUCGCUAUACGAAACAAGAAAACUAAUGUUUUUUUAAAUGUUUAUCACCAAAAAUGUAUAUCUCUUUUAUUUCUCAUACAUGGAUUAGAGAUUUAUAAACGAAGUAUGCAUAAGAAUUGAUGGUGCCAACAACAAUGUUAUUUUGUUUCCGUUUUCCAUUUGUUUCGGAAUAUUCAUAGAACAAGCAAUAAGAAAAUAUUAAGCAACGAUACAAAUGUCUAAUUGCUCAUAGAUAAUUGUCUUUAUUCUACCUCUAAUAUCACUCUCAAUAAGUAAGACGGUUCAAAACUCUUAGCUGUCAUAGUUUCUCUAAACGCAUUACAUAACAUAAAGUUAUAUUCCUCAUCAGUGACCAAGGGAAGUGAUCGCAAAUCAUAAAUUCAAAGUGGAAACAGCACUAACGUUGCAAACAGAAAGGUCCAAUGCAGAGUGAUCAUUGUGUGAACAAGAGGAGCCAGAUGAGCAAUCAAAGUCUUCAAUUUUGACUCUUGAUUCGUACCAUUUCAUUGACUCAGAUGUAUUACACAUAUUUCUACGUAUUACAUCACUCGCAAAGUCAUCAAUUUGACGCAUUAUAGCAUGAGAUGAGGCGUGUUCAGACCCCUAGACUCCAAGCACCGCCUAUAAAAUCUGCUUCAUUCUCAUAUGCUCUGCCCAUCAAAACAGAGUUAUCUUAUUUGAAAUAAAAUGGCUCGCUCCUCGUGCUUCUGCAUGUCCAUAAACUUGCUUUUCUUGUACUUGUGGUCACAUCCUAUUGGUGCUCACAAUCUCUCUCGUUCUGUAAAACCUCUGUGUCUCGAGAACGAAAUAUCUGCACUGCUGCAGUUUAAAGAGAGAUACGACAUCGCCAAUGUUUCGAGGGGUCCUCUCGCUCGUCCCAAGAUUCUAUCCUGGAAUAAAGGUCGGGAUUGCUGCUCCUGGGAUGGAAUCGAGUGUGACGAGAACACCGGCCAUGUAAUUAUUCUCAACUUGAGAAGUAGUUUUCUCUAUGGUUCCAUCGACAACAACAAUACCCUCUUCCAGCUUGCUCACCUUGAAAAGCUCGAUCUCAGCGACAAUCACUUCAACUAUUCUCAGAUACCGUCCCGAAUUGGAGAUCUAUUGAGAUUGACUUAUCUCAAUGUCUCUUAUUCCGUAUUUUCUGGUCGAGUCCCAUCAGAAAUCUUCAAGCUGACAAGGUUGGUGUACCUUGACCUGUGUUGCAAUCUCGAUCCAUAUACUUCUACACGUUUGUUGGAAAUGCAACCACUAGCCUGAGGAGCCUAGCUCAAAAUCUGACCAGCCUGGAAGUACUGUCCCUUUAGUGUCGUCGUUAUGUCGGCCAAAGUGCCCAACACUUUGGCCAAUCUGUCUUCCCUAAGAGCGCUGAAAAUGGAUGUGUGCGACCUGCACGGUGUAUUCCCGUCCGCCAUUUUCAAUUUACCAAAGUUGAUAUAUCUCGAGGUGGUUGACAAUAUAGCUCUCAUAGGACAAUUGCCUUACUUCAACUCAAGUAGUCCUCUUGAACUACUGCGAGUGCCUGGCACGAGCUUUUCUGGAAAGCUACCCGCUUCAAUCGGUAAUCUCCAUUCCUUGGAAUUCUUGGAUCUUAACUCCGAAACAUGCAAUUUGACAGGGUCGUUACCCGCGUCAAUUGGAAAACUUCCUUCCUUGAGUUAUCUUGACAUAAGCGGUUGCCAAUUCUCAGGGUCAUUACCCUCAUCAAUUGGACACCUUCCUUCCUUGAGUCACCUCAUCAUAAUUGGUUGCAACUUCUCAGGAUCCAUCCCGGCUUCAUUUGCUAAUCUUAGCAACCUCGAAUACCUGGUUGUCAGCACGACCCCAUUCACUGCCCAUACCAUUUCCUCUUUGUCUUGGAUUUGGAAGAUUAAGAAGCUUGCCUCUUUGUAUCUCGAGAAAAUCAAUUUAUAUGGCGAGAUUCCACCUUCAAUUGGAAACUUGUCUCAACUAAUGCAGUUAAGCUUUCUUGGCAACCAAUUAAGCGGUACUAUCCCACCUUCAAUUGGAAACUUGUCUCAACUAGAGGAGUUAAUCUUUCUUGGCAACCAAUUAAGCGGUACUAUCCCAUCUCAGCUCGGGAACCUCACUCGGCUGACGAAAUUGAUCCUCCGAAGUAAUCAACUAUCAGGGUCCAUACCGUCUUCGCUUAUGAGCAUGACUCGAUUGGUCAUGCUUGACCUUGCGGUCAACAAAUUCCACGGUGAGAUACCUUCAUCAAUCUCUCAACUCCAAAAUCUCCAGAGCCUCCUCCUUUUAAAAAACAAUUUGAGCGGCACUGUUGAGCUAGACAACUUUCUCAAGCUCAAACAAUUGUUAGUGCUGCAACUAUCAUUUAACAAGCUAUCAUGCCGCACUAGUAGCACGAAUGUUAAUCUUCCUCAGCUUCGUGCCCUAGGACUGGCAUCAUGUAAUUUGAGCAAGUUUCCGGCAUUCUUACAAAACCAAGAGAGCAUGAAUUGGUUGGACCUAUCGGAUAACAACAUUAGGGGAGAAGUGCCCUUUUGGGUGUGGAACGUCAAUUUUAAUAGUAUGCAAUACCUGAAUCUCUCUCAUAACAAUUUUACUGGUCUUGAUCAAUAUUACCCGAUGAAUCCUUUAUAUAUGUACACAAUAGACCUAUCUCAUAAUAUGUUGCAAGGACCACCCCCAGAAGCACCGCCGUCCAUAAUGUUCUAUCUAGUAUCCAAUAACAGGCUGACGGGAGCAUUGCCACCAUGGAUCUGCAAUUUGAGUUUAGCAAUCGCACUAGACUUGUCUUCUAAUGAUUUGACUGGCGUGCUUCCAGUUUGUUUGGGUAAUAUCAGCGAAUCUCUCAUGAUAUUGAGCCUAAAAGGCAACAAUUUUCGUGGAAAUAUUCCUGAGCUAUUGGUGAAGGGGACGCAACUGACGAUGCUUGAUUUGAGUGACAAUCAGUUGCAAGGCAAUUUACCAAGGUCCUUAGCCAAUUGCAAGAUGCUUGAGUUCAUCAACUUUGCAAACAAUCUUAUCGUAGACAGCUUCCCAUCAUGGUUGGGAUCUCUACCAGAGCUUCAUGUCCUUAUUUUGCGAUCCAAUAAAUUCCACUAUGUUAUAGAGAGGCCUCAAUCUAGUCAGACGUUCCUUAAGCUGCAAAUACUUGACCUCUCUAUUAAUGCAUUUGUCGGUAAGUUGCCCGUGGAAUUCCUUCAAUCUUUGAAUGCCAUGAAAUCCGAGACGGGAAACUUUACAUAUAUGCAUAGACACCUACAGCCGGGAGGGUACCUUGACCUCACCUACUAUGGCAAUUACGAUUUCUCCAUGACAGUGAUUUACAAAGGCCUUAAAUUGUAUUACCCGAAGAUAUCAAAAGCCCUCACAAUCAUUGACCUCUCUAGCAAUUUGUUUGAAGGAGAGAUCCCGGGUGCCAUUGGUGAUCUUAAAGGACUGCAAGGAUUGAACCUUUCAAAUAAUCUCCUCACUGGUCACAUCCCACCAUCGUUAGGGAAUCUCAAAGUACUUGAGUCAUUGGACCUUUCUUUGAACAAACUCUCGGGACAGAUCCCCCAGAAGCUAAUAGAACUCGGGUUCCUUUCUUUCCUGAACAUGUCUUACAACAAUCUGACCGGGUUUGUGCCUAGAGGGAAACAGUUUGAUACGUUUUCGAAUGAUUCUUUCGAAGGAAACUCAGGACUAUGUGGGGAAUUCAUAUCCACAAAAUGUCAAGAUUCAAGGGAUAAGUCAAGACAACCUUCAACCCACCAAGAAGAACGCCUGGGAUCGCCAAUUGAACUUGAUUGGAAAAUUGUUCUUUUGGGUUAUGGGAGCGGCUUGGUGAUUGGAGUGGUCAUCGGAAAUGCAUUCAUCUCCUGGAAACAUGAUUGGUUUGAAGGAAAUGCCAGGAGAAGGCGACGGCCUAGGCAACCUAGGAGGGGUAGGAACUCAUGGUCUGGCAAGUUUUUUAAUUUCUGCAAAUAUUAGAACUUCCCUAGAAAAAAUGAGCUAGGUAUUUCCUUCUCUUUCUCAAAUGCAUUUGUUUCUUCAUAGUAUUUUUAUAAUUAUUUAUGUCGAACUUCAUUUUCUUCAUCUAAUCUCUCAUCACGUCUAUUUAUAAAGCCAUUAUCAACUUGAAAACCUAGGUCAUUUGCGCCUUUUCCUAUAAAUGUAUAAGCAAAAGUACUACUGUUGAACACUCAAAUCUGAAUUGCCAUAAGGAUUCUUCUUUAUCCAGGGCUCAAAUCACUAGCUAAAACCCAUUUAUGGAUUCUCGUAAAACAAUGAUACAAUGUUCUCACAACUUUAUGCAAAUCUUAGCUUUCAUCCAUGCCUUGAUUAUUUGCUUUGGUUGUUUGUCACCUCACAAGUUGUACAGACAAUGGUUGUAUUGACAUUUGAAACAAAAUCCACAUUUGGAGAUUCAUUGGACAAGAACCGUGACAAAUGAUUCUUGUGAAAAAUAUACAUAUCAGUUUUGCUUUUCAGAUCUUCCUUUAUGUUCAUGCGGUAGGAAAUCGAAUUCUCUUUCAUAAAACAGCAUAUUAUGCUGAGAACCAACAUGGCAAAGUUGAAUUUACUAAAGUUCUUACUAUGCUUGCUAGUCAUUUUCUUGGUUAAUGUCAUUUGAUUUAUGUGUUUAAUCUUUUCUUUUUUUCUCAAAGAAGGAUCAUUUGAUAUGGUGACUUAUUGUUGACAGCUGAAUUUUGGCAGAUAAAUCAAGUUUCUGUCUUUGUAAAACCAUGAAAAAAAAAUAAUAAAUCAAUAAACGAAAGAGUCCAAUUCGGCCAUUCGUGUAAGGACCUAAUCCCAUUUGCCUCGGCCCAUUUAUUAAGUCUAACUCGCUCAAGUCGGCCCAUUCCACCAACCCAGACCACUAGCCAAGCCCAUCAGGAAUUUGACCGGCUCGUCAGUCUAGCCCAUGAAGCCCAACUUUAAAAUCUCAUUAAGCGACUUCUGCACAGGCCCACAUUCACAAGUUUAAGUCGGAGCCUCUAAAGCCCGUGAGAGCUUGGCCCAUAAAGCGCGCAUGUGCAGGAACUGAGGAGCGAAGAAAUUCUGGCAAGGGGACCAUGUUACCCCUUAUAGCACCUCACGGACUGACAGAGUUCCCUUCUCUCUAGAAUUCGUAGCCCAUUCUUCUUCUCCGGACAUUGCUCGCCAUCGCCGCCGUCGCUCGUCACUUCAAUUUAUCUCCACCGCCGCGAGAUAAAGACUCUGUUCCCCCUGUUCUCAGUCAUUGGUCGCUGAAGAGCUUGAGCGGCAGUUCGACAUUUACUCUUUCGCCGAUUCCUCCUGUCUUCGAAGUUUGCUUCUGUGACUAUCUUGCUCUGGUCCGAUCGAUAAUCAUUGCAGGCAAACACCCUUAGUUUACGAACCGUAUCUGCUCUGUUUUUUGCUAAAAAGAGAGGCCGAGAAUCCUACGUACUGAUUGUGUCUGAAUCUUAUGUAACCGAGCUUCUGCUAGCGGUUUGAACUCCUCGUGUUUUGUCAUAUUCCUGCGUUUAGAUCAUUAGAUUAAAAUGUCUACCAUGUGUUUGACAAUUUUUUUUAGUGAAACCUACCUGUGAAUUUGAGUAAAAUUCUUGCAUAUUGACGUUUGGUUGAUUCUUACGUCUUCAGAAUAAGACGUUUGAUGUUGAUUGAUCUAUAGAGGCGGCUCAGAAUAAGCAAUAAAACUGAUAAAAUAAUUAAAUAUUAAACUGUGCUUUCAUUUAAAAGUUUAACAUUUUAAAUAGUUGAUAGUCUAACAAAAUCUCACAAAAAUGAAAGAUAUAUAUAUAUCAAUAAGAGGUUGUUGAUUGUUAUGUUUGAAACUGUGUCAUUUGGAUAAAAGGACUACCAUGUCAUUGCACCUGUACUUGUAAAGUUGGGGUGGGAUAGUAAUUUGGAAAAUUACAUAAAAAGUCCUAAAUCGACCGGUGUCCACAUCAGCACUAGUCAGUGGACUAAAUUGGCAUUAAUGCGAAAAAUUUUGGACUAAAUUGGCCAAAAAAAAAUUAUAAUUAAAUUAAUACAAUUGUAAUAAGUUUAAGAUUUUUUUAAUAAUUUUCAUGAAAUAAACAUACAUAGGAUUUUUAUUUUAUAUUUUUUUAUGAGUGAAUAUUUGCUUUGGAGCUGGAAAAAUGUUGACAAGACCCCUUCUCAAAAAAUUGAUAUGUAAUGUAUUUAAUCAAGGUGUCAAGUAUACAAAUUUUUAUGGCCUCCAUGUUUGUGAUCAGAUUAACCAUUGUGAACGAGGAAAAUUCAAACGGGGAAAGCACGUGCCUUGGUGCUUGACUUUUGUAGAAUUGAGUGGACCCGUUAUUGAGACCUUGCAUUAUGCACGGUAGACUGGCUGGAAGCACUGCUUUGGCCCAGUCCUGGAAAUAUCGUGCAUGGCUAUUUGAAUGAUAUGAUCGAGUAAAAAAUCAUUGAAUACGAGAUCUCGACCCCACGAGUUGGCUUAACGGUCGAGGCCUAGACAUGUGUACGCUGUUACAAUCUUCCUAGGACCACGUCAUCGUGUGGAUAAUCGACAAUGCGUAGGUGAAAAGUCUAGAGAAUCAAGAGAAAAGUCCUAAAAGUGGUAGCUAUUGACAAAUCAGAGGAACGUAAUGUCAAAUGACAGAUCACAGAUAAGAGUCUCAAAAGCAUUAGGAGGUGAGCCUAUAUUGAUGGGUGGUAAAACUAGGCUCGCAGGCAUUCAUUGGAUUCUAUUCGACAAGUAUUCUCUAUCUUUAUGACCACGAGUUCUGAGUACCUUGAUGACUAAGGCACAAAGAAAAUUGUGGCUAUUCUUAUUCUAUUUGUAGCAUUGGCCUCCAAAUGUACCCCUAAAGAGACUCGGGGGUUCACAUCUCCUGUGAAGCCAUGAAAGCUACUUCUGCAUCGUUGAAUUUGAAAAGGAGUUUGCCACGUCCCCUUCAUGUAAAUAUAGAAAGGAUAUGUUAACUACAAAUCCUAAAACUUAUUACAAAAAUAUAAUUGAAUAUUAAAAUUUGCAAAAAGUUUAAUCAAGUCCUAAAACUUAUCAAAUUUAUGCAAUCAAGUCCUAAAAUUAAUACUGUCAAUUUAACUAGCAGAAAACACUAAUGUAAAUUUUUAAAAUUCCACAUGACAUAUUUUAAAUAAUUUUUAGCCAAUUUUUUUAAAAGUAGAUUAAAAUAAUAAAAAAGCUAUAAAAUUAUUUAAAAAGGCAAAACUGAAAAGAAAAGGGAAUCCGGACGAGAAAUCGCGUUGGAAGUCCACCACGAAGUACGAUCCAGUCUCUUCACCGAUGGAUUAUUCCGAUUCGCGGAGGAGGACGAGAUACUGUCGGAUUUGGGGGCUGUCUCCGCUAAAGAGCAGAAGAAAAGUUGCUGAAGAAGGCAACGGAGGAACGGAGAAGAUCGCGAGGAUGGCAAUUCAAAUGGAGGUGUAGGCUGUAAUUUAUUCUUACUCAGAUCUCUUCGUUUGUUCGCGCUUCCACGUUAGUCGUAACAUGAUUUGUUGCUUUCUUGGCAGAUGUGCCCUUAAAUAUCCGUUUACUUCAAUACUGAAUAGUAGUGAUUACAAUCUCGGCCAUAUGUUUUGGGUUUCACUAUAAGGAGCAACUUUUUCACAUAACCGUGAUUCGGAAACAAAAAUCAAACCAUAGAUGCCGGCAAACUGGGUACGGCCUAACUAGGUCGAUUUUGAAUUUCUCGUCGUCGAGAUCUUUAAAUGUCAUUACUUCUAUGUUUUGAAAGAGGAAAUGAGCGUGAAGUAGCAAUAAGAGGAAACUGAGUAUUUGGCAAAACCCCUGCUAAAUUAAAUGAUCUGGUUGAAACUCAGGCUGAGCUGUGUGGAACUUUAAUGCCUCUCUCAAGUCUCAACUAGAUAGAGUGGCCUUUGAGGCUCUAAAUCAGGUGAUUUCACUCGGGCUGAUGCUUGGAGCUUAACUAGGGAGGAAAAGGCUAAGGUAACUUGGCAUAGGCUAAUUUGGUUUAAUCCAAAUGUGCCGAGAUUCGGCUUUAUAUCUUGGCUUGCUAUCCUUGCCAAGUCGCAGCAGACUGGUGAUAGAUUAUGCAAAUGGCAGAACGUGAAUGGUAUUUGUGUCCUCUGUGGAUUGCAUCCCGAAUCAAGGAGACGUUUGUUCUUUGAUUGUUCUUUCUCCUCUGAAAAAUGAAGUAGGCUUUUGCAGCUAUGUGGUACAAGAGGUUUUGUGGGAGAUUGGGACGCUGAGUUUAUGUGGGUGUUGCAGACAUCAAAGGGGAGAUCUCUGGAAAGUCUUAUUAAAGGUGGCAAGGAAUGGCGUCAUUUAUUUCUCAUGGAAGGACAGAAAUACUAUAGUUCACAAUAGGAGAGUUGCAUGUGCUGAAAAGGUUUCCGAGAGUAUCUUGUUUGUGGUAAGGUUGCUGUGCAAAUUUUUUUUUCGUUGAAGGUACUUUUUUCACUCAAACACAACAAAACAUCAUAUAGCUAAGAAAGAAAUCACAUUACACCGCGUUUUUGUGCUUAGUUAAGAUAACACGUCGUGUAAUUGCACAAUAAAAUGCUGUACCAAAGAGAAUCACAAACAAUAUGUUUUGUUUCUACUCAUAGGCAAUAGGGGUAUAAACAUUGGGCCUAAAGAAAGGUAGAUCCAUCAUUGAAUUGCCUAUGGUGAUUGAUGGGCUACAAAAGAUUGGGAAAUUAUCCAAAAAGUCAUCAACCUUUUACACUUUUAUUAAUUCAUUCUUAAAUUUUUUAAUUUUAUCAAUUAAGUCUUAAAAAUUUUCAGACGUUAUCAAUUAAAAUGCAUUUAGCCAAUUUUAGAUAAAUACUACUAGCAUAGACACCGAUCAUCUUACGUGACAUGAUCCAUGAUAACAUGAAUAUUUUUAAUAAUAUUUAAUUAUUUUUCUCUUCUUCUUUUUUUCUCUUUUCUUUCUUUUACGUUUUCCUUUUCUCUUCUCUCUAUCUUUUUUUUUUUUUUUUGCCUUCUUUCUUUUUUCUUUUUUCCCUCCGCUGACCACUACCAAGACUCAUUGAUGGUCUGUCGAAGUCACCAGCCUCACGCAAGGGCCGCCCUCAUCAACCCUUGGCAAAGGUUGACCUCGCCAAGGCAGGCGAGAACUUGAGGCACACCAAAGGCCAGCAACCUCCAUUGGCUUGGUGAAGGGAGAAAAGAAAAAAGAAAAGAAUGAAAAGUGAAGGACGGAAAAAAUUAAAAAAAAAAUAAUAAAAGAAUAUAUAAUUUAAAAUUGUCAAUAUCAAUGUCAAUCAUACUACAUAGGAAUGGUUGGUGUGCCAACACUCACUUCUAGAUUAACUCAAUAAACAAAAUAUGAAAAAUGUUUAGAUCGGUGCGCCAACACCAACUUAAGCAAUUUGCAGCCAAAAUUGACAUGAUUAACUCAAUGAGCAAAAUAUGAACAAUAUUUAGAACUGAGUUGGUAAAAUUAAAAUGUUUAUGACUAAAUUAGCAAAAGCGUAAUAGAUUUAAGAUUUUUUUAACAAUUUUCCACCCAUAGAUUUCAUGCUUUCUUACUUCAGCAAAUGAGGACCUUGUUUGCUGCAUUGUCAUGCGUGGAAAUGUCAAGAAGGUUAAAAUAGAGGAUCUCAAGAAGGUUAAGCAUGUGUGGGUCCAUGUUCCCAGGUUUGUUCCCACGGCUAGGCCCGAGACUGGUGCUCGAGUCGGGUCCCUAGCACUCGAACUUGGGACUCCAAUUGUACUCAAGAUUUAUUCCCAAAUGUCUAUUUCGUAAUUUUCUUGUAAUAAAUGACUUUCUUAUUGAUUGGUAGAUACAAACCAAAAGUUCCUUCCGAAAAAUUUCUAGCAAAGUUCAUUUUUUGAGAAAUAAACGAAACUUGAGUUUGAACAAACUGCCUUGAUUGAAUAUAGGACUAAAUGUAAUAAAUUUGUUGUUUCUUGUGAACCAAUGAGCAUUGUUUGCACAAUGAACGAAGGAUCUUGAUGUUGCCAGCAACACAGUUUAGUUUUCUUUGUUUUCUAUUUAUUUCAUAGACAGAAAUAAGACUGUUCCAAACUCUAAUUAAUCUUAAUUUCUCCGAAUGCAUUACACGGCGUAAAUUACAUACCUAAUCAGUGACCCAAAGAAAUGUCUACAGAUCAUGAAUCCAAAGUCGAAACAGCACGAACAUUGCAAAUAAAGAAGUCCAACACAGCGCAACCUAAGUCUUCAACUACCCUGUAUUAUUUUUUAUUACGUGUACUUUUUGGCUGCUUUCAGUACGGUUGACCCAAGUCUUCCAUGAAAAAUGCAAAUAUAUAUGUAUAUAAUAUGAUAUGAUAUAAUAUAUAUGUGCUCUUUGCUGCUUUCUCCACGGUUGACUAAAGUCUUCUACGCAAACGGAGAUGGAUUGACUGAGUUCAGAGUAUGUGCCCAGAGCUAAUGCGCAUGCGCAUAAAAUAUUCAUAGGUGCUGCACGCGCGCGCACAUUUAUACAUACAUACAUACAUACAUACAUAUAUAUAUAUAUAUAUAUAUAUAUGCUUUUUCGCUGCGUUCUCCAUGGUUGACCCAAGUCUUGCACGCAAAUGUAGAUCGAUUGGCUGAGUUCAGAGUAGGUGCCCGGCAGCUGCCAGGCAGCUACCCGUUACGACGCUGCGGAAAGUAAUGCGCAUUGGGCGUUUCAUCACACUAAGAGUCAUUGAUUCAAUGCACCGUAACACGAGAUGAAGCGUGUUUAUAUCCGCAGGCACCCAGCGCCACCUAUAAAAUCUGCUUUACGCUCUCAUACUCUGCUCAUCAAAACAAAUUUGUCUCUAUUUCGAACAAAAUGGCUUGCUUGCCGUGCUUCUACAUGUCCAUACACUUUCUUUUCUUGUACUUGUCGUGCCAGCCUAUUGACGCGCACAUCCUCUCUCGUUCUGUGAAACCUCUUUGUCUCGAGGAUGAAAUGUCUGCACUGCUGCAGUUUAAAGAGAGGUAUGAAAUCGCCAAUGUUUCGGGUGGUCCUCUCGCUCAUCCCAAGACUCUAUCCUGGAAAAAUAGUCAGGAUUGUUGCUCUUGGGAUGGGAUCGAGUGCAAUGAGAACACAGGCCACGUAAUUGUUCUUGAUCUGGGAAGUAGUUUUCUCUAUGGUUCUAUCGACAACAACAGUACCAUCUUCCGGCUUGCUCAUCUUGAAAAGCUCAAUCUCGGCAACAAUCACUUCAACUACUCUCAAAUACCGUCUCGAGUUGGAGAUCUACCGAGAUUGACUCAUCUCAAUCUCUCUGCUUCCUUUUUUUCUGGCCAAGUUCCAUCAGAAAUCUUCAAACUUACAAGGUUGGUGUACCUCAACCUGUGUUGCAAUCUGGAUCCACAUCAUGAUAGACCUUUGUUGGAGAUGAAAGCGCCGGGCUUGAGAAGGCUAUCUCAAAAUCUGACCGGCCUAGAAGAACUUCUCCUUAGUCUCGUCAACAUGUCGUCCCAAGUGCCCAACACUCUAGCGAAUCUGUCUUCACUAAGAAGGCUGAACAUGGAUGAGUGUGACCUGCACGGUAUAUUUCCGCCUGCCAUUUUUCAUUUACCGAAGCUGCAAUAUCUUAGUGUGGAUCACAAUGAGGAUCUCACGGGCCGCUUGCCUAACUUCAACUCGAGUAGUCCUCUUAAAGAGCUGCAACUGGGAGGCACAAGCUUUUAUGGGGAGCUACCGGCUUCAAUCGGUAAUCUCCGCUCUAUGGAGAUAUUGAAUCUUCAAUUCUGCAAUUUGACAGGGUCCCUACCCCGGUCAAUGGGAAACCUUCCUUUGUUGAGUUAUCUUGGCAUAGGUUGUAACAACUUCUCAGGAUUCAUCCCGGCUUCAUUUGCUAACCUUAGCAACCUCGAAUACCUAGAUGUCGGAAAGAAUCCAUUUACUGUCCAGCCCACUUCCUCUUUGUCUUGUGUUUGGAAGAUAAAAAAGCUUGCCACUUUGAACCUCUGGAGGAUCAAUUUAUAUGGCGAAAUUCCCCCUGUAGAAAAUUUAUUGUCAUAAACAAUUAAUCAAUUAAAAAUAAACGGAUCCAUACAUGAUUGUAAAACACCGAGAUCAAUAAAUACAGCGGAAUUAAAGCAUACCUGUUUGAGCCAUUGCUUCGCUUGAAGAAAACUAGAUCACUCUGAUAAUCAGGGAUCUAUCGGAAUACCAGAUCUUCCUAUCUAUGACCUAUUUCGAUAUAGCAGCUUUCAAUGGGAUUAAAGCAACUGAUAGGUAUAACCUACCCUUUUAUAGGCUAGAGAGGGGACCUAGCAAACCCUAAUCAAUAGCGUGUCAACUGGGCCCUUCCCAUUACGGGCUUCAGUCAAACACAAUUGCCUACACUUUGCUGCUCAACUAGGCCCGUUAACAAUAGAUGCCAAUACCCAAUUCAAUCAGAUCACUUUAGGGUUUAACAAAUAUUGGAAUAUCCAUUAACCCGAUUAUUUAAAAUAGAAAAUCAAUUAAUUAAUGUAAGCCCAUAUUAUAGGAAAUUUCUAACAUUCUCCCACUUGGGCUACAUUACUUAACUUAUUUUAUUUUGAAAAAGAUUUUAUUUUGAAAACGACACUAUCGGGUUAAUAACUAAAAUUUUGUUUUAUGUGGCCACAACUUUUAAAAAAUAAUAUUCCAAUAAUGGCAUCUCAAUAUCAAUCCAAUCCUAUAUAACCUUAAUAUAGGACUAUGGAGAUCAAUGUGUUAAGAAAAUACCACAACACAGGACCUUCCAUAAUCACAUAUAAUAAGUAUUAUAUUUUCAUGGAUCAUGGGCCUAGUAGUGUAGUAAGAAAUAGUGCCAACAUGUGAUCAAGAUAUACACUAUUUCUUAUCGGUCCUCAAUGCAAUUUCUCAACGACAUGAAACUGCAUUAGCGCAAUUUCUAAACAACAUGAAAUUGCCUCAGUGCGAUUUCUAAACAACAUGAAAUUGCACAAUUAUGUCACAAUCCAACAUGAGAUCUCAUAAUUAGUGACAUCCAGUCAUCUUUAAACUAAAAUUUGUUUAAAGAUACUGUUUUAUAUUUCCAUUUCUCAGUCAACAGGAGAAAAGAUAACAAUAGAAUCAAUAACAACAAUCAUUGAAAAUAAAUGCUUUAAUAGACAUCAUAAAAGCAUUAUCAGUCUGCAUAUAACUAUAAUAUCCAGAAAUACAAACUAUAUAACUCCCACUAACAAAAGAAAUCAAAAGAUUCUAAAACACCCAUAUUCUUUACAUGUUCUUUAAACAAAAUGGGUCGUAAGCCUUUUGUUAGAGGAUCAGCCAACAUGGACUCAGUUCUGAUAUUUUCAAUUACAACAUCUUCAUUUUUUACCAAGUCCUUAACAGUAUAAUAUUUGAUCUCCAUGUGUUUGGACGCAUUACUAAUCUUGUCAUGCUUGGAAUAAAACACAGCUGCAGUGUUGUCACAGUAGAUCACCAUAGGUCUAGCAAUAGAGUCCACAACACGCAAUUCUGAGAUCAAAUUUCUGAGCCAAACUACUUGAACCGACGCGCCAUAGCACGCUACAAACUCAGCAUACAUUGUAGAGUUCGUAAUCAAUGUUUGUUUUGUGCUCUUCCAAGAAAUAGCACCUCCAGCCAUCAUAAAAAUAUAUCCAGAAGUUGAUUUUCUAUCAUCUGAACAACUAGCAAAAUCAGCAUCUGAAUAUCCAAUCACUUUUAGGUCCUCAACUCUGCUAUAAACGAGCAUGAAAUCCUUUGUUCGUUGUAGAUAUCUCAUCACCUUCUUAGCUGCAACCCAAUGUUCUUGACCUGGAUUCGACAGAUAUCUUCCAAGAGUAUUCACAGCAAAAGCAAUAUCAGGUCUGGUACAUACUUGUGCAUACAUAAGACUGCCAACUGCACUAGCAUAUGGAACAUUUUUCAUGACUUCCUUUUCAACAUCAUUCUUGGGGCAUUGAUCUAUGCUCAAUUUAUCUCCUUUCACAACAGGAGCUUCACCUGACUUACAGGUCUGCAUAUUGAAUCUUUUCAAAACACGAUCUAUAUAACUUUUCUGAGAUAAUCCCAGAACCUUCUUAGAUCUGUCACGAUGAAUCUCAAUGCCUAGAACAAAAGAGGCUUCCCCAAGAUCUUUCAUAUCAAACUUUGUAGAUAGAAAAUUUUUGGUGUCAUUCAAUAGAUCAACAUCACUGCUAGCAAGUAAAAUGUCAUCUACAUAAAGUACUAAGAAAAUAUAUUUACUCCCACUUACUUUCAUGUAGAUGCAUUGAUCAAACUUAUUUUCUUCAAAGCCAAAUGAUCUCACAACUUUGUGAAAUUUUAAGUACCACUGACGUGAUGCUUGUUUGAGACCAUAGAUGGAUCUUUGAAGUUUGCACACCAUAUGCUCCUUUCCGGCUUCUUUGAACCCUUCAGGUUGCUGCAUAUAUACUUCUUCAUCCAGAUCUCCAUUUAGAAAAGCUGUCUUGACAUCCAUUUGGUGAAGCUCUAAAUCAAAAUGAGCCACCAAAGCCAUGAUUAUCCGAAAAGAGUCUUUAGUAGAUACUGGGGAAAAGACUUCAUUAUAAUCAAUACCUUCUCUCUGUGUGUACCCUUUUGCGACUAACCUUGCUUUGAAUCUCUCGAUGUUGCCCUUAUUGUCUUUCUUGGUUUUGAAUACCCAUUUGCAGCCGAUUGGUUUAUGCCCAUCAGGUAAAUCAACAAGUUUCCAUACUUGAUUAGUUGACAUGGACAUCAUCUCGUCAUUCAUCGCUCCUAACCAUUUAUCUGCCUAAUCACUAUUAAGAGCUUCUUUGAAAGUCGUCGAAUCAACUACUUUUCCAAUGUCAAAAUUAGCUUCUCCAAGAUAGACAUGAUAAUCAUUUAAAAGUGUUGGUCUUCUUUGUCGCUGUGAUCUUCGCACAGGCAUUUCUGAAGCCGCAUCAUUUAUCUGGGGAAUUUCAUUUGUAAUGGGAUGAUCUAUUGCCAUAUUUUCGGUAUUUGCUUCUUGUUGAAUUUCCACUCUGCUGGGAUCUCGCAUAGAAUCUUCAUGCAAGAUGGGCAAUGGAAUAGAGACCAUUUUGUUUGGUUCUUCCCUUUCAAAAGAUUGAAAGGAACUCUUUUCAGCAACAUCUAAUUCCAGGAAUUUAGCAGUCUAAGAUUCAACGAUUCUAGUGCCUCGAGUAGGACAAUAGAAUCUAUAUCCUUUAGAAUGAUCAGGAUAUCCAAAAAGUAACAUCUAGUAGUCCUGGAUUCCGUCUUCUUCUGAGAAGGAUCAUAAAUUUCCACCUCUGCAGGACAACCCCAAACUUGUAAAUGAUUCAAGCUAGGUUUCUUUCCAGUCCACAAUUCAAAAGGUGUUUUCAGCACCGAUUUACUAGGUACACGAUUCAAUAUAUAAGUUGUCAUUUUAAUCGCAUCACCCCAUAAGUAUUCAAGUAAAUUAGAACUGUCCAUCAUACUUCGUUUCAUCUCCAUGAGUGUGCGAUUUCGCCGUUCCUCUACACCAUUUUGCUCAGGACUCCCAGGCAUUGUAUAUUGAGUAAUAAUACCACAAUCUUGCAAAUAUUUUGCAAACGGUCCCUUUUGUUGUCCAGCCUCAGUAUAUCGCCCAUAAUACUCACCACCGCGAUCAGAUCUGACAAUCUUGAUAAUUUUUCCCAAUUGAUUCUCAACUUCAAUACGAAACACUUUAAGCAUGUCAAGAGCAUCAGUCUUCUCCUUAAUUAGAUAAAAACUAGAAUCUAAAUUCAAAACAACUGUCCCUAUGCGCUCCACAUCAACUCCAGUAUUGUUGCCAACUUUAAGCUUUGACUCCCUCAGACUUGGACUUUUUCGAUUUGUGAGACCCUUGGUGACUUUCUUUUCUUAUUUUUAGCCAAGCUCGAAAUUUGUAGCAAUUGGCUCUCUUGUGACCCUGCUUCUUACAGUGAAAACAUUUAAAAUCAUUAUCUCCAUUCCUCCCAUAGUUCUUAUUUUUCCUAAAGUCUUGCCAUUUCUUUGGGCCAUGAACAUUUGACCCCUUAGGCUUCCAUUUGCCUCUACAUGAACUCAACUUGGCAUUGGUGGUUAAGUGGGCAGACUCAUACUUUUCCUUCUUUAAUUUCUCUUCCUCAGUCACACACUUAGCAAUCAAGGCAUUAACACUCCAUGUCUCAUUCUGAGCAUUAUAAGCAGUCUUAAUCUGGCUAAAUUCAGCUGGCAAAACAUUUAAGGCUUGAUGCACAAUAUAAUUUUCAAAAAGAACAAUUUCACGGGCCUUAGUUUGGACUGAAUGUGGACCAUCUUCAGUAUAAAUUCUCUAACACCCAUAGCAGCAUCAUACCUCAUGUUCGUUAACUCACUCGGCAAGUCCCAGCUUCAGCUUCAGCCUUAUCUGAGACUCUAUAUCUUUCUCCCACUGCUUCAAAGAACUGUAUGACAUUCGUAUCUUCCGGCAAACCACUAAUCAAAUGCUCAGCAAUGGACCUCUUCAUAGCUAUGAGGCUCAGUCGAUUAGAUUUUUCUCAUUUAGCAUAAUGGGCCUUUUGAUCUGUAGUACUUUGAUCAUUGGGCCUGACAGGUUCAUCCUCACGUAGAGCCAAGUCCAUAUCAACGAUGCCCAAAGCAAAUUCUAUAUCUUGCUUCCAUCUCUUAAAGUUUGAUCCAGUUAACAUUUCAACCGUGGCAUUGUUGUUAUUUACAGCAAAAAUAACUUUUUGUCACACAUAAUGCAAUAAGAUCAAUUAUUGGCAAUAAGUAUUUUAACAAAAUAAUUAGUACAUUAUAAACUCCCCUUUGGGCAGAGUGUAUAAUGCACCAUUAUUUUUCACAGCAUGAAGUUUAUAAAGCAACAAUAAGGAGAAUUACAUAUAAUUGUCAAUGAUCUAUCCCCUUUGGGCAGACAAAUCAUUUAAAUUAUACAUCUCCAUGAUAUCAAUAUAGAGAUGAUAAAAGAGAAUUACAUAUAAUCUUCAAGGUUCAGUCCCCUUUGGGUAGACAAAUCCUUUAAAUUAUAUAUAUUUCCAUUAUCUCAACAUAGAGGGGAAUUACACAUAACUCUCAAAAAAUUUAUCCCCUUUAGGCAGAUAAACCUUUUGAGUCACACAUCCCCAUCAUUCAUCUCUAAUAUAUCAAUAUAGAGGGGAAUUACAUAUAACUUUCAAAACAUUUAUCCCCUUUGGGCAGAUAAAUAUUUUUCAGUUAUACAUCCCCAUCUUUUAAAUAUGGGAAUAAAAUUCAUGCUAUUUUUCCAAAUUAAUAUACACAAUAACUCCCUUUGGGCAAGUAAUUGUAUAUAUUAAUCUUUUAUCAAUAGGGAACUCCAAAAUUUAUGCCCAAAAUUCAUCAAACAAUAUGAAACACUUUACAACAUGUGCUUCCAAUGAUCAUAUUGCACCUUUUCAAACAACAAUUUUUUUUUUUCCACAAUUUUUUUUUAAAAAUUAAUUUUUUAUUAUUUUAUUAUUAUUAUAAUAUUAUUUAAAUAUUUCGGACUCCCGCGGGCCCAGGACCCGCGAGCAGCCCUUAUCAGACCCGCGUGUCAUAUGUGCGCCCAGCCCACACGCAAACCAUGCGGGUGGGCCACGAAUUAAAACAAAAAAUGGGCCAAACCCAUUUGUUUUUUUUGGUUCUGGGUUCACGCCCAGAACCUCUUUACUUUGGUUCAUGGGCAUGAGCCCAGAACCUUUUAAUUUGUUUAUGGUUCUGGGCUUACGCCCAGAACUUUUUAUUUAUUUAUUAUAAUGGGCGUGAGCCCAAUUCGAUGGCCCAGCCCGGCUGGAGGUCUUCUUCAACCUCCAGCCGGGUCACGAAUUUGCAGAAAACCGGGUCGCAUGACCCGGUUUCAACCCGAAGCUCCGAAGGCACAAAUUAACAUUAUUUUUGAUGAAAUUUCUCCAUGGGACUUGCACAAAACAUCAAUAUAAUUAACUACAAUGAAUUAAAUGAAGAAAAACCAAGCGAAUCUACCACAUACAAGCCUCAAAGUUUCGGAUCUAAAGCUCCCAUGGCCGAAUUUCGAAUUUCCUAAAUUUAAACCCUAAUAACUCAAUUCAAUACAAAAAAAAAAGAUACUAAAACAAAUAUAUAACAAUACCCAUGCAAGGGUUUACAACAUACAUCAAUCGAUUGCAUGUAAUUUGCAAAUUCUAGAACUUUUUCACAUAUAAACCCUAGAAUUUCAAAUCUAAAAUUCUCUCUCAAUUCUCAACGAAAUUAUGCAAAUUAUAUAUGCUUGGAAAGAUAUUGAUGUGUAGAACAAAAGCCCUAUGGUUAUGGGAUUAAUCAAGCAAAAAAAAUAUACACGAAAAAAUAAUGCCCAUAUUUGGCUCAAAGAGGAGAGUUUCGAAUUUUUCCAUAAAAAAAUUUUGGGUUAUACAAUCAUAUAUGAUCGGCUCUGAUACCACAUGUAGAAAAUUUAUUGUCAUAAACAAUUAAUCAAUUAAAAAUAAACGGAUCCAUACAUGAUUGUAAAACACCGAGAUCAAUAAAUACAGCGGAAUUAAAGCAUACCUGUUUGAGCCAUUGCUUCGCUUGAAGAAAACUAGAUCACUCUGAUAAUCAGGGAUCUAUCGGAAUACCAGAUCUUCCUAUCUAUGACCUAUUUCGAUAUAGCAGCUUUCAAUGGGAUUAAAGCAACUGAUAGGUAUAACCUACCCUUUUAUAGGCUAGAGAAGGGACCUAGCAAACCCUAAUCAAUAGCGUGUCAACUGGGCCCUUCCCAUUACGGGCUUCAGUCAAACACAAUUGCCUACACUUUGCUGCUCAACUAGGCCCGUUAACAAUAGAUGCCAAUACCCAAUUCAAUCAGAUCACUUUAGGGUUUAACAAAUAUUGGAAUAUCCAUUAACCCGAUUAUUUAAAAUAGAAAAUCGAUUAAUUAAUGUAAGCCCAUAUUAUAGGAAAUUUCUAACACCCCCCUCAAUCGGAAACUUGUCUCAACUUGUGGAGUUAUCCUUUCUUGGCAACCAAUUAAGCGGUACCAUCCCAUCUCAACUCAUGAACCUCACUCAGCUAACUGAUUUGGGACUCCGAACCAAUCAACUAUCAGGUUCUAUACCUUCUUGGCUUGUGAACAUGACUCAACUAGUCGUGCUUGACCUUUCACGCAAUAAAUUCCAUGGCCAGAUACCUUCAUCAAUCUGUCAACUCCAAAAUCUCCAAGUGCUCGGCCUUUUCGAAAACAACUUUAGCGGUACUAUUGAACUAGACAACUUUCUCAAGCUCAAACAGUUGUGGGUGCUCCUACUAUCACCUAACCAGCUAUCAUGCCGCACGAGUAGCGCAAAUGUUAUUCUUCCUCAACUUGAGGCCCUAGGACUGGCAUCAUGCAAUUUGAGAGAGUUUCCGGCAUUCUUGCAAACCCAAAAGGAUAUGAAUUGGUUGGACCUGUCGGAUAACAAGAUUACGGGAGAAGUGCCCUUUUGGGUAUGGGACGGAAGAUUUGAAAGCAUGCAGUACCUGAAUCUCUCCCAUAACUUCUUAACUGGCCUUGGUCAAUAUUACCCGAUCGAUCCUUUAUAUAUGUACACGAUAGACUUAUCUCAUAACAUGUUAAAAGGACCACCCCCUGAAGCACCAGCGUCCAUAUUACACUACAUAAUAUCCAAUAACGGGCUAACGGGAGCAUUGCCACCAUGGAUCUGCAAUUUGAGUUCAGCAAUCACACUAGACCUGUCUUCUAAUAAUAUGACCGGUGUGCUUCCGGUUUGUUUGGGCAAUAUCAGCGAAUCUCUCAGGAUAUUGAACCUAAAAGGCAACAAUUUCCACGGAAGCAUUCCCGAGGUUUUGUUGAGGGGGAUGCAACUAACGAUGAUUGAUUUGAGUGACAACCAAUUCCAAGGCAAGUUACCGAGGUCCUUGGCCAAUUGCAAAAUGCUCGAGUUCAUCAACUUUGCAAACAAUCUUAUCGUGGACACUUUUCCAUCAUGGUUGGGAUCUUUACCAGAGCUUCGUGUCCUUAUUUUGCGAUCCAAUAAAUUCCACAGUGUCAUAGAGAGGCCUAAAUCUAGUUCCACAUUCCUUAAGUUAAGGAUACUCGACCUCUCUAUUAAUGCAUUUACUGGCAAGUUGCCUAUGGAGUUCUUUCAAUCUUGGAAUGCCAUGAAAUCUGAGACGGGAAACUUUGCAUACAUGCAAAGAAACCUACAGCCAUCAGGUUACCUUAUGUACACCUACUAUGGUGAUUAUGACUUCUCCAUGGCAGUGAUUUACAAAGGGCUUAAAUGGUAUUACCCAAAGAUAUCACAAGUCUUCACGAUCAUUGACCUCUCUAGAAAUUUUUUCAAAGGAGAGAUCCCUAAUGUCAUAGGUGAUCUCAAAGGAUUGCAAGGACUAAACCUUUCCAACAAUUCCCUCAGUGGUCACAUCCCAUCAUCAUUGGGAAAUCUCACGGCACUCGAGUCAUUGGACAUUUCUCUGAACAAACUCUCGGACGAAUCCCCCAAACUAUAGACUCAGUCCUUUCCUUUCUGACAUCUCUACACAUCUGACUGGGUCUGUGCCCGAAGGAAACAGUCCGAUACAUUUCAACAAUUCUUUUGAAGGGACCUCAAGACUCUGUGGGAAAUUCAUAUCUAGGAAAUGUCAAGACUCAGGGGAUAAGUCGGGAAACCUUUCAACCCACCAAGAAGAAGACUUGGGAUCGCCGAUUGAACUCAAUUGGAAAAUUGUUCUUAUUGGGUAUGUGAGUGGCUUUAGUAAUUGGAGUGGUAAUUGGAAACACAUUUAUCUCCUAGAAACAUGUUUCGUUUGAAGGAAAUGCCAAGAGAAGGCGAUGGCCUAGUCGGAGGCAGCCUAGGAGGGGUAGGAACUCUUGGUCAAGCAAGUUUUUCAAUUCCGAUAGAUGUUAGAAUUUACCGGAAAAAUAAGCUAAGUAUUUCCUUCUUUUUCUUAGAUGUACUUGUUUCUUCAUAGUAUCUUUACAAAUAUUUAUGUCAAACCUUCGCUUUCUUCAAUUAAUCUCUCAUCACCUCUGUUCCCCACCUCUAACGUAAAAUUACACUUUUUGUUCUUUUUUACAAAGCCAUUGUUAGCUUGUAAACCAAGCUCAUAUGCGCCUUUUUUCUAUUUAUGUUGAAGCAAAAGUACUCCUAUCUAAAAAUCAAAUCUAAAUUGUCACAUGGAUUAUUCUUUAUCCAAGGUUCACAUUAGAACGUGAAACCCGUUUACAGAUUCUAGUAAAACGAUCAAUAGCAAGACCACAGUGUCCUCAUAACUUUAUGUGAAUCUAGGCUCUCGUCCGCACUUCAAUCAUUUGCUUUUUUUGUUUUUUUGUCGCCACACAAAUUAUGCAGACAUUGUUGUAUUAACAUCUGAAACAAAAUCCGCAGUUGGAGGUUGAUUGGACGAGAAUUGUAACAAAUUAUUCUCUCCGAUCUUCUUUUACGUUUUGGCUGCUGGAAAUAGGAUUCUCUCUCAUAGAGCAGUAUAUUAUGCAGAGAACCAACAUGGCACGGUUGAAAUUUACGCACUUCAAUCAUUUGCUUUUUUCUUUUUCGUUUUUUUUUUUUUUUGGUCACCACACAAAUUAUGCAGACACUGUUUAUUAACAUUUGAAACUAAAUCCGCAGUUGGAGGUUGACUGGACAAGAAUUGUAACAAAGUAUUCUCUCCGAUCUUCUUUUACGUUUUUGCGGUUGGAAAUAGGAUUCUCUCUCAUAGAGCAGUAUAUUAUGCAGAGAACGAACAUGGCAUGGUUGAAGUUCUUAAAGCUCUUGCUAUGUCUGCUUGCUAAUCACGUACUCUGGAAUUUACACAGUAAAUCCAUUUGAUUUUUCUGUACAUCCAUUUCUUUUUCCCCUGAAAGGAUAGUUUGAUGGGAUGGCUUCUCUACAGCUAAUUUAAUCACUUGGAAUGGUUCUCAAGAUAGUGACUGGUUGAUUAUGGCUCGAAGUUAAUGUUGAUCGAUUUAAAAUCUGAUACAUAAUUGAAUCUUAAGGAAAUAUGGCUAACGUUAGGAAAGUCCGAAUUGAACUUUUGCCAAUAAGAUCGUGGGUGAGGGAAAAAAGGAAGUCCGACUUCCUGUAGCCUUCGUUUACUUAUUGAAGUACAUGUUGACGUCGGAGAAGGGCUCAUAGUAUUUAUGUAUAAAAUUAUUCUGUUGUAGAGUUUCAUCUCUGGUGCACAGUAAGUGCGCUAAAGCACGCUAAAAUGUGCGGAAUUUGCGAGAGUCACAGAGCAUCGAGAGCGUUCUAAGAAGAGAACUGAGAUUUUGAGAAAACUCAUUCGUUGGGAUUGAUUCUUUUAAGUUCGGGUGCUAUUUAAGACUUGGAAACACUUGAGAUUAGAGUGUUCAAAGGAUUGUAAUCUUCUUUUUGCUGAUCAUAGCGAAAUCAUGUCAUCAAUCUCUUCGUGAGGUAUGCACACCUUCGAACCACGUAAAUUAUUGGGUUUAGAUUGAACUUCUGUAACAUAUUUCUCGCUUGAAUUGUUUCCUUAAUUCGCAGUCCCGCAUUCGUCGUAUCGUGAUUUGCGUUUCUUUCUUCGCAGAUAUGCCCUUAAAUAUUCGUAUACUUCAUUAUUGAGUAGACCGCCACUUGUUUUGGUUUCAAGAUAAGGAAGCAACUUUUUCCAUAGCCCUAAUUCAGAAACAAAAAUUAAACCAUAGGUGCCUGGGAACUGCUUGGGUGCAGCGUAACUAGAAGGUUCAUUACUGAAUUUCUUGUCAAAACUUGUUAAUGUCAUUACUUAUAUAGCGACAAGUGAUUAUCGUGUAACAAAACCUAAACUUAGGACUUUAUUCUCAUUUCAGUAAUGAGUAUUUUCAUGUACGAUUUAAAUUCAGAAAAAGAUAUUCGAGGACAGAAUAUAAUUUACCCUGCCAUGGAUCUUUGAUCAUUCAUCUAAUUUGAAUCUAUAUAUAGAUCAAUUAAAUUUUUAAAAUGUCUCAUUGCUUAAAUCUGCAGAAGUCUAUUGCUUUUUGCACAUCGAUUAGAUUAUCAAAAUAUGCAUAAGAAUUAAAGACUUUCUAAAAUUGGGGAUAUUCUAAAGUCCAUAAAAACUAAAUUUCUAGGCAAACCUCACACAUGACAAUGGGAAAAAUUGUUUAAAAACUCCUAAACCUAUUAUACAUCAAUCAAUUCAAUUCUAAAUCUUUCAAUUAUGCCAAUUUAAUCCUAAACCUUUUGACGAUUUACCAGUUUAGUCAUAAAUCUUUCAAUUGUGCCAAUUUAAUUCUAAACAUUUUCAUGAUUUGCCAAUUUAAUCAUAAACCUUUGACAAUUUAUCAAUAUAGCCCUUUCAACUAAUUAUUCAUAUAAUUUGUUUAUAACUAAAUUGGCAAAAUUUUAAAACAGAACUUCAAAAGGUUUAGGUGCCCAUGUCCAGGCACCCAAGGCCUAUGCCAAUUCACCGAUGCCUUGGCCUAAGUCCAUGGCUAAAUUCCACGGAGGUGGGCUCGUGACCCUAGUGCCCAUGCCUAGAUCCCCAACGAUGAUUCUCAAGUACUUGUCUCCCAAGCUUGAGUCCAAGGAAGUUGGACUCAAGACCCAGGUGCCUGCACCCAAGUUGCCAACAGCCAUGCCUCAGUACUCAGCUCACACACCCGAGACACUAGCGCUUAGGCUCCUGUCCACAACCAUCGAGCUCAAGGCCACGAUACCCAUGCCCAAGGCCCUAACUCCUACGCCCAAGUCAUCGACGAUGCUCGAGCCUAAUUUAUCAUCAGCUAGGCCAAUCAGGCCUAAGACCUUAACGCUCGUACUUAGGUCCCUAAUGGCCUUCCCCUACCCUCGUGCCCAAGUCAUCAACAAACAAGUCCAUAGAGGUUGGGCCUGAGAACUCAAUGCCUAUGUUGGAGUCCCCAGCAGCCAUGCUUAGGACCGGACCCCGAUGCAAUGCCUAGUUCUCCGAUAACCUUACUUGGAUAACUGACCACACUACCCUUAAGUUACUAGCUCAAGGGCUCAAUUCCUCGACAGGCAAUUCCAAAUCUAUAGAGACUGGACCUAGCUCCCUCAACAUUGGGACCAAGACUUUGCUACCUAUUCCCAAGUCCUUGAUACCCAUGCCCAAAAACUUGGCUCCUACACCCAAGUCACUGCAUCCAGACCUAGGUCCAUAAAAGUCAAGGUUCUUAGUGGUUGGGCUCGAGAACUUUGCUCCCUCAACCGAGAUUCCAACAGUUGGGUAUCUCUUAUAUAACACGUAUAGCACUUGUCUUUUUAGGAAAACAAAAUCAAGUUUUCAUUUCUAAACAAUAAAAUAAUUUUCAAUUCAUUUUCAGAUUUCAAACAAACAAAUGAGAAUAUUCCUAUUUUCUUGAAAAAUGACUUCCUAACAAAUAUUUUCCAAAAAUGUGAAAUUUUUCGCAAAAUAAAUAGGGCCUUAAUAUCUUUCUAUACCAUCUCUUCUUCUUUUUCCCUUAAAGAAGGAUCAUUUCAUGAGGUUGCUUUUUUACAGUUAAUAUAAUCACUCGGAAGGGUUCCCAGAUGGUGAUUUGGGGAUUGCGGGUCGAAGUGUCGUUUGAUUAGAAAGCCUGCACACAAUUGAAUUGUAAGGGAACCUGGCCCAUAUCAAGAAAGUCCGACUUGAACUCUUGCUGACAGGCCCGCAAGACCUCCUUUUCUUAUUGAAGUUCAGGUCCAUCAUCGAAGAAGGGCUUACACAGCUUUUUUUUUGCAUAUAACUCUUGUCGAGUUCGGCCUGGAUACAAAGUGAGUGCGCCUAAUAUAUGUAAAACUGGCGAGAGACAGAAUGCAUUGAAAGCCUUCUAGCUAGAAAUUUAAGAGUGAGAGAACUCAUUUGCGGUGAUUGAUUCUUGCGAGUUCAAGUGACAUCUAAAAUUAGGAAACGCUUGAGAGUUGUCUGUUCAAGCAAUUGUAAUCUUCUCUUUGCCAUUAUAAUGGAACCAUCUCAUUGACUCUCCUUGUGGAAUAGCCAAAGCGCCAAACCAUGCUCACGUCUUAUUUCUGCAAUUUGUUUCUUGCUCUAACAGCUUCAUUUGUUCACACUUCCGCAUUAAUCGUGACCAAGUGACAAUGGAAACUAAGUUUAAAUUUCACUUGAGGCUUGAAUCGCUUCAUGUGUUCAUACUUCCGUGUUGGUUGUAACAAAGCGGCAUUAGAAACUAAGUUUAUUGUCGAUUGGUUGUUCCAGGAAUUUUGUCCAUCUAUGAUAAUCAUUAUGGUCUCCGUGAUAUUUGAAUUAGAGAAAUUUAUAAUUUUAAUUUUGUGCACAUUAAGAUGCGCACUUUAUUGGAGACACAAGAUUUUGGAUUCAGCAUUAAAGGGACACGAUAAAUUUCCCCAAACUAUGAAAGCUGCAAAAAAAGCUGAUAUUUUGAAAAAAGCUGCAGGUUUUGUUCUGCCAAAUUUAGGAAACGAUGUUUGUGGUUGAAGUGGCUGAUGAGUUUAAUGUAGCUGCAGUUUGGGCUGCAAAGCCGUCCCAAAGAUACUUUUCCCGAUUCAACGUUUCUUAACUUUCCAGAUUAAUGAGGAACAUCAAUCCAAAAUCACCUUUAUAAGUUCAAUAGUAAUUAAUGACAUGAAAAAUGUGGAUGAGAACGUAUCGACCGAUGGUGGAGGAAGCGUGAACGGGUGAACCUGCUACUUUACUCGAGUCUGCGAGCAUUUGGGAGCGCCGCAUAUGGCCAUGUUUAGGACGGUAAGCUAGAACGGAGGACAAAAAGUGCAUAUGCCUAUGCACUAGGGAUGAAAGGUUACAGGCCGUGGCGUUGGGAUCCUCAAAUCGCCCGGAUUUCAUCAUCAGCAAAGAUGUUGCAAGGAGACAUGGUAGCUAGUAGUAUUCUUCAAAAGCGAUGUCAGGUGUACAGCUUCAGCAAUGGAUUGGUGCAACGAGAGAGGAGAUUGGAGUCGCUUGAGUGGGAAUCAAACACGGUAAUCAGUGGUAUCUGGCAGAAGAUAGGGUGCAGGUGGGCAUUCAGAAAGGCGCAUGAUAGUUUUGAUUCACGAGCGACCAGACACAAGACCCGCUUGGCGAAGGGGUUUAUUGCACGAGAUAUUCUCACCUGCGGUGAAGCAUAGUUCAAUCAAGGUGGCGUUGGGACUAGUUGCGGCGGACGGCUUGGAGUUGGAGUAGCUCCAUGUUAAGACGGCGUUUCUAGACAAGGAAUUAGAGGAGCGGAUAUUCAUGCAAUAGCCAGUAGACUUUGUCGUUUCGGUUCAUUAAGGCAAUGCAUGCUUGCUCAAAUGAUCUAUUUAUGGCUUUAAGCAAUCUUAUAGUUGUACAAACGAUUUGAUUCCAUUCAACGUUAUAUGAGAGUGCUCAUGAUCAUUGCAUGUACUCUAGAAGGUUAUGCGAUGGUACUUACAUUUAUUUAAUGUUAUAUGCUAAUGAUAUAUUGAUGGUAACUACGAACAGUUGAGACACCAAUUGAGGAGUAAUUUCGAGAUGAAAGAUUUAGGUGCAUCAAGAGUCAGUAUGAAGAUCUAAAGAGAUAGGUUUGUAGUAACGCUUUUGGCUAUAACAAGGUGAUUACAUAUGUAAAGUUCUGAGGCGACUUACUAUGCAAAAUAUCGAACUGGUGAUUUUCUCACUAGUUGCAUACUUCACAGUUUCACCUGACUUUAGACCAAAAUCAGAGGAUGAGAUGGAAUAUAAGUCCCACUCAAGCCAAAGGGGUCUCAAAAGCAUUUCUCGGCAGGCUAUGUAAGACUAUCUAGUUAGAAAGCUCGAGUCUGCCUGAGAGAAGGCCUGAACAACAAGUUAGGUUCAACAUAAAUACCUAACUAAGCCUAGUCCCGCCCAUUGAUCGCUUAUGUUGGCAAGUCGAAAGGUACCCUUCUCUAUAGUGGAAAAUCUACAUGUAAUUAGUGAUUUUUAUAUUAUCUUCAUUGUAUCCAUAACUUUUCAUAUAAAAGAAAUAAUUAAGAACGUACUGAAAUUCACUAAUAUCAUAACUAAAGAUAUGUUUGGACAUCCCAAUAACUAGUGGCUAGUUUUGACUGAGCACCUUCACAAAUAAUACAUUAAUCGGCCGAACAAGUCAUUUGUUUUUUUCCCUCGAUCCAACGGUGCAUACUCCUUCAUCAACAGUGAACGGUCCAGAAUGACCACGGACGAAUAUUCAUUUUCAAGCCAACCAAACCAUCGGAAAAGGCCCAACCUCAUAUUAUCAUAUGACCAUUUUUGAAAUAAUUUUAAAAGAUGGAUUAUUAUAUAUACCAUGCCUGCACCAAAGAAAAAGCAAAACAAAAAACACGUAACCCUCUUUGCUUGUACUCUUUAUUCUUCUUUUUCUCUUCUUUUUCGAAUGAAUCUGCUUUAGUAUCCCCACUUAAAUAUUGUGCAUGGAGUUAAAUAAUAUAUAUAACAAGAAACCAAUGUACAAUAAGAUUAAUUACAGGAUUAAUUUAAAACCUUCGAAAAUGUUCCCAAAGCAAAUACCAAUAUGGAAUUGAAGGCACUUCUUAAUAAAAUGGAUCAUUUCAAUUUUCAAACCAUCUUUGUCGUCAUUAUCACAAGAGGAGGGUAGUUCUGGGGUUGGUCCAGCUUCCAUCUAGUAUCUAUCCUUUAGAACCAAUUCCCAACUUUUUGAAAUAUAGAACUAUCAUACAUACUUUGAAACUCGGAACCUAAUUUGUUACAAAUUUCAAGGUCAAUUAUAAAGUCUAUCUAGGUUUCCCAUGCAUCAUUAAUUGAACCAUUGUAGUAAACACCUCUAAUAAUCACUAUUUGUUGUUAUAAUUAACUAACUAUAACUCAUAUUUAGACACACAAAAAUAUGAAACAUUAAUAAAGUAAAAAUUUUAAUCGUGCACAUGUCGGAAAUGGAAAAGUAGUGGUUUUAGAUUACAUAGGAAUUUCGCAAAAUUGCUCGAAGACUUGGAACAAGAAAAACACAAAAACUUAUUACGGAUUUUAGAUUCUACAACCGACCUAUUUAUUUAAACAAGUUCCCCAAUUUUCUGAACUCAGAAGUUACCUUGCGUACCCUAAAACCAGACUAGUUCCAACAAGUUUGGUUUUUGCUUCGAUUCCCAGUCAUAUCCUCAAACCAUGCUCACCCCUAAUUUUCAUGGUUAAAAAAGGAAAAAAAAAAACUUCUCCAAUUAUCAUCUUGCAAUUUCCUAGUUCACCAUUGUACCUAACUUAAUUAGGUCUGAUUAGAGACAAGUUAAUUCGGUUUCGAUUGUGUGUAAAUUACCUAUACAAUAGUUAGUCUUGCUUAUAUUUAGAUAAACAUAUACAUAUGCCUAUGAACUAUGUUAAAUGUUACACUAAUGAGAAUGUAGAGGAUAAUUAAUAAUUAGUUUUAAAUCUAUCAUUCGGAUGACAAUUAAAUCUUAAACUUUCAAGUUUACUAACAUAGUCCUCAACCUUCAAUUUCUAGUGCCAAUUUGCCGAAAGGACUGUCUUCAAAUCUUGCUCAAAUAUUGAGAAUUAUGUUAGCAAAGUGACUAAAUUGAUACUUUCCUAUGAAUGUAAUGUAGAAGAUGGAUGGCUGAAAAUUGAAAUGCCUCAAAAAUGGACUCGAGAAACACAAAAAAAAACAAUUGCGGCGCAUUUGCAAAACAAAAAUUACCUAUACCUUCAGAGAUAAUAUAAUAAAAAUUAGAAAUGCUUACAAGAACGGAAUCAGAAACUUCGUGGUUUUCUUUUACAAGUCACUAAUUUAAUGACAAAGCUUUACACACAAUUACUUGCACAUUUCCAAAAAUUACAAUCAUCCUUUGGAAGUUACCGUUCCUAUCACCAAACGUGACCAAAAAAAAUAAAAUCCAGCAAGCACUUACUGACAAAAAAUAAAAUAGCAGAUAAUAAAAUCCAGAGAGCACUUAAUGACAAAAAAUAAAAUAAAAUCCGCACAACCUCUCUCUCCAUCCCAGCUGUCCAUUACCAAUACACUUGAGAUUGUAAAUGACUUUGUCAAAGACUCAGCCCACUUUUUGCCCCUUUUAUUCCUCCAUUAUCUUAUACAUCCUUCCAAAUUAUAAUUUAUUUAUUUGCUUUCACCCUCAUAUACGAACACCAACACGAAAAAUACGCUGGCAAUGAUGUACGUGUAUAAACGAAAGAGACAUUCGAAUAAUUAAGAAAAAUCACCAUAUCAAAAAAUACUUCGAUAAAACUAGAUAAUAGCUAGAUAAUAGAAAUGUAAGAUGAAAAAUACACCACAAAAAAAAAUGAGAAAACUACUUUGCAGCUUUUCUUGGAAGGUUGUUGUAAGAUAGAUUAGAUUCGAAACGGGGGAAUAUAAGGUAGAUUAUCGAUUCAUGCAUUUACUAAUGGCUAUGAUAUUUAUAAAAUAAGUAACUAAGGUUAUUUUAAAAAGAGAGGAAAUUAAUUAAAAUGCCAUAAAAGUAUCAGAUUCUCCUUGCUUUAAAUAAUAGUAUUAGCCAGUAUAGAUAUAUAUGGUAUAAAAAAUAUAUAUAUCACAUCAAAUCACAUAUUAUUAAAUGACACCAUAAUUAAUAAUGACAAAUAAUAAAAAAAAUAUAAUACAAAAAAGUACACAUCUACCUCAUCAUCAUCACCUUCCUCUCUCUCUCUCUCUCUAUCUCUACCAAACCCAGCCCUAACCAACAGCAAAUGCACCCCCCGCACAUUUUAGCAAACACCCCCUUCACUUUCCGAUUUAAUUACAAUAAAAAUUAAAAUUAAAAUCAAAAUAUUAUAUAUAAAUAAACUUUAUAUUAACGCCCGCCCCUCCCCGUUUACUUUCACUCAAUCUCAUAAUAAAUUUUUUUUAUUUUUCCUCCGUUUUAUUAACUCCCUUUUUUUGGGGCCCUUUCCUCUAAAGACCACAUCCCCCCCAUCGGCGAUCCACCGGCAUCUCCCGGUCCGCGCCGCCGAUCGCCGGAACUGCUCCGCCGCGCCGCCCCGAACCUCGCCGCCCUCAGCCACCGUGCACGGUGAGUCCUCCAUUCGCGGCCCCCGUCUCUGUGCUGCGGCCGCCUUGAAAAGCGGU
RNAcentral lists this long non-coding RNA (289556 nucleotides) under Eucalyptus grandis. RNAcentral's name for it is "long non-coding RNA (EGRA_LNC006281)". Lineage: Eukaryota; Viridiplantae; Streptophyta; Magnoliopsida; Myrtales; Myrtaceae. The record is from RNAcentral.